GUGUGUUGAGAAUGUUCGCUACUGGCUAUGAAUGUUUUCAUGAAGCACCAGAAGACAGCGUUUUAUUUGGUGGGGGUGAAGUUUUAGUACAGGAAUUGCUCGGUUUGAAAUAUUUAGAGGUAUUGGAGUUGACCUUGGGAAGUUAUCAGGCUCUCCAAAUCUUUUUGAGCUCAAAUAAGUUAAAAAGUUGUAUUCGAUCUCUUUUCCUCCAGUUGGCCGGAGAUACAAAGUCGAUUAUUGAUGCUGCGGCUUUCGCAGAUCUAAACCACCUCAAUGAAUUAUAUAUUUAUGAAGGUAUUGAGUUGGAAGAAUUGAAGAUUGAUUAUACAGAGAUAGUACGAAAAAGGCGGGAACCUUUUGUUUUCCGCAGCCUUCACCGUGUUACCAUAUUUAGUUGCGGUAAAUUGAAAGAUGUGACAUUCCUCGUUUUUGCUCCAAACCUCAAGUCUCUUGAGCUAUUGCAAUGCGAUGCUAUGGAAGAAAUAAUCAGCGUCGGAGAAAUUGCUGAGACUCCUGAGAUGAUGGGACACAUAAGCCCUUUUGAAAAUCUCCAAAGUCUUCAUUUAUCGUAUUUACCAAUUUUGAGGAGCAUCUACUGGAAGCCAUUGCCUUUCACUCAUCUCAAAAAAAUGGAGGUACGUAGAUGCGAUCAGCUUAGAAGGCUUCCGCUCGAUUCCAACAGUGCAACAGAGCGUAAUGUUGUUAUUCGUGGAUACACACUCUGGUGGAACCGACUUCAAUGGGAGGAUGAAGCCACUCAAAUUGCUUUUCGUUCCUGUUUCCAACCUCGUUCCUGAGCAGUGGUCGCAAAAUUUGAUUUCUGGUGAGUGCGUUUGUCUUUUAAAAAGAAGAAUUUAAAAGAAAUUUAUUCUUGUCGUUUUCUUCACUGUUUUUAUUUGAUUUCUGGUUAGUUUCUUUCUCUCUCUCUCUCUCUUUGUCUUCUGCAAAUCACAAUUAAAUGUUGAAUUAAUGGAAUUGAUGCUCUGGUUUUUUACUUUUUGUUGUCAAAUUUUGCCCUGUUCUAUCUUCUUAGCGAUUUAAUUUCCUGUCAAAAGACGAGCGAGAAGAACAUAUAUAUGACUUAAACCAAUUGAUACUUUAUUUAUGUGCAUUGUAUGUAAUAAAUAUUAAGUAUACUUUAUUUUUGCCCUGUUCUCUGUUUUUAUUUCAGUCUCUCUCUCUCUUUCCUGUCUUCUGCAAAAUAUAAUCAAUUAUUUUCAAAAUAUCAUUGAUGAUUUUUCUGCUCUAAUGCUAUGUAAAUAGUAUGUUAAGUAAAACAUAAUCAAUUAUUUGUGUUUUAUCUCUAAUUAGAACAUCAAUCAGUUCAGUACCUCACAAAUAAUUCGCAAUAUCUACAAAAUACUAUAAUGGCUACAAAACAAAUCCUGCUUGCAAAUUGUCAAGGAUACCUAUCCGUUCGCUUGACAAGUCAUUUGAAUAAAUAUUGUUCACAUUCCUUACUCUAUCAAUUAUCCAAAGCACCAUCAAUGGUCCUCAACUUUAGUUUGAAUAGUAUACAUGCCAUCACCAUUACCAAGAAUCAAGCAUGGAAGAGUCAUUCUAUAGAGUUAAUCGAAGCAAGGAAUGAUGUAUCAGAAAAUAUUUGGUGGAGAAUUCAGCACAAACAUAUUUUGGAUGAUCAGAAUCAAUAAAACCUGGUGGUUGCGCCAUAUAAACAUCUUCGGAAAGCUGACCUUGAAGAAAGGCGUUAUUGAUAUCCAAUUGACGAAGAGGCCAGCCAUGACUAACAUCAAUACUAAGAACAAGCCGUACUGUGGUGGACUUAACAACUGGACUGAAAGUGUCAUAAUAGUCCACACCAGGCCAUUGAUUGAACCCUUUGGCAACAAGAUGAGCUUUAAACCUGUCAACAGAACCGUUGGAAUGUCUUUUAAUACAAAAAUCCAUUUGCAGCCAACAAUAUUGGAAGGGAUGGGAGGUGGAACAAGCUUCCAUGUCCCGUUACGAACAAGAGCAUCAUACUCUUCUGACAUAGCUGGACGCCAGUGAAGAUUUUUGAUAGCUUGCGUCACAGUUGUAGGUUCACAAUCAGAAGAAGGGCUAAAAUGAGCACGGAGGUUAAGUUUUUGUAACGGCUUGUGAAUCUUAUUUUUAGCUCGGGUAGUCAUAUCAUGAUGACUUGUGGGGCAAUGAUCUAGUGGAGUUUAGGAAGAUGAUUGAACAGGAAGUGAAGAAGUGCUUUGUGUAGAGGUAGAAGUAGGUUGGGAGGAUUGCUGCGGAGAUGUUACCGGUAGAGAAGAAGGAGCAGUACACGGUGGCAACUCCAGAGGGCCCACAAUAGAUGGAGUAGGUGCCGACAAUGGAGUACUAGGAAAUGAAACAGGAAGAAUUGGUGGAACACUUGCGUAAUUAGGAGUGGUAGAUGAGCUUGUAAUGAUUUGUAUGGAAAAACAAACUCUACAAAUUUAACGUGACGUGAAAUAAAAAUUCAACCCGAUUGCAUAUUUAAGAACAUCUCAAAUGAAUUGCUUACUGCUAUCAUCAUCAUUAUUGUCUAUAUAAUAAUGGAUCUUUAUUAUAUAUAUGUUUCCACUAAAAUAUAUUUAAUUAUUCUUUAUUUUUCUAUUGUUGCGUGUAAGAUUUAUUUGAGUUCUAAGUUAUAUCAAUACAAAUGUUAUCUUAUCCAUAAAAAGUUAGAUCCAACAAUUAUGAAAAUUACUAUAGAGUUGCUUUCAAUUAUUUUUUUAAAAUACCAGGAGUAAAUAAUAAUUAGUUCAAAUGGUGGAGACUAAAAUGCGUUCACCUUUAUUUUUUAUCUGUUAUUUACUUUUGUCAUUACAUUAAUGCACAUGCUAUACAUUUGAGACAUUCCAUUAAUUGCCAAUUAUGUAUGUGAGAUAGUAAUUUAAAUUAAAAAAUAAAAGUGAAAGUUAAUCCUAUGCAAUGUGAAUAAAUUUCUUUCCUUUUUCCUUUACUCUUUUUAUUUGACAAUAAAGUUUCCAUCUAUCAUCUAUCAUCUAUGUACACAAAAUUUCUGCAACAAGUACAAAACAUAAAAAUAUAUGAAUAUUAAGGGAAACACGCAGAAGUUCAUCAUUUCAAUGUUCAGUAUUACCAAUUUUGGCAUUAAGCUUGUACGAAUAUAUUCUACUUCGAAAGCAAAAUAUUAGACUCGUGAUUUUAAUUCAUUCAUUAUCUCUCAUUUUAAUCCCAAAAUAUUCAAGAGUAUCCAAGUUACCAUAAGACUUCAGAGGCUCGAGCCUUAGCCAGAGAUGGUUAAUUGAUAGACUAUGUGCCUGGGUCGAGCACUGGAAGCCUGCAAUGCAGACUGAUUGAUUUAUCAGUUUAACGUGUGCCAGGAAUGAAGAACUGGAAUAUCACCGUCAAGCAAGCACCCUGUGGAGCAAUACCAAAGAAUGCACAAUCUGGCUUUGCUAGGUGACCCUGGAGGCUUUUUGAAAAGUGCUUCAUGCUCACUUGCACAGAUUGAGCAUCCCCUCUGGAUAUUGCCCUCUCUGAUCGAGUCUGAGCACUCAAAUUUCGGUCCUCAGAUGGAGCUACAGCUUUCUCUCCAAUAACCAACAAUUUUCUAAACUCAGCACCUAGUGUGAUCAGAGUUGUUGAUAUUUGCAAAUGGAGAUCCCCAUAUUUGCAAAUGGAGACAUUUAACAAAUCACCAACAUGCUUCAUCCGGUCCACGAAAUUCUGCAACUGAUUCAAAUCUGGAACCUGAACCAGAGUCGGAGGUAUAUCUUGAGCCAUAUCUAAAGCAGUUUGAAGUUCAAGACCUUGAGCCCUUGACAAUGGUUUUGAAAUUGGAACAUCUUGGAUUACUGCAGACUUGUACCCCUUGGUUUCAAAGGUAAGGAAAGGCAUUGCUUGAGUACAAUUUGGAGGCAGCUUCUUCACCAAUUUUAUUUGGAGGCAAUUGGCAGCGGAUCCAGCUGCACCAAUUUCAGAGCAACUACUGACACUACUUCGAACAGCACACUGACGAAGUGAUAUGUCUACGGCAAAGGCAAUGCAGUCCUCAUUUUGGCUUGAGAUGCAGUAAUCAUCGAAGAGAGUUUCCUUGUGAAACUGGGCAACACAUUGAAUCCCUUCGCCACUGAGAAGGUUGUGGAGGAAGUAAGCUGUCUCUCUAGUGAGGAAGAGGUGGCAUACCUUCCCCAUUUUGUCUAGGGCAGGUAGGAAUCUUUUUUCUAAGAGAUUUACUUCAUUCUCUGUGAGAAAUGCUUUGAACUUCAUCCCUCUGUCUCUAUCCUCACUUAUCAGGAAAUAAGUUGAAAGCACUAUGAAGAGAGAGAGAGAGAGAGAGAGAAUUAAGAUAUAUAGACAAGAAAAUAAUUAGACGUUGAUCUUACAAACUAAUACUUCAAGCAGUAUCCUAGAAAGCUAAAAACUGCAAGAUGGCUUGAAAUUUGAAAAGAGCACAUGGUUUUCCUCCUUAACUUGAGAAAAUGUUUAAUAUAGUGCACCUUACAGAAGCAUUUAAGCAAUUAGAACUUUGCACAAAAACAUCAAGAAGACUAAACAAAUCAGAUGCAGUGUAUUUGUCCAAGCACAAAUUGCAUUUUGUCCUCAACUUUAAUAUUUAUUGAUGAGAAUCAAUACAGGUCCCUCAUUUGUUAUAGAAAGCUUUCUUGUAGUCUCACCAGUUAAUUCACAGGUCUAUAAUCAUCUUGCAAAGUUAAGGGCAUUUCUUUCGAUCUAAAGUCUUUGCAUCACCACCUCAUCACACGCCAAGCCAAUAUUCCAUUUACCUCUACAACAAAAAGUUUUUAAGUAAAUAAUCCUAAUGCACGCAGCCGAAUAAAAUGCAGUAAGAAUAUUCAACUUAAAAAUCUGAAAGCCAACUUGGUGAAUUGCCUCCUUAGGUGAAGUUCCAUGCUUUACUAUAGUUGACAGAACUCAGCAAAAGCUUCCAUACAACAGAUUUUGAAAAUGAUGAUGCCAAUAGAUACUCAUUCAAUCCAUUGAAACUCCAAAGGUUCAUUGUUCAUAGAAGUUUACAGAGUUUUGGUCAUCAAAUAGCUCAGACCUAAUCCCAAACAAAAAACGAGUGAAAAUUAGAUCACGAGCAGCUAAUUGUAAAUUCUAACUUAACUCUUCAUCUCCUUUGUAAACAAGAAACAAAAUGGAGACACGCAAAAUGAAUAUGGAGAAAAUUUGAACUCAAAUGAAAUGAGGGCACGAAAGCAAACAAAUGGCAUGCACAAAAAAACCAAGCCUCGAUAAAAAACUAAUUAACCAUUAAGAAAAAAAUUGGUCAGAGAAUGAACUCCAAAUUCAGGAGUCAAGCAAGAAGCUUUCAUUAUUUCAGAAGCUCCUGUACAAAUUAAUAAGUUAUGCUCUUUGGAAGCAAACCUAAAUUCCAAGAGAAACAGAACCCAAAAAAUUUGCAAUUAUACGCAAAGGAAGUGAAGCACAGGAUUCUAUCACACAUAGGAAUUGUAUAACAAGAGAUCGAUAUAUCGAAUUAGAAAACUCAAUUCGAAUUUGUGUCAAAAAUCAAAAUUAGAAGAUUUCACAUUUCGAGAGGAACAAGCAACAGAUGAAGUUCAAAAUUUCAGCCAUAACAUGCUAAAAAUGCUACACUUAACGGUUCAUUUUCAUGGAUUUUCUCGGGAAACAAACAGAAAAUUACGGUUUAGAGAGUUGACUGACCUUUUGGCUUUUGAAAUUGACCAGAUCGCGCGCCAAAUUGGAAGAGGGAAAGUGAAAGCGCGAGUUUUAAUAUGGGUAUUAGAUAAGGAAAUUUUAUUAGGUUGCGAGGGUAAAAAAGGAAAGAGAUAUCAUUAUUUUAUUAUCGAUAAUUAUUAAAUUUUUUUCCAAAAAAAAGAACAAGCAAGGAUUUUUUAUUGUCAUCACUAAGUUAAAAAAAAUUGUUUCAAAAUUACUUGAGUCAUAUCCAAUGGACCAACAAAGUAAUCGUUUUUAUUUUUAUUGAUUUUUGCAGGAAAUUAAUAACUUAAAAAUACUGAAAGCUACUGUAAAAAUUUUUAUUAUCAACCUCAUAAUUUUUUUUUUUUGGGGAAGAGAAUUCAAACUUUUUUUUUAUGAAUAUCGCUGUUUCGUUUGAGUUGGAUGUGAAUUCAAAUCCAAAUAUUCUUUGUUUUUCAAUUUUGAACUCAAUUUCUUUUUCUCAAGAAUGUUAUGCAGAAAUAAUUUUUACUAAAUCUUUUUUGAUGAAUUGUUUAAAUUAAACAAUUGGAAUAAGAAUUGUAACGAUUUAUCAUAAGCGUGCUAAUAUGAUAACUUGUUUUACGAAGGAUUAAUUAAUCAAUUAAUAUUAAAUUAUAUAUUAGUCAAUUAGAUAUGUGUUACAUUUAUCAUGUUUUGUAGGUGAUAGUACAUCAUUUCUAAAAGAAUAUAGUACGUUAAAAUAUUAUUUUAAUGAAGAAAAUUUUAUUAUUUUAUUAUUAGGUGACACAAUAAUAAAUGGAUUUCUGUAAGAAUUGAGAUUCUUGAUAUAAUUAUUACAUAAGGAGAAGUUUAGUUGGUUCAAUUUUGACGUGAUAAGAAGACAACACAGCACAGAAAACCCAAAUUGCCACUUCCACUAAUAAAAGAUACCUGUUUGAAAAGUAAUUAUAAACUAUCUUCUUUGUGUUAUUUCUCAAAACUUUUGUGGCACAAAUGUUAUUUCCAUUGACAACAGUACGAAAUACCACCCCUUUCACUUGAGCAGGAGCAAAGCAAAGGUAUGAUGAGCUAUCUCUGUAUAAUUGAAACGCCAUUACUAAACGAUUCUUGAUGAUGGGAGCCACCGUGCCAGCUUUGUCGCUGAUUUGCAUGAUUUAUUAGUUGUCCAGAUGGCGGAUUUUGUACUGUUACCUUCGUUUCAUUCUUCAGAGCCAUGUACUGUUCUAGGAUACCAGAGAAACCAAGGUGGCAUUGAAGUUGCCCUGGUGGUUAGUUUUCCGAUCAUUUUUUUAUUCAAUUAUUUAUGUUUUUAGAAAAAUGUAGGAAAUAUGUAGAAAUGUUGACAGCUAUGAUUUUGAAACUUUUGCCUAAAAUUGUUAUCAUUACUUGUUGUUUCUUAUUUAAAGAGAAAUUCUAGAAACAUGAAAUGAUUAUUCUACGCUUGUUUUAAUAUUGUGCUAUGAAGAUUACGAAGGUUUGAUUAUAUGUCACUAUCAAUUGCCUUAAUCGUUUGUCGUAAAUCAAUUAAGCAUUUUGAUGCGAAUGAUUCCCUAUUAAAAAAUUCAAGUCAGAGCUGAAUUGCAAAGUAGUUAGUCGUGCUUGCAAUUCAAAUUAAGUAUUGUAUUUUCUCCCUGAUUUGGUUGAUUCAACUAUGUGCAUUUGCUUAUGAACGUUGCAGUAUAGAAAUCGAAAUAUCUUGUCUUUUGCUAAGCCCAGAAGCAAAUUCUUUGUAUUCUACUCAUCAGUUUUCUUCAUUCUCUUUGUUGAAAUUUUAUCUAAACAGCGGUUUCUUCGAAUUUAUGCCUUCGCUUACUCUUUUAAAUUUUAUCCAAACAACGGUUUUGAAAUUGUUUUCACUACAAUACCUUAGUCUUUCAGAUGCUCCCGUCACUGAGUUGCCAGAAGAGCUAAAAGCCUUGGUAAAUCUUAAGUGUUUGAACCGGAGUACACAAAUUAUCUCUCUACAUUUCCAAAGCAAUUGAUUUGUUACUUUUCGAUGCUACAUGUUCCGCGAAUAUUCAGUUGUGGUUAUCUUGUUCAGAUACCAGAAAAUAGCGUUAUAUUUAGUGGUAAUGAAUUCUUGGUUUGGGAGUUGCUUAGUUUAAAACGUUUAAAUGUAUUAAGCAUCAUCUUGAAAAGUUUUUCUGCUGUCCAAAAACUUAUGAGCUUCCAAAAGUUUCAAAGCUGUACACAAUGCAUGGAGCUUGUAGACUGUGAUGAUCCAAAGUCAUUUGCCGUGGCAGAGUUGAAGCAUCUUGAAAAACUAGGUUUUUCAAGUUGUGGAAAUUUGGAAGAGUUAAAGUUCUGCUGUGUCGAAGUUGCAAAGGCUCGAGAAUGUUUUCGUUUGAACAGCCCUCACUGAGUUAAGAUGAAGGCUUGUCAUAAAUUGUGGGAAGCGACAGGUUAUUCAAAUAGAAAAAUUUAUGGAGAUGGAUGUUAAUCUUAAGGUUAUUCAAUUAGAAAAAUUUGAAUAAAAUUUAUGGUAAGUGCUUUUCCAUUUAUUGCAUAUUUAUAUCUAAUUUUUAUUUUCCUUUAUUGUUAAAUUUUGGUCUCUAUUUGUUGUUGUAUGGUGGCAUUCUUGUACAAUUAUUAGCUUUUCAUUUCUCUUCUCACAUUAACUGCCCUUCUGAUCAUGUAGGAUUUGCUGAUGCAAAGAGUCAUAAUUUGGGAUACAAAUGUAAGAAUUAGACAGAUGACAUGUUGUUUUGAAGCUCUCAAAGAAGGACUAAUUAUGUCAUUGAAAGCCUCCAAUUUUGUGAUUGGUUUCUUUUUAUUUUAUUUGUUGUUUUCUCUAUUUUCAGAUCACUUAAUUGUUAGUUGUUGUAAUGUAAUGUUUUAGUAUAGCAAAUUAUAUUCGGCCAAGACAGUGAUAGGAGGGCACAUUGUGCAUGCACACUAGUGGAUUUGGCAUGCCAAAUCCAAUUAGGAUGGAUAACACUUUAUAAGCAUUAGGCUUCUCUCAUACCUGAGUAAUAUAGAAUAUGUUUAUAAGUUGUGAAUCACCCUUUACAAGUGUUAGGCUUCUGCUAUACUCAGUGAUGUGAAAUAUAUUUAUAAGCACUAAACUUCUCCCAUACACUUUAUGUUAAUAAUAAUAAUAAUAAUAAUAAUAAUAAUAAUAAAAUAAUAAUAAAUAAACCCAUUUUAACAGACUCUUUUUUCUUUUUCUAUAUGAACAAAUGCAUUCUUCAAAGCAACUGUGGGGAGAAGAAGUGAGUAGAGAAGAACUGAGCCCCUGUCAUUCCCCUAAAACCUCACCAAAACCUCUCUUGUAAGCUUCUCGGAUUUUCUUUCUAUAUUUCUUAGGAACUCAUUUUUUAUUGAAUCACUUAUUUUGCAUGCUGCAUUUUUUGGUUGUCGUAUUUGUGUAUUAUCUUAUCUGGAAUGCUGUUAUGAUUGAUGGAACAAGUAAUCGAUUUUUGGUCUAAUGGAAGUUGAUUUAUUUAUUUAUUGUUGUUUUUAUUUGAAAUUAUGUACAAUUGUAUUUCAUUCAUUUCUCUCUCUUUUGCUUUUUUCCCCCCAUAUAUUUGUUAUGUAUAAUUGCGUUUCAUUUAAUAUUGAUCAUACUGUAGGUAACCAUGUGAUUGUAGAUGGGGAUUUCGAGUUUGUUGAAUAUUCAUGUAAGUGAAGUAACCGUCACAAUACUAGUGAAAUUGGGAGCUUUAUUCAUGAGUUUGUGGUUUUGAAAAGUACCACAGUUCAACUGGUGAAGGCUCCGUUUUGGGAUUCUUCUUUUUCUAGGCUGCAAUUAGGAUAUGUACAUGAUAGACAAUCUUUUGUUGGUUUAGCAUAUCUUCGCUGAUUUUGUCUUUUAUUCCCCAAUUUUAUAAUUACACACCAUGAAUGUUGGGUGAUUGUAUAGAAAAUUUGUGUUAUAACAAAAACAUUGUGAAGGAGUUUCCGUGCUAAUAGUUAGUGGCUUCUGUUUUAUUGGCAUUGAUUGGGUAGAUUACGUGUUACAGUGAUUCAAUUUGUGUUCCAAACUUUGCUUUAAUUUUCUGUUUUCCCCAACUAUUUAUGUCAAAUUUAAAUCCAGAAGCAUGUGCUGAUUUUUUCUUUUUGUAUUAAUCUGUGAAGUUUAUUUGGAAUGGAAGUAACUGGGUCGGGUCUAAUGGAUUAAAUUAUGACAUUGAGGGGAAGGCACUAAAAGGGUUUGCUUGACACAUUUGGUUCUGUGUUUACUCUGCAAGAAAUAACUUUUGCUUAUUGCAAUGCAGGGGGAAAUCCCGAUUUGGCUGGUGAAUUUCUCUGCAACAAACAGGCAAACACCUCAACAUCUUCUGUCCAUACUUCUGCUGGGGAGGCAAGGGGUAAAGAGUCUUCAAAAUCAUCAAAUAGUUACAUCUCUGAGAAUUCAUUUUAUGGAAAUGGAAAAUCUAGAGUUUCUAAUACAAAAUGGCAUCUGGUAUCAGGACGUACCGUUUCAAGUUUUCUUGGUAAAGAUUAUGUUAAACCUGCACAGCCAGCUAAUGGCACUUUUCUGGCAUCAAAGCCAUUGAAGUUGGAUCCAAGGGAGUUUCGCAUUUCUGCACUUUCAGAGAAGAAACUAAACCGACAAUCAAAGGAUGACCAUUUGCAGAAGGAUAUGGAAGAUUUUCUUUUUAAAUUGCUAGGAGAAGGGUUCCAGCUGUACAGGGAUGUGAUUCAGGAGGUUCAUGGUAACGUCUUAAAUAUAUUGAUGCCAAUUUAAUACAUAUUGUCCUUUUCAAUGUUCUUUCUUUCUUUCUCCUCUUUUUAUUAUUCUUCUUCUUCUUUUUUCUUUUCAUGUGCAUGUGAUCACUAAUUUGGUAUUAUUCUUGACUUGCAGAUAGUUGUGGAUAUGAAAUGCAAAAGGUAAGGGCUAUAUCUUCUUGAUGGAGGCCUCUGAUUUUUUAAAUCGCAUUUUCCUUUGUGAUUGAUAUAUCAUACCAAAGUCAAGUCUUAAAUACUGCUGUCAUAUGUUAAGGUUCAACUUCCAUUUUGAUUAACGUCGAUUUGCUACUGCUUCCAAAAGUGAGAAUGAGAUACUUUGGUUAAUUUCAGUAGUUGAACUCAAUGGAGUACUUUAUUUAGAUCUUCAUGGUUCAAAGGCCUGAAAAAACUUGCCGGUAUUUGCAAAAUGACAUCUGUGCUUUUAUUUAGACUUAUUAUUAAAGACAACAUUUUAUUUCAGCCAAAAAUGUUUGUUUCAAUUAAAGACUUGAACCAUUUUCAUUUAACCUGAUUGUGAUGCUUUACAUUAUGCAUGUUCCUCUCAAUCAAUAAAAGUUGAGGUCAUGAUUUUAUAUUUCUAUUUUGUAACUUGAAAUAAUUGGUCUGCCUGUUUCUGUUGCUUGAUAACAUGAAUUUUUCCUUCUGAAGUUAAUUUGAUCAAUAAAGUAAUUCUUCGGAGAGGAUAUGCCCAUUCUAUAGUCAUUUUCUUAGCUAACAUGUUUUUUCUUCACUCUUCAAAGCAUGUCUAAACUAAUUGAUCGCUCAGCGGAGACUUUGGGUGAGAAGACAAAAUUUCUUGGUAAAUCCUCUGAAAAGGUAUGCAUAAUUCCCGAGUAUUAAAUAAUCAUUGGUCAUAAUUUUUGUACACGACUCUUGUUUUGGAGAUCGUUAAAAGUGGUUGAUGAUCUAUUUUGUAAUAUCAUAGAGGGAUCAUGAAUUCCUUUUCUUUUCUGUGGCUAGGCAACACUUUCGAGCCAAGCUAAGGAAAUCUAUUUUAGGUAAUGUGAAAACUAGUUGUAGGAUGUAAUAGUUUAUUAUGCCCUGACAAUAACUUUUUGUAUAAUUGUCAGUUUAAUGAAUACAAGAGGAACUCUGUUGGCAAGUUCAUCCAUGAUAGAUGCUAAAAUUAUUUAUGCAUACCAGUUGCCUUAACUAAUUUUUCUCAACACUGGUAUUGAACAGGAAAAUGAAUAUGCAAUUUGUAUAUUGUGCCAUUGUGGAGAAUUUGGAUAUUCUUAUUUAAGUAACAAGGAGAGUAUUUGCCUCAUCUUUAAACAAUGAAUCUUUGAGAAAUGAGGAGUGGGUGAUUGACAGUGUCUUCAUGUAAAUGUUCAUUUAUUUGUAUUUUGAACUAUUAUGAGAAUCUUUGUAUGCCAAAUUAGUAAUACAAAUGUUCAGAUGAUUUUUCCUGUUGAUCAUGCGUGUGUAUCUGCACACAACCAUUGUGUACCACUUUAUUCUGAUGCACAAAUAUCUGUAGUUUAGAAGAAAAGAAAUAAUAAUCAUAUAUUAUUGCUUGGUUCAUGAUUAUUAAAUGAUUAUGGCUUUAGAAAAUCCACAAAUCCUUUGUGUUCAUAUAUGAAUGUGCGAAGUUCGCUAUAUCUUAGAUUACCUUCUUCCAAGAUAACAAGUUCAUAUAUUUUUUUUAAUCCUUUUUCAUCACAGUUGAAUUUCAAGUGUAAGUUUUGUUAUUAAUAGCUGGUUUCCUGUUAUUAUGAUUUCAUAAACAAUGAGAGGAUAUGUGCUCUACUUUUGGAUGGCCUCCACAUAAAAGAAAAUUGCAACAAUUGAAUUCUUCUGGAGGGUAUGGUAUUUAAUUUAUUUUCUCAGCUUGUUGUAAGACUAAUAUAUUUCCUUCAGUACGCACGGCAUGGUGGGAAGGGUUUUUAUUGAAAGAAUUAUGAUAUUUCUUAGACUUUGUUUUGGAAGGGGGUGGAGGGAUUUCUCAUCCAUGUAUGGUUACUUGAUUAGCUUUUGACUGUACUGUCUCCGUCGUGCAAAGGAAAAUCCAAAUACUAACGAAGGGGAAUUGCUUAGGCACCCAAAGGACAGAAAUGAAUUACGGAAGGAGGUUUUUGCUGCUUUAUUUAGUGCUGCUGAGAAAUCUGAUGAAUUUCCUGAAAUUACGGUGAAGACGGAGUGGAGGUCCAACGCAUUAGGAAAGGUGGUGAGUGAACCGCCAGAGGAAUUAGUACCAGAAUACAAGGCUAAUGUGGUGCACUGGCAGCAAGAUGACCAGACCUGUAUGUGCUCUUAUAUUAACUAUAUUGGCUGGAUUUGUGAGUGUGUUCAUUUUUGUGUGUAUACUCACUUUUGUAUUUAUGCAUAUUCACGUGUGUAGGAUUCUCGAUUUCUGCCACUUACUGGAGAACUAGUGGAAAGCUUUAUACUGAUAUAUGUGCUAUAUAACUAAUGGAAACUACAAUAUGAAUAUUUUCUCUCACCUGGAGAGCAGUGUAACUAAUAUAAUUUGUGGCUCUGGAAUACUGAAGAUUCUGCAAUAACUAAUGGAAAAUAUGAUAUGAAUAUUUUUUCUCACCUGGAGAACUUUGUAACAGAUACAUUUUGUGCUGGAAUGUCUAAAGAAUGCUUCAGUUUAUAUCAAAUAUCUUUUAGUUAGAAAAGAUAAAAUUCUCUGAAUCUGAAAGACUGAAACAUUUUGCAUAUUUCGUGAAAGGCAAGUAUCUGUAGAUACUAGCUCAUGCAUUGAGGUAAUAUCAAUGUUAAAGAAAAACAGCAAUAAUUUAUUAUACAGAAUUAGGUUCACUUGCUUUAAAUGCUGGUCUGAUCAACCAUAUCAACCUGUAAUGGUCCUGCAGAAAUAUAUAUACGGGGAGAAACUAGCUAAUUUUCCUUUCACUUAUGGGUUUGGUCUUUUUUUCCCCAAUUUUUCAGCUUUCCUUCUCCUGAAGUAUGUUAAUAAUUGCAGAUAAUGGCGAAGAGGACUGCUUCCAGGCUACCGGCAAAAACUUUGUGAAAGCUUUGGAGUUAAACAGGGAAUUCACUUACUGCUAAGGACAAUUGGUGGCGAGCUAUUUCAUUCAUUUUAUGUCCAUACAUCUAUUUAAUUAUUAAAGAUAAUGUACGCAUUUGUAAAUUUCAGAUUGUGUGUCUCUGAAAAUAACAAUAUUUAAAAUGUCUCUUAAAUUAUUAUAAAUUUUAAUUUACUCUCGAUUUAAAAUGGAACAUGUUGGUGAAAUAUUUUUUCUUCUUAAUAAAAUUGAAAUAAAUUAUGUUAGCAGUAGUUUGAAAUAUUUUAAAGAUGAUUAUUUUAUAAGGGAGUAAUAUGAAAUGAAAUUUACUUUUCAUGCGUGAAAUGUUGAAAAAGGACAAAGCAAGUGUCCCUGCUUUUAUUUUAUUUCAAAGUGGAGUCAUCUCACAUACUUUAGCUCUAUCAUUAGGAGCCGGCUAAGUUACGUUAAACGUAAUUUACGCCAGGCACAGCAAUAAUGACAAGUCCCAUGACUAGUAUUGUUGCUGUGUCUGACGUAAGUUACGUUUAACGUAACUUAGCCAAAGCCCUAUCAUUAAUAUAUAUUUAAAUUUAACACAUGCAUGUGGGUUACUUUUCCGUAAGUUCCUUAAUAUAUAUUUAACACAAAUCAUGGAAGAGAUGGGAGUAUAUCAAGAUGAUCAAAGCAUGAAACAAAAAUAUUUAAGAAGUAAAACACUGAAAAUGGAGAAGAGAUGCAAGCAAAAGAUAUUCUAAAGAAAAGCAAUCUAUCCCCUUUCGAGGGCAAACUUAUCAGGUUUAAGAAAAGUACAUGCUUUGGAUUGGUAGUUGCAGCCUUGCAGGAUAAUUGUUUUUGCCACUAUAUUAGUUGGAGGAGUUGAACCCAGUGAAGAAUGUUAUGGAAGAGCAAAUGAUAUUUCUGAUAGACUCUAUUUGAUUAUGUAGCCUGAAUAGAUGUCUUGUUGAAAGAUAUAUCAGUGCAUUAGUUCAUCCUUGUCUGUCAAUGUGUUUUUAAUGGUUUUUCCAAUUGUUUUUUUUUUUUUUGAAACUGAUUAAGCAUCAGGUUACUGCAUUACACAGAUAUAUAUACAACUGCUAUGACAGCAGGUCAUUACACUGAUAUUUACAAUCAGAUAUAUAUACAUGGGACUUAUAUUAUUACAUUUUUAUUCUAUGAAGUACAUGCCCAUCCCAAAUACCCCUCACGGAGGAGGGAUGUCUCUACUCCACUCGCAUUUCGCAAGGGAGAAAGACGUUUAUAGAAAUCUCCACACAAUUAUGUUUAAUUGGAGGAGGUUGAGUCCGUGGGGACUCGAACCAUUGCCCUCAAAGUCAUGCUUAACUUUGAGGGCAAUGGUCCACCACUGGGCUACAAGCCCAAGUGGCGGUUUUUCCAAUUGUUUAUUGCUAUAGAUUGAUUGUAAAUUGAUGUGAACUUAAUGUUGAAAUAUUUUCUCUUUAGUGGAAUGAAAGUUAAACAUUCAAGAUUAGAUUAUUCAAGGUCCACAUAGUAUGUGUUCCGUUGUGUUGUCUGUAAUUUUGCAUUUAAAUAAAUUUGAGUGCUGCCGUUUCGCUCCCACAAUCUCUCGCCUUUUUUUAAUUUUAAAAAUUAAAAUAUUAAUAAAAAACAAUAAAGAAAAUCGAAUCCUUUAUGUCAUUCCAUCUUUACAACUCUCUCUCACAAACUCCAUCUAACAGACUUCUCUCUUACUAUCUCGGUCGAACAAGACCAGUGACAAUGAUGACACGACCGCCGACGAUGAGAUGGUCAUCGCUAAAGAAUCGGGCCGUGUAUUUUACAAUUUCUUGGUUUGUGACAACAAUGGAAAACUCCUGAAAAUUUUGAAUUUGUAGUCGAGCAAAGGAAGAAGCAAGUUAUCUUCAAAGCAUUUUCCAGUAAUAGCUGAUGAAAUUUAAUACUUCAAGCUGGCCCUUUGCUGUCACAACUAGAUGCAUUUGCACUGUCAUUACAAUUUAUGGAAAUUAAAGUAAUUAAUGGUUCUAAUUAAUAGCUUCCCAAAAAACCAAUCUGCCCUUGUGAGAACCAAAGCAUUAAUUUCUUGUAAGAGCUGCAGAAGGCCAGAGAAUUUCAGAUCGUGAAAAGGAGUGUGUGAGUGAGAGAGAGAUCGUGAAAUAGUGAGAGACAAUGAGAGAGAGAGCCGCUCGACUGAGAUGGUGAGAGAGUUGCAAAAAUGGAGUAAGGAGCAGAUAAGAUUAUGUUUUCUUUAUUAUUUUUUAUUAAUAUUUUAAUUUUUUUAAUUAAAAAAGGGCGAGAGAUUUUGGGAGUGAAACGGCAGCAUGUUCCAAUAAAUUUUUACCAAAGUUUCUCUCGUGUUUCUCUCACCUUUCUAGAUACCAAGCAUUUUCCAAUAAAUUUUUACUAAAAACUUAGCAAGCCCUUGAAACUUUGGUCAAAAUUAUUGUUAUUAUUACUUUUAGAGGAAAAACUUUUAUUAAAACCUCAUUAACACAAUUCUUAAUUAAAAUUAUAAGUUUGUGUUGGUGUAAGGAUUUGCAGGAGCAAUUACUGCCUAGCCAAGUGUCAAAAGCACAAAAUAAAUCAAGAGAAAGUAGACAUGAAUUAGGAUCCAAUGAAAUUUAAAUCCCGGAGAAAAGAAAUAAUCAUGCAGAUUAUCAAGAUUUCAAUAAGGGAUAUUGAUAUCCUAUUUUGAUUAAUAAUAUCCUUUUACUGUGUUAACUCAAAAAAUAUGUAUAUUCUAAUAUUUUACAAUAAAUAGAAAUCUAAUAUUAAAAUAAAUGUGAUAUAUAUAUAUAUAUAUUAAAUAAUUUAAAUAUAAAAAAUAUUUUAAUGUUUUACAAUCUACUACACAUAUUUUAUUAAGUUAAUAUAAUUUUUCAAAUAAAUAGGGACAUAAUAUUAAAAUAAAUUUAUAAAAAUUUAAAUUAUUUUGAAUUUAAAAUAAUUUUAAUAUUAUUAAUAUGUUAGAUAUGUUUGAUUAAUUAUAAAAAUUAUUUACGCAAAUUUUUUUAAUAUUUUCAGUAGAUAUAAAUAUAUUACUUACAUUUUGAUUAUUUAACUAUUAUUAUUCUACAAUUAUUUAUAUAAUGUUUGCACUUAUUAGAAUAUAUUUAAAGUCAAAUCUUUUGCACUUCUACCUAGCUAGAAUUAUUGGACGCAGAGAAAUAAGCAUAUAUGCUUUAUAACUUUAGAAAUCGAAUUAUCUAUACAAAUUGAUUUUAGCUGGAAAAAAAGUGAGCUGAAUGAUAUAGGCGAUUAGUGUGGUAAUAUUUCAUAGAGUUAGACUAUUGAAUUUGGCACCCCUCCAAUCUUCUCAUGAUUACCUUUUUGAGUUAUUAAUACACUUCUAAUUUUUCGUUUAAUUUUUUUUAUUGUUAUACUCAAAGUAGUAUUGUGAUAUUUUAUAUUUCUUUUGCAAUCUUAUUAUUAUUUUACACAAAAUUAAAAAGUUUUCUAGGUGAUGAACUUUUGAGUUUUGAACAUUAAUCAUUGGCUUAAAUUUCAUAUAUUUUACAUUAUAAUUUGAAAUUAAGUACGAAAAUAUUUAAUAAAUUAUGAAAAGAUUAACAGAUUAUUCUAAAUUGAUACAACUUAUUUUAGUUAAAUAAAAAGUAACAGGUAAAAAAAAAAAGGAUUGGUUAUGAAAUUUGUUGGAAAAAAAUCUGUGUGUGUUUAAUUUUUAUUUGUCCUUAAUUGUAAUUUAUUUGAAGUGAGGUUUUAUAAGGAUAAUGAAGGGGUGCCAUAGUUUCACUCUAUUUCAUAUGGAGAGAGAAGUAAAAGGUACACCUGAGGUUAAUGGAAAGGACUUCGAAAGUUUCUUUUGAUUAUAAUACUGUUUGUUCUAAUUAACUUAAAAAAUUUUACUUUAAUAUUUUAUAAUAAAUUAAAUUUUAAUCUUAAAAUAAGUAUAAUCAUAUAUUUUAAAAUAAUCUUAAAAUAAAUACAAUCAUAUAUUUUAAAAUAAUCUUAAAAUAAAUACAAUCAUAUAUUUUAAAAUAAUCUUAAAAUAAAUACAAUCAUAUAUUUUAAAAUAAUCUUUAUAUUUAAAAUUUAUUUAUUUGUACAUAUUUUAUAAUAAAUAUAACACAUACUAUUAAAAUAAUAUAUAAAAAAUUAAAGUAUUUUGAAUAUUAUAUAAAAUAACUUUAAGAUUCUUAAUAUGUAAGAUAUAUUUUAUUAAUUUAAAAUUCUAUUUAAAAUUUUAUUAAUUUAAAAUUCUAUUUAACCCAAAGAUUUAUUUAAGAUAAAUUAAUAAUCAUAUUUUUUAAAUCAUUUCAAAUAUUAAAAAAUAUUUUGAUAUUACUAGUCUAUUAAAUAGAUUAAAUAUUUUUAUUAUUUUGUACUAAUCAAAAGUUACAGCUCGAAUGAUAUUAUGAGAACAGAAUUUUUAUGUCUUUAUUAAAAAUUUGGGUUUGUAUAAUUAUUUUUUCAAAUGUUAGGGGCAUAGCUGUCUUUUUACUUUUAUAUAUGUGAACCGCGGUGGUGAAAAAGUGUGAUUUAAUAUUAGUUAUUUAAAUAAUAUCUGAAUUAAAGAUGUACAGAGAAGAAAUUUCGGUGGGCAUUUUAGUCUUUUAACGAUUAUCAUGAUUAGGGAUUAGGUCCUGCUCUUGAAACGUUGGUCAGAAAAGUUCUAAAAUGCGUACAUUAUCUUUACUUUAAAAAAGUUAUUUUAUUUUAUUACAAAUUAAUGCCGACAAGAAAAAGCAAGAUCUUAAANNNNNNNNNNNNNNNNNNNNNNNNNNNNNNNNNNNNNNNNNNNNNNNNNNNNNNNNNNNNNNNNNNNNNNNNNNNNNNNNNNNNNNNNNNNNNNNNNNNNAUAAAGAUGAAGAAAAGGGCAAAAAAAUAUUAAUGAUUAACGAAAUCUCUAUCCAAAUUGAUUUUAGCAGGAAAAAAGUGAGCUAAAUGAUGUAGACGAUUAGUGGUAAUAUUUCAUAGAGUUAGACUAUUGGCACCCUUCCAAUCUUCUCACGAAUCCUCUUUUUGAGUUAUAUUUAUUUUAUUUUUAAAAUAUCUUUUUUCUCUUUUACUACACUUCUAAUUUUUCAUUUAAUUUUUUUAUUGUUAAACUCAAAGUAGUAUUGUGAUAUUUUUAAUUUCUUUUGCAAUCUUAUUAUUACUCUGCAUAUAAAUUAAAAAGUUUUUUAGGUGAUGAAUUUUUGAAUGUUAAUCAUUAGCUUAAAUUUCACAUAUUUUACAUUACAAUUUGAAAUUUAAUAUGAAAAUAUUUAAUCAAUAAGAAUUAUGAAAAGAUUAAUAAAUUAUUCUAAAUUUAUACAACUUAUUUUAGUUAGAUCAGAAGUAGCAGGUUAACAAAAGAAAGGAUUGGUUAUGAAAUUUGUUGGAAAAAAAUCUAUGUGUGUUUAAUUUUUAUUCGUUGUUAACUCUAAUUAAGUAGGUUAAAUAUUUUUGUUAUUUUUUACUUAUCAAAAAAUUUAAGAUCAAUAUUUUUAGUUACCAUUCGAAGGAUAUUAUGACAAAAACAGAAUUUUCACUUCUUUGUUAAAAAUUUGGGGGUUUGUGUAACUAUUUUUUCAAAUGUUAGGGGCAUAUCUGUCUUUUUACUCUAUAUAUAUGAACCAUGGUGGUGAAAAAGCGUGAUUUAAUGUUAUUUAUUUAAAUAAUAUCUCAAUUAAAAAUGUAAGGAGAAGAAAUUUCGGUGGGCAUUUUAGUCUUUUAACGAUUAUCAUGGUUAGGCCCUGGUCUUGAAACGUUGGUCAGAAAAGUUCUAAAAUGCGUUCAUUUGUCUUUACGCCAACAAUAAAAAGCAAGAUCUUAGUGUCCCACAAAAGCAAAUCGUAAUAUUCCGCAAUGGAGUUAGAUCCGCAAAAGCAAACAAAUUCUUUUAUUAAACUACAAAUUAAAGUGGAAUCAUUUACUAAACAACAAAUUAAAUUUGAAAUAUUUAAAUAGUCGUGCGUUAGACGAUUAGAGACUCUUAUUAAAGGCAAGUACAAAGUAGUGAAGAAUCGAAUAUUUCUAUUGUCUAGUCUUUUUUUAAAAAAAAUUUUCUUUUAUUAUUUUUCAGAAUAUGUUUUGGUGAUUACUAUUGGGUUAUUAUUCAGAGUUAUUGUUAUCUUCCGGGGCAGUUUCUGUUCAUCGAAUUCGUUAAUAAAAUUUUAAAACUCUUAUUGAAAGAAUGUUUUUCCGUUAUCUUUUUUAUAAUCUAAUUUUAAGUGUAAGAAGUAGUCAUUUUAGAAUUUGGGUCUUGAAUCGAAUUUCAAUGCAUGAAUUAAUAUUUAAAAAAAAUUUACUACAUGCAGUUUAGGUUACAAACUAUUUUUUGCAAAGUUGACUAUGAAAUUGGAGAAAUUAAGUAAUUUAUAAUGUUUGCAAAGAAAGAGACCAACAUACUUCCAAUUACACUAUAUCUCAAUUAUCAUAAUGUUAAGAUUAAACUAACUUAAAAUAAAAUUUAUUUAAAAAGUUUAUCAAACGCAGUCUAAUUUUAUUAACUUGAAGAGAUAAUAGUUAUAGAAAUUAUUAUUCUAACUUAAUUAGUAAAAGUGGUAUAAAGGUUAAGUGUGCACUAAAUCUAUUUAAAUUUUUUUCCAGUAUAACUAACAGAGGUCAUUACUAGAAUUAUAUUACUAGUCUAUUAGAUAGAAAAAAUUAUUUAUAUUGUUUUAUAUUUAUUAAAAAAAUUUAAAGUCAAUCUUUUUAAUUACUAUUUAAAGGAUAUUAUAAUUAAAAAAAUUUUAAUGUCUUCAUUAAAAAUUUAAAAUUUUAUAUGACCGUUAUCUAAAUAUUUAAAGUGUAACUGUCAUUUUCUCAUAUAUAUAUAUAAUUUCAUCAACCCCUUAUACUUUAUGUUAUUUAUAUUUUAUUCAUGAAUAUUAUAAAUUUUUUGAAAUAUAAAAUUUCGUUUAACCCUUUAUACUCAAUUUUAUUUUAUUAAAACCCUAGAGUAUGAAUUCGUCCCUAUAAUAUUAAAUUCUCAAAAUAACUUCCAUUUAAUUAAAAAAUAUAAUUAUUAUUAAAUGAAUUAUAAUUAUUAUUAUUAUGUUAUUAUAAUCAUAAAAAGCGAGAUCAUAUUCCACAAAAGCAUAAGUGACAAAACAACCAACUGGAUUCUUUUAUUAAUCAACAAAUUGUAUAGUCUUUUUCAAAUUGUUAUAAAUUGGUGGCCCCUACAAUCCUCAAUAAUUGUACCGAAAUUCACAAGUUGGUGGGCCCUACAAUUCUGUUCCGAUAAUUUAACUGUGCAAGUGCUCAUUCACAAUCUUCCAGGUCAUGCUCUUAACAAUUGUUUUUUCUUUUCUGCACGCCCUUUCAUGCUCUUAAUAAUUGAAGAGCAUACUUUUCAAAUGUGAAGCCGCAUCUAAUGUCGCUAAUUUAAUUUGGGAUUAAAUUACGGGACUAUUAUAUUGCAGUGUGCACUAAUUUUUAUGUUUAUCUAAACUCUUCAAAUUUAAAACAUAUUAUGGCAUAAAUAAGAAUGUAACAAUAACAAAAGAGUAAGAAAGUGUAGAGAAAAUCUUGCAGAAAUAUAAAUAAUAUUUAUUUUUAAAAUAAUAUUAAUAUUUAAAAUAAUUUUUAAUAUUUUAUGGUCCAUUAGAUAUAUUUUAUUAUAUUAAAAUAAAUUUUAUAAUAAAUAAAAACAUACUAUUAAAAUGAAUAUAUAUAGAAAAUUUAGAGUAUUUUAAGUAUUAUAUAAAAUAAUUUUAAUAAAAUAUGUGAGAUAUUCAUAUUUUAUUAAUUUAAGAUACCAUUUAACCUAAAGAUUUAUUUAUGAUAAAUUAAUAAUUAUAUUUUUGAAAUUACUUCAAAUAUUAAAAAAAUUAAUAUUACUAAUAUAUUAGAUAGAUUAAAUUAUAUAUAUUAUUUUUACUUAUUAAAAAAAUUUUAAAAUUAUUUUUAAUUACUAUUCAAAAAACGUAUUCAAAAAACAUAAUGAUAAAAAAAUCUUAACAUCUUUAUUAAAAAAUUAAAAACUUAUAUGAUAAAUUCUCUAAAUAUUUACGGUAUAUGUGAACCACGGUGGAUAAGCUUUAUUUAAUAUUAUUGAUUUAAAUAAUAUGUCAAUUAAAAAUGUACAGAGAAGAAAUUUCGGUGGGUAUUUUAGUCUUUUAAGCAAUUAUCAUGAUCAGAUCAGCCUUUAGCCUUCAAACGUCGGUCAGAAAAGUUUUAAAAUUAAUGCUAAAUUGUUUUUCACUUUUAACGUUGGUGGCCUUGAAAUUGCUUGUAUUUUAUUAAAAAUUAAUGCUAACAAGAAAAAGCUAGGUCAUAUUCCACAAAAUCAAAAGUGACAAAACAACCAGCUGGUUUCUUUUACUAAACUACAAAUUAAAAUAAAUUUUUUCGAUAAAUUACAAAUUAAAGUGGAUUCUUUUGAAUACAAAUGGGACAGACGAUUAGGCUCUUUUUAUUAGAGGCAAGUAAAAACUAGUCAAGAAUCGAACAGUCUUUUUCCAAUUCUUGUUUUAUUAUUUUUCAAAACUAGUUUUUGGUAAUUACAACCGGGUCAUUAAUCAUUAUUCAGAGUUAUCUUCCGGGGCAGUUUCUGUUCAUCGAAUUCGUUAAUAAAAUGUUAAAACUCUUAUUGAAAGAAUGUUUUUCCGUUAUCUUUUUUAUAAUCUAAUUUUAAGUGUAAGAAGUAGUCAUUUUAGAAUUUGGGUCUUGAAUCGAAUUUCAAUGCAUGAAUUAAUAUUUAAAAAAAAUUUACUACAUGCAGUUUAGGUUACAAACUAUUUUUUGCAAAGUUGACUAUGAAAUUGGAGAAAUUAAGUAAUUUAUAAUGUUUGCAAAGAAAGAGACCAACAUACUUCCAAUUACACUAUAUCUCAAUUAUCAUAAUGUUAAGAUUAAACUAACUUAAAAUAAAAUUUAUUUAAAAAGUUUAUCAAACGCAGUCUAAUUUUAUUAACUUGAAGAGAUAAUAGUUAUAGAAAUUAUUAUUCUAACUUAAUUAGUAAAAGUGGUAUAAAGGUUAAGUGUGCACUAAAUCUAUUUAAAUUUUUUUCCAGUAUAACUAACAGAGGUCAUUACUAGAAUUAUAUUACUAGUCUAUUAGAUAGAAAAAAUUAUUUAUAUUGUUUUAUAUUUAUUAAAAAAAUUUAAAGUCAAUCUUUUUAAUUACUAUUAAAGGAUAUUAUAAUUAAAAAAANNNNNNNNNNNNNNNNNNNNNNNNNNNNNNNNNNNNNNNNNNNNNNNNNNNNNNNNNNNNNNNNNNNNNNNNNNNNNNNNNNNNNNNNNNNNNNNNNNNNNNNNNNNNNNNNNNNNNNNNNNNNNNNNNNNNNNNNNNNNNNNNNNNNNNNNNNNNNNNNNNNNNNNNNNNNNNNNNNNNNNNNNNNNNNNNNNNNNNNNNNNNNNNNNNNNNNNNNNNNNNNNNNNNNNNNNNNNNNNNNNNNNNNNNNNNNNNNNNNNNNNNNNNNNNNNNNNNNNNNNNNNNNNNNNNNNNNNNNNNNNNNNNNNNNNNNNNNNNNNNNNNNNNNNNNNNNNNNNNNNNNNNNNNNNNNNNNNNNNNNNNNNNNNNNNNNNNNNNNNNNNNNNNNNNNNNNNNNNNNNNNNNNNNNNNNNNNNNNNNNNNNNNNNNNNNNNNNNNNNNNNNNNNNAUUGUGGGCACUCUUGUUCGUGCAUGUUUGCUAGAAGAGAUGGAAGAUGAUAAAGUAAAAAUGCAUGACGUUGUUCGUGAUAUGGCUUUAUGGAUAGCUUGUGAAAUUGAGAAGGAGAAGAGAAACUUUUUGGUUUGUGCAGGUGCUCGAUUAGAAGAGGCACCGGGUGUUAAAGAAUGGGAAAAUGUGAGAAGAUUGUCAUUGAUGCAAAACCAAAUUGAAACUGUGUCAGAGAUUCCCGCAUGCCCUCAUCUCCAUACUCUAUUUCUUGCCUCUAAUAGGAAUUUCAGGAUGAUCACGGAUGGCUUCUUUCAAUUUAUGCCUUCUCUCAAAGUUUUGAAGAUGUCACGCUGUGGGCAAUUCGAAGGUUUUCAAUUACCUGUUGGGAUGUCAGAGUUGGGUUCAUCACUAGAACUUCUUGAUAUUUCACAUACCACCAUAAGAGAGUUACCCGAAGAGUUAAAGUUGCUGGUAAAUCUGAAAUGUUUGAAUUUGAGGUGGACAGGUGCGUUAAUUAGAAUUCCACGGGGACUAAUAUCAAAAUUUUCAAGGUUACGUGUGUUGAGAAUGUUGGGUACUGGCGGGUUCAUUUUUUAUGAAGCACCAGAAGACAGCGUUUUAUUUGGUGGGGGUGAAGUUUUGAUACAGGAAUUGCUCGGUUUGAAAUAUUUAGAGGUAUUGGAGUUGACCUUGGGAAGUUAUCAUGCUCUCCAAAUUCUUUUGAGCUCAAAUAAGUUAAAAAGUUGUAUUCGAUCUCUUUACCUCUAUUUGACCGGAGAUAAAAAGUCGAUUAUUGAUGCUACGGCUUUCACAGACCUAAACCACCUCAAUGAAUUAUGGAUUGAUAAUGGAAUUGAGUUGGAAGAAUUGAAGAUUGAUUAUACGGAGAUAGUACGAAAAAGGCGGGAACCUUUUGUUUUCCACAGCCUUCACCUUGUUACGAUAUAUAGUUGCCAUAAAUUGAAAGAUUCGACAUUCCUCGCUUUUGCUCCAAACCUCAAGUCUCUUUCGCUAUUCAAAUGCCGUGCUAUGGAAGAAAUAAUCAGCGUCGGAAAAAUUGCUGAGAAUCCUGAGAUGAUGGGACAUAUAAGCCCUUUUGAAAAUCUCAAAAGUCUUGAUCUAUCAUAUUUGCCGGAGUUGAAGAGCAUUUUCUGGAAGCCAUUGCCUUUCACUCAUCUCAAAGAAAUGGGGGUAAGAGCAUGUGAUCAGCUUAGAAAGCUUCCACUCGAUUCCAACAGUGCAAAAGAGCGUAAAUUUGUAAUUCGUGGAGAAGAAGACUGGUGGAACCGACUUCAAUGGGAGGAUGAAGCCACUCAAAUUGCUUUUCGUUCCUGUUUCCAACCUGAUUCCUGAGCGGUGGUCGCAAAAUUUGAUUUCUGGUGAGUGCGUUUGUCUUUUAAAAGAAGAAUUUAAAAGAAAUUUAUUCUUGACGUUUUCUUCACUGUUUUUAUUUCAGUCUCUCUCUCUCUCUUUUUGUCUUCUGCUAAUCACAAUUAAAUGUUGAAUUAAUGGAAUUAAUGCUUCAUAAAUUUGCCGGCACUGCCAUUACUUUUUUUUUUUUUAAUACAAAUUGAUACUUUAUUUAUAUCUUCUUAGCGAUUUAAUUUCCUGUCAAUUGACGAACGAGAAGAACAUAUGACUUGAACCAAUGCUCGCAUAAACUUGCUGUAAAAAGAUAUAAUCUCACUGAAAUGCACACGCCUAGAAUGAAUAGAAUUAAAACAGGGAAAAUAUUAAGUAUAUUAGCCCUCUUUACCGAAAAUCAAAUGACAAUAAAUUUUUUGAAGUUUUGAUUUUCUAUGGUCAAUUCCACCUUUUGCAAUUUCUUCUGUUCUAACAAAAACCAAUUUCUUUGUUCAAGUAUUUUCGUUUGGGUAUUAAUAAUUCUCCACCGAAAGAGUGAACUCUUGCUCAAGGGAUCUCUAAUCAAUAGCCGGAAGGGCGCCGAGACCUGAUCGGACCUAGGCCCAAGUUUGGUCUUAAAGCCUGGGCUUGAGCCUGGCAAUUAAAUUAAAACAGUAAUUGAUUUCUUGAAUGAAUUGUCGUGUAAUUGAUUUAUGGGGGAUGACACAUCAACAUACUUGAAAAUACACUAAUCUCAGCAUCAUCCGUUAAUAACUUUUAGAUUUAUGGGCAAUCAAUAGUUAAAUUAGUUGUCAUUAAUACUAAAUAAUUUUUACUUUUUUUGUCUCUUCUAGAGGAUCUUCUAGAAAAAUGCAUCCACAAUUAAAUUUAAUACUUUACAUAAUAAAGAAAGCAUAAAUGUUAAAUUUAAGAAACUGCAUUGUAUUUCAGCUGAAGUUGACUUUAAUAUUUAGGGUAGAAAAAAAUUAAAUCCUUAAUGUGUUUAAUUUCUAUCACUUGUGUCAUUAAAAUUUUCUAGUCACCCUAACCAAUUACAUCUCAACCCACUUUUUUUUGGAUGAUUUUAUUUUUACACUAUUAUUUUCAACAUUUUUUUUUCCUUUUAACACCAACAUUAGUGUAUGUUACGUAACAUAAUCCAUAUUUGGAUAAUUUGAAAUUUGUUUGUGUUUUAUCUCAAAAUAGAGCUUCAAUCAAUUUGUACCUCAUAAAUUCACAAUAUCUGGCAUAUUGUCAAAUGUGCUUAUCCUUUUGCUUGACAUGUCAUUUUAAAAUUGUCAUUCAAUGUCAAAAAAUCACAUCAACUAAUGGCCGACUACUUUAAUUUGAAAGCAUGCGUGCGAUCGCCAAUAAUUAUAACUUAAUUGUUAUAUUGAAAUUUUUUUCUUUAUAAUUUAAGUUUAAUACUGCUACAUGUGUGGCACAUAAGUUGGAAAAUAUAACAUAAAAUUUGAAAAAUGUGUAGUUUUCGUUCCUUUUUUUUCUAAAAAAAUGGGAAAAAAGAAUGUAAUUUUGUUUAAAUUACUGUUGUCAUAACAAUUAUUAUUUUAUUGAUUAAUUGGCAGAGAAUCGUAAUGGUUUCGCAUGGUUGUUAAAACAUUGGAAAGUCCACUACAUCAUCGGUUAAUAACUUUCAGAUUUAUGGUUAAUUAAUAGCUGAGAUUUAUUAUCAUUAAUGCUAAAUAUUUUUUCUCUCUCCUGGAGGAUCAUCCACAGGCAGGUGCUUCCUGACGAUGACAAAAUUUUGGGCAGGCAGGUGCUUCCUGACUUUCACACGGUAAUUCUCAAAUUCUGAUUUCACCAUAUUUUAAUUACUGAUUAGCAUAUAUUCAAGUGCUCUCCAUUAUAAUGGAAGCCGCCGCCUCACUCGUAAUUCCAAACUUUAUCUUUUUUUCCUUUUUUAAAUUAAUGCAAGUAGCCGCUGUCCUUUCUAUUAAUUAAUUAAUUCGGCCGCCCACAUUUCUUUUCCUAAUGUCUUCUACUGUCGAGUUUAUUUUAUUUUCUCUUUAUUAUUAAAAUAUACUUAUAAUAAUAAAAAAAUAAAAAUUAACAUAUCAAAAUAUAAUUUAACAGAAAAUUAAGAUAAAAAAUUAAAAAUAAAUAAAUUAUGAGCAUAUCAAUCAAUAAAUGAAAAAUAAUAAUUUUUAUUUUUAUUAAAUAUAAAUUUUUCAGUAUUAAUCAAUUAUCUGAAUAAAUAAAAUCAUUUAAAAAUAAAUAAAUAAAUUAUUCUUAAAAAAAAAAAAAAAACUUUUUAUAACACUCACUAUGCUGGUUGUAGGGUUGACGCUUUGGGUACUGAAGCUAGUAACUUCUACAAGUAGUCUUAAGUUGACUGGCAACAACUAUAUUGGCAUUUAGAAAUAAUGUACUGCAACCAUAUUGGCAUGUUCAAAUGUUCUUAUUAUUGUAUUGGUGUGUCAAUAUUAUCUCUAACGGUUUUAUAAAUAAAAAAAUAAUCUAAAUUUAUAAUUUAACAUAAAAUAAAAUAAUUGGUAGAAAAACAAUUAUGGUUCAUUUACUUAUCAGUAAUCAGAAUAGACUGAAAUCGAAAUGAGUUGUAUUACUGUUGAUGUGUUUAUGUUGUACUCGAAUCGAAAUGAAUUAUUUUAAAUUACUAAAAUAUCCUUGGUCUGUUAUUCUAAUUAUUAUUAUUAUUUAAUAUUUAUUAUAAUAUUUUUCAUAUCAUUAAAAAAAAAUAAUAAUGAUGAUAAUAUUCUCAUUAUUGUUUGUUACAUUAUUAUUAUUCAAAAAAAUUAUUGUUAAUAACAAUAAUUACUUUAUUUCAAUAAUAAUAAUGAUAAAAUUAAUAAUAAUAAACAUGACAACAACAAUAAUUAUUUAUUAUGCCAAAAAAUAACAAUAAUAAUAAGAAUAAUAAUCAUCAUCAUUUUUUUGCCAAAGAAGCAUUAUCAUCAUCAUUUCAAAAAAAAAAUCAUCAUCAUCAUCAUCAUUUUUGUAGUGGCUACCUAUCGGCUGCUGCUUUCAUGUGAGAUUGACUUGCGACGCUUCAACGGCUAUUAUUUCUGACAAUGUCAGGUGUUGCUAUUUCAAUUUAGGAAGAAGUUGUUUCGGUGUGCUAGCGAUGGGAGAUGUUGUGGCUGCGAUUCGGGGAGCUACUAGUUUAUUGCACUAAUAACGGCAGGUGCUGUUGCUUGAUGCGAGGUCCAUGGCCAGUUGUCAGCAGUUCGACUUUGGUAUGGGUGCUGCUGGUUCGAUUUUAGGUGUUGUCCAAUUUCAUUUUCAGGAUUUUAAUUUUAUUUUUCUUUUAUAUUUUCAUUAAUUAAUCAGGGUAAAAUUGGAUUUUAGAAUUUAGAAUGAAGGUAAUUUUGUUAAUAAUGGAAAUGAGAUUCUGAUUGUCGAGAAUGAGCUUACACAAACAACUAUAAAUUAAGUGAAAACAAAACACUUUUUCUCUUUGUGUGAUUAAAACAUGAUAUGUACCAUAAAUAAAUAAGUAAAAAAUAAAUCAACACAAUCUAAAACAGUAAACAAAUUACAAGAGGCACAGAUUUUUAUGUGAAACACCGAAAAUGGAAAAAACCACAGCAUCUUAGUUUGAUAUAAUCUUCUACUAUAUUAAUGGGAUUAUAGCACAAAUUCUUUCCUAUAUAACACUAGAGAUUAACAACAUCAAGAAUCUCAAUAAUCUUGACUUACAAUACAGCCUAAUAUUUGUCUCUCUAAUAAGUAGAUAUCUAAAAUAACAGUCUCUAAUAAGUAUGUAUCUAAAAUAAUAGUCAACAAGAGGAUAAAACAAAAAUUAAGAUUAGUAGGAUGUGUAUAAGGUGAUGCUAUCAAUUUAUCUUCUAAAUUUGAGAAAAAUAGUUAAAUUCACUUUUUCGAUUGUCCGACCAAAAAUGGAAACCCUUGCCCCAAAACCAAAGGAAUCACCAUUAUGUUUUUCUCUCUCUCUCUCUCUAUCUCGUUCUUUUCUUCUUCUUUUCUUAAUGUUAGCCAUCACUUGCUUUUAUUCUUUAUAGCAUUCAAAAAGCUACUUUUAAUGGUAAAUUUCAUUUAAGUCUGCAACUUAGUGAUAAUUGCACACCAAACAAUCCUUACAUAGUGUUUUGGGCCCUCAAAUGAGAUGAAUACAACAAAUCUCCCCCUUUAAAUCAUGUGGGGGGCACCGCAAGCCCGCUAUUUGCAUAUAGCUUUUCAGCUUCUCCUUGAAUAAUGACUUUGUCAUCAUACAUAAUCCAUUCUUCGUUGUGUAAAUCUUCUCAAGCUGUAACUGUUCCUUCUCAAGCUGUAAUUAUUCCUUCUCAAGCACGUCUCGUAUCUAAUGAUACCUUACAUCAAUAUGCUUAGAUUUCGAAUAGUAUAACAGCACUCUGACUAUCGUAGUACAUAACAUAGCUGUCUUGUUUUACACCCAGCUCUUGUAGGAAAUUCUUCGUCCACAAUAUUUUUUUGCAACCUUCAAUAAUUGUAAUAUCAUUUGCUUUAGUGGUAGAAAAGGCAACUUAUUACUAAAGUUUAGAUUGCGAUGAGACUGUUCCCCCUGCAAAAGUGAGCAAACAUCCUAGUAGGAAUUUUUCGGAAUCAACAGCUCCUGCCAUAUCUACACACUUGUAACACAGGUUUGUCACCACCAAAAUAUAAACAUGCUCUGGAAAUGCAUCUAAGAUAUCUGAGAAUUUUUCACUGUUGUCCAGUGCUCUUUACCGAGGUUGAAGAGAAACCACUGACUACACUAACUGUAUAGGCAAUAUUUGGUCUUGUACAAAUUAUGGCGUACAAUAAACUGCCAACUGCUGAAGCAUAAGGAACUCCUCUCAUGGAGAAAUGGGUUUUACUCUUGAGAUUUUUGGGACCAUGAAGAAUAAAGAUGUAAUUUCUUAUACUGCCAUUGUUUCGGGAUAUAUAAAUAGAGAACAAGUCGAUAUAGCUCGACAGUGUUUUGAUCAGAUGCCAGAACGAGAUUAUGUCUUAUGGACUACCAUGAUUGAUGGGUACCUUCGAGUGAAUAGGUUCAGAGAGGCUUUGACACUUUUUCAGGAGAUACAAACUUCAAAUAUAAUGGGAGACGAGUUUACCAUUGUUAGCAUUCUUACAGCUCGUGCGAAUCUGGGGGCACUAGAACUGGGAGAAUGGAUAAAGACUUAUAUUGACAAAAACAAAGUCAAGAAUGAUAUAUUUGCGGGGAAUGCUUUGAUAGACAUGUACUGUAAAUGUACUGUAAAUGCGGAGAUGUUGAGAAAGCUCAAAAGGUAUUCAGGAAGAUGCUUUGAAAGGUCAAAUUCACAUGGACGACCAUGAUUGUUGGCCUUGCCAUCAGUGGAAAUGGUGAUAAAGCUCUUGAUAUGUUUUCCCAAAUGCUCAGGGCUUCGAUCAAACCAGAUGAGGUAGCUUAUGUUGGUGUUCUGUCUGCCCGUACUCACAAUGGUAACGAAACUUUUGUGAUAAAUAGUUGCAACUUAAGGUGAGAACUGGAGGAAGGGAAAUAGAUUGAAGUUGUUCAAUCAUCAGUAGUUGCUACUUGGUUUUAAGUUGUUCAAUCAUCGGUCGUCUCUAUUUGGUUUUCUCCAAUAUCUCAUCUUCAAUUUUGACUCAGAUUGUAUCUUACCACUAGUAAUUACAUAGACUUGCUGCCAAAGGUAAGAAUGGGAAUAAAUUAAAUAGAUUAUGUCGAAAACGAAAUAAAUUUACUAUUGUUCUGUUCAUUCUAUUUGUUUCCUACAAAAUAUUUCUCCUGCCUAAAAUUUUUUGAAUCAGUAAGUUUUUACCUUAUGGAUGAAUUGUGUUGAGAGUAAUUCCAUUUCUCAGUCUCUUUAUGUUUCAAUGAAGACGUAAAACUUGUGUUCUAGUGCACCAACGUUUAUGCUUCUUACAAUUUGACUUUAAUUUACUUUGUAAAAUUUUUGUCAAAAAGUACUAAAAAGUAGUGCACCAAACACCAACUUUAUUACAGAGAGGACUUUAGUUAAAUUUUAAGAAAACACUCAAAAGAAAGAGUUGUAAAUUAUUAUAAAAAUAUUUCACAUAAAUAAAAGCCAUCCCAUGCUGCAAAGAUCUUGCUAUAAUCACCAAAAACUAUCGGGAGCUUUUAGGGUUUCCAUAAAAAUGCCAUUUCGUUCCAUGUAUAUGAUUCUAUAGUCUCACUGGCAAGUAAACCACAGCCCAACAGCACUGACUGUCCAUGAUGAUUCACCCCAAUGAACGAAACCAGCGUUGCAUCAUAUCUUUCUGUCAAGCAUGUAAUAUCAAUUGAUUUGAGCUAUUAACAUCAUUUCCAAAUACUCCAUUGGCAUCUACAUUACCAUUUCCCUCGGCAUCAAUGAUAAGAGUUCGAAACAGUCUAAUCUUUUGAACUUCUUCAGCACCAUCUAAGAGCAAUGUUCUUUUGGUUCCAAUACCCAUGUGCUUAUGAUAUUUGUAAAAUAAUUAUUUGUAAAAUAAUUAGUUCAAUUUUGACAUAAUACGGAAUAAACACAACCUGCCAAUCUAAGUUACUAUCUUUUCCCGUCAUCAGGUACCUGUUUGAAAAAUAAUUAUAUACAAUUUUAUUUGCGUCGUCCCUCUAAAAAUUUGGGACUCAAAUGUUAUUUCUAAUUGCUAAAAGUACGAAAUUGCCCCCUUUCUCUUCAGCUAAAGGAGUGCAAAGUCAUCUGUAUAAUUGAAUCUGCAUCAUCAGUUUCUAUUGCUGGCUGGUGUUACUGCAUGCUUACAGUUGCUUGACAAAGUGAGCCAGUUUUUUGUUUAUUAAUUUUUUUUCUUGUCGAGACAGUCACAAAGUAUUACUUGUUCUAUUUGAGAAUGAUGUGAAUCAAUUUUUCAAUUAUGCAUUCUGUGGUAAUUAUUGUGAAUUUAGUUUCAUUUGUCUUGUCUCCUGCAAAUUUUGAAGAAAAUGCAGACAUACAAAUUUACAAUAUGUAUUUGCGUUAGUAUAAAAACAAUUGUUAGAUGAUUAAAGCGAUUUAUUUUUUUUUUUACAGCAUUUGAUUGUAUUAGUUAAAAUCAUUUUUUAAGGAUAAAAAUAAAUAGAAAAUUAUUCUCAUGUAGUGUGGAAAUCUUUUCUAAUUUCUUGUUGACUUGUACAUUUAUUUCAGAAUUUCCAUUCAUUAAUUCUACUGUUUUAAUCUUUGACUUAGCUACCGUAGUUGACUUUUUAUAUCAAAGGCUUAAACAGCAUGCAUUUUUGAAUUGACUGAGAAUAAUUUGGUGGACAAAUUACUAGUAAAGGACUUCAAAUGGUUGAAUUGACUGUGGGUUUUUCAUGCCCAAGUCACUCGUCACGUCGUUUCAUCGAAACAAAGUGCCCGGUGCAAAUGGUGUGAUGUAAAACACCUUUUUAAAUUGUCAUUUUUUUUCCUUUGCUUUUGCUUUAAUUUUCUAAAUGCUCAACGCCAUAAAUCCAUGUAUUCUUAAUUUUCGUUUGCUGUAUUGAUUCCCAACCCUCUAUGUCACAAGGUUUUGAAUGCCAGUAAUUAAGUUAAAUUAAACAUAUUUUAAGUCCUACUUUAAAUUAUUGAAAAAUGUAUUAUGGUUGAACUGAAUUUUAACUAAAAAAUAUAUACAAAAUAAAAGAUUAAUCAUAUCUUUUUAUGAGGAAGGUCAGUCAUCAUUCUGACCACAGACACUUAAAAUUAAUUGAGUGGAAUAUUGCAAAAUAUAUAUAAACCAUGCCAAAACUAGAUGUUUGAGUAAUGAAAACGAGAAUUCAUAUGACUCAGAAAUAUGGUCGCUUUCCUUUUUCUGAAAGGCAAAAAAAAAGGGGGAACCAAAAAGGACCAAAAUGAACAAAAAUGGAAGGCGAAGGUAAGCAGACAUGUUAUAUGUUUUACCUAAGAUGCCAAAUGCAACUCCCCAUUGAUGGUGAUCGAACAUUAUGGCCAUUUUCUUAGUAAACAAAAAAUGAAUUUUGAACACUCAACAACGAAACUUGAGCAGAAGAUCAAGCAAGGGCCUCGAUCUCAAAGAAGAUACUAUGAAACCCUACUUAAUGGUUAAAUAACUUUCAUUCAGCUUUGGACCCUAUUUCGUGAUACGGAAAGACAAACCUUUCUUGGCCGGCAGUGUCCCAGAUCUGGGCUUUGAUGAUCUAGAGGUUGAUGGUGACAGUUCUGGUUUGGAACUCGACGCCAAUGGUUUAUUUCGAUUCAAAGCAAAACUCAUUCUUGGUGAAUCUCGAAAGAAUCUGAGACUUGCCCACGGCCGAGUCACCGAUCACCACUACCUUGAAUACAUAGUCUAUUUUGUCAGGAAUCAUAUUCUCUCGUUGUUGAUGACGAUGAUCGGUGCCAUCACCACUCAUUUCUUCGUUCAUUCAUUCUAUGUCCAUUGAUCUUUUUGAAUUAUUGAAGACAAGUGGCUCACCGCUUUUAGUAUUGGUAAAAUUCAGAUAAUCUCUAUUCCGAAAUAAUAAUAUUAAAAAUAUCUCUUAAAUCAUUAUAAACUUCAAAUCUAUUUUAAUUUUAUUUAAAAGAUAAAAGAAAAAUAAGUUAUGUUGGUGAUUUUUUAUUAUCUUUUUAAUAAAAAUAGAAUAAAUUGAUGUUUAUAAUUAUUUAAAGUAUUUUAAAGAUUGCUAUUUUAUGAGAGAAUAAUAUUUCAUUUUUUUUUUCGUGUGAAAGACCGAAAAAGGACAAAGCAAGUUUCCCUAAUUUUUAUUUUAUGUGAAAUUGGUCAUCUCAUAUACUUUACCCUUCAACACUCUAAUUUUUUUGGUUAUAAUUUUAUUAUUUUUUCUCUUUUACACAUGCAUGUGAAUUACUUUUCUUUAAGCUCCUGAAUAUUUAAGACAAAUCAUGGAAGAGAUGAGAGUAUAACAAGAUGAUCAAAAUAUGUAACAAAAAAAUUUUAGAAGUGAAAAAUAUGUUAGAGUCGAAGUAAAACUCUGAGGUGAUGUUUGAUUUGAAGAAAAUGGAGGAGAGAAAAAGAGUGGAAUGGAGAGGAAAAGAGAGAAAAGGAGAGGAGAGGAGAGGAGAGUGAACUUUUUUUCUAAUGUUUGGUUUGUCACAUAAAUAUACAAAGAAAGGAAAUCUCCAAUUUUUUAUUUAGACAAUUUUAACCUUAAUAAGUAUUAAGCUUUCAAUAUUUAUCAUGUGUAUAAUUUAAAAAAAGUAAAUGGUAGAAAGCGGUUUCUGAUUCCGGCCACAUCGCCGGCAAUGGAAGGUACUUAUCAGAACAUCAAGAACCGGCCAUCAUUCCCUAGCCAUCACUGCUGUAGGAACACUGCUAAAAAGCUGCCGAUUGAACCGCGAAAAGUCGUGGAAAUCGUUGCCUCAAAUCGGUGAGUUUCGCCUUUUUCUGGUCAUGCCGUCGCCUUGGCUUUGUCCAUCAACGCUGCCACUUCCAUUUCAACCAUCCAUAGCCACUAUUAACCGCCAAAUCGCCGCCGAUCAGCGGGAUCUGUGGAAGUUAAAAAGUUUCUAAAAUUUUUUAAUUGGAUUUGAACAACAUACAACCAUUUUUUGAUCUCAAUAACGACAUAGUAAUGUUGAUCGUUGGUCGGCAAGUCGAAUGGUAGUGGCGGUGAGUAACACGCGCCAAUGACAUCGGCGGCGGCGGCGGCACUAUCCGGCUACUGUUAAAAUUAAUAUUUUAUAUUUGUAGAUUAAAUAAAUUUAUUUUAUUAAACUUUUUAAAUCAUUAUUUAAAUUUAAUUAAUUUAAAAUUAUCUAUGAUGUUGAAUUGAUAAAAUAAAUUUAUAAAUAAUAAUUAUGUGAUUACAUUAAAUAAGUUAAAAAGUUGAAGGGUUAUUUUUGGAAGAUUUAGUUUCCAACACAAAGGGAAUUUGAAUUCUUCACUUCUUAGUGUGGAAUUCAAAUUCUAUAUUGUAAUGGAUAUUAAAUUCCAAUAGAAAUUAAAUUCUUAUAAGUUAUGUCAAACCAAACAACGGAAAUAAAAAAAAAGAAUUUAAAUUACUUUCCUUUCCUCCACCCUCUCCUUCCAACCAAAUACAUCCUGAAAAUAGAGAUAUUGAUUAAUUUAGAAGAGAUGCAAGCAAAAGAUAUUCCACAAAAAAAAAAAAGCAAUAUGUCCCUUUGGAGGGCAAACUUGUCAGUUUUAAAAAAGUACAUGCUUUGGAUUGAUAGUUGUAGGAUAUUUGUUUUGUCACUAUGUGUUAGUUGGAGAAGUCAAGCCUUGUGAAGAAUGUUAUGAAAGAGCAAAGGAUAUUCCUGAUAGCUGAUAGAGCUCUAUUUGAUUAUGUAUCCAAUGAAUGGAUGUGUUGUUGGAAGAUAUUUGAGUGCAUUAGUUCAUAUGUGUCUAUCAAUGUGAUUUUAAUGAUUUUUCCACUUGUUUGUUGUAAAAGAUUAUUGUAAAUUGAAAUGAACUUGAUGUUGUAAUAUUUUCUCCUUAGUAGAAUUUCACCUAGUAUGUAUUUAGUUGUGUUGUCUAUAAUUUUGCAUUCGAAUAAGUUUCACCUAAAAUAUUAGCAUGAGUAGUGGCCCUUGAAACUUUGGUCAAAAUUAUUGUUAUUAUUUCCGACUAGAUGUAAAUUUUUUAUUAAAUCUCGCUAACACAAUUCUUAAUUAAAAGUAUAGGUUAGUGUUGGUGCAAGACUUGCCACACCAAAUUCUGCCUAACUGUCAAAAGUGCAAAAUAAAUGAAGAGAAAGCACAAAUACACGACUUGAAUAAGGAUACAACGAAACUUAAAUUCAAGAGAAAAUGAUAGCUAUAUCUCAAGAUUUGAAAAAACGGUCAUGUAGAUUUUUAAGAUUUCAAUAAGCGACUGAGAUUCAAAUAAUAUCCUUUAAUUCUAUUAACAAAAAACAAAGACUCAAAUAUUUUAUGAUAAAUAAAAAUAUAAUAUUAAAAUAUAUGUGAUAAUAUACACAUUUUAAAUACUUUCAAUCCAAAAAAAUAGUUAUGUUUUACAAUCUAUUAGACAUAUUUUAUUAAAUUAAUAUAAAUUUUCUAUAAAAUAAGAAUAUAAUAUUAAAAUAAAUUCACAAAAAUUUAAAGAAUUUUGAAUGUAAAAUAAUUUUAAUAUAUCAAUACGUGAGUUUUUUUAUUAAUAUAAAAUUUAUUUAACUUUAAGAUUUUUUAAAAUCUUUACAAUAAGUAUAACUAUAUUAUUUACAUUUAAAAAUAUUUAAAUAUUAUUAACCUACAAUUAUAUUUGCAUUUGUUAGAAAUUUUUUAAGUCAAAUAUUUUGCACUUCUAUAUUAUUAGAAUUAUUGCACAAAAAGAAAGAAACAUACACCUUUAGAAAUUGUUUUCUUUUAAAAUAGAGAUGAUGAUUAGUAUAAGGAUGAAAAAAAGGAUAAAGAAUAUUAAUGAUUAACGAAAUCUCUAUACAAAUUGAUUUUAGUAGGAAAAGAGUGAGAUGAAUGAUUUCUUUUACAGUUAGAAACAUAGAUGAUGAUUAUUAUAACGAAGAAAAAAAGAUAAAGAAUAUUAAUUAUUAAUGGAAUCUCUAUACAAAUUGAUUUUAGUAGGAAAAAAAUGAUUAAAUGAUUUAGAGUGCGUUUGGAAUUGAGAUUGGGCAGCCAUAGAUUUUAAGUUACAACACUGAAGUGUUUAGUAAAUACUAGUUGCUGCAGAUUGAAAGUUAUGUUGAUAUGAUUUUUCACAUGUAUCAUAGAAAAUAUAUUACAUCUUUAAUAUUUUUUAAAAAUUUAUAUUUGCUAUAUAUUAUUAAUUUUUUUUUAUAGUUAUAACUUUUUUUCCACAACAGUUGUAGCUUAAAAGUCACAGCACCUCAAUCUCAAACAAAUCCUUAGACAUUCAUAGUGUGUUUAUUUUUUGGAUUGGUGAAUCAAAAUUAUUGACAACGCUAACUUCAUCUUCACUGUUCGCAAUCCAACAGCAGCAAUUGUCGCCAAUAAUGAUAUCUCCAAUGAUGAUGACAAUUAUUAUUAUUAUUUUUAUUAUUAUUAUUAUUAUUAUUAUUAUUAUUAUUAAUUAAUUAAUUAAUUAAUUAAUUAAUUAAUUAAUAUAUUAAUGUUGAUAUUAUUAUUAUUAAGAUUAACAAUAAUUAUUAGUAAUACAAUUUUUUGAAUAAAAAUAAUCACAAUAAUUAAAAUACAAAUUAAUAAUUAUGACAAUAAUUAAUUAAUGUCUUUUUAGUAAUUUGUAAUAAUCUAACUCAUUUUGGUUCUGAUUAUUACAGCUUAAGUAAACAAAUUAUUAUGAUUCCUAUUCUCCUUUCCCAUUUUAACUCACUUUGAUUCCAGUCUAUUCCGAUUUCUAUUUAAUAAAUGCACCAUUAGUGCUAAAGUAAUAUUUCAUACAUAGAAAAAUAAAAACUACGCCUAAGGUUAAGGGAAAAGACUUCAAAAUUCUCUUUUGAUCAUAAUACAUUUUGUCCUAAUUAACUUAAAGAUUUUGAAUCUAAUAUUUUAUAAUAAAUAAAAAUAUAUUCCUAAAAUAAAUAUAAUAUCAAUAUUUAAAAUAUGUUUUAAUAUUUUACAAUCUAUCAUACACAUUUUAUUAUAUUAAAGUAGAUUUAUAAUAAAUAUAUAAAAAUUUAGAAUAUUUAGAAUAUUAUAUAAAAUAAUUUUAAUAUAAUGCGUGAUAUAUAUUUUAUUAAUUUAAAAUGUCAUUUUACCUAAAAAAUAUGAUAAAUUAAUAAUUACAUAUUUGAAGUUAUUUCAAAUAUUAAAAAAAUUUAAUAUUAUUAAUCUUUUAGAUAGAUUAAAUUAUUUUUUAUAAGAGAGAUUAAAUUAUUUUAAAAUGCCUUAAUUGUUUUUACUUUUAACGUUACGGGCCUUUCUUUUAUUUUAUUGCAAAUUAAUGCUAACUAGAAAAACAAAAACAAAAGUGACAAACACAACCAGCUGGAAUCUUUUAUAAAACUACAAAUUAAAAUGGAUUUUUUUUUUUUGUUGAUAAAUUACACAUGAAAGUGGAUUCUUUUGAAUAUAAGUGGGGUAGGCUCUUUUAUUUUUUUUUUAAUACCGUAUAACAGGACUGUAGACUCUUUUAUUAAGCACAAAUAUAGAGUUGUCGAGACAAUUAGGGUCUUUUAUUAAACUACAAAUUGUAUAGUCUUUUUUAAAUUGUUCAGAUAUUUAUAAAUUGGUGGCCCCUACAAUCCUCAAUAAUUGUACCGAUAUUCACAAGCUGGUGGCCCCUACAAUCCUUAAUAAUUGUUUUUUUUUUUUUCUGCAUUCCCUUUCAUGCUCUUAAUAAUUAAAGAGCAUACUUUUCAAAUGUGGAGCCGCGGCUAAUGUCGCUAAUUUAAUUUGGGAUUAAAUUAGGGGACUAUUAUAUUGCAGUGUGCACUAAUUUUUAUGUUUAUCUAAACUCCUUAAAUUUAAGAUAUAUUAUGGCAUAAAUAAGAAUAUAACAAUAGCAAAAGAGUUAGAAAGUGUAGAGAAGAUCUUGCAGAAAUAUAAAUAAUAUUUAUUUUAAAAUAAUAUCAAUAUUUAAAAUAAUUUUUAUUAUUUUAUGAUCCAUUAGAUAUAUUUUAUUAUAUUAAAGUAAAUUUUAUAAUAAAUAAAAACAUACUAUUAAAAUGAAUAUAUAGAAAAUUUAGAGUAUUUUAAGUAUUAUAUAAAAUAAUUUUAAUAAAAUAUGUGAGAUAUUCAUAUUUUAUUAAUUUAAAAUACCAUUUAACCUAAAGAUUUAUUUAUGAUAAAUUAAUAAUUAUAUUUUUGAAAUUACUUCAAAUAUUAAAAAAAUUAAUAUUACUAAUCUAUUAGAUAGAUUAAAUUAUAUAUAUUAUUUUCUAUUUAUUAAAAAAUUUCAAAUUAUUUUUAAUUACUAUUCAAAAAAUAUGAUGAUAAAAAAAUCUUAACAUCUUUAUUAAAAAAUUAAAAACUUACAUGAUCAAUUCUCUAAAUAUUUAGGGUAUAUGUGAACCACGGUGGACAGAGGUCAUUACUAAAAUUUCUCUUCCACAGGCAAUUACAGCAGCUCCAGUUUAUCAAACUCAACCAAUUUUCUUUCUUAACAAAAUUCCAAAGAUGUGUAGCUUUUUUCAGAUCACAUGCGAUGGUGCUUUUUUCAAUCGUUGCUUGGAUUGCUUUCUUGGAAAAGCAGCAUACAUACGUAACCUCCAAGAUAAUCUUGAUGCCUUGGACACUGAACUGGGAAGACUAAUCGCAGCAAAGAACGAUGUGAUGAUUAGGGUUGUCAAUGCUGAACGGCAAUAAAUGAGAAGGCUGGACGGAGUGCAAGUGUGGGUUUCGAGUGUGGAUGCUGUUAAAACUGGAGCCGAUGAACUUAUCACAGACGGCUCUGAAGAAAUUGGCAAAUUAUGUGUUGGAGGCUACUGUUCCAAGAACUGCAGGUCAAGCUACAAAUUCGGAAAACAAGUGGCUAGAAAGCUACGAGAUGUGGAGACUUUAAUCGCCGAAGGAGUUUUUGAGGCGGUGGCUACUGAGGUGGUGCCUGAGAGAGCUCCAGAGCCUGUAGCAGAUGAAAGACCUACCGAGCGAAAAGUAGUAGGCUUGCAAUCACAACUUGAACAAGUCUGGACGUGUCUUGUGGAAGAAUCAGCGGGAAUCAUUGGCCUAUACGGUAUGGGCGGUGUUGGUAAAACCACACUAUUGACCCAUAUCAACAAUAAAUUUCUCGAGAGUCCAACCAACUUUGAUUGUGUGAUUUGGGUAGUAGUUUCAAAAGACCUGCGACUUGAAAAACUUCAAGAAGAUAUUGGGAAAAAGAUAGGUUUGGUUGGUGAUUCAUGGAAGAGUAGAAGUGCAGAGGAGAAAGCUCUCGACAUCUUCCGGAGUCUAAGAGGGAAGAGAAUUGUAUUGUUGUUAGAUGAUAUAUGGGAGCGGGUUGAUUUAACAAAAGUGGGCGUUCCACUUCCUGGACCACAAAAUACUACCUCAAAAGUCGUAUUCACAACNNNNNNNNNNNNNNNNNNNNNNNNNNNNNNNNNNNNNNNNNNNNNNNNNNNNNNNNNNNNNNNNNNNNNNNNNNNNNNNNNNNNNNNNNNNNNNNNNNNNNNNNNNNNNNNNNNNNNNNNNNNNNNNNNNNNNNNNNNNNNNNNNNNNNNNNNNNNNNNNNNNNNNNNNNNNNNNNNNNNNNNNNNNNNNNNNNNNNNNNNNNNNNNNNNNNNNNNNNNNNNNNNNNNNNNNNNNNNNNNNNNNNNNNNNNNNNNNNNNNNNNNNNNNNNNNNNNNNNNNNNNNNNNNNNNNNNNNNNNNNNNNNNNNNNNNNNNNNNNNNNNNNNNNNNNNNNNNNNNNNNNNNNNNNNNNNNNNNNNNNNNNNNNNNNNNNNNNNNNNNNNNNNNNNNNNNNNNNNNNNNNNNNNNNNNNNNNNNNNNNNNNNNNNNNNNNNNNNNNNNNNNNNNNNNNNNNNNNNNNNNNNCAGGAAGUCCUAGUGCGUGCUAUCAGAAAAGAUGCUGGGAACUGUUUCGCGAAAAUGUUGGGGAAGAAACUCUUGAGAGUGAUCAUGAGAUCGUUGAGCUAGCCCAAACUGUGGCCAAAGAGUGUGGUGGUUUGCCACUCGCACUUAUUACUAUUGGUCGAGCUAUGGCCUACAGAAAGAAAGCGGAGCAGUGGAGACGUGCAAUUGAAGAGUUAAGAAGAUCAGCUUCAGAGUUUGCAGGUUUGGGAAAAGAGGUGUAUCCUCUUUUAAAGUUUAGCUAUGAUAGUUUGCAGAAUGAUACAAUUAGAUCUUGUUUCUUGUAUUGUUGUUUAUAUUCUGAAGAUUAUGGCAUUCUUAAAUGGGACUUGAUUGAUUGUUGGAUUGGUGAGGGAUUUUUGGGGGAAUCUGACAGGUUUGGUGCAGAAAACCAAGGAUAUGACAUUUUGGACACUCUUGUUCGUGCAUGUUUAUUAGAAGAGGUGGAAGAAGAUGAAGUAAAAAUGCAUGACGUUAUUCGUGAUAUGGCUAUAUGGAUAACCAGUGAAAUUGAGAAGGAGAAGAGAAACUUUUUGGUUUGUGCAGGUGCUGGAUUAGAAGAGGCACCGGAUGUUAAAGAAUGGGAAAAUGUGAGAAGAUUGUCAUUGAUGCAAAACCAAAUUGAAACUCUGUUUGGGGUUCCCACAUGCCCUCAUCUCAUCACUUUAUUUAUUGACUUUAAUAGGGAGUUGAAGACUAUCGCGGAUGGCUUCUUCCGAUGUGUGCCUUCUCUCAAAGUUUUGAAGAUGUCAAACUGUGGAAAGCCUUAGAAAGGUUUGGAAUUACCUUUGGGGAUGUCAAAGUUGGGUUCACUACAACUUCUUGAUAUUUCACACACCUGCAUACAAGAAUUACCACAAGAAUUAAAGUUGUUGGUAAAUCUGAAAUGUUUGAAUUUGAGGCGGACAAUUUGGUUAAAUAAAAUUUCAUGGCAACUAAUAUCAAAAUUUUCAAGGUUACGUGUGUUGAGAAUGUUCGCUACUGGCUGGUUCAGUUUUCAUGAAGCACCAGAAGACAGCGUUUUAUUUGGUGGGGGUGAAGUUUUGAUACAGGAAUUGCUCGGUUUGAAAUAUUUAGAGGUAUUGGAGUUGACCUUGGGAAGUUAUCAUGCUCUCCAAAUUCUUUUGAGCUCAAAUAAGUUAAAAAGUUGUAUUCGAUCUCUUUUCCUACAGUUGUUCAGAGAUACAACGUCGAUUAUUGAUGCUACGGCUUUCGCAGAUCUAAACCACCUCAAUCAAUUAUGUAUUAGUAACGGUUCUGAGUUGGAAGAAUUGAAGAUUGAUUAUACGGAGAUAGUACGAAAAAGGCGGGAACCUUUUGUUUUCCGCAGCCUUCAACGUGUUACCAUAGAGGAGUGCCAUAAAUUGAAAGAUUUGACAUUCCUCGUUUUUGCUCCAAACCUCAAGUCUCUUUCGCUAUACGAUUGCGGUGCUAUGGAAGAAAUAAUCAGCGUCGGAAAAUUUGCUGAGACUCCUGAGAUGAUGGGACAUAUAAGCCCUUUUGAAAAUCUCCAAAUGCUUUAUUUAAUGGCAUUGCCGGAGUUGAAGAGCGUCUACUGGAAGCCAUUGCCUUUCACUCAUCUGAAAGAAAUGGAGGUACUUGGGUGUGAUCAGCUUAAAAAGCUUCCACUCGAUUCCAACAGUGCAAAAGAGCGUAAAUUUGUAAUUCUUGGAGACACACAGUGGUGGAACCGUCUUCAAUGGGAGGAUGAAGCCACUCAAAUUGCUUUUCGUUCCUAUUUCCAAACCUGAUUCCUGAGCGGUGGUCGCAAAAUUUGAUUUCUGGUGAGUGCGUUUGUCUUUUAAAAGAAGAAUUUAAAAGAAAUUUAUUCUUGUCGUUUUCUUCUCUGUUUUUAUUUCAGUUUGUUUCUCUCUCUCUCUUUUUGUCUUCUGCAAAUCACAAUUAAAUGUUGAAUUAAUGGAAUUAAUGCUUCAUAAAUUUGCCGGCACUGCCAGUACUUUUUUUUUUUUUUAAUACGAAUUGAUGCUUUAUUUAUUUCUUCUUAGCGAUUUAAUUUCCUGUCAAAAGACGAGCGAGAAGAACAUAUGACUUAAACCAAUUGAUACUUUAUUUAUGUGCAUUGUAUGUAAUAAAAUUUUCUCUGUUUUUUUCAAAUUGAGGCUUUAUUUAUAUUUUCUUCGUGAAGAGUGAUUUAAUUUCCUGCCAAAAGACAAACGAGAAGAACAUUAGAGUCAAACUAAUGCUCACAUAAAUUUCCCGUAAGAAUAUAUAUAUAAUUAGACUGGAAUGCACACCUCUAGAUUGAACAGAAUUAAAGCUGAGAAAAUAUUGAGUAUAGUAGCCCUCUUUACAGAAAAUGACGCGAAAGUUAAUUUAGAAAGAUAUAUUCUUGAUUAAUCCAUUUUCUGAAGUUUUUUAUUUUGUAUGGUCAAUUAUACCUUCAUACUAAAAAAAAAAAAAAAAAAGAGAAAAUAUGUAAUCCAUGAAUGGUUAAUUUUGUUUGUUUGUUUUUUUUUCUUAAAUAUCAUUCUUUUUCGGCCACCCAAGGACAUUUUCACAAAUACCUUUUGUGUGCAGAAGUCUUCCAAACCAUCAAUGGAAAAAUAAAAAAUAAAAAAAACACGGUCCAGUAUACCUCAAAAUAUCAUUGAUGACUUUUCUGGUCUAAUGCUAUGUAAAUAGUAUGUUAAGUAAAACAUAAUCAGUUCAGUACCUCACAAAUAAUUCGCAAUAUCUACAAAAUACUAUAAUGGCUACAAAACAAAUCCUGCUUGCAAAUUGUCAAGGAUACCUAUCCGUUCGCUUGACAAGUCAUUUGAAUAAAUAUUGUUCACAUUCCUUACUCUGUCAAUUAUCCAAAGCACCAUCAACUUUAGUUUGAAUAGUAUACAUGCCAUCACCGUUACCAAGAAUCAAGCAUGGAAGGGUCAUUCUAUAGAGUGCAGAACAUGACUCUAUGCGGUAGUCAAUUUGACACACGACGAACACCAUAUGCUGCAUAACAUACAAAUUAAUUUCCCAUAUGUGAUGCAAUUUUCUCCUCAACAUAUGCGCAAUUCUUUCCAUUCCGGCAUUUACACUCAAAUUUUCCUUCCUUUCUCUUUGUGGUUGAAUCUUACACCACAACUCAUGUGAUGCAAUCUCCUCUCGCUGCCUAAAUUGCACUCUCAGCAAAGCAGCAUAUGUAAGCAAGCUUGAAGAUAAUCUUGCUGCUCUGCAGAAGAACGGCAAAAGUUAAUCGAAGCAAGGAAUGAUGUAUCAGAAAAUAUUUGGUGGAGAAUUCAGCACAAACAUAUUUCGGAUGAUCAGAAUCAAUAAAACCUGGUGGUUGUGCCAUAUAAACAUCUUUGGAAAGCUGACCUUGAAGAAAGGCGUUAUUGAUAUCCAAUUGAUGAAGAGGCCAGCCAUGACUAACAUCAAUACUAAGAACAAGCCGUACUGUGGUGGACUUAACAACUGGACUGAAAGUGUCAUAAUAGUCCACACCAGGCCAUUGAUUGAACCCUUUGGCAACAAGAUGAGCUUUAAACCUGUCAACAGAACCGUUGGAAUGUCUUUUAAUACAAAAAUCCAUUUGCAGCCAACAAUAUUGGAAGGGAUGGGAGGUGGAACAAGCUUCCAUGUCCCGUUACGAACAAGAGCAUCAUACUCUUCUGACAUAGCUGGACGCCAGUGAAGAUUUUUGAUAGCUUGCGUCACAGUUGUAGGUUCACAAUCAGAAGAAGGGCUAAAAUGAGCACGGAGGUUAAGUUUUUGUAACGGCUUGUGAAUCUUAUUUUUAGCUCGGGUAGUCAUAUCAUGAUGACUUGUGGGGCAAUGAUCUAGUGGAGUUUAGGAAGAUGAUUGAACAGGAAGUGAAGAAGUGCUUUGUGUAGAGGUAGAAGUAGGUUGGGAGGAUUGCUGCGGAGAUGUUACCGGUAGAGAAGAAGGAGCAGUACACGGUGGCAACUCCAGAGGGCCCACAAUAGAUGGAGUAGGUGCCGACAAUGGAGUACUAGGAAAUGAAACAGGAAGAAUUGGUGGAACACUUGCAUAAUUAGGAGUGGUAGAUGAGCUUGUAAUGAUUUGCAUGGAAAAACAAACUCUACAAAUUUAACGUGACGUGAAAUAAAAAUUUGAAAGGUGGAUGGGUCAAAACAUAAAUAAGCACUUUGAGAUAAAGGAAUAUCCUAGAAAAACACAAGGCUUAGAGGGUGGUUCGAGUUUAUGUGAUGAAACACAAACAUUCAAAAAAUUUUAAGUUUAUAUUAAUUAGGAGUGGUACCAAAAAUUAAUUAGCUAUGGGGUUGUUGGAUGUGUUUUGGAUAUUUACAGUUAAGUUUGAGUAUCUCAACUUAAAAUUUGUAGUUUUCACUUGAAAAAAUUCAGUUAAAUUUUGCAAUGCAGACUGAUUGAUUUAUCAGUUUAACGUGUGCCAGGAAUGAAGAACUGGAAUAUCACCGUCAAGCAAGCACCCUGUGGAGCAAUACCAAAGAAUGCACAAUCUGGCUUUGCUAGGUAACACUGGAGGCUUUUUGAAAAGUGCUUCACGCUCACUUGCACAGAUUGAGCAUCCCCUCUGGAUAUUGCCCUCUCUGAUCGAGUCUGAGCACUCAAAUUUUGGUCCUCAGAGGGAGCUACAGUUUUCUCUCCACUAACCAACAAUAUUCUAAACUCAGCACCUAGUGUGAUCAGAGUUGUUGAUAUUUGCAAAUGGAGAUCCCCAUAUUUGCAAAUGGAGACAUUUAACAAAUCACCAACAUGCUUCAUCCGGUCCACGAAAUUCUGCAACUGAUGCAAAUCUGGAACCUGAACCAGAGUCGGAGGUAUAUCUUGAGCCAUAUCUAAAGCAGUUUGAAGUUCAAGACCUUGAGCCCUUGACAAUGGUUUUGAAAUUGGAACAUCUUGGAUUACUGCAGACUUGUACCCCUUGGUUUCAAAGGUAAGGAAAGGCAUUGCUUGAGUACAAUUUGGAGGCAGCUUCUUCACCAAUUUUAUUUGGAGGCGAUUGGCAGCGGAUCCAGCUGCACCAAUUUCAGAGCAACUACUGACACUACUUCGAACAGCACACUGAAGAAGUGAUAUGUCUACGGCGAAGGCAAUGCAGUCCUCAUUUUGGCUUGAGACACAGUAAUCAUCGAAGAGAGUUUCCUUGUGAAACUGGGCAACACAUUGAAUCCCUUCGGCACUGAGAAGGUUGUGGAGGAAGUAAGCUUUCUCUCUAGUAAGGAAGAGGUGGCAUACAUUCCCCAUUUUGUCUAGGGCAGGUAGGAAUCUUUUUUCUAAGAGAUUUACUUCAUUCUCUGUGAGAAAUGCUUUGAACUUCAUCCCUCUGUCUCUAUCCUCACUUAUCAGUAAAAUAGUUGAAAGCGCUACAAGGAGAGAAAAGAAGAGUAUUAAGAUAUAUAUAUUAUAUAGACAAGAAAAACAUUAGAUGUCGAUCUUACAAGCUAAUACUUCAAACAAUAUCCUAGAAAGCUAAAAACUGCAAGAUGGCUUGAAAUUUGAAAAGAGCACGUGCUUUUCCUCCUUAACUUGAGAAAAUGUUUAAUAUAGUGCACCUUACAGAAGCAUUUAAGCAAUUAGAACUUUGCACAAAAACAUCAAGAAGACUAAACAAGUCAGAUGCAGUGUAUUUGUCCAAGCACAAAUUGCAUUUUGUCCUCAACUUUAAUAUUUAUUGAUGAGAAUCAAUACAGGUCCCUCAUUUGUUAUAGAAAGCUUUCUUGUAGUCUCACCAGUUAAUAUGGAUAUUAGAUAAGGAAACUUUAUUAGGUUGCGAGGGUAAAAAAGGAAAGAGAUAUCAUUAUUUUAUUAUCGAUAAUUAUUAAAUUUUUUUCCAAAAAAAAGAACAAGCAAGGAUAUUUUAUUGUCAAUUGCAACCUUUAAUUUUUUUAAAUGCUAUUAGAAACACAAGAUAACAAAAAUGUAGUGAGAUGGGAUCUCCUGCAUGCCACUCUGGUUUAGAACACAAAGAAUGUGUCUGCAUAAAUAUCCUCUGAAAUUGAACAACCCACAAACACAAAGCACCUCCAAGUCGGAGGCAUUGUACAAAACAUCAAAAGCCCUUGAAUCCUUCUCGUUGCCACCAACCUCGAAUUCUUCCUUCACUAUGUAUGUUAUAGGUCCAUCAGAACUAAUAUGUUUUGUGCUAUAGUAAGAGUACAUAGCCUCCACCUCCAUCUGAAACUUCCUUAACAUUUCAUUUGUGUACAGUUUUGAGAGUUGAAAUUCAUAGUAACAUCUUGGUUUCCGGAUACAACUUGAAUUUCUUGAAUCCAUAUCUGCCAAGGCUACCAGUUGAUAAUUCGCCUGCAGUGCUUGAUCAUACUUGUCUAAGAAUUCUUUCAAAGGAGUAUUCUUAUCAAGAUAUCCUUCAAAGUAUGAAGUAGAAACCUCAUUCUGCAGGAACGAAAACACUCCUGAUAAAAAAGCUUCCUUCAAAUAAAUAGGAGCCCACCUUUUAUGAUCUUCAUAUAAAGUUUGAAUCCAUCCGUGAUCCUUUAUUCCAUGACAUUGAAUCAUGUCUUCCCAAGCUGCUUCAAAUUUCUCAGGCCUGAGAGAGUGAUAAAUUGCUCUAUGUAAUGCAGCUUUAAUAGCUUCAUAUUCAAACAAUCCUUGGAGUUUCUCUGGAAUUUUUUUGCAUGAUGCAUGACAAUGAAAAGAAAUGAUAAGCUCUUGGGAAAACAUCACCAACAGCAAUUUGCAAGAUUCUACAUUGGUCAGUGAUGAUUGUUUGUGGAGAGCGCCCUAACAUACAUGUAAGCCACGCCGUAAACAACCAUGUAUAUGAUUCUAUGGUCUCACUGGCAAGUAAACCACAACCCAACAACACUGAUUGUCCAUGAUGAUUCACCCCAAUGAAUGAAACCAGUGGUACAUCAUAUCUUUCAGUCAGGCACGUAGUAUCAAUUAAGACCACAUCACCAAAGUACCUAUAUGCAACUCUUGACCUGGUAUCAGUCCAGAAUAGGUUUUUCAAGCAUCCCUUUUCAUUUAGAUCCACUACAUUAAAAAAGUUUGGAUCUGUCAACUGCAAAUGACAAAAGAAACUCUGGACAGCUUGUGCAUCUCCUGGUUUAAGCUUCAAUUGAUUUGAGCUAUUAACAUUAUUUCCAAAUACUCCAUUAACAUCUACCAUUUCCCUUGGUAUCAAUGAUAAGAGUUCGAAACAGUUUAAUUUUUUGAACUUCUUCAGCACUAUCUAAAUGCAAUGUUCUUUUGGUUCCAAUACCUAUGUGCUUAUGUGACUUGUAAAACUUUCCGCUUCUUGGGCUUAACAAGUGGUUAUGCUCAAGCUCGACUUCAAUGAUUCUCCACCUUUUGGUUUCCAUCAACCUAAACUUUAUCAUUGCUGGACAGCCAGUUCUUGUUUCUGGUCUUGGGCGGUUUGCCUCGCUUUUCUUCUUGAAGCCUGCACUACUACAGCUCAGCUUUCCUCUAUACUUUUCUCUACUCUUUCGGUACCAUGGAUUGCUAACUCUAACACCAAAACCCUGUUCCUUGGCAUAGCAAUUGUAAAAGUAAUAUACAUCAUCAUACAUCUCAAACUCCAUUCCAACAGUAGGAGGCAAGGGAUUUUGGAUUAUCCCAGUUUGUCCAACAUAUUCAGUCAUCGCACAAUCUCCUACAACCUCAAAAUCAUCAGUGUCAUCAUCACCUACUGGUUCGGUGUUGAGAGAAACUUCAUCCAUCUACAAUGGAUGUUCAAUGAAGUGAGCUUUAAGGAGAAAAAGCAAAAUCUGUUCAAGGAAUGAUAAUAUAAUCAUACAGUUACUUUCACAAAGCUUCAUAUUUCAUCACUGCUUUACCAACAUGCAACUGCCAGAGAACAAACAGACAUGUCAUAGACGCUUGAAUUAAGUAUUGGUACAAAUGAGCACACAUCAUGUGGGACAAAAUUUCAGUCACUAAACCCAAUACCACUUUUUACAUCAUACCAAGGAACAGAUUAAACCCGACACCUUCUUUUAAACCAUACCAAGGAACAGAUUAAAUCAUCAAUGAAAAAUUAAUCACAUAAUAACUUAACCAGACAAAUGAAGAGCCUGAAACAGCACAAAACUUGAAUCUGAUUAUGAUAAUUGUUGAGUCCUUGUAUCUACAGCUUUCCUUCAAUGAUAAGACAAUGAACAUAAACGAGACACAAAAAAAUUAUUUUAAACUGACAGCCCAUGAUAUAAAUCAAACAAAAUCAACUCCUUUUUUUACACAUUACAUCUCAUAUUCAUUUACAUUGAAACACAAAAAGGAAGCAGGAGUGGGAAAAAAACAACAGCAGAGGAACUUAUUUCCAUAAGGUUUACGAAAUAAGGAAUCUAUUAAAACCCAAAACUUGAGGUCACCACUAAGAAUUUGGUUCUCAUUAUUUUUUUCUUCAUUUUUCACCAAUUGAUGAACUUAAAAUACAAUCAUAAAUGAUAAAACCCCAUCUCCAUCUUUUUGAACUAGAGCUAAAGCAAAGCAUUUUAAGAUGUUUCAUCAUUUUUUUUUUUAAAAAAAACUCAAUAGUACAAUGUUUUUCAAUGCUAAAUGCACAAUUCAAUCUUCUCCUAAUUUACUCUAAUAAUCUCUUAAUUAAGGAAGAUUAAGCUUCAGUUGUAAGCUAAAACAAAUUUCUUAAAUCAAGCCCCAAUGCUUUAUGCUAUUCAACAAGGGCUCAUAAAUGAUAAAACUACUUCUAUAAAGAUACCCAUUUUCUAAAUUAAUUUCACAAACUGAAAUCAAACUCCUGAAACGUAACGAGCAUUAAUAUAAUCAAGCCCGAACAAGAAUUGAAAAAUGAUACAUAAACUCGUUUACACAUUUCGACAGACACUUUGCAAUCAAUGAGCAAAAAAUUAAUGGAGAAGAUAAAAUUCAAACGAAACAUGCCUUACAUUGAUAAAUUAGAAGGGCAAAAGAAAUUUUAGUACGAUAUGCGAUCAGGGUCUUGCCACGGUGAUGUUAUUUGUGAAGUUCGAGCGACUCAGCAGCCUUCGAGGUUGAAAAUUUGAUUGACCAAAAGCUUCCCGUUCGUUGAUUCUCUAAUAGUAGAAACGAGACUGGCAGUAUACACAAGAAGUUCGCCGAUUUUAAAUUCCGUUGUUUGAGAUGGAAAAUUUUUUGAAAAAAUUAAUGUGUUCGAUGAAAAUCAAAAUCUCAAAAACCUCUUGUUUUUCAUUUUUUUGGAAAAAACCAUUGAGAUCCUUACUAUUUUUUCUUAUAUCAUCUUCCUUAAUAAUUUGCAAAGUCUAUCGCAUAGCACCCAUGUAUGAUGUAUGCUGCGUUGUAAUUUACAAAAUUGCACAUGAAUAAAUCCAGCUAAAAUUUGUUAAAAGAAAAUAAUAAUAACAUGUUAAAACUUUAAAAUUUGAUUAUUCGAAGAAAUUUUAAUUUAGUUAAGUAGGUGACAUGAUAAUAAAUAGAUACGUAUAAUGUCCGAGAUUUUUUAUAAGAUUAAUAAAUAUGAUAAAUUUGGAUUAGUUCAAUUUUGACAUAAUUCAUAAUAAACACAGCUUGCUAAUCUAAAUUGCCACCGUUACUCAUCAUCAGGUACCUGUUUGAAAAAUAAUUACAAACAAUUUUAUUUGUGUUGUUUCUCUAAAAGUUUGAGACACAAAUGUUAUUUCAAAUUGAUAAAAGUACGAAAAUUCCCCCUUGCUCUUCAACUAAAAAUGAAACAUGCAAAUAUACACACUAAUUUAGAUGUGUGAAUAACAAAUAUGGAACGACACAUGCAAAGUCAUCUGUAUAAUUGAAACGCCAUGCACUAGUAGUAGGUAAGAGAAACCAAGGUUGAAGUUGCUCCAAUGGUUACUGUUAAUUUAUUUUUAUUUAUGAUUUUUUUUGUAAAAUGUAAGAAAUAUGUAGAAAUGUUGCCAGCAAUGAUUUUGGAACUUUGCAUAAAAUUUUUAUCAUUAUUGUUUUUGGUAUUAAGAAAUCCGAGGCGGUGAUUAGACGUAUGUUGCAACAAUUAAGAAAUUUCUUAUUGGAGAUAAUUUGGUAGGUUUGCAGCAAUUAGAGAAUAAUUUUCCUGCCAGUUAAUCAAUCAAUAAUAAAUUUCAAAUUGCAGAAAAUAAAAUAAUACAGCCUCACUUAGAAUCAUCUUUUCUAUCUCUUUCAAUUGUGGCAAUCAUUUGCAACAAAUAAAUCAAUUUGAUGCACAUCAUUUCCCCAAUUCAAAGUUCAAGUCACUGCUCAAUUACAGAGUAGUUAGUGGACAUGCAUGCAUGUUUAAUUAAGUACUGCAUUGUAGUAUCGAAAAUCAUAACAUCUCACCAAUAUCAGAUUAUUAACCAUGGAAAUCAUAUCACAAUAUCAUAUAGAAUUCACAAAUCUGAAAAUCAUCACCAAACAAGUACCCAGAGAAAUAAUCUCGUCAUAUCCAGACCUCAACGGACGGGCAAUGACGUACUAUUUGGGUAACGUCACACCCUGGAGCUACACGGAUAAAUAGGAAAAUACCAUCUCAUAUCUCAUCAUAUUUGUGCAUGCAUAAUCUAGUCCCCAAGGGACAAAAGCGCCCAAGCACACGGCCCAAAGCCUCUAUGUGUACUCAGACGGGCCCCAAAGGCCUGUAUCUCAUAUGUAUCAUAUGUAUCAUUUGUAUCUCAAUAUCUGUUUGUAUCUCAUUUCCGUAUAUCUAUAAUCAUCAUACCGCAUGCAUAUGCCCCCAAAAGACAAAAGCGCCCAAACACAUGGCCCAAAGCCUUUAUAUGUGUUUAGACGGGUCCCAAAAGCCUCUUAUCUCAUCUUAUCUGUAUCACUGUAUCUGGAGAGAAGGGUACUGUCUAAUGAUUUAAAAAACAAUCAUUAUACUCAUAUUUACAUACCUCUUAAUCAUAUUUGAAAUCAUAUCACAUUUGAAUCCACUUUUCUAAUCUUUAAAAUAUUAUCAUGCUUUAUUCAAAGUCGAUACGCAAAAUCAAUAACCAAACAUUUUAAAUCAAAUUAUUAACCAUGGAAAUCAUAUCACAAUAUCAUAUAGAAUUCACAAAUCUGAAAAUCAUCACCAAAUAAGUACCCAAAGAAAUAAUCUCGUCAUAUCCGGACCUCAACGGACGGGCAAUGACGUACUAUCUGGGUAACGUCACACCUUGGAGCUACACGGAUAAAUAGAGAAAUACCAUCUCAUAUCUCAUCAUAUCUGUGCAUGCAUAAUCUAGUCCCCAAGGGACAAAAGCGCCCAAGCACACAGCCCAAAGCCUCUAUGUGUACUCAGACGGGCUCCAAAGGCCUGUAUCUCAUAUGUAUCAUAUGUAUCAUUUGUAUCUCAAUAUCUGUCUGUAUCUCAUAUCCGUAUAUCUAUAAUCAUCAUACCGCAUGCAUAUGCCCCCAAAAGACAAAAGCGCCCAAACACAUGGCCCAAAGCCUUUAUAUGUGUUCAGACGGACCCCAAAAGCCUCUCAUCUCAUCUUAUCUGUAUCACUGUAUCUGGAGGGAAGGGUACUGUCUAAUGAUUUAAAAAAUAAUCAUUAUACUCAUAUUUACAUACCUCUUAUCAUAUUUGAAAUCAUAUCACAUUUGAAUCCACUUUUCUAAUCUUUAAAAUAUUAUCAUGCUUUAUUCAAAGUCGAUACGCAAAAUCAAUAACCAAACAUUUUAAUAAAAUACCAAUGCAUAAAUAAAAUUCAUUUCGAGAAAUCAUUAAAUCAGAACAUUUAAAAUACUUAUUUCGCAAACAUGCUUUACUAUCAUCGCUAACUAUGAAAAUAAGUUUUGUAUAUUCCACUUUCAGUGAUGGUGUUCACGGUCGGUUAUCGUCCAUAUCUGCAGACCGAUUCUCGCUCGCGAAUCCUCCUAAAUCAAGGAAACGACAUAAUUAUUUUUUGUAAAUCGGAAUUAUGACUAAAUUUUAUGCAAUAAACUCAAAACGAACAUCUAUUCAUAAUUGACAACUCCUAUAUCCAUAAAAUUACUAAAAUAUCCUUGAGUCCGUAGAUCAUUAACAUGCUCCGAAAUCGUAAAUCACUGAAUUACCCUCGGAAUCGUAAUUACACCCGAUCCUCAAUUAUAGGAAUUACUAACAGAUCCACAGGCUUAGAAAUUACAAAAUUGCCCUCGUAGUGUGAAAUUACCAAAAGCCGGAAGUUGGUCAACAAUGGCUAGGAAGCUCAAAUCGUAAAGUUCCAAUCACGCUGAGUUCAAUGGUACCGGCGGUGAGCUCCAACGCGCGACAACGAUGCCAGAAUCUAGCUCGGCAGCCGUGAAUUCCACCAAUCGACCGGCGGCACAACAGUGACUCUCGGUGCCUAUGGAUGGUCGAAAAUGGAAGAGGGAGCCGUGGGGAACAAAAUCCAACCGGUGGUGUCACCAAAACCGGUGAAAAUCCCGGCGGAGCAAAGUGAAACAGUCGCGGGUUUCAUGCUUCGAUCGCCGGUGUUCCGAUUGGUUUUUGGCGAGGAGGAUGGCAAGGGAACGACAGCCGGCUUCUAAGCUUCAGAUUGGUACCAAGCUCGGCCGAAACGAUGGCCGGAAAUGGGAGAUAUGACCGGGUCAAGGUCGCGGGUUCCGGGUCGGGUUUUUUGGUCUGUAGUUGGGUCGGUUUGGUAGCUUCUCUCUCACUCUCUGUUACACGUGCAUAUGUUUCCUCUGUUUCCAGCUUAUUCUUUUGCUUUUACUAACUUCUUAACCGCCUCAUACUUAUUCAUUUUUAAUUCACAUAUGUUACAAUAAUUCCCGAGUAUUAAAUAACCAGUGGUCAUAAUUUUUGUACAAGAUUCUUUUUUUUUUUUGGAGAUCGUUAAAAGUGGUUGACGAUCCAUUUCGUAAUAUCAUAGAGGGAUCAUCAAUUCCUUUUCUUUUCUGUGGCUAGGCAACACUUUUUGGCCAAAGUAAGGAAAUCUAUUUUAGGUAAUGUAAAAACCAGUUGUAGGAUGUAAUAGUUUAUUAUGCACUGACAAUAACUUUUUGUAUAAUUGUCAGUUUAAUGAAUGCAAGAGGAACUCUGUUGGCAAAUUCAUCCAAGAUAGAUGCUAAAAUUAUUUAUGCAUGCCAGUUGCCUUAACUAAGUUUUCUCAGCACUGGUUUUGAACAGGAAAAUGAAUAUGCAAUUUGUAUAUUGUGCCAUAGUGGAGAAUUUGGAUAUUCUUAUUUAAGUAACAAGGAGAUUAUUUGCCUCAUCUUUAAACAAUGAAUCUUUGAGAGAUGAGGAGUGGGUGAUUGGAUGUGUCUUCAUGUAAUUGUUCAUUUAUUUGUAUUUUGAACUGUUAUGAAAAUCUUUAUAUGCCAAAUUAGUAAUACAAGUAUUCAGAUGAUUUUUCCUAUUGAUCAUGCAUUUGUAUCUGCCCACAACCAUUGUAUAUCACUUUAUUCUGAUGCGCAAGCAUCUGUAAUUUAGAAGAAAAGAAAUAAUAAUCAUAUUUUAUUGCUUGGUUCAUGAUUAUUAACGAUUAUGGCUUUAAAAAUCUACAAAUUUCUUGUGUUCAUGUAUGAAUGUGCCAAGUUUGCUGUAUCUUAGAUUACCUUCUUCCAAGGUAACAAGUUCAUAUAUAUAUAUUUUUUAAAUCAUUUUCCAUUACAGUUGAAUUUCAAGUGUUAGUUUUGUUAUUAGUACCUGGUUUCCUGUUAUAAGGAUCUAAUAAACAGUGUACGGAUAUGUGCUCUACUUUUGGAGGGCUUCCACGUGAAAGAAAAUUACAACAAUUGAAUUCUUCCGGAGGAUAUGGUAAUUAAUUUAUUUUCUCAACUUCUUGUAAGACUAAUAUAUUUCCUUCAGUAGGCACAGCAUGGUGGGAAGGGUUUUUAUUGAAAGAAUUCUGAUAUUUCUUAGACUUUGUUUUGGAAGGGGGUGGAGGAAUUUCUCAUCCAUAUAUGGUUACUUGAUUAGCUUUUGACUGUAUUGUCUCUGUCGUGCAAAGGAAAAUCUAAAUACUAACGAUGGGGAAUUGCUUAGGCACCCAAAAGGCAGAAAUGAAUUACAGAAGGAAGUUUUUGCUGCUUUAUUUAGUGCUGCUGAGAAAUCUGAUGAAUUUCCUGAAAUUACGGUGAAGACCGAGUGGAGGUCCAAAGCAUUAGGAAAGGUGGUGAGUGAACUGCCGGAGGAAUUUGUACCAAAAUACAAGGCUAAUGUGGUGCACUUGCAGCAAGAUAACCAGACCGGUAUGUGCUCUUAUAUUAACUAUAUUGACUGGAUUUGUGAGUGUGUGCAUUUUUUUGUGUAUACUCACUUUUGUAUUUAUGCAUAUUAACAUGUGUAGGAUUCUUGAUUUCUGCCACUUACUGGAGAACUAGUGGAAAGCUUUAUAUUGAUAUAUCUGCAAUAACUAAUGGAAACUAUGAUAUGAAUAUUUUCUCUCACCUGGGGAGCUGUGUAACAGAUAUACUUUGUGGCUCUGGAAUGCUGAAGAUUCUGCAAUAACUAAUGGAAAAUAUGAUAUGAAUAUUUUGUCUCACCUGGAGAACUUUGUUACAGAUACCCUUUGUGGCUCUGGAAUGUCUAAAGAAUGCUUUAGUUAGAUCAAAUAUCUUUUAGUUAGAAAAGAUAAAAUUCUCUGAGUCUGAAAGACUGAAACAUUUUGCAUAUUUUGUGAAAGGGAAAUAUCUGUUGAUACUAGCUCAUGCAUUGAGGUAAUAUCGAUGUUAAAGAAAAACAGCAAUGAUUUAUGAUAUAGAAUUGGGUUCACUUGCUUCAAAUGCUGGUCUGAUCAACCAUAUCAACCUGUAAUGAUUCUGCAGAAAUAUAUAUACAUGGAGAAAGUAGCUAAAUUUUUCUUUCAUUUAUGGGUUCGGUCUUUUUUCCCCUUAUUUUUCAGCUUUCCUUCUCCUGAAGUAUGUUAACAAUUGCAGAUAAUGAUGAAGACGACAGCUUCCGGGCUCUCCUUAGAGCCGUGAUGGAAUAUAGGGGCACAAUGAAGGAAUAUUGUAAAGCUGUAGGUACUUUUUCUCCUUUCAUUUAUGUUUUCUCACACAUUUUGUAUAUGCCCUGAACAUGCACCUUUGUAUGUAUCAAUUGACUUUUAAAUUUUAAAAGCCAUAAAGUAAGAAUACGGUUCCUUGUCAGGCUACUGAUGACAUUCGCUCAGGGGGAUCAUGUUCGAGCAGGAAAAUUUCUAGAACAGGUAAGGUUUCCAUCUACAGCCAUCCAUUGACAGCAGAUACAUUUUCAUUCAGCAGACUCUGUUAGCAUUCAAGAUGCUGGCAGAUUCACUUGAUUCUUAUUAGCUUGUUUAGUGGCAAAGCCUAUAACCUGUAUUUCAAAGCCAAGUUGUGCUAUUGAUUAUGUUAACUUUUUUGUUAACAUAAAAUGAUAUGGAGGAAAUAAUCAGUGUUGGAAAAUUAGGUGAAAAGAUGAUGUCAAAUCUUGAACCUCUUACGAAACUCUAAGUUCUUUACUUGAAGAGGCUACGAAAUUUGAACAGCGUCUACUCGAAGGCCUUGCCAUUCCCUGAUGCAUGCAGAAUUUUUGUAUUUAAAUGCCCAGAGCUUAAGAAGCUGCCACUGGAUCUUGAAGGGGCAGACCAAGGUAAAAAUCUUAUCAAGGGAAAGGAAGAUUGGUGGAAACAACUUAAUGGGAGGAUCAAGUAACUCAGAAUGCAUUGCUUCCAUUUUUUAAAUUGACUGACAAGUGAUUGAACGGGGCAUCAUCAACAUCAUCAACAGGGAUGGAGAGAUACCGGAGCAGAUCAGCAGGGUUUGAAUAUGACCUUUGGCGGUUGCUUUUUUUUUGUGAUUUUUUUUUCAUUUUUUCCUUCCUGUCAUUUUAUCAUUUCUUUCUCUGUUUCUAUUGCGGGUGUUACUGCAUGCUUACUGUUGCUUGACAAAGUUUGCUAGCUUUUUGUUUGCAGUGUUGCUAUACACUCCGAGUCAAGCCUCGAAAAUUUAUUAAACGAAGCCGUUUCGACAGUAACAAUUCUUUUCUUUUCCCUUUGCAUGUCUCUUUCAUCUGCUGUUUCUCUAUCACUUUUCAUUUUUGAUUUCCUUGCUUCUCAGCUGCCCCUAAAUUGUUAUUCUAGCAAUAUACUUUCUCAUCUUUGAAUUUUCAUCCUUGAGUACUCCCACAGCCGUAAUUUCAUCAUCAUAGACUUCACUUGGAAUGCUGUAUUUUUUCGAUUCUUGAGCUACUUCAAUUACAUCUUAGUAUAGGAUCCUCAUCUUCCUUUAUUUCUUCAUCUUAUGAGGUAAUAAAUGGAUUUCACAACUCAUCUACUUUUAAGCAAUUACAUAUUAUACCUUGAAUGAUUCAACUGUUCUGACAGUUAAAGAUUUUAUGCUCAACCUGCAGUGCUACGAACAUUGUCCAUGAAAGAUGAGUUUCAGCAUAUAAAAUGAAAUAUAGAUGUUUAAUCUAAAAUAACCCUUCACUGCCAGAAACCUAGGUCACAAAAUUCACAGAUAAUGAUAAAGAGCUAAAAAAUUUGAAAAACUCUACAGAUCACACAUCAAGCAAGAUAUCAUGUUUUUUUCCCUCAUUCAGUGGUGAUUGAUUCGCUUUUUGAUGAUGGAUAUGGUAUAAAAGUGUUGACCCAAUUUCAAGCAAACACAAAUAGAAACACAAACACAAUCGGGACUAGAGUUGUGGGCGAUUAUCUUAGGUGUACAAGUGAAACGGUGGUGGCUGUCGAUGGUGGUAGUGGGGUGGUUGGGUAUGCGUGAUGGCUAGAUUUUAGGACAAUAAUGAUUGGAGUUGACCUCAAUCAACGAAGGAAAGUGACAACAAUUUUGACAUCAAACGGUGCAUUUUUUAGCUUAGUAAAAUGGAGCCGUUUCGAUUUUGGGGUUUAAUCCGGGGUUUGACUCGGUGCAAGUAUCAUUUUCCUUUUGUUUAUUAAAUUUUUUUAUGGUCACAAAGUAUCACUCGUUCUAUUUGAGAGUCAUGUGAAUCAAUUUUUCAAAUUUUCAAUUUUAAAUUUUGUGGUCAAUGUGAAUUCAAUUUCAUUUGUCUCCUGCAAUUAUGAAAAAAUUAAAUAGUCAUAAUAUGGAAAAAUACACCGGUAAAAACUUUGUAAAAGCUUCGGAGUGAUACGGGGAAUUCACUUACUACUAAGGACAAUUGGUGGCAAGCUAUUCCAUUCAUUUUAUGUCCAUCCAUCUAUUUAGUUAUUGAAGAUAAGUGGUCCAUUUGUAAAUUUCAGAUUGUCUCUCUCUCCCUCUUGAAAUAACAAUAUUUAAUAUAUCUCAUAAAUUAUUAUAAAUUUUAAUUUACUCUCGAUUUAAAAUGGAGCAUGUCGAUAAAUUUUUUUUCUUCUUAAUAAAAUUGACGUAAGUUGUGUUUACAGUAGUUUGAAGUUUGAAAUAUUUUAAAGAUUAUUAUUCUAUAAGGGAGUAAUAUGAAAUGAUAUUUACUUUUCAUGUGUGAAAUGAAAAAGGACGAAGCAAGUGUCCCUGCUUUUAUUUUAUUUCAAGGAGGAGUCAUCUCACAUACUUUAGCUCUUAACAUUACAUUUUUUCUGGUUACAUUUUUUAUUUAUUUAUUUUUUUUUUUUUACACAUGCGUGUGGGUUGCUUUUCUGUAAGCUCCUUAAUAUAUAUUUAAGACAAAUCAUGGAAGAGAUGGGAUUAUAUCAAGAUGAUCAAAGAAUGUUAAAAAAGAAAAAAGAAAAAAAAAAGAAGUAAGACACUGAAAAUGGAGAAGAGAUGGAAGCAAAAGAUAUUCCAAAACAAAGCAAUCUAUCCCCUUUCGAGGGCAGACUUAUCAGGUUUAAAAAAGUACACGCUUUGGAUUGGUAGUUGCAAUCAAGGGAAAAUAAAUAGGAUCCAAUGAAAUUUAAAUCUCGGAGAAAAUAAAUAAUCAUGCAGAUUUUCAAGAUUUUAAUAAGGGAUACUAAUAUCUUAUUUUGAUUAAUAAUAUCCUUUCAUUGUGUUAACUCAAAAAAUAUAUAUUUUAAUGUUUUGCAAUAAACAGAAACGUACUAUUAAAAUGAAUAUAUAAAGAAUUUAGAAAAUUUUGAAUGUUAUAUAAAAUAAUUUUAAGAUAAUGCGUGAGAUAUAUUUUAUUAAUUUAAAAUGUUAUUUUACCUAAAAAAUAUGAUAAAUUAAUAAUUACAUAUUUGAAGUUAUUUUAAAUAUUAAAAAAAUUUAAUAUUAUUAAUCUUUUAGAUAGAUUAAAUUAUUUUUUAUAAGAGAUAGAUUAAAUUAUUUUAAAAUACGUUAAUUGUUUUUACUUUUAACGUUACCGGCCUUUCUUUUAUUUUAUUGCAAAUUAAUGCUAACAAGAAAAAGCUAGAUCAUAUUCCACAAAAGCAAAAGUGACAAACACAACCAGCUGGAAUCUUUUAAUUACUAUUCAAUAAUUCGAGACGAUUAGGGUCUUUUAUUAAACUACAAAUUGUAUAGUCUUUUUAAAAUUGUUAUAAAUUGGUGGCACCUACAAUCCUCAAUAAUUGUACCGAUAUUCACAAGUUGGUGGCCCCUACAAUUCUGUUCGGAUAAUUUAACUGUGCAAGUGCUCAUUCACAAUAAUUGUUUUGUUUUUUUUUUCUGCAUUCCCUUUCAUGCUCUUAAUAAUUGAAGAGCAUACUUUUCAUUUUCAAAUGUGGAGCCGCAGCUAAUGUCGCUAAUUUAAUUUGGGAUUAAAUUAGGGGACCAUUAUAUUGCAGUGUGCACUAAUUUUUGUGUUUAUCUAAACUCCUUAAAUUUAAGACAUAUUAUGGCAUAAAUAAGAAUAUAACAAUAGCAAAAGAGUUAAAAAGUGUAGAGAAGAUCUUGCAGAAAUAUAAAUAAUAUCUAUUUUAAAAUAAUAUCAAUAUUUAAAAUAAUUUUUAAUAUUUUAUGAUUCAUUAGAUAUAUUUUAUUAUAUUAAAGUAAAUUUUAUAAUAAAUAAAAACAUACUAUUAAAAUGAAUAUAUAGAAAAUUUAGAGUAUUUUAAGUAUUAUAUAAAAUAAUUUUAAUAAAAUAUGUGAGAUAUUCAUAUUUUAUUAAUUUAAAAUACCAUUUAACCUAAAGAUUUAUUUAUGAUAAAUUAAUAAUUAUAUUUUUGAAGUUACUUCAAAUAUUAAAAAUAUUAAUAUUACUAAUCUAUUAGAUAGAUUAAAUUAUAUAUAUUAUUUUCUAUUUAUUAAAAAAUUUAAAAUUAUUUUUAAUUACUAUUCAAAAAAUAUAAUGAUAAAAAAGAAUCUUAACAUCUUUAUUAAAAAUUUAAAAAUUUACAUGAUCAAUUCUCUAAAUAUUUAGGGUUAUAUGUGAACAACGGUGGAGAAGCUUUAUUUAAUAUUAUUGAUUUAAAUAAUAUGUCAAUUAAAAAUGUACAGAGAAGGAAAUUUCGGUGGGUAUUUUAGUCUUUUCAGCAAUUAUCAUGAUCAGAUCAGCCUUUAGCCUUGAAUCGUCGGUCAGAAAAGUUUUAAAAUUAACGCUAACAAGAAAAAGCUAGGUCAUAUUCCACAAAAGCAAAACUGACAAAACAACCAGCUGGUUUCUUUUACUAAACUACAAAUUAAAAGUGGAUUCUUUUGAAUGCAAGUGGGACAGACGAUUAGGCUCUUUUUAUUAAAGGCAAGUAAAAACUAGUCGAAUAGUCUUUUUCAAAUUGUUGUUUUAUUAUUUUUCCUUCAAAAGUUAGUGUGGCUCAUGUUUGCAGGUGCGAAUGUGGGUCCCGAAUCAUUACUAAAAUUUCUAUUCCACAGCCCACCGCAGCUUCAGUUAAUCAAACUCAAAUCAAUUUUCUUUCUUAACAAAAUAUUCCAAAGAUGUGUAGCAUUUUUCAGAUCACAUGCGAUGGUGCUCUUUUCAAUCGUUGCUUGGAUUGCUUUCUUGGAAAAGCAGCAUACAUACGUAACCUCCAAGAUAAUGUUGAUACCUUGGGCACUGAAUUGGGAAAUCUGAUCGCUAGAAAGAACGAUCUGAUGAGGAGGGUUGUCGAUGCUGAACGGCAACAAAUGAGAAGGCUGGACGGAGUGCAAGUGUGGGUUUCGAGGGUGGAUUCUGUUAAAACUGAAGCUGAUCAAUUUAUAAGAGACGGCUCUCGAGAAAUUGAAAAAUUAUGUGUUGGAGGCUACUGUUCCAAGAAUUGCAUGUCAAGCUACAAGUUCGGGAAAAAAGUGGCUAAAAAGCUACGGGAUGUGCGGACUUUAAUCAGUGAAGGAGUUUUUGAGGUGGUGGCUGACAGAGCUCCAGAGUCUGUAGCAGAUGAAAGACCUACUGAGCGAACAGUAGUAGGCUUGCAAUCACAACUUGAACAAGUCUGGAGAUGUCUUGUAGAAGAAUCAGCGGGAAUCAUUGGCCUAUAUGGUAUGGGCGGUGUUGGUAAAACUACACUACUGACCCAUAUCAACAAUAAAUUUCUCGAGAGUCCAACCAACUUUGAUUGUGCGAUUUGGGUUGUAGUUUCAAAAGACCUGCGACUCGAAAAAAUUCAAGAAGAUAUUGGGAAAAAGAUAGGUUUGGUUGGUGAUUCAUGGAAGAGUAAAAGUGUAGAGGAGAAAGCUGUCGACAUCUUCCGGAGUUUAAGAGAGAAGAGAUUUGUAUUGUUGUUAGAUGAUAUAUGGGAGCGGGUUGAUUUAACAAAGGUGGGCAUUCCACUUCCCGGACCAAAAAAUACUACCUCAAAAGUCGUAUUCACAACCCGUUUCAUCGAUGUUUGUGGUAGCAUGGAAGUUGACAGGAAGUUUCAAGUAGCAUGCUUAUCAGAAAAGGAUGCUUGGGAACUGUUUCGAGAAAAAGUUGGGGAGGAAACUCUUCAGAGUCAUCAUGAUAUCGAUGAGCUAGCCCAAAUUGUGGUCAAAGAGUGUGGUGGUUUGCCACUCGCACUUAUUACUAUUGGUCGAGCUAUGGCCUACAGAAAGAAAGCGGAGCAGUGGAGACGUGCAAUUGAAGAGUUAAGGAGAUCAGCUUCAGAGUUUGCAGGUUUGGGAAAAGAGGUUUAUCCUCUUUUAAAAUUCAGCUAUGAUAGUUUGCAGAAUGAUACGGUUAGAUCUUGUUUCUUGUACUGUUGUUUAUAUCCUGAAGAUUAUGGCAUUCUUAAAUGGGACUUGAUUGAUUGUUGGUUUGGCGAGGGAUUUUUUGGGGAAUCUGACAGGUCUGGUGCAGAAAACCAAGGAUAUGACAUUUUGGACACUCUUGUUCGUGCGUGUUUAUUAGAAGAGGUGGAAGAUGAUGAAGUAAAAAUGCAUGACGUUAUUCGUGAUAUGGCUAUAUGGAUAACUUGUGAAAUUGAGAAGGAGAAGAGAAACUUUUUGGUUCGUGCAGGUGCUGGAUUAAAAGAUGCACCGGGUGUUAAAGGAUGGGAAAAUGUGAGAAGAUUGUCAUUGAUGCAAAACCAAAUUGAAACUCUGGCAGAGGUUCCCACAUGCCCUCAUCUCCAUACUCUAUUUCUUGACUUUAAUAGGGGGUUGGAUAUGAUCGCGGAUGGCUUCUUUCAAUUUAUGCCUUCUCUCAAAGUUUUGAAGAUGUCAAACUGUUCGAAUUUGAAAUUACCUGUUGGGAUGUCAGAGUUGGGUUCAUCACUAGAACUUCUUGAUAUUUCAGAAAACAGCACAAGAGAGUUACCGGAAGAGUUAAAGAAGUUGGUAAAUCUGAAAUGUUUGAAUUUGAGGUGGACAGAGCAUUUAAAUAAAAUUCCACGGCAACUAAUAUCAAAUUCUUCAAGGUUACGUGUGUUGAGAAUGUUCGCUACUGGCCGGUUCAAUUUUCAUGAAGCACCAGAAGACAGCGUUUUAUUUGGUGGGGGUGAAGUUUUGAUACAGGAAUUGCUCGGUUUGAAAUAUUUAGAGGUAUUGGAGUUGACCUUGGGAAGUUAUCAUGCUCUCCAAAUUCUUUUGAGCUCAAAUAAGUUAAAAAGUUGUAUUCGAUCUCUUUACCUCGAGUUGACCGGAGAUACAACGUCAAUUAUUGAUGCUACGGCUUUCGCAGAUCUAAACCACCUCAAUGAAUUACGGAUUGAUAAUGGUAUUGAGUUGGAAGAGUUGAAGAUUGAUUAUACGGAGAUAGUACGAAAAAGGCGGGAACCUUUUGUUUUCCGCAGCCUUCAACGUGUUACCAUAGCGGAGUGCCAUAAAUUGAAAGAUGUGACAUUCCUCGUUUUUGCUCCAAACCUCAAGUCUCUUCGGCUAUUCUAUUGCGGUGCUAUGGAAGAAAUAAUCAGCGUCGGAAAAUUUGCUGAGACUCCUGAGAUGAUGGGACAUAUAAGCCCUUUUGAAAAUCUCCAAAUGCUUGAUUUACAAGGUUUGCCACAUUUGAAGAGCAUCUUCUGGAAGCCAUUGCCUUUCACUCAUCUGAAAGAAAUGGAGGUACUUAGGUGCGAUCGGCUUGAAAAGCUUCCACUCGAUUCCAACAGUGCAAAGGAGCGCAAAUUUGUUAUUCGUGGAGAAGAAGACUGGUGGAACCGACUUCAAUGGGAGGAUGAAGCCACUCAAAUUGCUUUUCGUUCCUGUUUUAAAAGUGAUGCUUUAUUUAUAUCUUAUUCGUGAAAAGUGAUUUAAUUUCCUGCCAAAAGACGAACGAGAAGAACAAUAGAGUCAAACUAAUGCUCACAUAAAUUUCCCGUAAGAAUAUAUAAUUAGAUUGGAAUGCACACCUCUAGAUUGAACAGAAUUAAAGCUGAGAAAAUAUUGAGUAUAGUAGCCCUCUUUACAGAAAAUGACGUGAAAGUUAAUUUAGAAAGAUAUAUUCUUGAUUAAUCCAUUUUCUGAAGUUUUUAUUUUGUAUGGUCAAUUAUACCUUCAUACUAAAAAUUUCUGAAGUUAUAAAUUAGUGCAACUUGACAAUUUUUACUGAUGAUAUCUUCUAUUUUUCCCUUUUUUUUUUUUUCACUUUCAUAGACUGGCAGCGGAUCCUGCGGCACCAAUUUGAGAGAAUAUACUGACACUACUUCGAACAGCAAGCAGAAGAAGUAAUAUGUCUACGGCAAAGGCAAUGGAGUCCUCAUUUUGGCUCGAGAUGCAGUAAUCAUCGAAGAGAGUUUCCUUGUGAAACUGGGCAACACAUUGAAUCCCUUCACCACUGAGAAGGUUGUGGAGGAAGUAAGCUUUCUCUCCAGUGAGGAAGAGGUGGCAUAUACCUUCCCCAUUUUGUUGAGGGCAGGUAGGAAUCUUUUUUCUAAGAGAUUUACUUCGUUCUCUGUAAGAAAUGCUUUGAACUUCAUCCCUCUGUCUCUAUCCUCACUUAUCAGGAAAUAAGUUGAAAGCACUAUGAAGAGAGAGAGAGAGAGAGAGAGAGAGAGAGAGAGAGAGAAUUAAGAUAUAUAGACAAGAAAAAUAUUUGACGUUGAUCUUACAAACUAAUACUUCAAGCAGUAUCCUAGAAAGCUAAAAACUGCAAGAUGGCUUGAAAUUUGAAAAGAGCACAUGCUUUUCCUCCUUAACUUGAGAAAAUGUUUAAUAUAGUGCACCUUACAGAAGCAUUUAAGCAAUUAGAACUUUGCACAAAAACAUCAAGAAGACUAAACAAGUCAGAUGCAGUGUAUUUGUCCAAGCACAAAUUGCAUUUUUUCCUCAACUUUAAUAUUUAUUGAUGAGAAUCAAUACAGGUCCCUCAUUUGUUAUAGAAAGCUUUCUUUCUUGUAGUCUCACCAGUUAAUUCAGAGGUCUAUAAUCAUCUUGCAAAGUUAAGGGCAUUUCUUUUGAUCUAAAGUCUUUGCAUCACCACCUCAUCACACGCCAAGCCAAUAUUCCAUUUACCUCUACAACAAAAAGUUUUAAUUAAACAAUCCUAAUGCACGCAGCCAAAUAAAAUGCAGUAAGAAUAUUCAACUUAAAAAUCUGAAAGCCAACUUGGUGAAUUGCCUCCUUAGGUGAAGUUCCAUGCUUUACUAUAGUUGACAGAACUCAGCAAAAGCUUCCAUACAACAGAUUUUGAAAAUGAUGAUGCCAACAGAUACUCAUUCAAUGCAUUGAAACUCCAAAGGUUCAUUGUUCAUAGAAGUUUACAGAGUUUUGGUCAUCAAAUAGCUCAGACCUAAUCCCAAACAAAAAAUGAGUGAAAAUUAGAUCACGAGCAGCUAAUUGUAAAUUCUAACUUAACUCUUCAUCUCCUUUGUAAACAAGAAACAAAAUGGAGACACGCAAAAUGAAUAUGGAGAAAAUUUGAACUCAAAUGAAAUGAGGGCAUGAAAGCAAACAAAUGGCAUGCACCAAAAAACCAAGCCUCAAUCAAAAACUAAUUAACCAUUAAGAAAAAAAUUGGUCAGAGAAUGAACUCCAAAUUCAGGAGUCAAGCAAGAAGCUUUCAUUAUUAUCAAAGUCAAUUAUCUUUGUUAGUAUGCGAGUGUGACGACUAUAGGUUGUUCUUUUUCUAAUGUCAUAUGAUUCCAAUUUUAGGUACAGGGCAUCUCUCUCUCUCUCUCUCAUCGCUAAGUGGAUAUUUUUCUCUUUUGUCAUAUACUUUAGUUAUUCUUCAAUUUACUAACUAAAAUGAAGGCCGCUUUAUUAAGAAGUUAUAUCCAGUUAUAUAAUUUGUUGUAUUUAAUAUAUGUUUGGGCUCAUAAUUUUUUUUAAAAAUAUAUAUUUCAUUCUCCAUAAUUUUUUCCCAUCAUAGCUACGAAACGUCUUAGUUUCGACUAAAAUCCUAAAAUUGGUCCUUAAUUGAAUAUGCAUUGCAAUUUGCAAAUGUAAUAUUGUGAAUGGGACACUGGAGAUACCAAAAUGGUCAAAUGCGAAAUAAGUUAGGAUUGUACGAUGUAGUUUGUAUUCAUAUUCAAUGCCUUUUUUUUCAAAAAACAAAUUGAAAUGCCAUUACUAAACGAUUCUUGAUGAUGGGAGCCACCGUGCCAGCUUUGUCGCUGAUUUGGUAUUAUUCUUAACUUGCAGAUAGUUGUGGAUAUGAUAUGCAAAAAGGUAAGGACUAUAUCUUCUUGAUGGAGGCCUCUGAUUUUUUCCCUUCUAUGUAAUUUAGUAAAUCGCAUUUUCCCUUGUGAUUGAUAUAUCAUACCAAAGUCAAGUCUUAAAUACUGCUGUCAUAUGUUAAGGUUCAACUUCCAUUUUGAUUAACGUCCAUUUGCUGCUGCUUCCAAAAGUGAGAAUGAGAUACUUUGGUUAAUUUCAGUAGUUGAACCCAAUAGAGUACUUUAUUUAGAUCUUCAUGGUUCAAAGGCCUGAAAAAACUUGCCGGUAUUUGCAAAAUGACAUUCUGUGCUUUUAUUUAGGCUUAUUAUUUAAGUGAUAAAAACUCCCGUAACCUGCUGUCAAGAAAAUUUCAGAUUGUUAAAAGACAACAUUUUGUUUCAGCCAAAAAUGUUUGUUUCGAUUAAAGACUUGAACCAUUUUCAUUUAACCUUGAUUGUGAUGCUUUACAUUAUGCAUGUUCCUCUCAAUCAAUAAAAGUUGAGGUCAUGAUUUUAUAUUUCUAUUUUGUAACUUGAAAUAAUUGGUCUGCCUGUUUCUGUAGCUUGAUAACAUGAAUUUUUCCUUCUGAAGUUAAUUUGAUCAAUAAAGUAAUUCUUCGGAGAUGAUAUGCCCAUUCUAUAGUCAUUUUCUUAGGUAACAUGUUUUUUCUUCACUCUUCAGAGCAUGUCUAAACUAAUUGAUCGCUCAGCGGAGACUUUGGGUGAGAAGACAAAAUUUCUUGGUAAAUCCUCUAAAAAGGUAUGCAUAAUUCCCGAGUAUUAAAUAAUCAUUGGUCAUAAUUUUUGUACACAACUCUUUUUUUGGAGAUCGUUAAAAGUGGUUGAUGAUCUAUUUUGUAAUAUCAUAGAGGGAUCAUGAAUUCCUGUUCUUUUCUGUGGCUAGGCAACACUUUCGGGCCAAGCUAAGGAAAUCUAUUUUAGGUAAUGUGAAAACCAGUUGUAGGAUGUAAUAGUUUAUUAUGCCCUGACAAUAACUUUUUGUAUAAUUGUCAGUUUAAUGAAUACAAGAGGAACUCUGUUGGCAAAUUCAUCCAUGAUAGAUGCUAAAAGUAUUUAUGCAUACCAGUUGCCUUAACUAAUUUUUCUCAACACUGGUAUUGAACAGGAAAAUGAAUAUGCAAUUUGUAUAUUGUGCCAUUGUGGAGAAUUUGGAUAUUCUUAUUUAAGUAACAAGGAGAGUAUUUGCCUCAUCUUUAAACAAUGAAUCUUUGAGAAAUGAGGAGUGGGUGAUUGGCAGUGUCUUCAUGUAAAUGUUCAUUUAUUUGUAUUUUGAACUAUUAUGAGAAUCUUUGUAUGCCAAAUUAGUAAUACAAAUGUUCAGAUGAUUUUUCCUGUUGAUCAUGCGUGUGUAUCUGCACACAACCAUUGUGUCCCACUUUAUUCUGAUGCACAAAUAUCUGUAGUUUAGAAGAAAAGAAAUAAUAAUCAUAUAUUAUUGCUUGGUUCAUGAUUAUUAAACGAUUAUGGCUUUAGAAAAUCCACAAAUCCUUUGUGUUCAUAUAUGAAUGUGCGAAGUUUGCUAUCUCUUAGAUUACCUUCUUCCAAGAUAACAAGUUCAUAUAUUUUUUUUAAUCCUUUUUCAUCACAGUUGAAUUUCAAGUGUAAGUUUUGUUAUUAAUAGCUGGUUUCCUGUUAUUAUGAUUUCAUAAACAGUGAGAGGAUAUGUGCUCUACUUUUGGAGGGCCUCCACAUGAAAGAAAAUUGCAACAAUUGAAUUCUUCCGGAGGGUAUGGUAUUUAAUUUAUUUUCUCAGCUUGUUGUAAGACUAAUAUAUUUCCUUCAGUACCCAAAAGGACAGAAAUGAAUUACGGAAGGAAGUUUUUGCUGCUUUAUUUAGUGCUGCUGAGAAAUCUGAUGGAUUUCCUGAAAUUACGGUGAAGACGGAGUGGAGGUCCAACGCAUUAGGAAAGGUGGUGAGUGAACCGCCGGAGGAAUUAGUACCAGAAUACAAGGCUAAUGUGGUGCACUUGCAGCAAGAUGACCAGACCUGUAUGUGCUCUUAUAUUAACUAUAUUGGUUGGAUUUGUGAGUGUGUACAUUUUUGUGUGUAUACUCACAUUUGUAUUUAUGCAUAUUAACGUGUGUAGGAUUCUUGAUUUCUGCCACUUACUGGAGAACUAGUGGAAAGCUUUAUACUGAUAUAUGUGCUAUAACUAAUGGAAACUACAAUAUGAAUAUUUUCUCUCACCUGGAGAACUGUGUAACAGAUAUAAUUUGUGGCUCUGGAAUACUGAAGAUUCUGCAAUAACUAAUGGAAAAUAUGAUAUGAAUAUUUUUUCUCACCUGGAGAACUUUGUAACAGAUACAUUUUGUGGCUCUGGAAUGUCUAAAGAAUGCUUCAGUUUAGAUCAAAUAUCUUUUAGUUAGAAAAGAUAAAAUUCUCUGAAUCUGAAAGACUGAAACAUUUUGCAUAUUUUGUGAAAGGGAAGUAUCUGUAGAUACUAGCUCAUGCAUUGAGGUAAUAUCAAUGUUAAAGAAAAACAGCAAUAAUUUAUUAUACAGAAUUAGGUUCACUUGCUUUAAAUGCUGGUCUGAUCAACCAUAACAACCUGUAAUGGUCCUGCAGAAAUAUAUAUACGGGGAGAAACUAGCUAAAUUUUCCUUUCACUUAUGGGUUUGGUCUUUUUUUCCCCUAUUUUUCAGCUUUCCUUCUCCUGAAGUAUGUUAACAAUUGCAGAUAAUGACGAAGAGGACCGCUUCCAGGCUCUUUGUAGAGCUGUGAUGGAAUAUAGGGGCACAAUGAAAGAAUAUUGUAAGGUUGUAUGUACUUUCUCUCUUGUCAUUUAUGUUUUCUCACACAUUUUGUUUAUGCCCUGAACAUGCAGCUUUGUAUGUGUCAAUUGCCUUUUACGUUUUAAAAGCCAUAAAGUAAGAAUACAGUUCCUUGUCAGGCUAUUGAUGCGUUCGCUCAGAAGGGUCAUGUUCAAGCAGGAAAACUUCUAGAACAGGUAAGGUUUCCAUCUACAGCCAUCCAUUGACAGCAGAUAUAUUUUCAUUAAGCAGACACUGUUAGCAUUCAAGAUGCUGGCAGAUUCACUUGAUUCUUAUUAGUUUGUUUAGUGGCAAGGCAUAUAACCUGUAUUUCAAAGCCAAGUUGUGCUAUUGAUUAUGUUAACUUUAUUGUUAACAUAAAGUGAUAUGGAGGACAUAAUCAAUGUAGGAAAAUUAGGUGAAGAGAUGAUGUCAAAUCUUGAACCUCUUACAAAGCUCCAAGUUCUUUACUUGAAGAAGCUGCCAAAUUUGAAGAGCGUCUACUGGAAGGCAUUUCCAUUCCCAGAUGUAUGCAGAAUUUUUGUAUUAAUGCCCAGUUCUUAAGAACCUGCCACUGGAUUUUCAAGGGGUGGGCCAAGGUAAAAUUCUUAUCAAGGGAAAGGAAGAUUGGUGGAAAGAACUUCAAUGGGAGGAUCAAGCAACUCAGAAUGCAUUGCUUCCAUUUUUCAAAUCAACUGACAAGUGAUUGAAGGGGGCAUCAUCAACAUCAUCAACAGAGAUGGAGAGAUUCUGGAGCAGAUCAGCAGGGUUUGUAUAUGAUCUUUGGUGGUUGCUUUCUUUUGUGAUUUUUUUUUUCUUCCUGUCAUUUUAUCAUUUCUUUGUCUCUUUUUUUAUUGCUGAUGUUAGUGUAUGCUUACUGUUGCUUGACAAAGUUCGCUUGCUUCUUGUUUAUUAAAUUUUUUAUCGUCACAAAAUAUUACUUGUUCUAUUUGAGAGUGAUGUGAAUCAAUUUUCAAUUAUAUAUUUUGUGGUCAAUGUGAAUUCAAUUUCAUUUGUCUCCUGCAAUUAUGAGAAAACUGCAGAGUCAUAAUAUGGAAAAGUACACCAGCAAAAACUUUGUAAAAGCUUCGGAGUGAAACAGGGAAUUCACUUACUACUAAGAACAAUUGAUGGCGAGUUAUUCCAUUCAUUUUAUGUCCAUCUAUCUAUUUAAUUAUUAAAGAUAAAUGGUCCAUUUAUAAAUUUCAGAUUGUCUCUCUCUGAAAAUAACAAUAUUUAAAAUAUCUCUUAAAUUAUUAUAAAUUUUAAUACACUCUCGAUUUAAAAUGGAACAUGCUGAUGAAAUUGUUUUCUUCUUAAUAAAAUUGAAAUAAAUUGUGUUUGCAGUAGUUUGAAAUAUUUUAAAGAUUAUUAUUUUAUAAGGGAGUAAUAUGAAAUGAAAUUUACUUUUCAUGCGUGAAAUGUUGAAAAAGGACAAAGCAAGUGUCCCUGCUUUUAUUUUUAUUUUAAAGUGGAGUCAUCUCACAUACUUUAGCUCUAUCAUUACAAUUUUUCAGGUUACAUUUUUAUUAUUUAUUUAUUUUCUUUUUUACACAUGCAUGUGGGUUACUUUUCCGUAAGCUCCUCAAUAUAUAUUGAACCCAGCGAAGAAUGUUAUGGAAGAGCAAAUUAAUGAUAUUUCUGAUAGAGUCUAUUUGAUUAUGUAGCCUGAAUGGAUGUCUUGUUGAAAGAUAUCUCAGUGCAUUAGUUCAUCCUUGUCUGUCAAUGUGUUUUUAAUGGUUUUUCCAAUUGUUUAUUAUUAUAGAUUGAUUGUAAAUUGAUAUGAAAAUUUGAUAUGAAUUUAAUGUUGAAAUGUUUUCUCUUUAGUGGAAUGAAUUUAAAAGUGCAAAAGAUUAUUGCACACAGAGAAAUAAACAUAUAUGCUUUAUAACUUUAGCAAUCGAUUCUUUUACAGCUGGAAACAGAGAUGAUGAUUAUCAUAAGGAUGAAGAAAAGUAGUGCGUUAGACGAUUAGACUCUCUUAUUAAAGGCAAGUAUAAAGUAGUGAAGAAUCCAAUAUCUCUAUUGUCUAGUCUUUUGUUUAAUUCUUCUUUUAUUAUUUUUCAGAAUAAUUUUUGGUGAUUACAAUCGGGUUAUUAUUCAGAGUUAUUGUUAUCUUCUGGGGCAGUUUCUGUUCAUCGAAUUCAUUAAUUAAAAUUUUAGAACUCUUAUCAGAAGAAUAUUUUUCGGUUAUCUUUUUUAUGUUCUAAUUCCAAUUGUAAGAAGUAGCCAUUUUAGAAUUUGGGUCUUGAAUCGAAUUUCAAUGCAUGAAUUAAUAUUAAAAAAAAAAAAUUCACUACUCGCAGUUUAGGUUACAAAUUACUUUUUGGAAAGUUGACUUUGGAAUGUUUGCAAAGAAAGAGACUAACAUAUUUCCAAUUACACUAAAUCUCUAUUAUGAUAAUGUUAAGACUAAAUUAAUUUAAAUAAUUUUUAUUUGAAAAUUAUAUCAAACGCAGUCUAAUUUUAUUAAUUUUAAGAAAUAAUAAUUAUAAAAAUUAUUGUUCUGACUUAAUUAAUACAAGUGAUAUAAAAGUUAAGUGUGCACUAAAUCUGUUUUAAUUUUUUCCAGUAUAACUAACAGAGGUCAUUACUAGAAUUAUAUUACUAGUCUAUUAGAUAGAAAAAAUUACUUAUAUUGUUUUAUAUUUAUUAAAAAAUUUAAAGCCAAUUUUUUUAAUUACUAUUUAAAGAAUAUUAUAAUUUGAAAAAUUUUAAUAUCUUUAUUAAAAAUUUAGAAAUUUACAGUCCUCUAAAUAUUUAAGGCGUAACUGUCAUUUUCUCAAGAAGCUUUAUUUAAUAUUAUUGAUUUAAAUAAUAUCUUAUUAAAAAUGUACUGAGGAGAAAUUUUGGUGGGUAUUUUAGUCUUUUCAGCAAUCAUCAUGAUUAACCUUUGGUUGGCCUUGAAACGUCGGUCAGAAAAGUUUUAAAAUGCUUAAUUGUUUUUCACUGUUAACGUUAGUGGCCUUGAAAUUGCUUAUAUUUUAUUAAAAAUUAAUGCUAACAAGAAAAAACUAGAUCGUAUUCCACCCCCAAAGCAAAAGUGAUAAAACAACCGGCUGUAUUCUUUUAUUAAACUACAAAUUAAAAUGGAUUUCUUUAAUUAAAGUGGAUAUCAUUUAAUUAAUGUUUGAACAUUAAAGUUCUGAUAUAUAACCACUAUGCCGACCACCUAAUUGCUGCUAUUUAAUUUCGUUCCAGUUCUCUCUCUCUCUCUUUUUCUUUUUUUUUUGGGCCAAGCAAUAAAUAGUAAAAAUUCAAUAAAAGCAAUAUUAAUGCUGCAAGUGAGUCAUGUUAUUUAUUGUCAAUUAGGAAAUGUGAACCUAAUUUGAUUGCAUCCCUUUAAUCAUUUAAUAAUUAUGUAAGCACCAUCCCUUUAAUUAUUUAAUAACUAGAAAAUAGAACACUGCGUUUCACGCGGCUUUGAAAAAAGAAUUUAGUAUUAUCUUUUUUUCUUACUUUACACUUGAUGAAACUGAUAAAAAAUAUGAAUUGAUUUUUUUUAAAGAUGAGGCAGCCUUAUAAAAAAUAAAAAAAGCUAUUAGCCAGCAAUACAAAUAAAGAAGGAAUGCAAGAUAAAGAAUAAAAUGAGAGAAUAUAUUAUAGAGUGAUCUUAUUCAUUCUAAUUGUGUGUGUACAAAACAAAAAGAUGAGCUCUCCUUUUAUAACUACAUAAUUACUUCAUGAAAUUAAUGAAAAAUUAUGAAUCAUAAUUUCUUGUGAGAUAGUGGGAGUUAUUGGGAAGCUAAAAGUUGCUAAUGGGAGAUAGUGGGGAGACUAAGAGAUAUAUAUUAUGAACAUCUACAUUUAUUUUAAUAAAUUCAUAACACUCCCCCUUAAAUGUUCAUUACAAAGAAUAUGCCUCAUUAAAAUCUUUACAUAAUUGUUAUUGUGUAAUAACAAUCAAAUUAAUUAUAAGAAGAUGAAAAGCCAAAUCUAACAGAAAAUUUCUCUAUUUAUUAGAUAAUAGAGAAUAUAGCAAGAUGAGAAAUGGUAAUGCCACAUCAUCUCCUCACGUCCCAACUUUAUAUAUAUAUAUAUAGAUAAUAUAUAUUAUUCCUGUCCUACAUUCACAUAUUUAAUUGUCCUUUUGAAAAUAUUCAUGAGUUAGGCCAAGUAAAGUCAAAGAAAUUGGGAAAAAGGAACAAAAGGACAAACCUAAAUUAAUUGAACCUAAUUCAUGAAAAUGCACACUUUUGUGUUGCGGACGGCGGACCCUAAAGCUUCGUUGUUUGCAGCUGCAAUUAAUUCUUUUCCUUCAAAAGUUAGAGGCUCGUGUUUACAGUGGGUCCCGAAUCGGACGUACCUAAUAAAUCUUUUAAAAAAAUUUGCCGUAUAAAGGACAGAGGUCAUUACUGAAAUUUCUCUUCCACGGGCAAUUACAGCAGCUUCAGUUAAUCAAACUCAAAUCAAUUUUCUUUCUUAACAAAAUAUUCCAAAGAUGUGUAGCAUUUUUCAGAUCACAUGCGAUGGUGCUUUUUUCAAUCGUUGCUUGGAUUGCUUUCUUGGAAAAGCAGCAUACAUACGUAACCUCCAAGAUAAUCUUGUAGCCUUGGACACUGAAUUGGGAAAUCUGAUCGCUAAAAAGAACGAUGUGAUGAGGAGGGUUGUCGAUGCUGAACGGCAACAAAUGAGAAGGCUGGACGGAGUGCAAGUGUGGGUUUCGAGGCUCGAUGCUGUUAAAACUGAAGCCGAUGAACUUAUCACAGACGGCUCUCGAGAAAUUGAAAAAUUAUGUGUUGGAGGCUACUGUUCCAAGAACUGCAGGUCAAGCUACAAAUUCGGAAAACAAGUGGCAAGAAAGCUACGAGAUGUGGAGACUUUAAUCGCCGAGGGAGUUUUUGAGUCGGUGGCUGAGAGAGCUCCGGAACCUGUGGCAGAUAAAAGACCCACUGAGCCAACAAUAGUAGGCUUGCAAUCACAGCUUGAACAAGUUUGGAGAUGUCUUCUUGUAGAAGAAUCAGCGGGAAUCAUUGGCCUAUAUGGUAUGGGCGGUGUUGGUAAAACCACACUGUUGACCCAUAUCAACAAUAAAUUUCUUGAGAGUCCCACCAACUUUGAUUGUGUGAUUUGGGUCGUAGUUUCAAAAGACCUGCGACUUGAAAAAAUUCAAGAAGAUAUUGGGAAGAAGAUAGGUCUGUUUGAUGGUUCGUGGAAGAAUAAAAGUGUUGAGGAGAAAGCCGUAGACAUCUUGCGGAGAUUAGGAGAGAAGAGGUUUGUAUUGUUGUUAGAUGAUUUAUGGGAGCGGGUUGAUUUAACAGAAGUGGGCGUUCCACUUCCCAGCCCACAAAAAUACUACAUCAAAGUCGUAUUCACGACCCGUUUCAUUGAUGUGUGUGGUAGCAUGGAAAGUCACAGGAAGUUUAAAGUGGCAUGCUUAUCAGAAGAGGAUGCUUGGGAGCUGUUUCGAGGAAAAGUAAGGCAAGAAACUCUUGAGAGUCAUCAUGAUAUCGUUGAGCUAGCCCAAACUGUGGCCAGAGAGUGUGGCGGUUUGCCACUCGCGCUUAAAACUAUAGGUCGAUCUAUGGCCUACAGAAAGACAGCUAAGGAGUGGAGACAUGCAAUUGAAAUGUUAAGGAGAUCAGCUUCAGAGUUUGCAGGUUUGGGAGAAAAGGUGUAUCGUCUUUUAAAGUUUAGCUAUGAUAGUUUGCAGAAUGAUACGAUUAGAUCUUGUUUCUUAUAUUGUUGUUUGUAUCCUGAAGAUUAUGGCAUUCUUAAAUGGGAUUUGAUUGAUUGUUGGAUUGGUGAGGGAUUCUUAGAGGAAUCUGACAGGUUUAGUGCAGAAAACCAAGGAUACUACAUUGUGGGCACUCUUGUUCAUGCAUGUUUAUUAGAAGAGGUGGAAGAUGAUAAAGUAAAAAUGCAUGACGUUGUUCGUGAUAUGGCUAUAUGGAUAACCGGUGAAAUUGAGAAGGAGAAGCGAAACUUUUUGGUUUGUGCAGGUGCUGGAUUAAAAGAGGCACCGGAUGUUGAAGUAUGGGAAAAUGUGAGAAGAUUGUCAUUGAUGCAAAACCAAAUUGAAACUCUGUCAGAGGUUCCCACAUGCCCUCAUCUUCUCACUUUAUUUCUUGACUUUAAUAGGGAGUUGAAGACUAUUGCGGAUGGCUUCUUCCGAUGUAUGCCUUCUCUCAAAGUUUUGAAGAUGUCAAACUCUGGAAAGCCUUGGAAAGGUUUGGAAUUAAAUUUGGGGAUGCCAAAGUUGGGUUCACUACAGCUUCUUGAUAUUUCACACACCUGCAUACAAGAUUUACCGCAAGAAUUAAAGUUGUUGGUAAAUCUGAAAUGUUUGAAUUUGAGGCGGACAAUUUGGUUAAAUAAAAUUUCAUGGCAACUAAUAUCAAAUUUUUCAAGGUUACGUGUGUUGAGAAUGUUCGCUACUGGCUGGUUCAAUUUUCAUGAAGCACCAGAAGACAGCGUUUUAUUUGGUGGGGGUGAAGUUUUGAUACAGGAAUUGCUCGGUUUGAAAUAUUUAGAGGUAUUGGAGUUGACCUUGGGAAGUUAUCAUGCUCUCCAAAUUCUUUUCAGCUCAAAUAAGCUAAAAAGUUGUAUUCGAUCUCUUUACCUCCAGUUGACCGGAGAUACAGCGUUAAUUAUUGAUGCUACGGCUUUCGCAGAUCUAAAACACCUCAAUGAAUUACGCAUUGAGUCGGCUACAAAGCUGAAAGAAUUGACGGCUGAUUAUACAGAGAUAGUUCGAAAAAGGCGGGAACCUUUUGUUUUCCGCAGCCUUCACCAUGUUACUAUACAAAGCUGCCAGAAGUUGAAAGAUUCGACAUUCCUCGUUUUUGCUCCAAACCUCAAGUCUCUUUCGAUAGUCAAAUGCAAUGCUAUGGAAGAAAUAAUCAGCGUCGGAAAAUUUGCUGAGACUCCUGAGAUGAUGGGACAUAUAAGUCCUUUUGAAAAUCUCCAAAUGAUUGAUUUACUAGGUUUGCCACAUUUGAAGAGCAUCUUCUGGAAGCCAUUGCCUUUCACUCAUCUGAAAGAAAUAUCUGUGCGUUAUUGCCCUAAUCUUAAAAAGCUUCCACUCGAUUCCAACAGUGCAAAGGAGCGUAAAUUUGUUAUUCGUGGAGAAGAAGACUGGUGGAACCCACUUCAAUGGGAGGAUGAAGCCACUCAAAUUGCUUUUCGUUCCUGUUUCCAACCCUUGUUCCUGAACAGUGGUCGCAAAAUUUGAUUUCUGGUGAGUGCGUUUGUCUUUUAAAAAGAAUAAUUUAAAAGAAAUUUAUUCUUGUCGGUUUCUUCACUGUUUUUAUUUCAGUUUCUCUCUCUCUCUCUCUCUCUCUCUCUUUUUGUCUUCUGCAAAUCACAAUUACAUUUUUAUUCUUGUCGUUUUCUUCACUGUUUUUAUUUCAGUUUCUCUCUCUCUCUCUCUCUCUCUUUUUGUCUUCUGCAAAUCACAAUCAAAUGUUGAAUUAAUGGAAUUAAUGCUUCAUAAAUUUGCCGGCACUGCCAUUACUUUUUUUUGGGGGAUCGAAUUGAUACUUUAUUUAUAUCUUCUUAGCGAUUUAAUUUCCUGUCAAAAGACGAACGAGAAGAACAUAUGACUUAAACCAAUGCUCGCAUAAACUUGCUGUAAAAAGAUAUAAUCUCACUGAAAUGCACACGCCUAGAAUGAAUAGAAUUAAAACAGGGAAAAUAUUAAGUAUAUUAGCCCUCUUUACUGAAAAUCAAAUGACAGUAAAUUUUUUGAAGUUUUGAUUUUCUAUGGUCAAUUCCACCUUUUGCAAUUUCUUCUGUUCUAACAAAAACCAAUUUCUUUGUUCAAGUAUUUUCGUUUGGAUAUUAAUAAUUCUCCACCGAAAGAGUGAACUCUUGCUCAAAGGGAUCUCUAAUAAUACAUAACAUGAUUAUUUUCGUUUGAAUAAUUGAUUUCUUGAUUGAAUUGUCGUGUAAUUGAUUUAUGGGGGAUGACACAUCAACAUACUUGAAAAUACACUAAUCUCAGCAUCAUCGGUUAAUAACUUUUAGAUUUAUGGGUAAUCAAUAGUUAAGAUUAGUUGUCAUUAAUACUAAAUAAUUUUUACUUUUUUUGUCUCUUCUAGAGGAUCUUCUAGAAAAAUGCAUCCACAAUUAAAUUUAAUACUUUACAUAAUAAACAAAGCCUAAAUGUUAAAUUUAAGAAACUGCAUUGUAUUUCAGUUGAAGUUGACUUUAAUAUUUAGGGUAGAAAAACAAUUAAUUUUAUUUUUUGAAAUGUCCAUAUUCAGAGCACAUUUCAAAAAGACUCAAUAAUUUCUCAUAAAUUUCAAUUAAAAAUAUUCAAUUUGUUGUUUCAGUUCUUUUAUUUUUUAUUUUUUCCGACAUGAAAGCGACUUAAUGUUACUAAAUUGGGUGGUCUUUGGAUUUUCAUGACCCAAUAAUUGGAACAAAACAAUUUUCUCAAGCGCUCUCCCGCAACAUUUUAUAAUUGAAGCCGCUGCCCCGCCCGUGGUUUCAAACUUUUUUCUUUCUCCUUGUUUAAAUUAAUGGGAGCAGCCUCCGUCCUUGACUAGUUGACUGCUUGUCUUCUUUUUUUUAUUAAUUAAUUAAUUCAGCCGCCCCCCUUUCUUGUCCCAAUAUCUUCUACUUUCGGUUUCCUUUUAUUAUCUCUUUAUUUUUAAAAAAUGCUUAUAAUAAUAAUAAAAUAUAAAAUAUAAAAAUAAAAAUAUAAUUUAUCAGAAAAUUAAGAUAAAGAAAUAUUAUAAGCACAUCAAUCAACAAGUGAAAAAAAAACAAUUUUAAUUUACAUUAAAUAUAAACUUUCAGUGUUAAUCAACUUUUCUAAAUAACUAAAUUAAAAAAUUAAUUGAUUUAAUUGUGGUGUAAUUGAUUUGUAGGGGAUGAAUCAGCAGCAUCAUCGGUUAACGCUUUCAGAUUUAUAGUUAAUCAAUAGUUGAGAGUUGUUAUCACUAACGCCGUGUAUUUUUUAAUGUUUUUUCUCUCUCCUACAGCAUCUUCUAGGAAAGUGCAUCCGUUGCUAAAAUUUAGUAUCGUAAAUAAUAAACCAAGAAUAAAUAUUAAAUCUAAGAAACUGUAUUGCAUUUAAUAUUUAAGGGAGAAAAAUAAUUAUAGUGUCUUUAUUAAUCAGUAAAAAAAAAAAUUAGAAUCAUAAUAAAUUGUAUUGUUAUUGAUGUAUUUAUUUUAUUUUAUACUCAAAAUAAAUUAUUUUAAAUUAUUAAAAUAAUUUAAAAUUAGUAUUUUAUUUUAUACUCAAAAUAAAUAAUUUAAAAUUUUCAUUUCUUGUUUAUUUCGCAAGUUGUUAUUGCCUAAUGCUAUGUCAACUCGAACAUUAGCAUUUUUUUUUUUGGUCCUCUUUUAACGCAAAAUUAGUGUAGGUUAAGUAACAUAAUCAAUAUUAGGACAAUUUGAAAUCCCUAUGGGUGCGUUUGGUACACUGUAUUGUAUUAUACUGUAUUGCAUUAUUUUAAUGCUGAUGUAUUGUAUUAUGUUGUAUUGCAUUAGCACUGUAUUAUAACAAUGCUAUACAAUAUUUGGUGUUACAUUGUACUGUAUUAGAUUUUAAUUAUAUUAUAUUUAGUGUUACAAUUGUUGUAACAUAAACACGACCAAAAUAAAUUGUACUAAAUAAUCUAAGUAAGAGUUCUGUAGUAUAUGUAAUAAUACUAUUUAUAUUAUUAUUAUUAAUAAUUCUAAAUUAAUAUUAUUUAAUUUUAUUCAUAUUUAAAUAUGUAUUAUUAGUUUAUUAAAUUAUUUAAAAUAAUUAAUUUAUAUAUAUUAAUUAUUGUAACUUAAUUAAAUAAUGUAAUGCUAUAUUAUAUUUUUAUAUACUAUUUAAGUAUUUAUUAUUAAUUAUAUUUAAUUAUAAAUUUAUUAAUAAAUUAUAAUAUAAAAAUAAAAAAUAAAAAUUAAUAUUGUAUAAUAUUAUAUUAAAUUAAAGUUUUAUUUUUAUUACUAUUAUUAUAAAGUAAAAAAAAAAAAAAGGGAAGCUACUGACUUUUGAAACACAAAAGUCAGUAAUACAACCUAAUCACGAGGGGGGGCGCGGGUUUUGAUAAUGCGGCAAAAGCUGCAUUGUAAUGCUGCUCAAUGCAAUCCAUUUGAUCACCAAACACAGGUAUAUUUUAACUAAUGCUGGGCCCACAAAAUAAUACAAUGCAAUUCCGCAUGCCAAACAUACCCUAUGGGUGCGUUUGGUACACUGUAUUGUAUUAUACUGUAUUGUAUUAUUUUAAUGCUGGUGUAUUGUAUUAUGCUGUAUUGCGUUAGCAUUGUAUUAUAAUAAUGUUGUACAAUGUUUGGUGUUACACUGUACUGUAUUAAUUUUUAAUUAAACUAUAUUUGGUGUUAUAUUGUAUUGUAUUAAUUUUUAUAAUUAAUUAAAUUAAAUAAUUAAAAAAUAAUAUUUAUUAAUACUUAGAAAAAUAAUAAAUAUAGAAAUCUUAAUUGUAGAAAUUUAACAAAUUUUUUAGUAAAUAUUAAAAAUUAAUGAUUAAAUUUCUAAAAUUUGUAUUAUAAUUAUGAUAAAAUAAAUUUAUAAAAUUUAAUAUUAUAUGUAAAUAAUAAAUUUAGAUUAUAAUUAAUAUUAUAAUUGUUAAUAUAAAUUAAUAAAUUAUUAUUCAAUAAUAUUCAAUUAUAUUUUAAUUUACAAUAUAUUAUUAUUUUUACAUUUUAAUAUAUUAAUAAAUUUAUAAUUUAACAUAAAUAAUUAUAAAUUUAAAUAAUAUUAAUUUUAAAAUUAAUAUUAAUGUAAAUAAUAUUAUAAUAUUAAUAUAUUAUUUUUAUAUGAAUCAUUAAUAAAUAAAAUAAUAUUAUCAUAUAAUUUAUUUUUAUAUUUUAUUCAUUAUAUUAAUAUUUAAUAAUAAAAUAAUUUAUUUUUAUAAUAUUUUAAUAAAAUAAAUUUGCCUCAAUUGAGGCAUUAACUGUUGCCUCAAUUGAGGCAAAAAGCUUCCGCAUCCCUCGGGUUUGCGUAAUGCGGCCCCAUGCCUCAUUAUGCUGCAUUAUAAUGCAGCAUAAUGAGGUGUCAAAUUUUGCCAAACAUGUUCUUGGUAAUAAACUAAUGUGAAUAGUAGUAUAAUACCACAUAAUCUCAUGCACCAAACACGCCCUAUGUGUAUUAUUCACGGUAUCUAUGAGGGCUUAUCCUUUUGCUAGAACAAACUCUAGCAAAUUGUCAAAUGUGCUUAUCCUUUCCCUUGACGACUCAUUUUAAAAUUGUCACUCAUUUUAAAAUUGUCUUUCAAUGCACAAACACAGACAUAACCGCCGACAUCGAGCACCAAGUUUGGAAUUUAAUUGAUAAGCAUACAUUUGAUAAAUUAAUGAAAAGUUUGGAGAGUAGUUUUGAUCACCCUUGAUUAGGACGGUAUUACAAAAAAGAUCAAAAAGAAAACAUCGUCUCUCUUCACAAAAAUAAAUAUUUUCCGUUAGAAUUUAAUACAAUAAUAUUUUUUUUGAUUAAAAUUUAAUUAAAUACACAAAUAAAUUAUAUAUUUUUUAAAAAAAUUUACACCCAGUCACAAGGCUGGCUAUUAAACUUAAAGGGUGGAAGCUUCGGAGACUAAAGUUGGUAACUUCUCCAAGUGGUCUUAAGUUGACCGGAACUACCCAGACUUUAUGUUUGGUAGCCUAGACCUGAUCGGACCUAGGCCCAAGUUUGGUCUUAAAGUCCACAAUUAAAUUAAAAAAAAAUUAUUUGAUUUGUAAUUGAUUUAUGGGGAAUGAAUCCGCAGCCCUAAAAUUACACCAAUCUUGACAUAAUGACAUCAUCGGUUAAAAACGUUCAGAUUUAUGGUUAAUCAAUGGUUUGAGAUUUGUUAUCAUUAAUGCUAGAUAUUUUUUAACAUUUUUUUCUAUCUCUCUUCUCCUGAAGGAUUUUCUAGGAAAAUGCAUCCACAACAAAAAUUUUAAAUUGUAAACAAUAAACAGAGUAUAAACGUUAAAUCUAAGGAACAUCGCUGCAUUUCAGCUGAAGCGAACUUUAAUAUUUUACGGAGAAAAAUAAUUAAGUCUUUAAUGUGAUUUAUUGAUUAAUAUAUAUGACUAAUUUUUUAAAAGAAGAUGAAGGAUGAAGCUUAAAAAUAUAAAUUAUAGAAUUAAUUUAUCUCUUCAAUAAAUCUAAAGUUUAUUUUUUUUAUUACAUGCUUCUAUUUUAUUUUUAUUCCAUGUUAAUGAAUGGAGAUUUAAAUCCAUUUUGGAUUUAUAAAGAUGUUUAGAUAUUUAAAUCCACGUGUGAUUCCAAACUUGAACCUUUUUUUUUUUUUUUUCUAAUUAAUGCAAACAGCCGCCUCUUUGACUGCUUUUCUUCUUUGUUUAUUAAUUAAUUAAUUCAGCUGCCCACCUUUCUUUUCCUAAUGUUUUCUACUCCCAAAUUUUUUUAAGGACAAGGCUACGUUGCAGACGCUGUACCUAACAGCUGCACCUUCGCCAGCUUAAAAAAGGGUGCAUUUGGUAAGCAACUUUUCUUUCGUGUGCAUAUGUGUCCUGCCACCAUUGGGUGUGUACGUAACAGAUAAUGUACCGUAACAAGCUCCUAUUUUUAAAUUUGUUUAUAAUGAUAAAAUAUAAAAAUUAAGAUUAAAAUGUAAUGUAAUGUAAAAUUAAAGGUGGAAGAGUAUUAAAAUAAGGCUAAACCUAUGUUACGUUUAACGUAACAUACAUUUAAAUAUAUAAAAUAUCAAUGGAAACCCUCAAAUUUUAUGGAAACUAUAUUAAUAAAAUUAAAAGAAAUAUUUUUAAAUCUGAAAGAAGAAAUAAAAGAUAUAAAGCAAGAGAUAGGAAAACUAAAAAUAGAAAUAUCUGUAAAAGAAAAAGGAAAAGAAAAAUUAGAAAUAAAAGAAACAACUCCAACUGAAUCGAAUUCAGACUAAUGGAAGAUGUAUUAGAAACUUUAACUGAAAAAUUCAGUGACAUAAAUCUUAGUGAUUUAGAAGACUUUGAAAAAGAAUAUUAGAUAAAAAUGAAUACUGCUGGAGGACCAGAAAUGAAACCUAAUGUAGCAUAACCAAGUCAUAGAUAUGGUAUAAAUAAAAUGAAAAAUAAACCUUUUUACGAGUAUAUACCUCCUAUUAAAAAUACUCCUUGGAAAAAAGAAUACAAACCAAAUCAAGAUACAUUAACCCCAAUAAAUAAUGCUGGAACAUUUUUAAAUCUAGAUUGUAAGAUAGACAUUCGAAAGGCGUUAGCAGAAUGGGUGUUACAAAUGAAAUUAUUUUUUAUAUUUAACGGGUCAAAGGAUGACUAGAAUGUAGAGACUGAAGAAGAAAAAAUAGAUAUAUUUGUUGAAAUCUUAAUAGCCAGUUUUUCAGGAAAUGUGUUUAAUUGGUGGAGAGGAUUAAGCGAUGAUACACAAAACUUAAUAAAAGAUUCAACCAAAUAGCAUUUAGAAAAAAUAAAGCCUUAGGAAUGGAAAGGAUAACUGAAUACAUAGCUAGUGAAUUUUUAGGAGAAGAUUGGCUAGAAAAAUCGGGCAUAUAUGAAAAUUUAAAAAUUUAUGAUAAAAAGAUCUUAGUGUUUUUAUUAAAAAAUUAAAAUUUACAUGACUAUUUCUUUAAAUAUUUAGGGCAUAUAUGAACCACGGAGGAGAAAAGCUUUAUUUAAUAUUUUAGAAUAGUUUUUGAUCAGUACAAUUGGGUCCUUAUUCAGAAUUAUUGUUCUCUUCCGCAACAGUUUUUGUUUAUCAAAGUCGUCAAUUAAAAUUUUAGAAUUCUUAUCAGAAGAAGUAGUCGUUUUAGAAGUUGGGUCUUGGAUCAAAUUUCUACGAGUGCAUGAAUUAACAAUAAAAAAAUUUCAUUACACACGGUUUAAGCUACAAACUACUAUUUGCACAGUUGACUAUAAAACUUACCUCCAAUUACACUAAACCUCUCUAUUUGGUAACGUUGAGACUAAAUUAAUUUUAUUAGCAUGAAAAGAUGAUAGAAAUAUAAUUAUAAAUAUUAUUGUUGUUAAUCAAUUAGUACAUGUGAUAUAAAGGUUAAAUGUGCACUAUAUUUAAUAAUUAAUUAGUGGAGCAUGUUAAACAAAAUGUUAAUGUAUAUUUAUAUAGUGUUAGGAAUAUGCAAAGUCAAGUCCUCAAUUUGCAUUAUCCUGUAUAGAAUAUUACUCUAAAAAUGUUUUACUAUAAUUGGCUUAGAACAUUUGUAAAGAAAAAUAAUAAUAAAAUAAUAAAUAACAUACACCGUCACAUAGCACCUAGACAAUGAUAGAAAAUUAUUAAAGAGAGUGCAAACAAUUAAUUAGAGAUUUUUAUGAUGACUUUUAAUAUUCAUGAUAAUAACAAAUAAAUACAUGUAUCACUUUUUUAAAAUAUUAAAUUUGACUGCUCCAUUAAUAAAUUAUUAUUGUAAUUCAGACUCUAUCUAUAUAUCCUUGCACUAAGAAUAAUUAAGGUAACGUUUGUUUUUUAACUUAAUGACUUAAAGUGACUUAACUUAAUUAAUUAAGUUAAUUAGAGGUGUUUGUUUUAUAACUUAAUGAGACUUUUUAGAUAAUUUUGACUUAAUAAAAUAAGCUAAUUUUUUUUGGCUUUUUACUUAAUGGAGAAAUCUGAAUUAAGUCAAUUACUUGCUAAUGUCAAAAAUAUCCUUGUUUUAUAAUUUAUUUUUCAUGUCUAUCCCAAAACUCGCCCGUAGAUAUUUACCCCACAUAAAAAUAUCCCUGUUUUUUUCUUUCUUAUAUUAUAUACGAUAAAAUUUGAAAUUUAUAGUAUUUUAUAUAUUAAAAUUCUAAAAUAAUUAUGUAUUCACUUGAAUAUAGUUUUACUUAUAAAUGUUAAAAUAUGAUGGUAUUUAAUAUAUUAUUUAUUUGACAUUCAAAUUUAAUAAGGAUACAAAUGUAAAAGUACAUAUUUUCAGCUUUUUAAAUUGAAAAAAAAUAACUUAAUAUUUAUUUUCUGAGAUUCAGACGAAAAAAUAAACAUAUUAUUCAGAUUCAUACAUUCAGAUCUAUUCAGAAUUCAAACUAAUUCAAGUCUAUUCAAAUUUUAGACAAAAAAAUAAACGCCACCUAAGUCAUAAUAAAAAUUUUCGUAACUACAUCUCGUUUCUUCCUCAUAAUAAUAAUUAGAUUGGUUCGAAUAUUAUAACUAUAUAGAUUUAGUGUAUAGCCACAUCCAAUUUAAAUAUUGACCCAAUUGGGAUGGUCCCCAAAAAAAAAGAUUCGUUAAAGGAUAAUUCUAAUUAUUUUUACUUCUCAAACGUUAGUGGGACGUUUCUAUUAGCGCACUCGUAAGCCAAGUUGUCAAAUAUUUAUACUAAACUACAAUUGCUAACAAGAAAAAUCAAGAUCGUGUUAAGCAAGUGGGUCCCGAAUAGGACGUGCAAAUCUCUCGUAAGUCAAGUUGUCAAAUGUUUAUAUAAAACUAACAAUUACUGACAAGAAAAAUCAAGAUCGUAUUAAAAAUGGGUCCCGAAUAGGAUUAUCUUUUUAAGAAUAUUAUUAUUUUAUUAUUAAAAUUUUAUUAAUAUAACAGUAUUAAAAUUUAUUAAAAAAUAUAUUUUAUUAUUAAAAUUUUAUACCGUUAUCAAUUUAUUAUUAUUUUAUUAAAAAAAUUAAUAUUUAACAAAAAUUGAGAUAAAAAUUAAUUUUUGUUCUCUGUCUUUAUUUAUUUAUUUAUUUUUUUGGGUCUUCUGCAAAUCACAAUCAAAUGUUGAAUUAUAAAUUUGCCGGCAUUGCUUUUUUUUUUUUUUUUGGGCCGGGGGGUGGUGUUGAAUUGAUGCUCUGGGUUUUUGACUUUUGUUGUCAAAUUUUACUCUGUUUUUCCCAAAUUGAUGCUANNNNNNNNNNNNNNNNNNNNNNNNNNNNNNNNNNNNNNNNNNNNNNNNNNNNNNNNNNNNNNNNNNNNNNNNNNNNNNNNNNNNNNNNNNNNNNNNNNNNNNNNNNNNNNNNNNNNNNNNNNNNNNNNNNNNNNNNNNNNNNNNNNNNNNNNNNNNNNNNNNNNNNNNNNNNNNNNNNNNNNNNNNNNNNNNNNNNNNNNNNNNNNNNNNNNNNNNNNNNNNNNNNNNNNNNNNNNNNNNNNNNNNNNNNNNNNNNNNNNNNNNNNNNNNNNNNNNNNNNNNNNNNNNNNNNNNNNNNNNNNNNNNNNNNNNNNNNNNNNNNNNNNNNNNNNNNNNNNNNNNNNNNNNNNNNNNNNNNNNNNNNNNNNNNNNNNNNNNNNNNNNNNNNNNNNNNNNNNNNNNNNNNNNNNNNNNNNNNNNNNNNNNNNNNNNNNNNNNNNNNNNNNNNNNNNNNNNNNNNNNNNNNNNNNNNNNNNNNNNNNNNNNNNNNNNNNNNNNNNNNNNNNNNNNNNNNNNNNNNNNNNNNNNNNNNNNNNNNNNNNNNNNNNNNNNNNNNNNNNNNNNNNNNNNNNNNNNNNNNNNNNNNNNNNNNNNNNNNNNNNNNNNNNNNNNNNNNNNNNNNNNNNNNNNNNNNNNNNNNNNNNNNNNNNNNNNNNNNNNNNNNNNNNNNNNNNNNNNNNNNNNNNNNNNNNNNNNNNNNNNNNNNNNNNNNNNNNNNNNNNNNNNNNNNNNNNNNNNNNNNNNNNNNNNNNNNNNNNNNNNNNNNNNNNNNNNNNNNNNNNNNNNNNNNNNNNNNNNNNNNNNNNNNNNNNNNNNNNNNNNNNNNNNNNNNNNNNNNNNNNNNNNNNNNNNNNNNNNNNNNNNNNNNNNNNNNNNNNNNNNNNNNNNNNNNNNNNNNNNNNNNNNNNNNNNNNNNNNNNNNNNNNNNNNNNNNNNNNNNNNNNNNNNNNNNNNNNNNNNNNNNNNNNNNNNNNNNNNNNNNNNNNNNNNNNNNNNNNNNNNNNNNNNNNNNNNNNNNNNNNNNNNNNNNNNNNNNNNNNNNNNNNNNNNNNNNNNNNNNNNNNNNNNNNNNNNNNNNNNNNNNNNNNNNNNNNNNNNNNNNNNNNNNNNNNNNNNNNNNNNNNNNNNNNNNNNNNNNNNNNNNNNNNNNNNNNNNNNNNNNNNNNNNNNNNNNNNNNNNNNNNNNNNNNNNNNNNNNNNNNNNNNNNNNNNNNNNNNNNNNNNNNNNNNNNNNNNNNNNNNNNNNNNNNNNNNNNNNNNNNNNNNNNNNNNNNNNNNNNNNNNNNNNNNGAAGGGUCUCUAAUCAAUAGCUGGAAGCAAUUGAGAAGGCGGUUGCUACAGUGAAUUCAAAUGUAAAAUGUUUGCUAUUCUUCGAUUUGGUUAAUGAUUUCGUAUGAAUAUUGUUGUUCCGUUGAGUUGCAUGCGAAUUCAAAUGCAAAAUAUUCUUCGAUUUUCAAUUUUGAAAUCAAAUUUUUUUUUCCUUCUCAAGCAUGUUAUGCAGAAACGAUUGUCAUGUUAUGCAGAAACGAUUUUUACUAAAUCAUUUUUAACAAACUAUUGAAAUUAAACCACUGGAAUAAGAAUUGUAAGGAUUUAUCGUAAGCUUACUAAUACGAUAAUUCUGAAACUAUCACCUUUUUUUUUUUAUUUGUUGCAGGGAAACCCAAAUUUUGUAUUUUGUCAAUUUCAUCUGAUAUGGAAUUUAUUUCCUCCCUAAAGAUUUAUCAAACUGCUUCUCUUCCCUGCUUCAAUAUCUUUAUGCAAUUACGAUCUCAUAGGAAAAGAGAGUUUGGGUUGUAUAUCUUAUAGUAUUUAUUUAUUUUUUGUUAAAAGAAAUUUAUUUUAAAAUAGUUUAUAGCAACAGUUUUUAUUUAACAAUAAUGAGGAAGGAUUAUUAUAGGUUCAAAUAGUUGUUAGAACAUUAUAAAAAAGUCCAUUUACUAUCAAAUGUUUUAAAUUGGUGCAACGUGAUAAUUGUCUCAUAUAAUUUUUUAAGGGUAAAAACUCGUUUCAUUCCCAUAUUUUAAGAUUAUUACUCAUUUAGUCUUUAUAUUUUUAAAAAUGUUUCAAAACAUUCAUACCCUUAAAUUAUUAACAUCUCUGCUGUUACUUUUUAUUUUUUUUUGACUUGUUUUUACAAUAUUGCCCUCUUACAAUAAUGUUUCUUUUUAUAAAAUUAAUAAAAAGAAAAAAAAUUAAAUUAUCAAUUUAACCCCAAAAAUAAAAUAAAAAUAAAAAGAAUAAAUAUUAAUUUUUGUGAAAGUUUACAUGUGUCCAAAAUAAAUUUUAUUGUAAAAAUAAUUAAAUUGCCUUUUUUUUGGACAUUAGUAAUAAAAAAAUUAAUAUAUUAAUUCCUCAGCAGUGUGUUACAAAAAAGUAAAAUAUAUUAAUUUUGUUUUUAUUUUAGACAAUGAGAUAGAGAAAAGUACAAGAUAAAGGAAAGGACUUCAAAACUCACUGUUCAUCAUAAUGCCCUUUGCCUUUAAAAAAAAAUCAUUCUAAUAUUUUAUAACACAUAAAAUAUAAUCCUAAGAUAAAUAUAAUAAUACAUAUUUUAAACUAAUCUCGAUAUUUAAAAUAUGUUUUAAUAUUUUAUAAUCUAUCAGACAUAUUUUAUUAUAUUAAUGUAAAAUUUAUAAUAAAUACAAACAUAUUAUUAAAAUAAAUAUAUAAAAAAUAUUUAUUUUUUAUAUGUUUACACUGAGGACUCUCUUUAAUUCAUUUAUUUUCUCUCUCUCCAAACAGGUACUGUCUUCAGUUAGCAAUGCUAUGAUAGUAAUCCAAUUCUCUUCUCCCCCACCUGAGCGAGAUUUGAAUUUGAAUCCCUUGUUUUUCACCCACUCUGUUUUUUUUCACGCAAGAUUUGACAAUUUGAGUUAAAAAAUAUGGUCCAAAACUUGAACACGUAUCUUUUAAUUGUAAUAAAAGUUCUUUAAGCUUUGGAGAUGGCAUAUAUAUGGCUGGAAGUGUCCUUUUCUUUGACCUAGAGGCAGCACCAAGCUAUCCAGCAUCAUCAUUUUUCAAGUGGGUCUUAAAUGCCUAGAAACGUUGGUGUUUCUUGAUUUAAAGAUGACACAUGCUAUAAGUGUGAAUGGUUUGGCUAAGCCUAAAUUUAAAGUCUACUCAAGUCGCAUUCAGGAUCAUGGAAAUUGGAAAGGGAGAGAUGAUAGCAAGAUUUAUAAUAAACAAUUAACUUGGGUCCUCAGUGUACAAAGCAAAUGCCACGCAAGCGAUAGCCGGCCCAGCCCAGAAAACCCAGUGGCGAUCCCAGAGAUGGCCUCCUCUAACGAGUGCUGGGCCCAAAAAUCUUUGCGGGUUGAGCCCAGCUCCGGCAUAGCCCUUUUGAGCAGUAACAGUUGUCGAGACAAAAACCAGAAGACCCAACACUGUUCCAAUGACAAUGCAUACGGUAAACUCUGCCAAGAGCCUUGGCUUGUCUGGAGUCAAAAGCCAUCCACACAGAAGCAAAAAGGAACACAAACGAGCAAAUUAUCUCAAGCCAAAGGGCCUGCCUAGUCCCCAAGCCGAUCUCAACAGGCCCAUCUGGCCCAGGUACGACAACAUUCAGGGUGCAGCCUCCAAGUUGUCAAAUAUUUAUAUUAAACUACAAUUGCUGACUAGAAAAAUCAAGAUCGUAUUACAAGUGGGUCCCGAAUUGGACGUGCCUAAAUCUUUUUAUAAUUUUCCCAGUGUAGCGGACAGAGGUCAUUACUAAAUUUCUCUUCCACACGCCACAGCAGCUUCGGUUAAUCAAACUCAAUCAAUUUUCUUGGCUUCUCCGCUUAUCAAUAUUACAAGGUAUGGGUAGCAUUUUUCAAAUCACAUGCGAUGGUACUAUUUUCAAUCGUUGCUUAGAUUGCUUUCUUGGAAAAGCAGCAUACAUAAGUAACCUCCAAGAUAAUCUUGUUGCCUUGGAGACUGAACUAAGGAAACUAAUCGCAGCAAAGAACGAUGUGAUGACGGCGGUUGUCAAUGCUGAACGGCAACAAAUGAGAAGGCUGGACCAAGUGCAAGUGUGGGUUUCGAGGGCGGAUGCUGUUAAAAAUGAAGCUGAUGAACUUAUCAGAGGCGGCUCUCAAGAAAUUGAAAAAUUAUGUCUUAGAGGGUUCUGUUCCAGGAACUGCACGUCAAGCUACAAGUUCGGAAAACAAGUGGCUAAAAAGCUACGAGCUGUGGAGACUUUAAUCGCCGAAGGAGUUUUUGAGGCGGUGGCUGCCGAGGUGGUGCCUGAGAGAGCUCCAGAGCCUGUAGCAGAUGAAAGACCUACCGAGCGAACAGUAGUAGGCUUGCAAUCACAACUUGAACAAGUCUGGAGAUGUCUUGCAGAAGAAUCAGCGGGAAUCAUUGGCCUAUAUGGUAUGGGCGGUGUUGGUAAAACUACACUAUUGACCUAUAUCAACAAUAAAUUUCUCGAGAGUCCAACCAACUUUGAUUGUGUGAUUUGGGUAGUAGUUUCAAAAGACCUGCGACUUGAAAAACUUCAAGAAAAUAUUGGGAAAAAGAUAGGUUUGGUUGAUGAUUCAUGGAAGAGUAAAAGUGUAGAGGAGAAAGCUCUCGACAUCUUCCGGAGUUUAAGAGAGAAGAGAAUUGUAUUGCUGUUAGAUGAUAUAUGGGAGCGGGUUGAUUUAACAAAAGUGGGCGUUCCACUUCCAGGACCACAAAAUACUACCUCAAAAGUCGUAUUCACAACCCGUUUGAUCGAUGUUUGUGGUAGCAUGGAAGCUGACAGGAAGUUCAAAGUAGCAUGCUUAUCAGAAAAGGAUGCUUGGGAACUGUUUCGAAAAAAAGUUGGGGAAGAAACUCUUGGAAGUCAUCAUGAUAUCGUUGAGCUAGCCCAAACUGUGGCCAAAGAGUGUGGUGGUUUGCCACUCGCACUUAUUACUAUCGGUCGAGCUAUGGCCUACAAAAAGACAGCCGAAGAGUGGAGACACGCAGUUGAAGUUCUAAGAAGAUCAGCUUCGGAAUUUGCAGGUUUGGGAAAAGAGGUGUAUCCUCUUUUAAAGUUUAGCUAUGAUAGUUUGCAGAAUAAGACGAUUAGAUCUUGUUUCUUAUAUUGUUGUUUAUAUCCUGAAGAUUAUGGCAUUCUUAAAUGGGACUUGAUUGACUGUUGGAUUGGUGAGGGAUUCUUAGAGGAAUCUGACAGGUUUGGUGCAGAAAACCAAGGAUACUACAUUGUGGGCACUCUUGUUCAUGCGUGUUUACUAGAAGAGAUAGAAGAUGAUAAAGUAAAAAUGCAUGACGUUGUUCGUGAUAUGGCUCUAUGGAUAGCUUGUGAAAUUGAGAAGGAGAAGAGAAACUUUUUGGUUUGUGCAGGUGCGGGACUAAAGGAGGCACCUGAUGUUAAAAGAUGGGAAAAUGUGAGAAGAUUGUCAUUGAUGCAAAACCAAAUUGAAACUUUGUCAGAGGUUCCUGCAUGCCCUCAUCUCCAUACUCUAUUUCUUGCCUCUAAUAAUAGUUUGCAGAGGAUCACCGAUGGCUUCUUCCAAUUUAUGCCUUCUCUCAAAGUUUUCAAGAUGUCAAACUGCGGGAAUUUAAUUUUGGAAUUACCUUUUGGGAUGUCAAAGUUGGGUUCAUUGGAACUUCUCGAUAUUUCACAUACCUACAUACAAGAGUUACCACAAGAGUUAAAGUUGUUGGUAAAUCUGAAAUGUUUGAAUUUGAGGUGGACAAGCGAGUUAAAUAAAAUUCCACGGCAGCUAAUAUCAAAUUCUUCAAGGUUACGUGUGUUGAGAAUGUUGGGUACUGGCUGGUUCAAUUUUCAUGAAGCAUCAGAAGACAGCGUUUUAUUUGGCGGGGGUGAAGUUUUAGUACGGGAAUUGCUCGGUUUGAAAUAUUUAGAGGUAUUGGAGUUGACCUUGCGAAGUUAUCAUGCUCUCCAAAUUGUUUUGAGCUCAAAUAAGUUAAAAAGUUGUAUUCGAUCUCUUUACCUCCAGUUGACCGGAGAUAGAAAGUCGAUUAUUGAUGCUACGGCUUUCGCAGAUCUAAACCACCUCAAUGAAUGAUUGAUUUUUAAAGGUUUUGAGUUGGAAGAAUUGAAGAUUGAUUAUACAGAGAUAGUACGAAAAAGGCGGGAACCUUUUGUUUUCCGCAGCCUUCACCGUGUUACCAUAGAUUCGUGCCUUAAAUUGAAAGAUUUGACAUUCCUCGUUUUUGCUCCAAACCUCAAGUCUCUUUCGCUAUUCAAUUGCCGUGCUAUGGAAGAAAUAAUCAGCGUUGGAAAAUUUGCUGAGGUUCCUGAGAUGAUGGGACAUAUAAGCCCUUUUGAAAAUCUCCGAAGUCUUCGUUUGUCACAUUUGCCAAAUUUGAAGAGCAUCUACUGGAAGCCAUUGCCUUUCACUCAUCUGAAAGAAAUGGUGGUACAUGGGUGUGAUCAGCUUAAAAAGCUUCCACUCGAUUCCAACAGUGCAAAAGAGCGUAAAUUUGUUAUUCGUGGACAAGCAGACUGGUGGGACCGACUUCAAUGGGAGGAUGAAGCCACUCAAAUUGCUUUUAGUUCCUGUUUCCAACCUUAACUUGAUUUCUGGUUAGUGCUGUUUCCUUAACUUUUACAUAUAUUCUCGUCGUUUGCUUCGUGCAAAAUACUAGGUCUUUUGUUCUCUGUUUUUAUUUCGCCCAUUUUUUUUUUUUUUUUUUGUCUUCUGCAAAUGACAGACAAAUGUUGAACUAAAAGGAAUUAAUGCUUUAUAACUUUGCCGGCAUUGCUUUUUUCUUUUUCUUUUUUGAUUUUUUGGGGCGAGGGGGGAUCGAAUAGAUGCUCUGGUUUUUGACUUUUUGUUGUCAAAUUUUACUCUGUUUUUUUCAAAUUGAUGCUUGAAUAUUUGAAUCAAAUUAAUGCUCACGUAAAUUUGUUCAGUUGCCGUAAAAGGAUAUAAUUACACUGAAAUACACAAACUCUAGAAUGAAUAGAAUUAAACAGAGAAAAUCUUGAGUAUAUUAGCCGUCUUCACAUAAAAUCAUAUGAAAAUUAAAUUUUGAAGUUUUUAUUUUCUAUUUUUAAUCAUACCCUUUAUAAUUUCUUCUGUUCUAACUACAAUAAAAUUUUUGGUUCAAGGAUUUUUAUGAGGGGUAUUAAUAAUAGUCCACCAAAAGAGUGAACAGUUGGAUGCUGCCCUAAGGGUCUCUAAUCAAUAGCUGGAAGCAAUUGAGAAGGCGGUCGUUACUGUGUACAAAGCCAUGCAGUAUUUGCUAUUCAUCUUAGUAAUUAUGAAGCUUUGGUAAAAUUUUCAAACAAAGUUGACAUGUUAUUUUGAGAUUUGGUUCAUGAUUUUGUAUGAAUAUCGUUGUUCCAUUGAGUUGUAUAUGAAUUCAAAUGUAAAAUAUUCUUUGGUUUUCAAUUUUGAAUUCAAUUUCUUUUCUUAAGCAUGUUGUGCAGAAAUGAUUUCUACUAAAUCAUUUUUGAUAAACUACUUAAAUUAAACAACUGCAAUAAGAACUGUUAAGGAUUUAUCGUAAGCAGACUAAUAUGAUAAUUCUGAAACUAUCAUUUUUUUUUUCAAUUUGUUGCAGGGAAAGCCAAAUUUUGUAUUUUUCAGUUUUAUCUGAUAUGGAAUUUAUUUCCUCUACACUAGCUACCUAAAGAUUUAUCAAAUUGCUUCUCUUCCCUGCUUCAAAUUAAUAUCUUUAUGCAACUACAAUCUCAUAGGAAAAGACAGUUUGGGUUGUAUUUAUUAUAGUUUUUUUUUUCGUUAAGAGCAAUUUAUUUUAAAAUCGUUUAGUAGUAACAGUUUUUAUUGAAUAAUAAUGGGGUAGGAUUAUUAUAGGUUCAACUAGUUGUUAGAACAUUAUAAAAAGUCCAUUUACUAUCAAAUGCUUUAAAUUGGUGCAACAUGAUAAUUGUCCCACAUAAUUUUUAAUAAUAUAUAUGGCCCAUAAAUUUAAUAUGAAUAAAUGAGUUUCGAUAGUUAAAUUUGAUACGAUUAUUAAAUAAGUUAUAUCCAUGUCAAUUCGACUUAAAAUCUGGUAAAUUUAGAUUUAGAGUUUAUAACAUGAUAACUUGUUUUAUGACAUGAUUUACUAAUCAAUUAAUAUUAAAUUAUAUUUUAGCCAAUCAGAUAUGUGGUACAUUUGUCAAAUUUUAAAAAUUAUUUAUUUAUAUAUGAAAUAAAUUUGACUAGACUGUGUGUAGGUAAUAGUGCAUAAUUUCUAAAAAAAUGUAAUAAUAACACGUUAAAAUGUUAUUUUUAUGAAGAAAAAUUGAAAUUUUAUUAAAUAGGCGACACAAUAAUAAAUGGGUUGAGAUUAUUUACAUUUUAAGAAUUACUCUGAACAUUAUUUUAUUUUAUAAAUUUUAUAUUACAAAAACACCCAUAGUUUAAUUUACCAUUAAGAACAAUUUUGUGCGAUUAAAUAAAAUACAUUACUCUUUACCCUUUCACUACAUCGACAUAAAUCCUAAUUGUUAUGUUUCUAAUUUCUUUGAUAUGCUUAUUGAAGUCCACAUUAUAAUCAAUUUUAAACUAUUAUACCACUUAAAUACAUUUUAGAAUGAGAAGUUUGGUUUUCUUCAUGGGCUGCCUUGCUGAUGCUGUUAUUGAAACUAUCGAACUUAAUAAUUUUAUGGCCAAAAUGAUAUAUGUUGAACCAGCUUUUACAUCGAAUUCUACCACCAUAAAAAAUCGUACUUGUAACAUCUCAAGGUUCCAAUUUAUCAAAAGUUAAUCAUUCAUAUUUGUUAGUUCCUAACAGUCACAAGAGCGUACAAGCCAAUUUUUGUAGCUCCUUUUUCUGCAGUAGAUUCAAGUAUAUUAUUAUCAAGCAUUUUUGUUACACCCUUAAUUCCUUAUCAUCAUCCCUUCAUUCAGAGCAACUAAACAGAGGUCAAUGUCAUUAUGUUAGAGUUACGAGGAAGAGUACUGCCAAAAAAGUUCUUUGUAUGGGAUUUAAUUUUCUGGGUUUGUAGUGAUGAACAAAUUGAGGGUUGUUUUGGUAUUUUCAAGAGUGUAUUGAGUGAAAAUUAUUUUUAAAAAAUUUAACAAAUGAGUGUAAUGAGUAAAAAAGUGUUUAAAGUAUUUUUUAGAGUACAAAUAGCUCCACCUUAAUAAAUGAGUUCUUGUAAAAAUUGAGAUUAUUGAUAUAAUUAUUAAAUAGGUUGGAUUGAAGUUAGUUUAAUUUUGACAAGAUAAUAAGACGACGCGACACAAAUACAACCAACCAGUCAACCCAAAUUGCAACCUUUUACUAAUAAAAGAUACCUGUUUGAAAAGUAAUUAUAAGCUAUCUUCUUUGUGUUAUUUCUCUAAAAAUUUGCGGCACAAAUAUUAUUUCCAUGGAGAAAAGUACGAAAUACCCGCUUUCACUUCAGCAGAAGCAAAGCAAAGCUAUGAGCCAUCUCUGUAUAAUUGAAACGCCAUUGCUAAACGGUUCUUGAUGAUGGGUGCCACCGUGCCAGCGUUGUCGCUGAUUUGCAUGAUUUAUUAGUUGUUCAGAUGGCGGAUUUUGUACUGUCACUUUCAUUUCAUUCUUGAGAGCCACGUACAAUACUAGGUGGCAUUGAAGUUGCCCCAGUGGUUAGUUUUCUGAUUUUUUUUAAUUCAAAUUUUUAUGUUUUAGAAAAAUGUAAGAAAUAUGUAGAAAUGUUGACAGCUACAAUUUUGAAACUUUGCCUAAAAUUAUUAUCGUUGCUUAUUGUUUCUUAGCUAAAGAGAAAUCCUAGAAACAUGAAAUUAUUAUUCUAUGCUUGUUUUAAUAUUAUACAUUAGCAGGUUAAUUAAAAAUUAGACGUGAAUACAACAAGAGAUAAGUGGAGAGAAUUUGGUAGUCGACCGCAUUUAGAAUUUAAUUUUUCUUUUAGCUGCCGAUCAUUAAAUUUUAUAUUUCAGAAAAUUAUACCUAGAAUAUUUCAAGGAUAUACUACGAAGAUUAUGAAGGUUUGAUUACAUGUCACUAUCAAUUGCCUCAAUCAUUUGUAGUAAAUUAAUUAAUCAUUUUGCUGCAAAUGAUUUCCUAUUAAAAAAUUCAAGUCAGAGCUGAAUUGCACAGUAGUUAGUCGUGCUUGCAAUUCAAAUCAAGUAUUGUAUUUUCUGCCUGAUUUGGUUGAUUCAACUAUGUGCAUUUGCAUAAUGGAGAUGCUUAUGAACGUUGUAGUAUAGAAAUCGAAACGUCUUGUCUUUUGCUAAGCCCAGAAGCAAAGUUCUUUGUAUUAUACUCAUCAGUUUUCUUCGUUCUCUUCGUUGAAAUUUUAUCCAAACAGCGGUUUCUUCGAAUUUUUGCCCUCUCUUACAUUUUUAAAUCUAUCAAAGAACGGUUACCUGAGAAGAUUGCCAUCAGGUAUUUCGAAAUUGAUUUCACUACAAUACCUUAAUCUAUCAGAUUUUAAUCUAUCAGAUGCUCCCGUCACUCAGUUGCCAAAAGUGACAAAAGCCUUAGUAAAUUUUUAGAGUAAAAACUCAUUUAUUCCUUAUAUUUUAAGAUUAGUAUCUAUUUAGUCCUUAUAUUUUGAAAAAUACCUUGAAACAUCACUGCCAUUAAAGUAUUGAUACCCUUACCGUUACUUUUUAUUUAUUUUGGCUUAUUUUUACAAUAUUACCCUUUAAUAAUAAUUUUUUUGUUUAGACAUUAAUAAAAAUAAAAUAAUUAAAUUACCAAUUUAAUCCUAAAAAAUAAAAAUAAAAAUUUAUAUUAAUUUUUAAUUGUAAAAAAUUGUAUGCAAACUACCAAAUGUGCAAACGGUGCUUGCAAAAAAAUUAAUAUAAAUUUUUUAUUUUUAGGGUUAAAUUAGUAAUUUAAUUAUUUUAUUUUUAUUAAUGUCCAAAAAAUUAGUAAUUUAAUUAUUUUCUUUUUAUUAAUGUCCAAAAAUUAUUAUAAAAGGGUAAUAUUAUAAAAGUAAGCUAAAAGAAAUGAAAAGUAACGGUAGGGGUAUCAAUACUUUAACGGUAGGGAUGUUUCGAGGUAUUUUUAAAAAUAUAAAGAGUAAAUGGACACUAAUAUUAAAAUACAGGGACUAAAUAAGUUUUUAUCCUAAAUCUUUAAGUGUUUGAAUUGGAGUACAUAAAUUAUCUCUCUACAAUUCAAAAACAACAGAUUUGUUACUUUUCAACGCUACAGGUUCCGCGAAUAUUCAGUUGUGGUUAUCUUGUUGAAACACCAGAAAAUAGCGUUCUAUUUGGUGGUAAUGAAUUCUUGGUUGGGGAGUUACUUAGUUUAAAACAUUUAAAUGUAUUAAGCAUCGCCUUAAAAGGUUUUUCUACCGUCCAAAAAUUUAUGAGCUCCCAAAAGUUUCAAAGUUGUACAAAAUGUUUGGAGCUUAUAGACAGUGAUGAUUCAAAGUCGUUUGCCAUGGCAGAGUUGAAGCAUCUUGAAAAACUAGGUAUUUCAAAUUGUGGAAAUUUGGAAGAGUUUAAGUUCUGCUGUGUCGAAGUUGGAAAAACUUGAGAAGAUUUUUGUUUGAACAGCCUUCACCAAGUUAAGAGAAAGGCUUGUCAUAAAUUGAGGGAAGUGACAUGGCUUGUGUUUGUACCAAAUCUUAAGGUUAUUCAGAUAGAAAAAUGUAUGGAGAUGGAGGUUGUUGGGAAAGAGACUACCACAAGCAGCUAAAAAUUAAGCGAAUACAAAAUUCUUUCUCUCUUUGUGUGAUUAAAAUAGGAUGUGCACCACAAACAAAUAAGCAGAAAAAUAAACCAAUAAAUGCAAAGCAAAAACCAACCACAAGAGACACCGAUUUUUAAGUAGAAAAUUUAAAUUGGGAAAAAUCACAGGAUAGUAGUCUGAUAUAAACUUCUACUAUAUUAAUGAGAUUACAACACAAAUUCUUCUCCAGAUAAUACUAGAUGCUAACAAUAUUAAAAUUCUCAACAAUCUUAGUUUAUAAUAAUAGAUCUAAAAUCUAUUUCUUCAAUAAGUGAGUAUCUCAAAUAAUAGCUACUGAGAGAAUAAAAUACAGAUCAACACCAGUAGAAAUAUAGAGGGCAAUGUCAGGAACUUACCCUCCAAAUUUAGGACUAAUCAGAGCUAAAAUAACCUUUUGAUUGUUGAAUCAAAGAUUGAAAACCAAAAAAAAAAAAAAUAUCUCUUUCUCUCGCAGUGUCUUCUCACUUUCGCAAAAUGUCUACAGCUCUCGCGAUUCUUUACUUAUUUCCUUAGUUAAUUUCAUCCAAGUCCAAAAUUUUACAAUAAUUACACAUCAAGCAAAUUAUUUUGGACUUUGAACUUUUUGGUCCACUGAAGUGAAAUGGACCUUACAAAUCUCCCCCUCCAUCUCAUCUAAGGGGCACCACCAAGCCCGCUCUCUACUUACAGCUUUCCAGCUUCUCCUUGGGUAAUGACUUUAUCAUCAUAUCUGAUGCAUUCUUCGUUGUGUGAAUUUCUCCAAGCUGCAACUGUUUCUACUCAAGCACGUCUUGUAUCCAAUGAUACUUCAUAUCAAUAUGCUUCGAUUUCAAAUGAUAUGUUGAAUUCUUUGCCAAGUGGAUGACACUUUAACUGUCACAGUACACAACAUAACUAUCUUGAUUAACACCUAGUUCUUGUAGAAAAUUCUUCAUCCACAAGGUUUCUUUGUAACUUUCAGUGAUUGUAAUAUACUCUACUUCUGUAGUAGACAAAGCAACACACUACUAAAGUCUAGACUGCCAUGAAACUGCUCCUCCUACAUAGGUGAGCAAAUAUCUUGAUAGAGACUUUCUAGAAUCAACAUCUCCUGCCAUAUAUGCAUCCGUAUCUACUUGUAAUAUAGGUUUGUCACCACCAAAACAUAAACAUGCCUUGGAAGUGCCUCUGAGAUAUAUGACAAUCUACUUUACUGCUGUCCAGUGUUUUUUACCCAGAUUAGAGGAAAACCAGUUGACUACCAACUGUUGAAGCGUACCUCAAACUACCAACUGUUGAAGCAUAAAAAACUCUUUUUAUCUCUUGCUUCUCUUUCUCACUUAUGGGACAAUGCUUGAAACUAAGCUUGAAAUGACCUGCAAGUGGAAAAUAAACAUAUUUUGCUUUGUCCAUAUUAUAUCUUUUAAGAACUUUUUCAACAUAUGCUUCCUGAGAUAACCAUAAAUUCCCAGUUUUUCUGUCACGAGAAAUCUUCAUGCCAAGAAUUUGUUUCGCCGAUCCCAAGUCCUUCAUUACAAAAGACUUGCUAAGCUCUCUCUUCAAAUUGUCAAUCUUACUAGUAUCCUUGCCAACAAUCAACAUGUCAUCCACAAAAAGUAAAAGAAUAAUAAAAUCAUUAUCACUAAACUUUUUCACAAACAUACAAUGAUCACACAUUGUCUUGCAAAAGCCAUGAUUCUCCAUAAAAGAAUCAAACUUCUUAUACCACUGUCUUGGUGCAUGUUUCAGCCCAUAUAAAGUUUUUUUCAAUUUGUACACAAGUUCUUCUUUACCUUUGACACUGAACUCUUCAGGUUGUUAUAUGUAUAUUUCCUCCUUUAAGUCAUCGUGUAAGAAAGCAGUCUUUACAUUGAAUUGUUCAAUUUCCAAAUCCAAGCUAGCUACUAAUCCCAGAGGUGCUUGCUCAAUUGGUUCUGCUGGACCAUUAUUAUUAUCCUCUCCAGCUCCCCUAUGAUCAUCAUGAACAACAUGUGGAGAAACCGAAGUUGGAAUAAUAAGAAUCUCUGGAGAUGGCUGAGACUUAUCAUUUUUUUUUCAUCACCAACUAUCUAAUUUUUAAGAAACACAACAUCUCUAAUUCUGAUUACUUUUCUUGUCACUGGAUCCCAUAAUCUGUACCCAAAUUCUUCAUGUCCAUAGCUUAAGAAAAUACAUUUCUUGGCUUUAUCAUCAAGUUUUGAUCUCUCAUCUUUAGGGAUAUGAACAUACACUCUGCACUUAAACACCCUCAAGUGUUUAUAAGAAACAUCUUUCCCAAUCCAAACUCUUUUAGGUACAUCGUCAUCUAAUGGAGCUUAAGGAGAAAGAUUAAUCAAAUCAACUACAGUACGCAUAGCCUCCGCUCAGAAGGAUUUAUAAAGCUUGGCAUCAGAAAACAUACAUCUGACUAUCUUUUCAAUUGUUCUGUUCAUUAUUUCUGCAACACCACUCUGCUGAGGGGAUUUUGGUACAGUUUUCUUAAGUUUGAUUCCAUGAGAUCUGCAAUACUGCUCAAAUGGUCCUCUGUACCCACCAUCAUUUUCUGCCCUGACACAUUUCAAUUUUUUUCUUGUCCCUCUCUCAACAUAAGCACGAAAGAAUUUAAACAUAGUAAGCACGAAAGAAUUUAAACAUAUCAAGCACUUAAUCUUUAGAUUUUAAAGCAAAAGUCCAUACUUUUCUAGAACAAUCAUUAAUAAAAGUCAUAAAAUAAAGUGCACCUCCUAUUGAUCUAUUUUGCAUCAUGCAAAUAUCAAUGUGAAUCAAAUCAAGGAUUUGUGACUUUCUAGAUGGAGAAAAGCUUUUAAAAGUUACUUUAUGUGCCUUUCCAGCUAAACACUAAACACAAGUCUUGAGGGACGUACCUACAAAGCUUGGUAGAAAUCCUUUUUUGGCAAGAGUUCCUAACCCUUUCUCACCAAUGUGACCAAGCCUUUUAUGCCAUGUCUCAAUGUCAGAAUUGUUUACAGCCAUAUUCAUAUAUUCUUUCUUGAUUUUGGCUUCUAUUACGUAGAGGGUGUUCAUUUUCUUUCCUUUAGCCAACACUAGAGAGCCUUUGGUGAGCUUUCAUUUUCCUUCACCAAAUUAGUUAGUAUAACUAUCAUCAUCAAUUUUUCUUGUGGAGAUCAAAUUAAGACGAAUAUCUAGUACAUGCAAGCUUUUUUGUGGAGAUCAAAUUAAGGCGAAUAUCUAGUACAUGUCUGACAUCUUUAAGGAGUAGCUUAUAGCCAACACUGGUUUGAAGCAAAUAUCUCCUAUGCCCACAAUCUUGGAUGCCCCCUCAUUUCCCAUCCGAACAUGGUCAUAAUUACCAUUAACAUAGGAUGUGAAGUAAUCAUGAUGUGCAGUUGUUGUGCAAAUUUUAAUGUACUCGCAAGCGCACGAAUCUAUUGUAGUAUAGAUCAAUGGUGACGAGUGUCGAUCCCACGAGGAGGUGGAUUUUAAUUGUGUAUAGAAUUAAUUUUGCAAAUGGUUGAUUGGAUUUGUGGUGGAAAUGAUUUGGAAUAUGCUAAAACUUAAAUUAAAAUGGCGAGAAUAAAUUCUAAAAUUGGAAUUGAAAUUGCGAGAAUAAAGUUGAAGAGAAUUCUAUUGAAAUGACGUACUUGGGUAUCUGGAUCCGUAUCAACAUGCAUCAUGGGCUAAAUAAUGCGUAUUAAUGCCAAUUAAAUCAUGAGGGGGGAAUCCACACCUCAUGAACCACGCUCUAAUCAAUAUGGUGCUAAGGGCUUAUCGUGCCAAAUAAUAAUAACCUUGUACUAGAGAGCCGGUGUAACCAAGGCGGUACUAGACAAGAUUAGUAUUAUUUGUCGACGAGAAGUCAAAACAUCCACAAAAACUAGAGGGGAAGAGAAAAUAAAUUUACCAAAUAAAGCCCAUGACACAUGUUGAGACUUCACCUUCAACCCAAGCUUAAAAGAAAAUUAGCUACUCAUAAUUGAACUAAGGGCAAAAUGGGAAUUUAUUAAAAUACGAAGAAAAUACAAGAUAGAGAGGGAAUUACAGAAAAUGGAUCCCAAAAAUGGAUUCAGAGAUAUCAAAUUAGGGGGGGAGGCCCCCUUUUUAUAGAUACAUGGAGUAAAUCAUGGCAAUCGGAUUAAAAACAGUUUGGACGCUCAGGAUUGCGCCACGUCAUCAGUCAACAGUCCACGGUUUGACCACGCGGAUGAACAGUAAUACGGUUUGACCCAUAUGAACAGUACGCGGUUUGACCCGGAUGAACAGUAACGCGGUUUGGUUGAAAAUAAUCCUGUGUGAUGCAUGCACCGUACGCGAGAUUUUUUGUCCACUGAUAUGCUGCCACGUCACCAUCAACAGUACAUAAGAAUUUUAGUCCAACAGGAUCGUGACACCUCAUCAGUCAAUGCCACAUCAUCGAUCCGUCUAUGUGAGCAGUGCCGUGAACAGUAACAUAUACAGUACCGUAUACGUGAAUAGUACCGUACAUGUGAAUAGUGCUAUUUUUCCUUUUAUGCUCCUCCUAAGGUUUUCGACCGUCCUGAGUUCAAAAGUGAUGUCCGUUUUACCGUCUGAUCUCUCCUUUAUUGUGAAAUCACUAUAAUACCACUAAAAUACAUAAAAUACUUAAUUAAAAUAAAACACAUGUAAUUAAAUCACAAGAAGGUUAAAUACAUAAAAGUAAGGGUUGUUAGUAAGACUUGAAAUGUAAAAUGAUGGUUUUCUCCUUUAUAAAUAUGCAUUUUCUAACACUCAACAGCAGUAACCACGAUGUGCAGUAACAUCAAACGAAGCACCCGAAUCAAUCACCCAAUUACUGGUAUGGCAAGUAAGAUUUAUAGAGCUAUCAUUAUAAGCAAUGCCCAUAUCACCAUUAAUUACGGCUGUAACAUUCUCUUUGUCAUUUUUCUGACCAUCGCCUUUUUCUUUCGCAUGUUCUCUUUUCCACAAUUUACACUACCUUUUUACAUGGCCCAUUUUCUGACAAUGAAAGCACUUAGCUUCUCCUAUGGGACUUAGAUCUUCCUCCAGGGUUAUCAUUAUUCUGAUGACGGAAAUUUCUGCUUCGACUUCUCCCCCGUCUUUUUUGGUUUUCUGAAACAAGUGUAGCUGACUCAGAGGGAACUACUUCAGCAUUCUUUCUUCGAGAUUCUUCAUUCCGCAGUCUAUCUGUAACCAUAUCCAAGUUUAAUUUACCAUUCGGUGCCGAAUUAUUCACUGACACCACUAAUGUCUCCCAACUAUCAGGUAAAGAACUAAGCAACAACAAUGCUUGUAACUCGUCAUCUAGAAUAAUCUUCAUAGUAGUCAACUGAUCAACCAAACCCUGAAACUCACUAGUGUGUUCAGUAAUACUGUGGCCUUUUUUAUAUUUCAAGUUAACAAGCCUUUUCAUUAGAUUGACUUUAUUUUGUGCUGUUGGCUGCUCAUAAAUUAUUUCUAAUUUUCUCCAAAGAACAUCAGCCUUGGAUUCCUUCGCGACAUGAUGGUACACACUCUGAUCAAUCCAUGACCUAAUAGUGCCCACGGCUUUCUGGUUCAAUUGAGCCCAUUUCUUAUCAUCUAUAUCAACAAGUUUAACUUCAUCACCUUCAAUAGGUUCAUGUAAGUCUUUCAUGUAGAGCAAAUCUUUCAUUCUAGACUUCCAAAUAUCAUAAUUCCACGACUCAAUUUAAUCAUGAACGCCAAAGACUCCUCUAUUUCAACCACAUAAGUAAUAAAAACACACAACCUGGCUCUGAUACCACUCUAUUGGGAAAACGACUACCACAAACAGCUACAAAUUAAGCGAAAAUAAAAUUCUUUUCCUCUUUGUGUGAUUAAAAUAGGAUGUGCACCAUAAACAAAUAAGCAGAAAAAUUAAUCAAUAAAUUCAAAGCAAAAAUCAACCACAAGAGACACCGAUUUUAACGUGGAAAAUUCAAAUCGGGAAAAACCAUGGGACAAUAGUCCGAUAUAAAUUUCCACUAUAUUAAUGGGAUUACAGUACAAAUUCUUCUCCAGAUAACACUAGAGGUUAACAACAUCAAGAUUUUCAACAAUCUUGGCUUACAAUAAUAGAUCUAAAAUCUAUUUCUUCAAUAAGUGAGUAUCUCCAAUAACAGCUAAUGAGAGAAUAAAAUAUAGAUCAACACGAGUAGAAAUGUAAAGGGCGAUGUCAGGAACUUAUCCUCCAAAUUUGGGAGAAAUCAAAGCUAAAAUUAUUUUUCGAUCGUUGAAUCAAAGAUUGAAAACCCAAAGAAAAAAAAUAUCUUUUUCUCUCGCAACGUCUUCUCACUUGCGCGAAAUGGCUACAUCUCUCGCGAUUAUUCACUUAUUUCCUUUAUAUUUUUUUUGGUUAAUUUCAUCCAAGUCUAAAAUUUUACAAUAAUUACACAUCAAGCAAAUUAUUUUGGACUUUGGGCUUUUGGUCCACUGAAGUGAGAUGGACCCUACAGAAGCAAUAAUCAGUGCAAGAAAAUUAAGUGAAGUUCCAGAGAUGAUGGCAGAUCUAAACCCUUUUGUAAAACUCCAAUAUCUUGGCCUCCGAAUUCUACCAAAAUUAAAAAAGCGUCUAUUGGAAUGUGUUGCCCUCUCCACAUGUCAGGGAAAUUUUUGUAUCUGAAUGCCCAAUUCUCAUUAGAGGAGAGGAACACUGGUGGAAUAAGUUGCAAUGGGAGGAUGAAGCAACCUAUAAUGCUUUUCUUCCUUGUUUUGGAUCCAUUUGAUGGGCAUCAACAUGGAUUAAUAUUUUGCAGCGAACCAAUUUGAAUAAAACUUACGGUAAGUGCUUUUCCAUUUAUUGCAUAUUUAUAUCUAAUUUUUGUUUUCCUUUAUGGUUAAAUUUUGCCCUGUAUAUGUUGUUGUACGGUGACAUUCUUGAAUCAAUUAUUAAUUUUUUUAAUUCUCGUCUCACAACCACCCUUUUGAUCAUGAGGAUAUGCCGAUAUCAAAGAGUCAUAAUUUGGGAUACAAAUGUAAGAAUUAGGCAGAUGACAUGUUGUUUCAAAGCUUUCGAAGAAGGACUAAAUAUGUCAUUGAAAGCCUCCAAUUUUGCGACUGAUUUUUUUUUAAUUUGUUAUUUUUAUAGGUGGCAAAAAUACCCGUCUGAUUUGGACUCGGCUGAUUUGGGCCGGGUACGGAGUAUGAAGCCGGGUUGGUCCUGGGCAUCACUUGAAACUCGGAACCUGGAUUUUAUUAAAAAAUAUUAUAAAUAUAUAUUAUUUUAAAUAUCUAUAUUUAUUAGACUCAUCUAUUACAUAUAUCUAAUUUCAUUGAAAUAAAUUUAAAAAUUAUAAAAUUACCAAUAUAUAUAUAUAUAUAUAAUAUUAAAAAAGUAUAAAAUCUGAGUCCUCAGAUUAAAACCCAGUUCAAGUGUCUAAAAAAUACAUGUGGACCGAGUUUGAACAUUGCGAUACCCAGACCCAAACUUGGGUUUUGCCAACCCUAGUCUUUUAAAUUGCUUGAUUGUAAUGUUUUAGUAUAGAAAAAUGAUAGCCAAGACAACAAUAAGAGGGCACAUUGUGCAUGCACAAUAGUGGAUAAUUUCGGCAUUCCAAAUCCAAUUAGGGUGGAUAACCUUUUAUUAGUAUUAACCUUCUCUCGUAUUCAAGUAAUGUAAAAUAUGCUUAGAAGCUGUGGAUCCCCCUUUAUAAGUGUUGGGCUUAUGCCAAACUCGAUUGAUGUGGGAUGCCUUUAUAGGCAUCAAGUUUUCUCCCAUACACUUUAUGUUAAAAAUAAUAAUGAUAAAAUAAAUCCAUUUUAAAAUAGACUUCUUUUUCUUUUCUAUAUAAACAAACUCAUUCUUCAAAUCAGUUGUGGGUGGAAGGAGUGAGUAGAGAAGAACUGGGCCCCUUUCGUUCCUCUAAAAACCUCACCAAACCUCUCUUGUAAGCUUCUCAGUGUCCCUCUCAAUAUUUCUUAUGAUCUCGUUUUUUAUUGAAUCACUUCUUUUGUGUGCUGCAUUUUUGUGUGUCGUAUUUGGGUUUAUCUUAUCUGGAAUCCUGUUAUGAUUGAUGGAACAAGUAAUCGAUUUUUGGUUUAUUUGGAAUGGAAUUAUGGUUUAUUUGGAAUGGAAUUAUCUGGGUGUAACGGAUUAAAUUAUGACAUUGGGGAGAAGGCACUAAGGGGUUUGCUUGACACAUUUGGUUCUGUGUUUACUCUGAAAGAAAUAGCUUUUGCUUAUCGUAAUGCAAGGCGAAAUCCCGAUUUGGGUGGUGAAUUUCUCUAUCCCAAUUGGGCUGGUGAAUUUCUCUGUGACAAAUAGGCAAACAGCUCAACCUCUUUUAUCUAUCUUCUACUAGUGAGGCAAGGGAUAAAAAGUCUUCAAAAUCAUCAAAUAGUAACAUCUUCGAGAAUUCAUUUUAUGCAAAUGGAAAAUCUAGACCUUCUAAGACAAAAUGGCGUCCAGUAUCAAGAGGUACCGUUUCAAGUUUUCUUGGUAAAAAUUAUGUAAACUUGCACAGCCAGCUAAUGGCACUUUUCUAGUUUUCUGGCAUCAAAGCCAUUGAAGUCGUAUCCAAAGGAGUUUCCCAUGUCUGCACUUUGUGGAGAAGGAACUAAACAAAAACAAUCAAAGGAUGACCAUUUGCAGAAGGAUGUGGAAGAUUUUCUGUUUAAAUUGCUAGGAGAAGUGUUCCAGCUGAAUAGGGAUGUGAUUCGGGAAGUUCCAGUAAUGUCUUAAAUAUGUUGAUGCCAAUUUAAUAUAUAUUGUCAUUUUCAAUGUUCUUUCUUUCUUUCUUUAUCUUCUUUUCUUCUACUUCUUCUUCUUUUUCUUUUCGUGUGCAUGUGAUCACUAAUUUGUUAUUAUACUUAACUUGCAGGUAGUUGUGGAUAUGAUAUGCAAAAGGUAAGGACUAUAUCUUCCUGAUAGAGGCCUCUGCUUUUUCCCUUUUAUGUAAUUUAGUAAAUCUCAUCUCCCUUUGUGAUUGUUAUAUCAUAUCAAAGUCAAGUCUUAAAUACUGCUGUCAUAUGUUAAGGUUCAACUUGCAUUUUGACUAACAUCCAUUUGUUGUCGCUUCCAAAAGUGAGAAUGAGAUACUUCGGUUAAUUUCAGUAGUUGAACCCAAUCGAGUACUUUAUCUAGAUCUUCAUGGUUCAAAGGCCUGAAACUUGCCCGUGAUUGUAAAAUGAUAUUAUGUGCUUUUAAUGCAAUAGGGGGAACAAGGUGUCAAAGGAAUUAGCAGAUUCUAUGGCAGAUUCUAUGCCUGUACAACUGUAACAAUUAUCCUUAUGAUUGUAAAUCUUAUAUGUUUUCCUUAUUUAGGAUAUACUAGCUGUAGGCUAUUUUAGAUAGUUAUGUAUAUGAUAGUUUAGCUAUGUUUAGGGCUAAACAUAAGCUUGUAUUCAUAGUAUAUAAAGGGAAUUCUCUUCUAAGAGAAAGCAUAACUUUUGCUCAAAAUUCUCUGAGUUUAUCAUGGUAUCAGAGCCUCAGUUCUGAAUUCUCUUCUUCCUAGUUCAUUCCCUUGUUCUUAGUUAUUCUUUUUUUUAUCAAGUUAUCUCAGCCUCAUGUCUUCAGACAAGUAUGAUGCUUUUUUGAUCCGUUUUAAUGGCACAAACUACUCAGCCUGGGCAUUUCAUUUCGAGAUAUUUGUCAAAGGCAAAGAUCUAUGGGGACAAGUUGAUGGCAGGAAACCUGCCCCUGAUAAAGAGAUAGACCAGGAUGGGUACGCCAAGUGGGAAGUCAAGGAUGCUCAAAUCAUGGCAUGGAUUCUAGGAUCUGUGGAAUCCAACUUCAUCUUGAAUCUUCGACCCUUCAAGACUGCAGCAGGAAUGUGGAAUCAUCUAAAGAAACUCUACAGUCACACCAACACUGCUCGUUGAUUUCAGCUUGAACAUGAGCUAGCCAAUCUCCAACAAGGCAGUCUCUCUAUUUCUGAUUUUUAUUCUAUCUUUAUGAUUAUUUGGGCUGAAUAUACUGAUAUAAUCUAUGCUACCUUACCUCCGAAGGUCUUAGUUUUGUUCAAUCUGUACAUGAAACUACUAAGAGAGAUCAAUUUAUGAUAAAACUGAUAUAUGAAUUUGAAAGCACUAGGUCCAAUCUUAUGAAUUGAGAAUCUGUCCCUUCCUUGGAUACAUGCCUCAAUGACUUAUUUCAUGAGGAGCAACGACUUCUUACUCAAAAUACCAUGAAACAAAAAAAAUCUACUUCUGUUCCUAUGGCUUAUGCAGCUCAAGGCAAGCCAAAAGGUAAGGACAUCAGUAUAGUUCAAUGUUUUUGUUGCAAAGGAUUUGGACAUUACGCUUCAAAUUGUUCAAAAAAAUUAUGCAACUAUUGCAAAAAAGAUGGACAUAUCAUUAAGGAAUGCCUUACUCGACCCCCCAAGAAAUCUGAAACAACAUAUGCUACCUCAGUUGGUUCUUCUAGUGAUGGUAGUUCUGUGGAUACAGCACAUUUGACCCAAAGUGCUCCUGUUCCUGUUCAAUCUGUGACCCCAUAAAUGAUUCAACAAAUGAUCAUUAUUGUAUUCUCCUCAUUAGGACUCUCAGGUAAAUCACCCACUAGAUCUCCUUGGUACUUUGAUUCUGGGGCUUCCCAUCACAUGACAAACAAUGCUAAAUUCUUCACCAAUGUAAGUAAAUACCUUAGAAAUCUAAAAAUUCAUACAGCUGAUGGCAACUCUUUACCUAUCACAGCCACUAGUGAUGUUUCUUUUUCUAUAACCAAUGUCUUUGUCUCUCCUGGUCUUCCUACUAAUCUUGUUUCAAUCGGUCAGUUAGUUGACAAUAAUUGUAAAGUAGAAUUCUCUAAAUCUAGUUGUGUUGUGCAGGAUCAGCAGUCAGGGAAGAUGAUUGCCAGGGGGCCUAAAAUAUGACGUCUUUUCCCUCUCCAAUUUGCUAAGUCUCCAUGUUUCUCUUUGCCUAUCAUCACUUGCAAUUUUACUAAGGUUAAUUAUCGAGCAUGGCAUAAACGUCUAGGACACCUAAACUCUAAUGUAUUUUAUGCUUUGCUAAAUUCUGGUUUACUUGGGAAUAAAAGAUCACCAUCCCUUAGUGUUGUUCAAUUUGAUUGCAAUUCUUGCAAGCUUGGAAAAAGUAAAAUUCUGCCAUUUCCCACUCACACACCGAAUGUUGUCCAGCCUUUUGAUUUGAUACAUAGUGAUGUGUGGGGUAUGGCGCCUGUUACAUCUCAUGCUAAUUACAAGUACUUUGUCACUUUUAUUGAUGACUAUAGUCGCUUCACAUGGAUUUAUUUUCUACAUUCUAAAGAUGAAGUGUUCUCUGUUUUCAAGCUUUUUCAUGCAUAUAUUCAGACCCAAUUUUCUACUAAUAUCAAAAUUCUUUGCUUUGAUAAUGGGGGUGAGUAUAUGUCUCAUUUAUUUUAAGAAUUUUUGCACACCAAUGGUAUAAUUUCUCAAAGAUCUUGUCCUUCAACCCCUCAACAAAAUGGGGUGGCUGAAAGAAAGAACUAUCACCUUCUCGAUGUUGUCUUCAUUUGUACCCUCUCGUUUUUGGUGUGAAGCUUUCUCCACUGUUGUCUAUCUCAUCAACAGAUUGUCCUCUCAUUCCUUGAACCAUGUCUCCCAUUUCUUUCAGUUAUUUGGCCAUACACUAAGUUACUCUCAUCUCCAUACCUUCAGUUGUGUGUGCUAUGUUCAUCUUCCUCCAUAUGAGCGUACAAAACUCACAGCCCAAGCUGUGAAAUGUGCUUUUCUAGGAUAUUUUAUGCACUAAAAAUGUUUUCUUUGUUAUGAUCCAAAUUUGCAUCAUAUAAGGGUUUCUCGAAAUGUGAUUUUCUUUGAAAAUCAGUAUUUCUUUUCCGCAUACCACGACGAUUCUUCGCCUUCAUUUUCUGUUUUGCCAAAGUUUACUAACCCUUCUGCAGAUUCUGCACCUUCUAAACCUAUCAUAGUCUAUCAGCGACGCAAGAAUUUAGUACCUCUCGGGCCCCCUCCAGCAACUUCCCUGAAUGUUGAUCCAGUUCCAGCAACUGCACCUGAACCUUUCAGACAUAGUACUCGGGUUCGUAGACCACCAGAUAGGUAUGGUUUCACCUCUCCAUUAUUUUUGACAGCCACUUUGUCUUCUAUUCUUAUUCCUUCAUCAUAUAAACAGGCAAUAGAGCAUGAAUUUUGGUGAAAAUCUAUUGAAUCAGAACUUCUUGCACUUGAAGAAAACCAAACUUGGGAUAUUGUUUCAUGUCCUCCAUCCGUGAAACCCCUUAGUAGUAAGCUAGUGUUUUCUAUCAAGCUGCGUUUUAAUGAAUCCAUAGAUCGUUACAAGGCUCGGUUGGUGGUUCUUGGCAACAAGCAAGAAUAUGGCCUAGACUACGAUGAGACCUUCGCGCCGGUAGCCAAAAUGACCACUGUUCGAACAAUAUUAGCCCUUGCUGCAUCACAAUCAUGUUCUUUACAUUAAAUGGAUGUAAAGAACGCUUUCCUACAUAGUGAUCUCAAGGAGGAAAUUUACAUGAAACUUCCCCACGGUAUGACUACUUCCUCUCCUAAUGAUGUUUGCAAACUAAAAUGUUCGUUGUAUGGGUUGAAGCAAGCACCGCGAGUAUGGUUUGAGAAGUUUCGAUCAACUCUUUUCAGUUUUUCAUUCACUCAAAGUCAGUAUGACUCCUCCUUUUUUUUUUCCAACAGACAUCUAAGGGCAUCAUUGUUCUCCUUAUUUAUGUGGAUGACAUCGUUAUCACUGGUUCUGAUAUGGAGGCAAUUUCUAAACUUCAGAAUUUGUUGCACUCUAUUUUUCACAUGAAAGACCUCGGUCAACUCACCUAUUUUUUGGGGUUAGAGGUGCAUUAUCUGCCUCAAGGUAUCUUCUUGAAUCAACACAAGUAUAUUCAGGAUUUAAUUUAAUUAGCUGGACUUAUGGACAAAAAUUCUGUUGACACCCCAGUGGAACUUAAUGUGAAAUAUCGACAAGACGAAAGGGAACUACUUCAAGAUCCUACUUAUCUAUCUAACUAUCACCCGCCCAGACAUCUCUUAUGCUGUCCACACCGUUAGCAAGUUCAUGCAAGCCCUUCGACAUCUCCACGUAUCCACAGUCCGCCGCAUCAUUAGAUAUAUUCUUGGCACUCUUAACUGCAGUUUAUUCUUCCCUACUGGUUCUUCACUCCAACUACAAGCCUACAAUGACGCAGAUUGGGCUAGCUGCCCGGACACGAGAAAAUCUACUUUGGGAUGGUGCAUGUUUCUUGGUGAUGCCCUUAGCUCUUGGAAAUGCAAAAAGCAAGACUCAGUCUCCAAAUAAUCCACUGAGGCAGAAUACCGCGCCAUGUCUGUAGCCUGCUCCAAGAUCAUUUGGUCGCGUGGUCUCUUAACAGAGCUUGGUUUCUCACAACAUCAACCUACUCCCCUACAUGCUGACAACACAAGUGCCAUCCAAAUUGUAGCCAACCCUGUCUACCAUGAGCGCAUGAAACACAUAGAGGUUGACUGCCACUCUAUUCGAGAGGCCUAUGACCACCAAGUUAUCACCCUCCUGCAUAUCUCCACUACUCUACUGAUUACGAAUAUCUUCACCAAAUCCAUGACAUGUCAGCGACAUAACGUUCUUGUUAGCAAAUUGAUGCUUGUAGAUUUACCAGCAUCAAUUUGAGGGGGGAUGUCAAAGGAAUUAGUAGAUCUUAUGGCAAAUUCUAUGCCUGUACAGCUGUAACAAUUAUCUUUAUGGUUGUAAAUCUUAUAUUUUUUCCUUAUUUAAGAUAUACUAGCUGUAGGCUAUUUUAGAUAGUUAUGUAUAUGGUAGUUUAGCCAUGUUUAUGGCUAAACAUAAGCUCGUAUUCAUAGUAUAUAAAGGGAAUUCUCCUCCAAGAGAAAGCAUAUGAAAGAAACUUAGUUCUAUAUUGUUUGGUAGGCUAGAAAAUGAAAGAAAAUAAAAGAAAAGCUUUGCAAAGAAAACUGUUAGAUCCUUUUAUUAUACCAAACUUACAGUUUAAUGACUAAAAAUUGAUAUUUAUAUUGAGCUACAAACUCUUCACACACACACACGAGAUUGUUGCAACACAUAACCAAUUGCUGUAUAACUAACUUGACACAUCAGCUCAACCAGCUAACUAACUUUGACAGGUCAGCUUAAUGAUUUGAUCUGAUACAACCAGCUACACAGCAACAUCAUGCUCUGCUCCAGCUUCAUCUAAUUCACUAACAACUUUUGCUCAAAAUUCUCUUAGUUUAUCACAGGGAAGUAUAGCUUUGGAAAAGGCCGGAUCAAUAACUAUGGAGAGAUUUAUAAGUGAUAAAAAUUCCCGUAACCCGCUGUCAAGAAAAUUUCACAUAGUUAAAGACGCCAUUUUGUUUCAGCCAAAAAUGUUUGUUUAAUCUGCCAAAAAUGUUUGUUUCGAUUAAAGACUUGAACCGUUUUCAUUUAACCUGAUUGUGAUGCUUUAUGUUAUGUAUGUUCCUCUCAAUCAAGAAAAGUUGAGGUUCAUGAUUUUAUAUUUCUAUCUUGUAACUUGCAAUAAUAACUGGUCUUCUUGUUUUUGUAGCUUGAUAACAUGAAUUUUCCUUCUCAAGUUAAUUUGAUCAAUAAAGUAAUUCUUCAAAGAAAAUAUGCCCAUUCUAUAAUCAUUUUCUUAGCUAAUAUGUUUUUUUUUUGUUUACUCUUCAGAGUGUGUCGAAACUAAUUGAUUGCUCGGCAGAGACUUUGGGUGACAAGUCAAAAUUUCAUGGUAAAUCCUCUGAAAAGGUAUGCAUAAUUCCUGAAUAUUAAAUAACCAAUGGUCAUAGUUUUUGUACACGACUCUUUUUGUGGAGAUCGUUAAAAGUGGUUGAUGAUCCAUUUGUAAUUUCAUAGAGGGAUCAUCAAUUCCUUUUCUUUUCUGUGGCUAGGCAUCACUUUCGUGCCAAAGUAAGGAAAUCUAUUUUAGGUAAUGUAAAAAACAAUGGUAGGAUGUAAUAGCUUAUUAUGCACUGACAAUAACUUUUUGUAUAAUUGUCAGUUUAAGGAAUACAAGAGGAACUCUGUUGACAAAUUCAUCCAAGAUAGAUGCUAAAAUUAUUUAUGCAUGCCAGUUGCCUUAACUAAUUUUUCUUAACACUUGUAUUGAACAGGAAAUGAGUAUGCAAUUUGUGUACGUGCCAUUGUGGAGAAUUUGGAUAUUCUUAUUUAAGUAAGAAGAAGAGUAUUUGCCUCAUCUUUAAACAAUGAAUCUUUGAGAAAUGAGGAGUGGGUGAUUGGAAGUGUCUUCAUGUAAAUGUUCAUUUACUUGUAUUUUGAACUAUUAUGAGAAUCUUUUAUAUGCCAAAUUAGUAAUACAAAUGUUCAGAUGAUUUUUCCUGUUGAUCACGCGUUUGUGUCUGCAGACAACCAUUGUAUAUCACUUUAUUCUGAUGUGCAAUUAUGUAUAGAUUAGAAGAAAAGAAAUAAUAGUCUUAUAUUAUUGUUUGGUUCAUGAUUAUUAAACGAUUAUGGCUUCAAAAAAUCUACAAAUUCCUUCUGUUCAUAUAUGAAUGUGCCAAGUUUGCUAUAUCUUAGAUUGCCUUCUUCCAAGAUAACAAGUUCAUAUGUUUUUUAAUCCUCUUCAAUCACAGUUGAAUUUUAAGUGUUAAGAUUUGUUAUUAAUACCUGGUUCCCUGUUAUUAUGAUUUUUAUUAUGAUUUCAUAAACAGUGUACGGACAUGUGCUCUACUUUUAAAGGGCCUCCACGUGAAAGAAAAUUGCAACAAUUGAAUUCUUCCGGAGGGUAUGGCAUUUAAUUUAUUUUCUCAACUUCUUGUAAGACUAAUAUAUUUCCUUCAGUAGGCAGGGCAUGUUGGGAAGGGCUUUUAUUGAAAGAAUUCUGAUAUUUCUUAGACUUUGUUUUGGAAGGGAGGUGGAGGGAUUUCUCAUCCAUAUAUGGUUACUUGAUUAGCUUUUGACUGUAUUGCCUCAGUCGUGCAAAGGAAGAUCCAAAUACUAAUGAAUGAGAAUUGGUUAGAGACCCAAAAGACAGAAAUGAACUACAGAAGGAAGUUUUUGCUGCUUUAUUUAGUGUUCCUGAGAACUCUGAUGAAGAUGGAGUGGAGGUCCAAAGCAUUAAGAAAGGUGGUGAGUGAACCGCCAGAGGAAUUGGUACCAGAAUACAAAGCUAAUGUGGUGCAUUUGCAGCAAGAUAACCAGACUAGUAUGUGCUCUUGUAUUAACUAUAUUGACUGGAUUUGUGAGCAUGUUCAUUUUUGUGUGUAUAAUCACUUUUGUAUUUAUGCAUAUUAAUGUUAGUAGGAUUCUUGAUUUCCUCCACUUACUGGAGAACUAGUGGAAAGCUUUAUAGUGAAAUAUCUGCAAUAACUAAUGGAAACCAUGAUUUGAAUAUUUUCUCUCACCUGGAGAGCUUUGUAACAGAUGUACUUUGUGGCUAUGGAAUACUAGAGAUUCUGCAAUAACUAAUGGAAACUCUGAUAUGAAUAUUUUCUCUCACCUGCAGAACUUUGUAACAGAUACACUUUGUGGCUCUGGAAUGUCUAAAGAUUUUGUCUGCUUCAGUUAGAUCAAAUAUCUUUUAGUUACCUACAUUAUGGAAAAGAUAGAGUUCUCUGAAUCUGAAAGACUGAAACAUUUUGCAUAUUUCGUGAAAGGAAAAUAUCUGUAGAUACUAGUUCAUGCAUUGAGGUAACAUCAAUGUUAAAGAAAAACAGCAAUAACUUAUUAUAUAGAAUUAGGUUCACUUGCUUUAAAUGCUGGUCUGGUCAACCAUAUGAACCUGUAAGUGUAUCUGCAGAAAUAUAUAUGGGGGGACAAACUAGCUAAAUUUUCCUCUCAUUUCUGGCUUUGGUCAUUUUUUCCCCUUAUUUUUCAGCUUUCCUUCUCCUGAAGUAUGUUAACAAUUGCAGAUAAUGACGAAGAGGACAGCUUGCAGGCUCUUCGUGGAGCUGUGAUGGAAUAUAGGGGCACAAUGAAAGAACAUUUUAAAGCUGUAGGUUCUUUUUCUCCUGUCAUUUAUAUUUGCUCACACAUUUUUCAUAUGCUCCAAGCAUGCAAGUUUGUAUGUGUCUUUGCCUUUUAAGUUUUAAAAACCAUAAGGUAAGAAUACAGUUCCUCGUCAGGUUAUUGAUGCAUUCACUCCGGAGGAUCAUGUUCGAGCAGGAAAACUUCUAGAACAGGCAAGGUUUUCCAUCUACAGCCAUCUAUUGACAACAGAUACAUUUUCAUUCAGCAGACACUGUUAGCAUUCAAGAUGCUGGCAGAUUCACUUGAUUCUUAUUAGUUUGUUUAGUGGUAAAGCAUAUAACCUGUUUUUCAAAGCCAAGUUGUGCUAUUGAUUAUGUUAACUUUAUUGUUCACAUAAAGUGAUAUGGAGGAAAUAAUCAUUGUAGGAAAAUUAGGUGAAGAGGUGAUGUCAAAUCUUGAACCUGUUACAAAACUCCAAGUUCUUUACUUGAAGAAGCUACCAAAUUUGAACAGGGUCCACUGGAAGGCCUUGCCAUUCCCUGAUGCCUGCAGAAUUUUUGUAUUUAAAUGCCCAGAGCUUAAGAAGCUGCCACCGGAUCUUGAAAGGGCAGGCCAAGGUAAAAUUCUUAUCAAGGGAAAGGAAGAUUGGUGGAAACAACUUCAAUCGGAGGAUCAAGUAACUCAGAAUGCAUUGCUUCUAUUUUUAAAAUCAACUGACAAGUGAUUGAAGGGGGCAUCAUCAACAUCAUCAACAUGGAUGGAGAGAUUCAGGAGCAGAUCCGCAGGGUUUAUUACGACCUGUGGUGGUUGCUUUUUUGUGACUUGUUCCCUUUCAUUUUUUCACUUCCUGUCAUAUUAUCAUUUCUUUGUCUCUGUUUCUAUUGCUGAUGUUGCUGCAUGCUUGCAGCCCUUGACAAAGUUAGCAAUGCAAUAUAGAUUUUGAAAUUAAAUUUUGUAUGUUCGGGACAGUCACAAAGUACUACUUGUUCUAUAUGGGGGUGAUGUGAAUCAACUUUUCAAUUAUAUAUUCUGUGGUAAUUGUGAAUUCAAUUUCAUUUGUCUCCUGCAAAUUAUGAAGAAAGUGCAGAGUUAGAAUAUCGAAAAGUUCACUGGCAAAUACUUUGUAAAAGCUUCGGAGUGAAACAGGGAAUGCACUUGCAACUAAGGACAAAUUGGUGGCCAGCUAAUGCAUUCAUUUUAUGUACAUUCAUCUUUUUAAUUAUUGAAGAUAAGUGGUUCGUUGCUUUUGUUGUAGAAAAAAUUCAGACGACCUCAAUUGUGAGAUGAAAAUAUUUAAAAUAUCUCUUAAAUUAUUAUAAACUUUAAUUUAUCUUAAUUUUAUUUAAAAGAUAAAAGAAAAAUGUGGUAUAUGGGUAAAAAUUUUUUUAUCUUGUUAAUAAAAUGAAAUAAAUUAAAAUUUACAAUAAUUUAAAGUAUUUUAAAAUUAUUAUUUCAUAAGAGAUUAAUAUGAAAUUAAUCCUUUUUACUUUUUGAAUGUGAAAGGACAAGAAAAGAGAAAGCUAGUGUCACUGCUUUUUAUUUUAUUUGAAAUCGGAGUUAUCCCAUAUACUUUACUACUUUAGCUCUAACAUUACAAUGUUUUUAGGCUACACUUUUAUUUUUCUUUUUCCCCCUUUUUUUAUACAUGCAUGUGGAUUACUUUUCUCUAAGCUCCUUAAUAUUUAAGACAAAUCAUAAAAGCAAUUGAAGCAUAACAAGAUGAUCAAAACAUUUAACCGAAAAAAAAAGAAAUAAAACAUUGAAAAUGGAGAUGUUGAUUAAUUUAGAAGAGAUGCAAGCAAAAAAUAUUCCCAAAAAAAAAAAAAAAAAAAGCAACGUUAGUUCAUCCAUGUCUGUCAAUGCGUUUUUUAUGGUUUUUUUUUUCCAGUUGUUUGUUGUAAUAGAUUAAUUGUAAAUUGAUAUAAACUUGAUGUUGUAAUAUGUUCGCUUUUGUGGAAAUAAAUUUCAAUAUUCAAGAUUAUUCAAGUCUUAUCUAGUAUGUGUUCGGUUGUGUUGUCGAUAAUUUUACAUUCUAAUAAGUUUUCACCUAAAAUAUUAGCAUGAGUAGUAGUCCUUAAACCUUUGGUCAAAAUUAUUGUUAUUGUUUCUUUUAGAGGAAAUUUUUUUAUUAAAGCCUCGUUAACACUAUUCCUUAUUAAGAUUAUAAGUUAGUGUCGGUGCAGGAUUUGCAGCGACAAAUCUUGUCUAGCCACGUGUCAAAAUACAAAUAAAUCAAGGGAAAGCACAUGACAUGGAUUAGGAUCCAAUAAAAUUUAAAUCCCAAGGAAAAGGACAACUGUAUCCUAAAGUUUCAAUAAGAGAUACUGGGAUAUCUUUUGACUAAUGUUAUUUUUUGGCUUUAUUAAUAAAAAGAUCCAAUAGUUUAUAACAAAUAAAAAUAUAGUAUUAAGCUAAAUGUGAUAAUUUACACAUUUUACAUAAUUUCAAUAAAAAUUUUUUUAAUGUUUUACAAUCUAUCAGACAUAUUUUAUUAAAUUAAUAAGAAUUUUCUUAUAAAUAGCAACAUAAUAUUAAAAUAAAUUUAUAAAAAUUUAAAUGUAAAAUAAUUUUAGUAUAAUUAAUACGCGGGAUAUAUUUUGUAAAUUAUAAAAUUACUUAACCCAAUGAUUUUUAAAAAUCUUUAAAAUAAAUAAAAAUAAAUUAUUCACAUUUUGAUGUAAAUAUUUAAAACAUUUUUAUACAUUAGUCCACAAUUAUUUAUGUUAUAUUUGUAUUUAUUAGAAAUUUUGAAAGUCAAAUGUUUUUUACCUCUAUGUUAUUAGAAUUAUUGCACACAGAGAAAGAGCCAUAUAUGCUUUAUAACUUUAAAAUCGAUUUGUUUUAUAGCUGGGAAUAGAGAUGAUCAUUAUUAUAAGGAUUUUUUAAAAAAAGAUAAAGAAUAUUAAUGAUUAGCGAAAUCUCUAUGGAAAUUGAAUUUAGUAAGAAAAAAUUGAGCUGAUUUUAGUGGUAUAGUAAUAUUUUAUAUAGAGAAAAGUAAAAGCUGCACCCAAGGUUAAGGGAAAUGGUCAAAAUUCUUUUUUAAUCAUAAUACCCUUUUUCCUAGAUAAUUUAAAAAUUUUACUCUAAUAGUUUAUAAUAAAUAAAAACAUAUAAUCCUAAAAUAAAUAAAAUGAUAUAUAUUUUAAAAUAAUCUCAAUAUUUAAAAUAUAUUUUAACAUUUUAUAAUCUAUUAGAUAUAUUUUAUUAUAUUAAAGUAAAUUUUAUAAUAAAUACAAAACAUACUAUUAAAAUAGAUAUAAAAAUUUUAAAGUAUUUUGAAUAUUAUAUAAAAUAACUUUAAUAUUGUUAAUGCAUGAGAUGCAUUUUAUUAAUUAAAAAUUCUAUGUAACCCAAAGAUUUAUUUAUAAUAAAUUAAUAAUCAUAUUUUUGAAAUUAUUUUAAAUAUUAAAAAAUAUUUUAAUAUUACUAACUAUUAGAUAGACUAAACUAUUUAUUUUAUUUUCUAUUUAUUAUAAAAUUUCAAAGUUAAUCUUUUUAACUACUAUUCAAAAGAUGUUAUGAUAAAAACAGAAUUUUUGUGUUUUUAUUGAAAAUUUGGAGUUUACAUCUAUUUUUUCAAAUAUUCAGGGUGUAACUGUUUUUUCCCUUUUAUAUAUACGAACGGUGGUGAGAAAGUUUGAUUUAACGUUAUUUAUUUAAAUAAAAUCUCAGUUAAAAAUGUACAGAGAAGAAAUUUCGGUUGGUAUUUUAGUCUUGGUAAUCUCUAUAUUAUAUGCAUAUAAGAUACAUCAUUCUCACAUGAAUAGUAUAUGUGUGAGAUCCAUAUAUUAUUCAUGUGAGGGAGAUGUAUCUUAAUAAGAUAGAGGGAUCCGUUAGUCUUUUACCAAUCAUCACGAUUAGGCCUUGGCCUUGAAACAUUAAUUGUUUCACUUUUAGCGCUAGUGGCGUUGAAAGUUGUCAAGAAAAAGCAAGACCAUAUUCCACAAAAGCAAAAGUAACGUAGGCUCUUUUAUUAAAGGCAAAGUAUAAAGUAGUCAAGAAUCGAAUAUCCUGUCGUCUACUCUUUUUUAAAUUCUUCUUUUAUUAUCGUUUAGAAUAGUUUUUGGUAAUUACAAUCAUUAUUCAGAGUUAUUGUUAUCUUCCGGGGCAGUCUCUGUUCAUCGAAGUCGUUACCUUUUUUUUAAUGGAUCAGUUCCAGUGGUAAGCAGUAAUUUUCUUAGAACUCGGAUCUUUAAUUCGAGUUUCUGUGUGAAUUAAUAAUAAAAAAUUUUCAUUACACGCAAUUUAAGCUACGAAUUACUUUUUGCAAAGUUGAAUAUGGAAUUGGAGAAAUUAAGUAAUUUAGAAUGUUGGUAAAAAUUGACGAACAUAUCUCCAAUUACAGUAAAACCUCUCUACAGUCAUAACAUUAUAACAAAAUUAAUUUUAUUACUAUGUUGAGGUAAUAUAGGUUUAGUUACAAAAUUAUUGUUUUAAUAUGGUUAGUGUCAAGUGAUAUAAAGGUUAAGUAUGCAGUACAUUAAUAAUUAAAUAAUGAAGUGUCAAAUCUAAUGUAUAUAUAUUAAUGAUAUAGAUAGACAUAGUUUUAAAAAACUAAUUAAUGUAUAUUUAUGUAGUGUUAUGAAUAUGGAAAGUCAAGCCUACACUUUACAUUAUCCUUAAUUUUUUCUCUCAGUUAAAUUCUACAAAUAUUGUACAAUGGUUGGGCAAGAACUCUAAAUUAAGAAUAAAUUAUUGUCACAAAUAAUUUUAGAAAAUAUUUUAUUUCGUCUUAAACCUUUAAUAUAAAUAAACAUAUAUAUAUAUAUAUAUAUAUAUAUAUAUAUAUAUAUGUGUGUGUGUGUGUGUGUGUGUGUGUGUGUGUGUGUGUGUGUGUGUGUGUGUGUGCAUAUUUUGCAACGUAUAGAUAAUUGUUAGUAUAUGGAGACAAGUCUUUUAAGGUAGGACCUAGGAAAAUUUAUAACUUACUACACUGUGGAGUUUUUAUUCCUUUUUAUAAUUGGCUCAUAUUGAUACAUUCUUACACAAAAUAUUACCAUUGACAUAUUUUACUACAAUUAGUUUAGAACAUUUGUUAGGAAAAAAAAGAAAAGAAAAGAAAACAUCCCUUGGAUGUAGCUCUCCUGACUAUUUAAAUCUUUUAAGGAAAAAAAGAAAAAAGAAAAACUGGCACAUUCAAAUCUUGAAGCAAUUACAUUAAAAUCUCUCCAUAAUGAUAGGAAUAAUCUCCAUUUAGUAAUAAAAAAUUUUGUUCGCAAUUUAGGCAGAGUUAUAAAUAAGAAUAAAAUCCUCAUUGUAAUAAGUUAUAUUUAUUAUGGAUCCCAUCCUAAGGAAUUCGUCUCUAUAUAGUAAUAAUUAUUUGCAUAUUAUAAAUAUAUAUGUUGCAUUAGAUUAAAUGAACUUGUCUCCACAUACUACUUAGACAACGAGAGAAAAUUAUUAAAGAGAACACAAAUAUUUAGAUAUUUUUAAGAUUACUUUGCAUAUUUAUAACAAUAAUACAUUGAUAUAUGUAUUAGUUUUUUGAUAUAUUAGAUUUAACAUGCUCUAUUAAUAAAUUAUUAAUACGAUGCAUAUUCAUCUCUAUAUCCUUGCAAUAAAAGUAACUAAGUUAUAACAAUAAUUAUUAAUAAAUUAUUAAUACGUUGCGUACUUCAUCUCUAUAUCCUUACAAUAAAAAUAACUAAGUUAUAAUGAUAAUUUUUGUAACUACAUACUUAUUAGGUUUUAACUACUUCAUAAUAAUAAAUUAGUUUCGUCCUAAUAUUAUAAUUAUGUAGAGUUGUAGUGUAUAGACACACCCAAUUUAAAUAGUAUAUCAAAUAAAAUUGUCCCCACGAAAAAGAAAAAAGGGGUAAAGGAUUCUCAUUUCUUCAAACAUUAGGAUCACGUUUGUACAAGUGCGAUGCCUUUCUUUUGAAGGCAACGUCAGUGGGUACCCAAUAGGACGUGUGUAAAUCUUUCCAAAAUUUCUCUGGUAUAACGGACAGAGAUCAUUACUUUUCUCUUCCAUAUACCACAGCAGCUUCAGUUAAUCAGACUCAAUCAAUUUUCUUGGUUUCUUCGCUUAUCAAAAUUCCAAAAUAUGGGUAGCAUAUUUCAAAUCACAUGCGAUGGUGCUUUUUUCAAUCGUUGCUUGGAUUGCUUUCUUGGAAAAGUAGCAAACACAAGUAAGCUCCAAGAUAACCUUGUUGCCUUGGAGACUGAAUUGGGAAAACUAAUCGCAGCAAAGAACGAUGUGAUGAUGAGGGUUGUCAAUGCUGAACGGCAACACCUGAGAACGCUGGACCAAGUGCAAGUGUGGCUUUCGAGGGUGGAAGCUGUUGAAACUGAAGCUGAUGAAUUGAAAAGACACGGCUCUCAAGAAAUUGACAAAUUAUGUGUUGGAGGCUACUGUUCCAAGAACUGCGCGUCAAGCUACAAGUUCGGGAAACAAGUGGCUAAAAAGCUACGGGAUGUGCAGACUUUAAUCGACGAAGGAGUUUUUGCGGCGGUGGCUACCGAGGUGGUGCCUGAGAGAGCUCCAGAACCUGUAGCAGAUGAAAGACCCACUGAGCCAACAAUAGUAGGCUUGCAAUCACAACUUGAACAAGUUUGGAGAUGUCUUGUAGAAGAAUCAGUGGGAAUCAUUGGCCUAUAUGGUAUGGGCGGUGUUGGUAAAACUACACUAUUGACCCAUAUCAACAAUAAAUUUCUUGAGAGUCCAACCAGUUUUGAUUGUGUGAUUUGGGCCGUAGUUUCAAAGGACUUGCGACUCGAAAAAAUUCAAGAAGAUAUUGGGAAAAAGAUCGGUUUGGUUGAUGAUUCAUGGAAGAGUAAAAGUGUAGAGGAGAAAGCUCUCGACAUCUUCCGGAGUUUAAGAGAGAAGAGAAUUGUAUUGCUGUUAGAUGAUAUAUGGGAGCGGGUUGAUUUAACAAAAGUGGGCAUUCCACUUUCCGGACCAAAAAAUACUACAUCAAAAGUCGUAUUCACAACCCGUUUCGUCGAUGUUUGUGGUAGCAUGGAAGCUGACAAGAAGUUCCAGGUGGCAUGCUUAUCAGAAGAGCAUGCUUGGGAACUGUUUCGAAAAAAAGUUGGGGAAGAAACUCUUGAGAGUGAUCAUGAUAUCGUUGAGCUAGCCCAAACUGUGGCCAAAGAGUGUGGUGGUUUGCCACUCGCACUUAUUACUAUUGGUCGAGCUAUGGCCUUCAAAAAGACAGCCGAGGAGUGGAGUCAUGCAAUUGAUGUGCUAAGAACAUCAGCUUCUGAGUUUGCAGGUUUGGGAGAAAAGGUUUAUCGUCUUUUAAAGUUUAGCUAUGAUAGUUUGCAGAAUGAGACGAUUAGAUCUUGUUUCUUAUAUUGUUGUUUAUAUCCCGAGGAUUAUAGCAUUCUUAAAUGGGACUUGAUUGAUUGUUGGAUUGGUGAGGGAUUCUUAGAGGAAUCUGACAGGUUCAGUGCAGAAAACCAAGGAUACUACAUUGUGGGCACUCUUGUUCAUGCAUGUUUAUUGGAAGAGUUAGAAGAUGAUAAAGUAAAAAUGCAUGACGUUGUUCGUGAUAUGGCUCGAUGGAUAGCUUGUGAAAUUGAGAAGGAGAAGAGAAAAUUUUUGGUUUGUGCAGGUGCUGGAGUAGGAGCGGUGUCAGAUGUUGAAGGAUGGGAAAAUGUGGGAAGAUUGUCAUUGAUGCAAAACCAAAUUGAAAUUCUGUCAGAGGUUCCCACAUGCCCUCAUCUCCUCACUUUAUUUCUUGACUUUAAUUAUAAAUUGGAGAUGAUCACCGAUGGCUUCUUCCAAUGUAUGCCUUCUCUCAAAGUUUUGAAGAUGUCAAACUGUGGGCAUGUCAAAGUUUUGAAAUUACCUUUUGGGAUGUCAAAGCUGGGUUCACUACAACUUCUUGAUAUUUCACAUACCGGCAUAAGAGAGUUACCAGAAGAGUUAAAGUUGUUGGUAAAUCUGAAAUGUUUGAAUUUGAGGUGGACACAUAUGUUAAAUAAAAUUCCACGGCAGCUAAUAUCAAAUUCUUCAUGGUUACGUGUGUUGAGAAUGUUCGCUAUUGGCUUUGAAAAUUCUAAAGAACCAUCAGAAGACAGCGUUUUAAUUGGUGGGGGUGAAGUUUUAGUACAUGAAUUGCUCGGUUUGAAAUAUUUAGAGGUAUUGGAGUUGACCUUGCGAAGUUAUGAUGCUCUCCAAUUUUUUUUGAGCUCAAAUAAGUUAAAAAGUUGUAUUCGAUCUCUUUUCCUCAAUAAGCUGGGAGAUACAAAGUCGAUUCAUGCUACGGCUUUCGCAGAUCUAAAGCAUCUCAAUGAACUAUGCAUUCGUUCGGCAGUGGAGUUGGAAGAAUUGAAGGUUGAUUAUACAGAGAUUGCGCCAAAAAGGUCGGAACCUUUUGUUUUCCGCAGCCUUCACCGUGUUACUAUGGAGCGGUGCCAUAAAUUGAAAGAUUUGACAUUCCUCGUUUUUGCUCCAAGCCUCAAGUCUCUUUCGCUAUACGGUUGCAAUGCUAUAGAAGAAAUAAUCAGCGUUGGAAAAUUUGCUGAGACUCCUGAGGUGAUGGGACAUAUAAGCCCUUUUGGAAAUCUCCAAACGCUUUAUUUAACUGAUUUGCCAGAGUUGAAAAGCAUCUACUGGAAGCCAUUGCCUUUCACUCAUCUCAAAGAAAUGACGGUACAUGGGUGUAAUCAGCUUAAAAAGCUUCCAUUCGAUUCCAACAGUGCAACAGAGCGUAAAUUUGUUAUUCGUGGAUACACACUCUGGUGGAACCGUCUUCAAUGGGAGGAUGAAGCCACUCAAAUUGCUUUUCGUUCCUGUUUCCAAUCUCAUGAAAUAUAAAUUCCUGAGCGGUGGUUGCAAAAUUUGAUUUCUAGUGAGUGCUUUUUUCUUAAACUCUUACAUAUAUUCUCGUCGUUUGCUUCGUGCAACGGACUAGGUUUUUAUUUCAGAUUCGUUUUUUGUCUCCUGCAAAUCACAAUUAAAUGUUGAAUUAUAUGGAGUCAAUGCUUUAUAAAAUUUUCAAGGCACUGCCAUUUCCUUUUUCUUUUUCUUUUUUUUUUUGGGUCGAAUUGAUGCUCUGGCUUUUUACUUUUUGUUGUCACAUUUUGCUCUGUUUUUUCAAGUUGAUGCUUGAAUAGUUGAAUUCAAUUGAUGCUCACAUAAAUUUGUUUAGUUGCCGCAAAAGGAUAUAAUUAGACUGAAGUACACACUUCUAGAAUGAAUACAAAAUGUUAAGUAUACUAGCCCUCUUUACAGAAAAUCAAAUGAAAAUCAAUUUUUUGGGGCUUUGAUUUUCUAUGGUCUAUUAUAUACUCUUUUUAAUAUCUUCUGUUCUAACUAUAACCAAAUCCUUUGUUCAAGGAUUUUUAUUUGGGGUAUUGAUAACUGUCCACCAAAAGAGUGAACACUUGGAUGCUGCUCAAGGAUCUCUAAUCAAUAGCUGGAAGCAACUGAGAAGGCGGUCGCUACUGUUUACAAAGCGAUGCAGUAUUUGCCAUUCAUCUUAAUAAUUAUGAAGCUUUGGUAAAAUUUUCAAACAAAGUUGAACACAUGUUGUUUUGAGAUUUGGUUCAUGAUUUUGGAUGAAUAUCGUUGUUCCGUUUGAGUUGGAUGUGAAUUCAAAAUCUAUAUAUUCUUUGGUUUUCAAUUCUGAACUCAAUUUCUUUUUCUCAAGCAUGUUAUGCAGAAAUGAUUUUUUACUAAAUCAUUUUUGAUGAAUUGUUUAAAUUAAACAAUUGGAAUAAGAAUUGAAAAGGUUUAUCAUAAGCAUGCUAAUAUGAUAAGUUGUUUUAUGAACGAUUAAUUAAUUAAUCAAUUAAUAUUAAAUUAUCUAUUAGUCAAUUAGAUAUGCGUUACAUGUCAUGUUUAAAAAUUAUUUAUUUAUAUUUCAAACAAAUUUGACUGGAUGUUGUGUAGGUAAUACUACAUAAUUUCAAAACAAAAAAAGUAAUAAAAACACGUUAAAUUUUGUUUUUAUGAAGAAAAAUUUAAAAUUUUAUUAAAUAGGUGAAAAUAAUAAAUGGAUUCGUGUAUGGUUUGAGAUUCUUGACAUAAUUAUGAAAUAAGCCGGAUUCGACUUAGUUCAAUUUUGACGCGAUAAGAAGACGACACCACACAAACACACGAUAAGAACCGUUACCUGAGAAGAUUGCCAUCAGGAAUUUUGAAAUUGAUUUCACUACAAUACCUUAAUCUUUCAGAUACUACCAUCACUGAGCUGCCAGAAGAGCUAAAAGCCUUGGUAAAUCUUAAGUGUUUGAACUGUACACAAAUUAUCUCUCUACAAUUCAAAAACAACUAAUUUGUUACUUUUUCAAUGCUACAUGUUCUGCGAAUAUUGAGUUGUGGUUAUCUUGUUGAAAUAUCAGACAAUAGAGUUCUAUUUGGUGGUAGUGAAUUGUUGGUUGGGGAGUUGCCUAGUUUAAAACGUUUAAAUGUAUUAAGCAUCACCUUACAAGGUUUUUCUGCUGUCCAAAAACUUAUGAGCUCUCAAAAGUUUCAAAGCUGUACAAAAUGUUUGGAGCUUAUAGACUGUGAUGAUUCAAAGUCUUUUGCCUUGGCAGAGUUGAAGCAUCUCGAAAAACUAGUUUUUUGAAUUGUGGAAGAGUUUAAGUUCUGCUUUGUUGAAGUUGGAAAAGCUCAAGAAUGUUUUCGUUUGAACAGUUUUCACCGAGUUAAUAUAAAGGCUUGUCAUAAAUUGAGGGACGUGACAUGGCUUGUAUUUGCUCCAAAUCUUACAGUUAUUCAAAUAGAAAAAUGUAUGCAGAUGGAAGUAAUAGUCAGUGCAAGGAAAUUGGGUGAAGUUCCAGAGAUGAUGGCAGAUCUAAACCCUUUUGCAAAUAUCUUUGCCAGCGAGUUCUACCAAAAUUAAAAAGCGUCUAUUGGAAUGAGUCACCCUUUCCACAUGUCAGGGAAAUUAUUGUAUCUGAAUGCCCAAUUCUCAAGAAGCUUUCACUCGGUUUUAACAAUGCAAAGGAAUCUAAAAUUGUCAUUAGGGGAGAGGAACACUGGUGGAGUGAGCUGCAAAGGGAGGAUGAAGCGACCGUUAAUGCUUUUCUUCCUUGUUUCGGUUCCAUUUGAUAGGCAUCAACAUGGAUUUAUAUUUUGCGGUGGACAACUUGUGGUAAGUGCUUUUCCAUUUAUUACAUGUUUAUAUCUAACUUUUGUUUUCCUUUAUGGUUAAAUUUUACUGUAUAUAUGUUGUUAUACGGUGACAUUCUCGCAUCAAUUAUUAGCUUUUUAAUUCUCUUCUGGCAUUAAUUGCCCUUCUGAUCAUGUAGGAUAUGCCGAUGUCAAAGAGUAGUAAAUUGGGAUACAAAUGUAAGAAUUAGCCAGAUGACAUGUUGUUUUGAAGCUCUCUCGAAGGACUAGUUAUGUCAUUCAAAGCAUCCAAUUUCGCUACUUUUUUUUUCAUUUGUUGCUUUUUAUAUUUCUAGAUAGCUUGAUAUUCGGCCAAGACAUCGAUAGGAGGGCACAUUGUGCAUGCACACUAGUGGAUGAUUUGGGCAUGCCGAAUCCAAUUAGCGUGGAUGACCCUUUAUAAGCAUCAGGCUUCUCUCAUACCAGAGCAAUGUAGAAUAUGUUUAUAAACUGUGGAUUACCCUUUAUAAGUUUAGACUUCUUCUAUACUCGAGCGAUGUGGAAUACCUGUAUAAGCAUUAAGCUUCUCUCAUACACUUUAUGUUAAAAAUAAUAAUAAUAAUAAUAAAAUAAAUCCAUUUUAAAAUAGGCUCUUUUUUUCUUUUUUUAUAUAAACAAAAUGCAUUCUUCAAAUCAAUAGUGGGUGGAAGAAGUGAGUAGAGAAGGACUAGGCCCCUUCAUUCCGCCUAAAACCUCACCGAAACCUCUCUUGUGAACUUCUCAGAUUCUCUCUCAAUAUUUCUUAUGAUCUCGUUUUUGAUAGAAUCACUUCUAUUGCAUGCUGCAUUUUGUGCGUCGUUUUUGGGUAAUAUCUUAUCUGGAAUGCUGUUAUGAUCAAUAGAACAAGUAAUCAAUUUUUGGUUUGACGGAAGUCGAUUUAUUUAUUUACUAUUGUUUUUUAUUUGAAAUUUUGACAGUUGUGUUUCAUUCAUUUCUUUCCUUCUUUUUUUAUUUUAUAUUUAUUAUGUAUAAUUGUGUUUCAUUUGAUAUUGAUCAUACUGUAGAUAACUAUGUGAUUGUAGCUGGGGAUUUUAAGUUUUGUGAAUUCAAGAAACUGUCAAAAUGCUAGUGAAAUUGGGACCUUUAUUCAUAAGCUUGUGGUUUUCAAAAGUAGCCGGGUUCAACUGAUGAAGUUCCUUUUUGGGAUUCUUUUUUUUCUAGGCUGCAAUUCGGAUAUGUACCUGAUAGACAAUCUUUUGUGAGUUUAGCAUAUCUUCUCCGAUUUUGUCUUUUAUUCCCCAACUUUACAGCUACACACCAUGAAUGCUGGGUGAUUGUACAGAAAAUUUGUGUUAGAACAAAAGCAUUGUGAAGGAGUUUCUGUGCUAUAAGUUAUUGGCUUCAGCUUUAUUGGCAUUAAUUGGGUAGAUUAUGUGUUACAGUGAUUCAAUUUGUGAUCCACACUUUAAUUUUCUCUUUUCCCCAAUUAUUUAUGUCAAAUUCAAAUCCAGAAGCAUGCGCUGAUUUUUUUUUUUUUUUGUGAUAAUCUGUGAAGUUUAUUUGGAAAGGACGUAUCUGGGUUUAAUGGAUUAAAUUAUGACAUUGAGGGAAAGGCACUAAAGGUUUUGCUUGACACAUUUGGUCUGUGUUUACUCUGCAAUAAAUAGCUUCGCUUAUCAGAAAUCCCUAUUUGGCUGGUGAAUUUCUCUGUGACAGACAGGCAAACACCUAAACCGCUUCUAUCCAUUUUUCUGCUGGUGAGGUAAGGGGUAAAAAGUCUUCAAAAUCAUCAAAUAGUAACAUCUCUGAGAAUUGGUUUUAGAAAAAUGGAAAAUCUAGACCUACUAGGACAAAAUGGCGUCCGGUAUCAGGAGGUACCGUUUCAAGUUUUCUUGGUAAAGAAUAUAUUAAACCUGCGCAACCAGCUAAUGGCACUUUUCUGGCAUCAAAGCCAUUGAAGUUGGAUCUAAAGGAGUUUUCCCAUGCCUGCAUUGUGCAGAGAAGAAACUAAACAAAAACAAUCAAAGAAUGACCAUUUGCAGAAGGAUACGGAAGAUUUUCUAUUUAAAUUGUUAGGAGAAGGGUCCCAGCUGAACAGGGAUGUGAUUCAGGAGGUUCUCGGUAAUGUCUUAAAUAUACUGAUGCCAAUUUAAUACAUAUUGUCCUUUUCAAUGUUCUUUCUUUCUUUCUUUUUUUUUUCCUUCUUCUUCUUUUUCUUUUCGUGUGCAUGUGAUCACUGAUUUGGUAUUAUGCUUAAGUUGCAGAUAGCUGUGGAUUUGAUAUGCAAAAGGUAAGGACUAUAUCUUCCUGAUGUAGGCCUCUGCUUUUUCCCCUUCUAUGUAAUUUAGUAAUUCACAUCUUCCUUUGUGAUUGUUAUAUCAUAUCGAAGUCAAGUCUUAAAUACUGCUGUCAUAUGUGAAGGUUCAACUUGCAUUUUGAUUAAGAUCCAUUUGCUGCUGCUUCCAAAAGUGAGAAUGAGAUACUUUGGUUAAUUUCAGUGGUUGAACCCAAUAGAGAACUUUAUUUAGAUCUUCAUGGUUCAAAGGCCUGAAAAAACUUGCCCGUAAUUGUAAAAUGACAUUCUGUGCUUUUUAUGCAAUAGGGAACAGGGAAGUAGAGCUUUGGAAAAGCCUGGAUUGAUAACUAUGGAGAGACUUAUUAUUUAAGUGAUGAAAAAUUCCCAUCGCCCGCAGUCAAGAAAAUUUCAGAUAGUUAAAGACUCCAUUUUGCUUCAGCCAAAAAUGUUUGUUUCAAUUAAAGACUUGAACCAUUUUCAUUGAACCUGAUUGUGAUCCUUUACGUUAUGCAUGUUCCUCUCAAUCAAGAAAAGUUGAGGUCAUGAUUCUAUAUUUCUAUAUUGUAACUUGAAAUAAUAAUUGGUCUACUUGUUUCUGUAUCUUGAUAAUAUGAAUUUUCCUUCUCAAGUUAAUUUGUUCAAUAAAGUAAUUCUUCAAAGAAAAUAUGCCCAUUCUAUAAUCAUUUUCUUAGCUCAGAUGUUUUUUCUUCACUCUUCAGAGCAUGUCAAAACUAAUUGAUCGCUUGGCAGAUACUUUGGGUAAGAAGACAAAAUUUCUUGGUAAAUCCUCGGAAAAGGUAUGCAUAAUUCCCGAGUAUUAAAUAACCAAUAGUCAUAAUUUUUGUACAUGACUCUUUUUUCUCUUUUUUGUGGAGAUCAUUAAAAUUGGUUGAUGAUCCAUUUUGUAACAUCAUAGAGGGAUCAUCAAUUCCUUCUCUUUUCUGUGGCUAGGCAACACUUUCAGGCCAAAGUAAGAAAAUCUAUUUUAGGUAAUGUGAAAACCAACGGUAGGAUGUAAUAGUUUAUUAUGCACUGACAAUAACUUUUUGUAUGGUUGGCAGUUUAAUGAAUACAAGAGGAACUUUGUUGACAAAUUCAUCCAAGAUAGAUGCUAAAAUUAUUUAUGCAUGCCAGUUGCCUUAACUAAUUUUUCUUAACACUUGUAUUGAACAGGAAAAUGAAUAAGCAAUCUGUAUAUUGUGCCAUUGUGGAGUAUUUGGAUAUUCUGAUUUAAAUAACAAGGAGAAUACUUGCCUCAUCUUUAAAUGAGGAGUGGGGGAUUGGAAGUGUCUUCAUGUAAAUGUUCAUUUAUUUGUAUUUUGAACUAUUAUGAGAAUCUUAUAUGCCAAAUCAGUAAUACAAAUCUUCAGAUGAUUUUUGCUGUUGAUCAUGGGUUUGUGUCUGCACACAACCAUUGUAUAUCACUUUAUUCUGAUGUGCAGGUAUGUGUAGCUUAGAAGAAAUGGAAUAAUAAUCAUCUAUUAUUGCUUGGUUCAUGAUUAUUAAACGAUUAUGGCUUUAAAAAGUCUACAAAUUCCUUCUGUUCAUAUAUGAAUGUGCCAAGUUUGCUAUAUCUUAGAUUAUCUUCUUCCAAGAUAACAAGUUCAUAUUCUUUUUAAUCUUUUUCCCUCACAGUUGACUUUUAGGUGUUAAGAUUUGUUAUUAGUCCCCUGUUAUUAUGAUUUCAUAAACAGUGUACGGAUAUGUGCUCUAACUUUGGAGGACCUCCACAUGAAAGAAAAUUGCAACAAUUGAAUUCUUCCGGAGGGUAUGGUCUUUAAUUUAUUUUCUCAACUUCUCGUAAGAUUAAUAUAUUUCAUUCAGUAGGCACAGCAUGGGGGGAAGGGUUUUUAUUGAAAGAAUUCUGAUAUUUCUUAGACUUUGUUUUGGAAGGGGGGUGGAGGGAUUUCUCAUCCAUGUAUGGUUACUUGAUUAGCUUUUGACUGUAUUUCCUCAGUCAUGUAAAGGAAGAUCCAAAUACCAACGAAGGAAUAUUGCCUAGACACCCGAAAGACAGAAAUGAGCUACAGAAGCAAGUUUUACUACUUUAUUUAGUGCUCCUGAGAAAUCUGAUGGAGACCGAAUGGAGGUCCAAAGCAUUGGAAAAGGUAGUGAGUGAACCGCCGGAGGAGUUGGCACCAGAAUGCAAGGCUAAUGUGGUGCACUUGCAGCAAGAUAACCAAACCGGUAUGUGCUCUUAUAUUAACUAGACUGACUGGAUUUGUGAGUGUGUGCAUUUUUUUGUGUAUACUCUUGUAUUUAUGCAUAUUAAUGUGUGUAGGAAUUUCUGCCACUUACUGGAGAACUAGUGGAAAGCUUUAUAUCGAUAUAUCUGCAAUAACUAAUUGGAAACUAUGAUAUUAAUAUUUUCUCUCACCUGAGGAACUGUGUAACAGAUAUACUUUGUGGCUCUGGAGUACUAGAAAUUCUGCAAUAACUAAUGGAAACUAUGAUAUGAAUAUUUUAUCUCAACUGGAGAACUUUGUAACUUGUAGCUCUGGAAUGUCUAAGGAAUUUUGUCUGCUUCAGUUAGAUCAAAUAUCUUUUAGUUGCAUACAUUAUAGAAAAAGAUAAAGUUCUCUGAAUCUGAAAGACUGAAACAUUUUGUAUAUUUUGUGAAAGGGAAAUAUCUGUAGAUACUAGUUCAUGCAUUGAGGUAACAUCAAUGUUAAAGAAAAACAGCAAUAAGUUAUUAUGUGGAACUAGGUUCACUUGCUUUAAAUGCUGGUCUGGUCAACCAUAUGAACCUGUAAGUUCUGCAGAAAUAUAUAUACGGGGAGAAACUAGCUAAAUUUUCCGUUCAUUGAUGGCUUUGGUCAUUUUUUUCCCCUUAUUUUUCAGCUGUCCUUCUCCUGAAGUAUGUUAACAACUGCAGAUAAUGAUGAAGAGGACAGCUUGCAGGCUCUUCUUAGAGCCAUGAUGGAAUAUAGGGGCACAAUGAAGGAACAUUGCAAAGCUGUAGGUUCUUUUUCUCCUGUCAUUUAUGUUUUCUCACACAUUUUUUAUAUGCUCCAAGCAUGCAAUUUUGUAUGUGUCAACUGCUUUCUAAGUUUUAAAAACCAUAAUGUAAGAAUACAGUUUCUUGUCAGGCUAUUGAUGCAUUUGCUCAGGGGGAUCAUGUUCGAGCAGGAAAACUUCUAGAACAGACAAGGUUUUCCAUCUACAGCCAUCUAUUGACAACAGAUAUAUUUUCAUUCAGCAAACACUGUUAGCAUUCAAGAUACUGGCAGAUUCACUUGAUUCUUAUUAGUAAUGUUUAGUAGCAAAGGAUAUAACCUGUAUUUCAAAGCCAAGUUGUGCUAUUGAUUAUGUUAGCUUUAUUGUUCACAUAAAGUGAUAUGGAGGAAAUAAUGUGAAGUGAUAUGGAGGAAAUAAUCAAUGUAGGAAAAUUAGGUGAAGAAAUGAUGUCAAAUCUUGAACCUCUUACAAAACUCCAAGCUCUUUACUUGAAUAAGCUACUAAAUUUGAACAGGGUCCACUGGAAGGCCUUGCCAUUCUCUGAUGCAUGCAGAAUUUUUGCAUUUAAAUGCCCAGAGCUUAAGAAGCUGCCACUGGAUCUUGAAAGGGCAGGCCAAGGUAAAAUUCUUAUCAAGGGAAAGGAAGAUUGGUGGAAACAACUUCAAUGGGAGGAUCAAGUAACUCAGAAUGCAUUGCUUCCAUUUUUAAAACAACCAGCAAGUGAUUGAAGGGGGCAUCAUCAACGUCAUCAACAUGGAUGGAGAGAUUCAGGAGCAGAUCAGCAGGAUUUAGUACGACCUGUGGUGGUUUCUUUUUUGUGACUUUUUUCCCUUUCAUUUUUUCACUUCCUGUCAUAUUAUCAUUUCUUUGUCUCUGUUUCUAUUGCUGGUGUUGCUGCAUGCUUGCUGUCCUUGACAAAGUUAGCUAGUUUUUUUUUUUUUAAUUAAAUUUUGUAUGUUCGGUCGGGACAGUCACAAAGUACUACUUGUUCUAUAUGGGGGUGAUGUGAAUCAACUUUUCAAUUAUAUAUUCUGUGGUAAUUGCGAAUUCAAUUUCAUUUGUCUCCAGCAAAUUAUGAAGAAAGUGCAGAGUUACAAUAUGGAGAAGUUCACUGGCAAAUACUUUGUAAAAGCUUCGGAGUGAAACAGGAAAUGCACUUGCAGCUAAGGACAAAUUGGUGGCCAGCUAAUGCCUUCAUUUUAUGUACAUUCAUCUUUUUAAUUAUUGAAGAUAAGUGGUUCGUUGCUUUUGUUAAGAUUAUAAGUUAGCGUCGGUGCAGGAUUUGCAGCAACAAAUCUUGACUAGCCACGUGUCAAAAGCACAAAUAAAUCAAGGGAAAGCACAUGACAUGGAUUAGGAUCUAAUAAAAUUUAAAUCCCAAGGAAAAUGACAACUGCAUUAUGAAGUUUCAAUAAGGGAUACUGACUAAUGAUAUUUUUUGGCUUUAUUAAUAAAAAAAGAAUAUUUUAUAACAAAUUAAAACAUAAUAUUAAGCUAAAUGUGAUAAUUAUAUACAUUUUAAAUAAUUUCAAUAAAAAAACAUUUUAAUGUUUUACGAUCUAUCAUACAUAUUUUAUUAAAUUAAUAUGAAUUUUUUUUUAUAAAUAGCAACAUAAUAUUACAACAAAUUUAUAAGGAUUUAAAUGUAAAAUAAUUUUAGUAUAAAUAAUACGUGGGAUAUAUUUUGUAAAUUAUAAAAUUAUUUAACACAAAGUUUUUUAAAAAAUAUUUAAAAUAAAUAAAAAUAAAUUAUUCACAUCUUGAUUUAAAUAUUUAAAAUAUUUUUAUAUAUUAGUCUACAAUUAUUUAUGUUAUAUUUUUAUUUAUUAGAAAUUUUGAAAGUCAAAUGUUUUCACCUCUAAGAGAAAGACACAUAUGCUUUAUAGCUUUAAAAUCGGUCUGUUUUAUAUCUGGAAACAAAUAUAUCAUUAUUGGUAAGGAUUAAAAAAAGGGAUAAAGAAUAUUAAUGAUUAAUGAAAUCUCUAUGGAAAUUGAAUUUAGUAGGAAAAAAUUGAGCUAAAUGAUUUAGACAUUUAGUGGUAUAGUAAUAUUUUAUAUAUAGAAAUGUAAAAGCUGCACCCGAGGUUAAGGGAAAUGUUCAAAACUCUUUUUUACUCAUAAUACCCUUUGUCCUAACUAACUUACAAAUUCGACUCUAAUAUUUUAUAAUAAAUAAAAAUGUAAUCCUAAAAUAAAUAAAAUAAGAUAUAUUUUAAAAUAAUCUCAAUAUUUAAAAUAUACUUUAAUAUUUUAUAGUCUAUCAGACAUAUUUAAUUAUAUUAAAGUAAAUUUUGUAAUAAAUACAAACAUACUAUUAAAAUAGAUAUAUAAAAAAUUUAAAGUAUUUUGGAUAUUAUAUAAAAGAACUUUAAUAUUGUUAAUACGUGAGAUAUAUUUUAUUAAUUAAAAAUUCUAUUUAACCCAAAGAUUUAUUUAAGAUAAAUUAACAAUCAUAUUUGUGAAAUUAUUUCAAAUAUUAAAAAAUAUUUUAAUAUUACUAACUAUUAGAUAGACUAAACUAUUUAUAUUAUUUUCUAUUUAUUAUAAAAUUUCAAAAUUAAUCUUUUUAACUACUAUUCAAAAGAUAUUAUGAUAAAAAUAAUUUUUUUGUGUUUUUAUUAAAAAUUUGGAAUUUGCAUAACUCUUUUUUUAAAUAUUGGGGUAUAGCUGUCUUUUCCCUUUUAUAUAUACAAACCACAGUGGUGAAAAAGCUUGAUUUAAUGUUAUUUAUUUAAACAACACCGAUAUUCACACCACAUUGAGCACCAUAGUUUUUUUUUUUUUUUUGAAAAGAAAGUACACCUUUCAUUGAAUUAAGAGAAAAGAAACAAAACAUCCUCUGGAAAUUCAUCCAGCCAAAUACAAGGGUCUGACUUUUUGAAAGCCAACUUUGCCAAAUCAUGCGCUAAAAAGUUACACAUCCUAAGGACGUGCUGAGCUUUAAAAUUCUGAAAGAUUUUCUUAGCUUCUAUAAUAUCAAAAAUCACCCAAAAGGUGUCUGUCAAAGUGCUUCUCUUGUUAUUGAUUAGCUCUAUCACCCCUUUAGAAUCAGACUCUAAGAUAACUGAAGUUGCCCCUGCCUUGGCAGCUGCCUGCAUUCCCCACAAAACAGCUUUUGCCUCACUCAACUCCACAUCUCCUGAGCUCUUAAAAGUGCUAACAGCUGCAGCAACUGUUUCUCCCUUAUGGUUUUUAACUACUGCUCCCAGCCCAGCAAGAUAAUUCACCCUAUCCAUAGCAUCAUCAACAUUUACCUUAAGCCAUCCUUCUUCGGGUGGACUCCAUUGGCUUUGCUGAACAUUGUUUUGUUCUGCUAAGAAAUCCUCUUCUGACAUUGAGCACCAUAGUUAAGUACAAAACGGUGCGUUUUGUUCACGCAUGUUAGUAAACACCCACGCAACUUACACACAUACGCGCGGCUCACAACACGCGCUCUCCUCGCCCUAAAUCUCACCUGAUUGAAGCCACAAAUUUGGCCACGUUCUCCCACAGCUCUCUCCGUUCUGACCGUUUACUCUUCCUCUAGCCCCAUCGAUUACAUCUCUCAUAGCACCUCAUUCAACCGACGUAAUUGCCAGAAAACAACCUACCUGGUAAUAAAAGUCGAUUCUCUUACAAUUUUGGCCCAAAAAAAAAAAUUGCACAACUGAAAAAUCAAAAUGCCACUCUUUAAAACCAAAAAUCAAUUUUGGGCCCCCUUCAUCACCGCCUUCACUCUAGAUUUUUUCAAUCCACUUUGUCGUCAAAACCGUGGUGUUCUUAAACCAUUAUUAUAUUCACCAUCCCCUUAAUCACAUCCAACCAUCCCCAUUAUUCGUUUGUCAAACACGCUGUUCUCUUCCCAAAUUAAUUAAUUAAUUAAUGACAGACAGGAACAAAAGUACUUUAAAUCUCUGCCAAAUCGUAUUGUUAUUACUUCUUCCGAGUCGAGGCCACGUCGUUCUCGAUGGAAACCAUUGCUUUUUAUUACCACUCUUGAGGAGUUCGAAGCAUUCUCGACGGAGACCCGCGCAAGCUGUGGAAAGAGAGAGAGUCAACGGUGAAAAGAGAGCAUGGUGAGAUGUGUGAGCGACGGGGGGAGAGAGAGAGAGAAAGAAAGCCGACGGAGAGAGCACAUAGAGCUGAGAUGCGUGAGUUGGGUGAAGAUUUGGUGAGCGUUGUGUCAGUUGCCCGUGUGUUGUGUGAGCUCUGUGCCAUGUGAUAUGCGUGCUACUUUGAGAAUUUAUAGAUAGCACAAAACUCAAUCUAUAUCCAAUUCAUACCUAGAUAGAUGCGGAUUUGACUCAAUUUAUAUCCAAUUCGUCAUUUGCGAACUAAAAAUUUUUAAUUCUCUCAAAUUCACAAACUAACUAAAUAAAUAAAAAUUUAAUAUAAAAAUAACUGUACUACCGAUCAAAUUUAAAAUUAAAUAAUAUUUAAAUAAAUUAAUUGUUUAAAUAAAGUUAGAAAAUACAUUCAAAAUUUUAAAAUAUAACACAGUAAAAAGAAAAAAUCUCAUUUGUUUAGACCUAUGUAUGAAAAUUAAUUGUUUAGGAAUCUAUAUUUAUUUAUUUUUAUAUUAUUAUCGGAUAAGAUAUAAUAUGGUGUUAAUGUAACUAUAUUUUAACUUAUUUAUUUAUAAGACCAAUGCUAUAUGUACAAGUUUAAUUUUUUAAUUAAAUAAAUAUUUUUUUUUGCGGAAUUGUGGAUUUUUGCGGAUUUACAAAAGUAAAUCUAUAUCCAAUCCACCGACUAUGGAUUUUCAAAUUUUCAAAAUUUCAAAUUUUCAAAUUUUCAAAAUUUCAAAUUUUCAAAUUUUCAAUCCAAUCCAAUCCACCAAUUCACAAAUUCGGAUUUUUACGGAUUAGAUUUCUACAGAUUAAACGAAUUGAGCAGACCAUAUUUGAUUUUGAACAUUGCUAAUUUGUAUGUUAAGUAUAACAUAAUCAAUUAUUUGGAUAAUCCCUUGUGUUUUAUCUCUAAUUAGAGCAUCAAUCUUCACAAUAUCUACAAAGCUACAAUGGCUACAAAACAAACCUGCUUGCAAAUUGUCAAGGAUACUUAUCCUUUCUCUUGACAAGUCAUUUGGAAAAAUACUGUCCCUUGGCGGCUCCAUGACUUCUCUGCUCCUCCUUUUGGUCUUAAUGUACGGUUGCAUAAUGAUAGUUUAGGCCCUUUAGGGACUACUUUCCCUGGGGUUGUUAAGUCUUAGCUUGUGCUAGGCUCGUUUUUCUUACCAAAAAAAAAGGGAAUACUUCUCCUAUAAGAAAUAAUCUCUAUAUAUAGGGUGGUUGGAUUCACUUGUUUACAUAACAGAUCAAUUAGUUCUCUGUAAAUAGAGAGUUUCUAGUAUAAGAGAAACGGUAGAUCUAUUGAGAGAUUAUGUGUUAUUAAAAUUUUAGUUGCGAAGAAAAGUACUAGAGUGAUUGUAUUAAUUUUUUACAUAGUAGAUUUUUCUAUCGUCAUCUUUAUGGCUGUGAUUUUUCUUCCAUAUAGAAGUUUCUCACGUAAAUUUUUAUGUUGUGUGAUUAGUUUUAUUCUCUAUCUAUUUUUUGUUUAAUAUUUUAUUUGUAAGAUGCUGGAUGGGAUUAAAAUUUCUUAACAAAUAACGGAUUAAAAAUCAUGAAGAAAAAGCUCAAGAGAUCUUCAAGAUUUGAAGUGUGCAAAAGUUCAUAUUACUGCUAGAUGAUAUAUGGGAGCGGGUUGAUUUAGUAAAAAUGGGUGUCCCUCUUCCUAGAUCAGAAAACAGCACAUCCAAAGUGAUAUUUACAAACCCGUUCUGAGGAAGUUUGCGGCUUAAUGGAAGUUCGUAGGAGUUUUAAAGUGGCGUGCUUAUCAAAUAAAAAUGCUUGGGAAUUGUUUCUAUACAAAGUUGGGGAAGUGAAAGAAAACAGAGAUGUACUGUUUGGUUGAAUAGAAAAUUACAGAGAAAAUUCUCAAUACUUGUAUUUGAUAAGAUUCAAUUCUUAAGAGCUUUUACAAAUCAGUACAAGUAUUUAUAUUAUUCCUUACACGUGAGAAUUGCUAGUAACUCACUAACUAACUAACUUUCUUUGAGCUGGAUCACUAACACUUGACUAAUCACACUGAGCUGUUAUUCUUCACUAACAACCUUCUGCUGACGUGGCUUCACCAAGCUACUUGAAUAAUGAGCAGCCUUGACAGCCCCCCUCAAACUCAAGGGACAAGACAUGACGUUGAGUUUGGCCCUAAGAUAGUUAAAAUGGAUGAAUGAGAGUGGCUUGGUCAUGAUGUCAGCUACCUGCUCCUCACUUGGUAUAUAUUGAAUGUUUAGUUCUCCAGCAAGAACUUUGUUUCUAACAUAAUGAAUAUCAAUCUCAAUAUGCUUUGUUCUUGAGUGGAAAACUGGAUUGUGAGCUAACUCUGUUGCACUGAGAUUGUCACACCAAAUAACAGGUUUCUCUAUGCAUUGUAAUUUCAACUCAGAAAACAGUGAUUGCAGCCAGCUUAUCUCGGCACUUGCUGAGGCUAGGGACCUAUACUCACUCUCUGCACUGGACCUAGCAAUAACAGGCUGCUUCUUAGACGACCAAGAUAUCAGAUUAUGACCAAGAUAGAUGCAAUAGGCUCCAAUCGAUUUUCUGUCAUCCAGAUCCCCUGCCCAGUCUGCAUCUGUGAAUCCUGUUAGUUUCAGAUCACCAUCCUUAAUAAUUUUGAGUCCAUAGUUCUGUGUAGCCUUUAGAUAUCUGAGCACUCUUUUGCAAGCCAUAAGGUGCUGCAGUGUUGGUGCAGAAACGUAUUGACUCAGCUUGUGAACACUAAAGGCAAUUUCUGGUCUUGUUAAUACCAAAUAUUGCAUCCCACCAACAAUGCUUCUGUAAUGUGUUACAUCUUCAACAUAACAACCAAGAUUACCUUGAGCUUCCUUCUGUAGCUUCAUUCCUGUACUCAUAGGAGUAUCAAUAUCUUUGCAAUUUAUCAUCUCAACUCUUGACAGCAGAUCCCUUAUGUAUUUCCUUUGAGAUAAGAAAAUACAAUCUUUAUCAUACAGUACUUCAAUGCCUAAGAAAUAAGAGAGAACUCCAAGAUCCUUCAAAGCAAACUUUGUACUGAAUUCUGUAAUGAAUUUUUCCAGCUCAAAGCUAUUUGGUCCUGUUAUUAAAAUGUCAUCAACAUAUAUAAGAACUAGAAUCAUAGAUGACUUAUUUAUUUUCAAGAAUAAGGAGGUAUCUGAGCUGGAAUUUGUGAAUCCCCACUGCAACAAACAGCCUUUCAACUUAUCAUACCAAGCUCUUGGAGCUUGUUUAAGUCCAUAAAGAGACUUGUGAAGCUUGCAUACAAAGUCUGGUUUCUCAAAGCUGAUAAAUCCCUCUGGUUGAUCCAUGAACACUUCCUCUGUUAAGUCUCCAUUAAGAAAGGCAUUAUUCACAUCAACUUGCCUUAUCUUCCACUGAUUCAUCACAGCUAAACUCAAGACUACUCUUACAGUUGCUGGUUUUAUGACAGGACUGAAAGUUUCAAAAUAAUUCACUCCUAUAAUUUGUUGAAAUCCCUUUGCAACUAACCUAGCUUUGUAUUUAGCUACACUUCCAUCAGUGUUGUAUUUAACCCUAUACACUCAUUUGUUUCCAACAACUCUUUGAUCAUUUGUUUUUGGCACUAAGGACCAUGUACCACUCUGCAUCAAAGCUGCAUAUUCUUCUUUCAUGGCUGUAAACCAUUUUGGGUUUUGCAUAGCCUCAUAUACAGAAUCAGGUUAUUUGUGAACAAGGGUUGCUGUAUAAAGCUUUGGUUUGAAGAUACCAGUUUUGCUUCUGGUAGUCAUUGGAUGUGUAUUAGGUUGGACUGGAAAAGAUAUAUCAGGUGUAGGUUGAGCUAAUAAGGAUAUGUCAGGUGCAGGUUGUGGUGAAUUUUGAGGCUCUGUAGAUGGUUCAAUAAAUGUGGUAUGUGUUUGUGAAUAGGAAUGUUGAUUGUCAGUAUGAAAUGGAUUAUCUGAAUGUUGUGAACUGCUGCUGGUAGAAAUUGCAGAUAGAGGAUUGCAUGAGCUAUUUCCAUCUGAUACUGGUGUUGUAGAUAAUAUGGUCAGAUGAAACACUGGUUGGGGUGUAAGGGAUUGACUCGAAUAAGAUGAUGAUUCAUUAGAAUGAAAAACUGAGUCUGUAGAAUAAGGAAAUGUUGACUCAUAAAAAACAACAUGUCUGGCUAUGUACAUCUUGCCUGAUGAAUGCAAGCAUUUGUAACCUUUGUGAACUGGACUGUAGCCAAGGAAAAUGCAUUUGCUUGAGUGAUAAUCAAAUUUGUGUUUGUUGUAAUCCCUUAGAUAAGGAUAACAUGUGCAACCGAAACACUUGAGCAUGCUGUAAUCAGGUUUAAGUUUAAAAAUUGUCUCAUAUGGGGUAAGAAGUUUCAGAGCUGUUGAGGGUAAUCUGUUUAUAUGGUAAACAGCUGUAAGAAAAGCAUCCCACCAAAAUUUAAAUGGUAGCUUAGCUUGUGCUAAUAGGGUUAGUCCUAGCUCAACAAUGUGUCUAUGUUUUCUUUCUACCACCCCAUUUUGGUGAUGUGUAUAAGGACAAGAAUGUCUGAAAAUGAUUCCACAUUGGUUUAAGAAUUGAGUAAAUGAUCUGUAUUCUCCCCCCCAAUCAGAUUGCAGGUUUUUAAUGGGGCUGUCAAAUUGGUUUUCAACCUGCAAUUUGAAUAGUUUGAAUACAUCUAAUGCCUCAGAUUUCAACUUAAGAGGAUAAAUCCAAGUGUAUCGGCUAAAAUCAUCAACAAAACUUAUGUAAUAGACAUAGCUAUCUCUAGAAGGUGUAGGUGAGGGUCCCCAUAGGUCUGUAUGUAUAAGCUCAAGGGGUUUUGUUGUUUUGGUUUCUGUGCUGGGAAAAUGCAGCCUAUGGGAUUUGCCCAUUUGACAUGCUUCACAGAUAUGCUCAAGUGUUUGUUUUAUGUUAUUUCUUGAGAGAUUAACUGAAGUAAUUCCUUUUAGCAAAUGCAUUAGAAUUUGAGAAUUAGGAUGGCCAAAACGUUUGUGAAGAAGAAGAAUUUUAUUAUUCAAUGCAUCACAAGAUGAAAUGUAGCUGGAAAAUUUAUUUAUUGAUGCAUUACAAACUGUGACACAACUGGAAUCAUUAUUCUGAGUGUUUUUAAGAACACUUGAAUCAAAAGAACAUGCAGAUAACAUUGACAAAGGUUGAGUGGAUGAAGGUUGACCCAUGUAAGAACAAGGAAGAGACUCAGAUGGUCUUAGAAGUAGCUUAUACAAUCCUUUCUCAGCAAUUCCUGUCAGAAGCACUUGCCUCUUCAGAGAAUCCUUCACAUAGCAAACAUUAUCAACAAAUUCAAUAGAGAUAUUGUUAUCAGCAGUUAAUUUUGAUAUGCUGAGCAGGUUCUUUGUGAUAUCAGGUACUAAUAACAUGUCAUUCAGUAAGAUAUGUGUUGGUUUAUAUGCAGCAUUUGAUCCUUUAUAAGUAAAACAUGGAUUACCAACAUGAGUUAUAGGCAAACCUUGGCCAUUGCCGAUGACAAGUUGAUUAGAUCCUCUGAAUUCCUCUCUGACAUUCAUGUUGGCCAUACUGUUAGUCAAGUGAUGUGUGGCACCAUUGUCAAGGUGCCAUCCUUCAUCAGCAGGCCCUUCAUAGUUGGUAAGAUAGGCUUCAGGAAUUACUGUGUCUGUUGAUGGAUAAGAGGAGAAGGAUAAAGGAUUGUAGCUUGAGUAGGGUGCAGCAUACUGUUCUUCAGUUGAAGGAGCAGCAUAGGUUAGAGAUGGAUCAAAGUUAGCUGUGUAUGCAGCCUUAGAUUCAAAAGAUCUGCCCCUUCCAAAAUGCCUAGGUAAUGGUUGAGGAUUGUCAUCAUAUCUAUGCCAGCAUUCAUCUGCUGCAUGUCCUGUUUUGUGGCAUAUCUGACAUAUGGUUGGUAAUUCAUCAGCAUGCAUGUUAGCUGAAGGAUGAAAGUUUGGCUUCAUAGGUGGCCUAAAAGGUUGCAUCAUCUGGCCCCUGCCAUAACCCCCAACAUUACCAACACCAGGUGAAAAACCUCUGGGAUGUGGAUUGUGAAACAUGCCUCUUCCAACAUUAAAUCCUCUAGUCAUAGGUCGACCAUAAUUUCCAUUUCCAACAACACCUCUUCUAAAAUUUCCUCUCAUAUAAGGAUGAUUCACAUUCAUUGUGCUAUAGUUUGCAUUAAACACAGUUUUGGCACUUUGAUUUUGUUCAAGUCUAGCUUCAUGAGUCAGUAAUAAUGCAUAAGCAUCAUCAUAGCUCAUCUUAUUAGCUGUGAUUAUGGAAGCUAGAUCUAGAUAACCUGAACCUAAGCCAUUCAAAACUCUCAUUAACAGAUCCUUUUCAGUGAUUACAUCACCAGCACAAGCAAGUUUGUUGGCGAGUAAUUUCAUUUUAGCACAAUAUUCCUCAACAUUCAUUGAAUCUUUUCUUAAGAUAUUCAUUUCAUAUCUGAGUUGCAUAAUCUUAGCCUCAGAUUGAACUCCAAACUGUUUUUCAAUAGAUCUCCACACAUCAAAUGAAGUGUCAUAGCUAAGAACAGAACUAAGAAUACCUUCACUUAUAGUUGAGAGCAGCCAGCCAAGGAGUAUUUGAUCUUGUGCUCUCCAGUUGCUGUAGGCUGGAUUUUCAAUGCUCUCACCAGAUCCUUCGAUCAUUGAAUCAACUAGAUACUGUUCUGGAAUAAUUUGCGGCUCUAGAAUGAAUCUUUCAAGGCGAUUUCCUCUGAUUGAAGUUACCACUUGUUUGCGCCAAAGCAAGAAAUUUGAUCGAUCAAGUUUCACAGUUGCAGCAAAAGUAAAUGAUGUUUGUGUAUGUUGAUUUGAGUUUAUGAUUGUUUGAUUUGAGAUUGUAUUGCUUGAGCUGGCCAUUUGUGGCUCUGAUACCAUGAAAGAAAACAGAGAUGUACUAUUUGGUUGAAUAGAAAAUUACAGAGAAAAUUCUCAAUACUUGUAUUUGAUAAGAUUCAAUUCUUAAGAGCUUUUACAAAUCAGUACAAGUAUUUAUAUUAUUCCUUACACGUGAGAAUUACUAGUAACUCACUAACUAACUAACUAACUUUCUUUGAGCUGGAUCACUAACACUUGACUAAUCACGCUGAGCUGUUAUUCUUCACUAACAACCUUCUGCUGACGUGGCUUCACCAAACUGCUUGAAUAAUGAGCAGCCUUGACAGGAAGAAACUUUGAACAAUCAUCCUGAUAUCCUUCAGAAAGCACAAUAGUUGUUAAGGAGUGUGGUGGUUUGCCACUUGCACAUUUUACCAUCGGUCGAUUUAUGGCAUGCAAGAAGACACAGCCGAAGAAUGGAGAUAUGCUAUUCAAGUGUUCAAUUCGUCCGCUUCCCGUUUCCAGGUCUGGAAGAAUGGAUAUAUACUCUUGUAAAAUUCAGUUAUGAUAGUUUACCCAAUGACACAAUUACACCUUGUCUGUUAUAUUGUAGUUUAUAUCCAGAAGAUUGUUGCAUUUCUAAAGAGAAUUUGGUAGAUUGUUAGAUCAGUGAAGGAUUUUUUAAUGAGAGUGAUUGGUUUGGAGAAAAAAUCAAGGAUACUUCAUUUUGGGCAUUCUUCUUCACGUUUUUUUUUGGAAAAGGGAGGAGAUUGUGAAAUGAAAAAUGCAUGCAUGACGUUAUUCGUGAUAUGGCUUUGUGGAUCGCAUGCGACUAUGAGAAGGAGAAGGAGAACUUUUUGGUUUACGCUGGUGUUGGUUUAACUAAGGUACCGGAUAUUAGAGAUUGGGAAAAGGUAAGGAGAUUGUCAUUGAUGAAAAAUAAAAUUGAGAAUCUAUCCGAGGCUCAUACAUGCCCUCAUCUCCUCACUUUCUUUCUUGACGAUAAUGAGUUUCGGAAGAUCCCCGGUGAUUUCUUCCAGUUUAUGCCUUCUCUCACUGUUUUAAACUUGUCAUGUAUUAAACUAAAGUCAGUUCCUUUAGGGACUUCAAGGUUGGUUCCACUACAACAACUCGAUCAUUCAUAUUCAAGCAUAAAAGAGUUGCAAGAAGAGUUAAAUGCCCUGAUUAAAGUUAAAUGCUUGAAUAUAGAUCAUGUAGAGGAGCUAAUUACAGUUCCACAACAACGGAUAUUUAAUUUUUAAGGUUAUAUGUGUUGAGAAUGUUCGAUACUAUUAGUUUAAAUUUUCAAGAAGCAUUAAAUAAAGACAGCAUUUUAUUUGGUGGGGAGGAAGUUUAAGCAGAGGAGUUGCUCGGUUUGGAAUAUUUGGAGGUAUUGAGCUUCACUUGAGAGGUGUUCGUGCUCUCCAAUUUAUUUUGAGCUCACAUAAGCUACGAAGUUGUACUCAAGCGCUGUUCCUCCAAUCCUUCAAUAAUUCGAUAUGGCUUGAUAUUUCACUUUUGGCAGAGUUAAAAGCACCACUGCAGAUUUAAGUAUUUUUGGCUGUAGAAAAUUGGAGGACUUGAAGAUGGAAUAUACAGGGGGAGCGAAAAACAAGCGGCAACCUUGUGUUUUCUAAGGCCUACAUACAGUUCACAUAGAGGUUUGUUCUAAAUUGAAGGACUUAACAUUCCUUGUUUCUGCUCCAAAUCUCAAGAACUUGGAAAUACAAAAUUGCCCUGCUGUGGAAGCAAUCAUCAGUGUGGGAGAAUUUGCGGAAGCUCUAGAGGUGGUGGAAAAUCUAAACCCAUUUGCAAAACUCCAGUAUCUUGGACUAGAAAAUCUGCCAAAUGUGGAGAGCAUCUAUUGCAAGCCUCUGCCCUUUCCAUGUUUGAAAAGAAAUGACUGUGGAUAGUUGCGGUUGUCUUAAAAAGCUUCCACUCUACUCCAACAGUGUAAAAGAGUGUACAAUUGUUAUUUCAUCAUUCGGAGAGUUAAUGGUGCAAUGAGAUUUGGCAGUUAACUCUCGUGGGAAGAGCUUGAAUGGGAAGACGAAGCCACUCGAAUUGCUUUUCAUUCAUGUUUCAAAUCUCUGAUUGGAUUGGAGAUUGCAUUUCGCCUCAGGUUCGUACUUUUCUUGAAUUUUUCUUGUUAACUUCAUUUGUUCAUUUAUCCAUUUUUUUUUAAAGGAAUCAGAAGGGUUAAUAAUUUUGGUUGUGUUAGGUCGACUUCUAAUCACGAGGCAGAAGGAGUUGAGAUGAAGUUUAAUUUUGGUGGAGAAAUUGUUUGAUUUAAAAAAUUUAAAUGAGUUGACCAUCAUUCUUUAGCAUAUUUGUAUGAACAGGAGUGUGUAAAUAUGCAAACUGUCCAGCUGUAUGUGUAUAGCGUAAUAAUUUUGAGGAGUUAAAACAUUGAAGAAUAUUGAUGUUUCCAUUGUCAAACCAAAUAUACUUAAUUACUUGAGGAUAAUGAUUACUGCUAAUACAUUUGCUAAUACAUUUGCAAAGAAAAAAACAUGCCUAUUGAAAAACUCAUCUUAUUAGCAACAGCAUUAUAAGUAGUAUCCAAUCAUAGUUUCAUGCAAGAUUUUGAGAUUUUUCAAAUGCUGAUUCCGGGAAUGGAGAUUAAUAGAUAAUGGAGACAGGUUGACUGCAAUGGCUAAUUGCAAGAGGGAAUUUUAGUCGUAAAAACAGACCAACUAGCAAAGCAAAUUCCAAAUCUUGGAAUGAAGUGGCAAAAAAACGAAACAAACAAAUGGCAAGAGGAAGUGACUAUACAAUAAUAACAUCGACUUGCAAUUCAACAUUUAUACAGUUUUACUCACCAAGAAAAGAGAAAAUUACAAUAGCAAUUUGGCUACUAGAAGAUGUUCAUUCAUGCUUAUGCCUGUCAUAUGGAUUUGAAACAAGGAGUAAAAGCAUUUAGAGUGGCUUCAUCCUUCCACUGCAGCUCAUUCCACCAGUGUUGCUCUCCCCUAAUAACAAGUUUGCGUUCCUUGGCGCUGUUGUAAUCGAGUGGAAGCUUCUUGAGGUUCGGGCAUCCAGAUACAAACAAUUCUAAGAGAUUUGGAAAGUGCACUUAAAUUCUUAUGAAUUGCUUAAGUAUGCAAGCAGCAGAGCAGAAAACAAACAACCUUUUCAUAUAUUAUAAUAACAUGAAUAAUCAGAUAUACACAUCCUUCACAUAUUUAUACUAAACGUGAAAAAUGGUAGCUUGCUCAAAGGGAAAACAGAAAUGAAUAAAACAAAAGAUUACAGCUGCACUAGCCAAUCAUUGGAAACAUUCUAGAAACUCCAGCUUGCAGUAUUCACGUGUAAAUAUUCUCCUGCAUAACAGUUUUGCCAGCUCAUUGAAUACACCUCAACUUCUUCAUCAGCUGGUUGCUGGAUAUGGCUGCUCAGGUGGCAUGCCAGCAUGGCCUUUGGGUCAAUUGUUGACUCAUCUUCAUAAUCUGAAUUCUCAACACCCUCUCUCAAACUUAAGGUCUUGUCGAAGACAUUAAGUUUGCUUCUAAAUUGACUGAACUUGUAAUAAGGCAAUGGCUUGGUUAAUAUGUCUGCAACUUGAUCUCUGCUGGCUACAAAACUGAUUUCCAGCUCUCCUUGAGUGACUUUGUCUCUAAUGAAAUGAAGGUCUAUCUCAAAAUGCUUUGUCUUUGAGUGAUACACUGGAUUUGUGGCUAUUGCUGCUGCACUUGUGCUAUCACUUAAGAUCAUUGGAACUCUUUGCAUCUUGAUUUCCAAUUCACCAAACAGAGAAUUUAUCCAAGUGAUUUCAGUAGUACACAAAGCUAUGGCCCUGUACUCGGACUCAGCUGUCGAUCUUGCUACCAUGCCUUGCUUUAUUGAGCUCCAAGCUACUAAAUUGUCUCCCAAAAACACACAAUAUCCACUUACUGAUCUUCUGUCAUCUGGAUCACUAGCCCAGUCAGCAUCAAUAUAGGCUAUCAAAUCUAGAUGUUCUGACUUCUGGAACUUUAAGCACAUGUUUGCAGUGCUCUUUAGGUACCUCAACACUCGUUUGCAAGCUGUCCAGUGAGAUUGUCUUGGGUCAGACAGGUAUUGGCUAAGCUUGUUCACAGAAUAUGCAAGCUCUGGUCUUGUUAGAACAGCAUAAUGUAGACUUCCUACAACACUCCUAUAAAAUGAAGGAUUGUCAAGUUUGGUGCCUUCACCCUUCUUUAGUUUCUCUGCUGUGCUGAAAGGUGACUCUAUUCCCUUGCAAUUCUCCAUCUCUGUUUUAGCUAAUAGGUCUUGAACAUAUUUAGCUUGAGAGAGCAAAAUGGAGUUCUGAUUUCUUAUAACAUGUAUCCCAAGGAAGUAGCUUAAAUUUCCAAGAUCUUUCCACUUAACUUUCCUAUCACUUCCUCAAUACCCUUGCUGUUAUUUCCAGUCACAAUUAUGUCAUCUACAUACACAAGCACAAUGAUUAUUUCAGCACUGCUUCUUUUGAAGAAUAGAGAAAUAUCACACUUGGAGUUGUUGAAUCCCCAAGAGCACAGAGCAUUCUUUAAUUUGUCAAACCAUGCUCUGGGUGCUUGUCUCAGUCCAUAAAGAGCUUUCUUGAGCUUGCAUAUGUGGUUUGGUCUUCUCCUAUCCUCAAAUCCCUCAGGUUGUGGCAUGUACACUGUCUCUGUCAAAUCUCCAUUCAGAAAUGCAUUAUUUAUGUCAACCUGCCUCAACAGCCAAUCAUUACUUACAGCCAAAGUUAAAAUGAUUCUGAUUGUUGCAGCUUUGACCACAGGGCUGAAAGUCUCAUUAAAGUCAAGUCCUGGUGUCUGCAGAAACCCCUUCAAGACAAGUCUAGCUUUGUAUCUAUUUAUGGUGCCAUCUGGAUUUUCCUUUACUUUGUACACCCAUUUGUUGCCAAUGAGUUUGUAGUUCUGGUCAUGUGGAAUUAAGGUCCAGGUUUGGUUUUUGACAAGAGCAUUAUAUUCAUCCUCCAUUGCUCUUCUCCAUUUAGGAUCUUUCAGUGCCACAGUGGAGUCAGGGGGUAAGGAAGUUUGAGAUUGAGUGGAUAUUUGAUAAACCUUUGGCUUGCAAAUCCCUGCUUUUGACCUUGUGAUCAUGGGAUGUAAGGAGGCUUGAGUGUUUGGUUAUGUUAUGAGAGGCAAGGUGCAAUUUUCUACUGAGGUGUUUGGUGAGAGUUCAACAGGUGAGUGGUUGUCUGAUAUAGAGUUGAAGCUCAAAUUCUAACAAGCUCCAUCUUAACUAAAACUUGGGAGCUGUUCUGAGUUUCCAGCAGUGGCCUGAGAUUAACUAUGAGCUGCAUUUUGCUGUGUUGACUCAGGGGGAACAGUAGUGGAGAAAGAUACAACUUGAAAUUUUUCUAGAACUGUGGGGGAAUCAUUUUGGUCAGUGAGCCUUUGCUUGCAGAAAUUUGAGUCAUUUUGAAAAGGGAAUGAAUGAUCAUUAAAUUGACACUGGCUGAAAUGUAGAUCCUCCCAGAAUGAUGCAUGCAAAUGUAACCUUUGUGACUGAUGCUAAUGCCUAGUAGUGUGCACUUGAAAGUGUGAAAAUCAAACUUAUGCUUGUUGUAGGGUCUUAAGUAUGGAUAGCAUUCACAACCGAAAACUUUAAUUUGGGAAUAAUCUGGUUUGGUGAGAUAUAACAGCUCAAAUGGAGUUUUAUUUUCAAGAAUAGGUGAGGUUAAUCUGUUUAUGAUGUAGGUGGCAUAGCUGAAAGCUUCUUGCCAAUAUCUCAAAGGCAUUUUUGCUUGGGCUAGUAAUGUUAGGCCAGUUUCCACAAUGUGUCUGUGCUUUCUCUCCACCUUUCCAUUUUGUUCAUGUAAAUAAGGGCAUGAGUGUCUUAAGGCUAUUCCUUCUUUCUUGAGAAAGGGUUCGAAAGUUUUAAACUCCCCACCCAUGUCUGUUUGUAAAGCCUUGAUUCUUAAAUUUAGCUGAUUUUCUACUUGGUUUUUAAACACAAUGAAUGUGUCAAGGGCCUGUGAUUUUGUUGUUAAGGGAAACAACCAUGUGUAUCUUGUCUUGUCAUCCACAAAUGAUAUGUAAUAUCUGUGUCCAUGGGUAGAUGGAAUAGGUGCUGGUCCCCAGAGAUCACUAUGUAUUUGUUCUAAGGCUGUGCUGGUCUUGGUUUCAAUGCUUUUAAAGUUUAGUUUUGAUUGCUUUCCAUACUGACAAGCAUUACAGAAUGAGGGAAAUAUAUUUUUAUUUAAGUUGAGCUGAUUACAAGAUAAUAGAGUAUUUUUCAGAACUGACUCAUUUGGAUGCCUCAGCCUAUGGUGCCAGAGAUCUAUUUCAUUUGUUCUAAGAUCCCUACUGCUUGUAUCAGCUCUACUGGACUCGACAACACUGGCACCAACACUGGCACCUAAAGACUCAUUACUACUGAAAUUGAAACAUGCCAUUGACAUUGGAUUGCUAAUGCAACUUAUUGACUUGGGUAUUGGAAAUGAAGAUAACUCAGCAGCAUAAGUAACCUUGUUGCCACUCAAAUGAGUUGGCAUGCAUAGCAGCUCAUAUAGUCCAUCUCUAGCCACUCCUUUCACCAGAAUUCUCCCUUGGCUCUUGUCCUUGAUGAAGCAAACAGAUUUUUGAAACUCAACAUCAAUAUCAUUAUCAUGAAGCAAUUUGGAAACACUAAUGAGAUUUUUGGUAAUAUCAGGUACAAACAAAAUAUGAUUUAAUUUGAUGUGUUUGUGUGGACUGUAAGUGGGCAAUAUAGAAUAACCAAUGUGAGAGAUAUGAAGUUUGUUACCAUUACCAACAGUGAGCUUGUCAUUACCUUGGUACUCUGAGUUCAGGUUCAUGUUUCCAAUAGCAUUGGUCACAUGAUUUGUGGCACCACUGUCAAGGUACCAGGCAUUGCUGUUUUGUCCUUCUGUUGUGGCCAUGUAGGCUCCUCUCCUCCUAUUUAGCUGUGGCACAUAAUUUUUCUUAAACCUAUGCCAGCAUUCAACAGCUGUGUGCCCCAUUUUGAAGCAGAUUUGGCAUGGACCCUUUGAUUCAGAACCUUCACCUUCUGCAGCAGCUUUGCCUUUGCCUUUGUCUUGAAUAUUUUGAUUUCCCUGACCAUGACCACCAUUGCCACCAUUUCCAGUGCCACCACCAGGAUUUCUGAAGACUAUCCCAGGUUGUUGCUGACUGCCAAAUCUUUCACCAUUGCCCCAGUUCCUCCUGCCAUUUCUCAUCUGUGUGAAGUUAGCCUCAAGAAUCCCUGGGCUGAGAUUUUGCUCAGUCCUGGUUUCUUGGCUGAGGAGCAUGCUGUAGACCUCUGACAAUGAAGGAGUUUCUGGCAUAGAGUUAAUGUUAGUGACAACAGAGUCAUAUUCAGAUCAUACUCCAGCUAAGACACACAUAAUAAAGUCCUCAUCACUCAUGUUAUUUCCAGCUGCUCUGAGUGUAUUUAGGAUAGUUUUCAUCAUGGAGUAAUAAUCAUGGAUUGUAAGAGAGCCCUUUUUAGUGGUUUGAAUCUGUGUCCUCAAAUAUAGGAUUCUAGCUCUUGUUCUUGCACCAUACUGAUUGGUAAGAGUUGUCCAAACUUCAUGUGAAGUAGAACAAUCCACCACAGUGCCGAGGACACCCUCACUGAGAGAUGAGAGCAACCAGCUCAAAAGAAUGUGGUCCUGUUUCUUCCAGAUUUGAUAUUCUGGAUUUUGGUGGGUAACGGUAGCUUGGUUAGGUCCAGGACUGGUGAAAUAUCUGGGGGGACAGGUAUAGCUUCCAUUUAUGAAGCCUUCAAGCUCAUUUGCUCGUAUGCUGGAGACCACUUGUGAUCUCCAGAGCAUGAAAUUGUUCUGUGUUAACUUGAUGGGAGUGGUGAACACAUAUGUGUUGCUGGUGAUAUGUUGGGUAGGAGAUGGGUUCAUUAUGGUCACAUUUCUUGUGUUAUUAUCUGGAUUCUGAUUGUCGAUAUUUUCAGGUUGGUUUUGAUUCAAAUCAUUUGGUUGAUCAUCUGGAUUUUCCAGAGUUUGAUUCAUGUUUGUUUGUGAAUUUCUGCUGCUUUCCAUAGCUCAAAAGUUGCUCUGAUACCAACUUAAAUUCUUAUGAAUUGCUUAAGUAUGCAAGCAGAAGAGCAGAAAAAAAAUAACCUUUUCAUAUAUUAUAAUAACAUGAAUAAUCAGAUAUACACAUCCUUCACAUAUUUAUACUAAACGUGAAAAAUGGUAGCUUGCUCAAAGGGAAAACAGAAAUGAAUAAAACAAAAGAUUACAGCUGCACUAGCCAAUCAUUGGAAACAUUCUAGAAACUCCAGCUUGCAGUAUUCACGUGUAAAUAUUCUCCUGCAUAACAGUUUUGCCAGCUCAUUGAAUACACCUCAACUUCUUCAUCAGCUGGCUGCUGGAUAUGGCUGCUCAGGUGGCAUGCCAACAUGGCCUUGGGGUCAAUUGUUGACUCAUCUUCAUAAUCUGAAUUCUCAACAAUGCAUUCAAACAGAUCUUCUUCAAAUUUCUUAGAACUUGCAACCGAAGAUAUUGGAGUUUCGCAAAAGGUUUUAGCCCUGUAACUUCUUCCACUUUCCAAACACUGAUUAUUUCUUCCAUCUCAUAACAACGUUCUACAUGGACCAUCUUCAGAUUUGGGGCAAAAACAAGCCAUGUCAUCUCCCUCAAUUUACUGCAAUAGUCUAUGGUAACACUUUGAAGGCUGUUGAAACCAUAAGUUCUCUUGUUGUUUGAACUUCUGCAUAGUCAACCUUUAGCUCUUCCAAACUUGUACAAUACACAAAAUCUAGUUUGUCAAGAUACUUGAGAUCUGCUAUGGACAAAAUAUUCCAUGACCUUGAAUCCUCACAGCGUCGAAGCUCUAAAGCAUAUUUACAACUCUUGUACUGUUGGCAGCUCAAAAGUCUUCGUAGAGCAUAAAAACUUCUUAACGUGACGCUUAAUACAUUUAAAUGUUCCAAAGUAAUCAACUCCUCUACCAAAAUUUCACUACCACCAAAUAGAACGCUAUCUUCUGGUACUGUAUUAGCAGAGCCACAAUCUAGCAUCCUCAACACCUUUAACCCAGAAAAAUUACAAAGCAGUUGCCGUGGAAUCGUAUGGAGAUAACGCAUGUACUCCAAGUUCAAACACUUUAGAUUUUUCAAGGCUUUUAAUUCAUGUGGUAACUCUUUGAUGAAAGUUUCUGAAAGAUUAAGAUAUUGUAGUGAAACCAAUUUUGAAAUUCCUGAAGGCAAUUGACUCAAGGAGCGAUUCUUUGAUAGGUUUAAAACUUUAAGAGAAGGCAUAAAAUCGAAGAAAUCACUAGGGAUAGUAUCUAACAUAUUAAUGCCGAGGAACAAAGUUAUAAGAUGAGGGCAUAUUGGAGUUAUUGGUAAAAUCACAAUUUUAUUUCUCAUCAACGAUAUCCUUCUCUUAUCUUCCCAUUGUUUAACCUCGGGUGGUUCAGUUAAUUCAAUACCGGCAGAAACCAAAAAGUUUUCAUUCUCCACUUCACAGGCUAUCCACAAGGUCAUAUCACGAAUCACAUCAUGCAAUUUUACAUAAUCUGAUCCUGCUUCUUCCAAUAGGCAUGCAUGAACAAGAACACCAAUAAUGUAGUAUCCUUGGUUAUGUACUCCAUUAAUUCCUUCAUAUUCCUUCAGAAAACCCUCACCAAUCCAACACCCUAUCAAUUCAAUUUUGCUAAUUUGAUAAUCCUCAGGAAAUAAACUACAGUAUAACAGACAAGAUCUAAGGACGUCACUAGACAAACUAUCAUAACUGAAUUUUAAAAGACGAAACACCUCUUUCUCCAUACCUGGAAAUUCAUAAGCUGAUCUCCUUAACAUCUGAAUUGCAUAGCUCCAUUCUUCGGGUGUCUUCUUGCUGCUCAUGGCACGACCGGUGGUAAUAAGUGCAAGUGGCAAACCACUACACUCCUUUGCCACAGUUUUGGCUAACUCCGGAAUAUCGGGAUGACUUUCAAGAGUCUCUUCUCCGACCUUCUUUAGGAACAAUUCCCAAGCAUCUUGAUCUGCCAAACACUCCACCUUGAACUUUUUUUGAGCUUCCAUGAGGCCACAGACGUCCACAAGACGAGUCGUAAAUGUUGAAAGUCAUGGCUGGCGCCGGCCAUCUAGAUGGCCGGUGCCAACCAUUCAACAUUCAACACGGCCCGCCAUUAUUGGUGGUGCCGUGUUGAAUGACUCCAUAAAAAAAAAAAAAAAAAAAAAGAGCCAAAAUUUUGGCUAUAUAAAGAGGGCUUCCCACCCUCAUUUAUAAUCCAAUCUUGAGAGAGCAAUUUAGGGAGUUGAGAGAGAGUUUAAGAGCUUGCAUUUAUAAGCUCUUAUUUUAGUGAUUUGAGAGUUUGGGUGUAUUGGGGUUUUGGGUAGUGAGCUAAAAUACUACAAUACUUGUAACUCCUUUUCACUAGUAAAAUAUUUCCUUCUGUCUUUGCCCAUGGACGUAGGCUAAAAGCCGAACCACGUAAUUUCUGGUGUCCUCUAUUGUGCUUGUUCUUUAUUUUAUUUCCAAUUUCAUUUUAGCUGCGGUCCUGCUUCACCCACCAAUUUCCUAACAGUGGUAUCAGAGCUAUUGGUUGUAUUUUUGGAGUCGGGAACUGUUCACGUAAGGGGUACUAUUCACGUAUACGACACUAUUCACGUAUACUGUACUGUUCACGUAUACGGGUUUGUUCACAUAUACGGUACUGUUCACGUAUACGAUACUAUUCACGUAUACGGUACUAUUCACGUGAAACGGGGAAGCGAUCCAAGAAUUUUCCGGUGCAAAGCAGGGAAUAGUAGUGUGAGAAAAGCAACUGUGGUUUUGUACAUGUCUAGGAAAGUUCUGUCACAAAGGCGAUAAGAGCUUAAGGAGUCUGGGUUUUAAGUGGGACCAUUGUGACCCCUCCAGUCUUUCCUGGGAACUUUCCUGGUGUGCAUUCUCACACAUACUCACAACUAUUCAAGGUGGUAUACUAGCUUGUGUGCAGUAUUUAUCAACAAAAUGGCGGCAAAGUAUGAAAUUGAGAAGUUGAACGGAAAUAAUUUUUCGUUGUGGAAAAUGAAGAUGAAAGCUGUAUUGAGGAAAAAUAAUUGUUUGGCAGCAAUUGGAGAAAGGCCCAUGGAGAUAACUGAUGACAAGUGGAACGAGGUAGACGGUAACGCCAUUUCUGAUCUACACUUGGCACUUGCGGAUGGUGUAUUAUCUAGUGUGGCAGAGAAAAAUACGGCGAAGGAAAUAUGGGAUACUCUCACAAAAUUGUACGAGGCCAAGUCACUACACAACAAAAUCUUCUUGAAGAGAAAACUAUAUACUCUUCGAAUGGCGGAAUCUACAAUGGUGACCGACCACAUCAACACUUUGAAGACUCUAUUUUCACAACUCACAACGUUGGGUCAUAAUAUAGAGGAGAAUGAACGUGCAGAGCUUCUACUUCAAAGUCUACCAGAUUCGUAUGAUCAACUCAUCAUCAACCUGAUGAACAACAAUCCAGUGGAAAGUCUAGUUUUCGACAAUGUUGCAGCCUCCGUAUUAAAUGAGGAGAGCAGACGGAAAAAUAAGGAAAACAGACAAGCAAGUUCGCAGCAAGCAGAGGCGCUAUCGGUGACGAGAGGGAGAUCAACGGAACGUGGCCCCAGUGGGAGUCAAAGUUAUGGUAGAUCAAAAUCCAGAAGUAAGAAAAAUGUUAAAUGCUACAACUGUGGCAAGAAAGGGCACGUCAAGAAAGAGUGUUGGAGUAACCAGAAGAGAAGAGAGGGUAAAGAACCUGAGUCAUCAAAUGCUCAGGGGUGUGUAGCAAGUACCUCGGAUGAUGGCGAAAUUCUCUACAGUGAGGCAACAACUGUUUCAGAAGGCAGAAAACGACUUUCUGAUGUCUGGCUUAUAGACUCAGGAGCUACCUGGCACAUGACCUCUAGGAGAGAAUGGUUCUACACAUAUGAACCUAUCUCAGGAGGAUCUGUAUAUAUGGGUAACGAUCAUGCCUUGGAGAUCGCUGGUAUUGGUACUAUCAAAAUAAAAAUGUUUGAUGGUACAAUUCGCACAAUUGGGGAGGUACGACAUGUCAACGGCCUAAAGAAAAAUCUAUUGUCUUUAGGACAAAUGGAUAGUCAUGGGUACAAAACUCAUGUGGAGAAUGGAAUUAUGAAGAUCGUUAAAGGCGCGCUUGUAUUAAUGAAGGCAGAAAAGAUCAGUGCUAAUCUAUUCAUGCUUAAAGGAGAAACACUACAGGAGGCUGAUGCGUGUGUCGCGUCAAAUGGAGAAGAAUCAACGAUGAUGUGGCAUCUCAAACUCGGCCACAUGUCAGAACAAGGCUUGAAGAUUCUCUCUGAGCGAAAAUUGCUUCCGGGGCUCAAAUCAGUAAGUUUACCAUUUUGCGAGCAUUGUGUUAUAAGUAAGCAGUAUAGAUUAAAAUUCAGUAGAUCUAUUGCUAGAAGUAAAUGCAUUCUAGACUUGAUUCAUUCUGAUGUUUGGGAAUCACCGGAUAUAUCCAUGGGAGGUGCAAAGUACAUGGUGACUUUCAUUGAUGAUUAUUCCAGAAGAUGUUGGGUGUAUCCAAUUAAGAAAAAGUCAGAUGUAUUUCCUGUGUUUAAAGAAUACAAAGCGCGGGUGGAACUUGAAUCUGGUAAAAAGAUCAAGUGCUUAAGGACAGAUAAUGGUGGAGAAUAUACAUACGACGAGUUUCUUGCUUUCUGUAAGCAAGAAGGUAUUCAGAGGCAAUUCACGGUGGCAUACACUCCUCAACAAAACGGAGUAGCAGAGCGGAUGAACAGAACUCUUACAGAAAGAAUAAGAGCUAUGUUGAGGACUGCUGGUUUACCCAAUUCAUUCUGGGCAGAAGCAGCCAAAACCGCCUGUUAUAUAGUAAAUCGGUCGCCAUCUACAGCUAUUGGGUUGAAGACAGCGAUGGAGAUGUGGACUGGAAAGCCAGCUGAUUAUUCCUACCUACAUGCAUUUGGAUGUCCUGUGUACGUGAUGUACAAUGCCCAAGAAAGAACAAAGCUGGAUGCAAAAUCUAGAAGAUGUAUCUUCUUGGGGUAUGCUGAUGGAGUAAAGGGGUAUCGUCUGUGGGACCCCACUGCCCAUAAGAUCGUCAUCAGCAGAGAUGUUAUCUUUGUAGAAGAUCAACUACAAAGAAAAGAUGGAGAUGAUGGCACUGUAAAAGAAAAGUCAGAGACUGUACCAGUAUAUGUCGAAAAUAAUCUAGAAGAUUCAGAUUCUUCUGAAGCAGCACCAGAGCACGAGGAACAAGAACCAGUCGAGUCUGAGGCUCCAGAAGUUCGUCGGUCAACUCGUGAGAGACGACCACCGGCGUGGCACUCGGAGUAUGUCACAGAGAUCAACGUUGCAUACUGUCUUCUAACAGAGGAUGGAGAGCCUUCAACUUUCCAUGAAGCUUUAAACAACUUAGAUGUUGCUUUGUGGAUGACAGCAAUGCAGGAAGAAAUUGAAGCUCUACACAAGAACAAGACAUGGGAACUUGUACCACUACCACACGGAAGAAAAGCCAUUGGAAACAAAUGGGUCUACAAGAUCAAACGUGAUGGCAAUGACCAAGUGGACCGGUAUCGUGCAAGAUUGGUGGUGAAAGGAUAUGCUCAGAAAGAAGGUAUUGACUUCAACGAGAUAUUUUCUCCGGUGGUUCGACUCACAACAGUCAGAAUAGUCUUGGAGAUGUGUGCUACAUUUGAUCUACAUCUUGAGCAGUUAGAUGUUAAAACUGCAUUUCUUCAUGGAGAACUUGAAGAAGAAAUAUAUAUGCUCCAACCAGAAGGUUUUGCAGAAACAGGAAAGGAGAACUUGGUUUGCAGGUUGAACAAAUCUCUAUACGGUCUCAAACAGGCGCCGAGGUGUUGGUAUAAGAGAUUUGAUUCCUUCAUCAUGAGCCUUGGAUACAACAGACUCAGUUCAGACCAUUGUGCAUAUUACAAGAGGUUUGAAGAUAAUGAUUUCAUCAUUUUACUGUUGUACGUGGAUGACAUGUUGGUAGCAGGCCCCAACAAAGAUCAAGUCCAAGAAUUGAAGGCACAAUUGGCUAAGGAGUUUGAAAUGAAGGACUUGGGACCAGCAAACAAGAUUCUAGGGAUGCAAAUUCACCGAGACAAAAAUAACAGGAAGAUUUGGCUUUCACAGAAGAAUUACUUGAAGAAAAUCUUGCGGCGCUUCAACAUGUAAGAUUGUAAGUCAAUUUCUACCCCACUUCCUGUUAAUUUCAAAUUAUCCUCAAGUAUGUGUCCUAGCAAUGAAGUGGAGAGGAAGGAGAUGUCUCGAGUACCGUAUGCAUCAGCAGUGGGAAGUUUAAUGUUCGCUAUGAUAUGUACUAGACCAGACAUUGCACAAGCAGUGGGAGCAGUCAGUCGAUACAUGGCGAAUCCUGGUGGAGAGCAUUGGAUAGCUGUAAAGAGGAUUCUGAGAUACAUCAGAGGAACCUCAGAUGUUGCAUUAUGUUACGGAGGAUCAGAGUUUACUAUCAGGGGCUAUGUGGAUUCAGAUUUUGCAGGAGAUCUUGAUAAAAGAAAAUCCACUACUGGUUAUGUGUUUACACUUGCAGGAGCAGCUGUAAGCUGGGUUUCGAAACUGCAGAUCGUUGUGGCUUUANNNNNNNNNNNNNNNNNNNNNNNNNNNNNNNNNNNNNNNNNNNNNNNNNNNNNNNNNNNNNNNNNNNNNNNNNNNNNNNNNNNNNNNNNNNNNNNNNNNNAUAUUCUUGAUUAAUCCAUUUUCUGAAAUUUUUUAUUUUGUAUGGUCAAUUAUACCUUCAUACUAAAAAUUUCUGAUGUUAUGGGGUUGUUGGAUGUGUUUUGGAUAUUUGCAGCUAAGUUUGAGUUUAUAUCUCAACUUAAAAUUUGUAGUUUUCACUUGAAAAAAUUCAGUUAAAAAUUGAUUGGUAGAAUUGUGAAGAAGUUUAAAUUUUUAGUUCAACCCGAUUGCAUAUUUAAGAACAUCUCAAAUGAAUUGCUUACUGCUAUCAUCAUCAUAAUUGUCAGAGAUGGUUAAUUGAUAGACUAUGUGCCUGGGUCGAGCACUGGAAGCCUGCAAUGCAGACUGAUUGAUUUAUCAGUUUAACGUGUGCCAGGAAUGAAGAACUGGAAUAUCACCGUCAAGCAAGCACCCUGUGGAGCAAUACCAAAGAAUGCACAAUCCGGCUUUGCAAGGUGACACUGGAGGCUUUUUGAAAAGUGCUUCACGCUCACUUGCACAGAUUGAGCAUCCCCUCUGGAUAUUGCCCUCUCUGAUCGAGUCUGAGCACUCAAAUUUUGGUCCUCAGAGGGAGCUACAGUUUUCUCUCCAAUAACCAACAAUUUUCUAAACUCAGCACCUAGUGUGAUCAGAGUUGUUGAUAUUUAUAAAUGGAGAUCCCCAUAUUUGCAAGUGGAGACAUUUAACAAUUCACCAACAUGCUUCAUCCGGUGUACAAAAUUCUGCAGCUGAUUCAAAUCCGGAACCUGAACCAGAGUCGGAGGUAUAUCUUGAGCCAUAUCUAAAGUAGUUUGAAGUUCAAGACCUUGAGCCCUUGACAAUGGUUUUGAAAUUGGAACAUCUUGGAUUACUGCAGACUUGUACCCCUUGGUUUCAAAGGUAAGGAAAGGCAUUGCUUGAGUACAAUUUGGAGGCAGCUUCUUCACCAAUUUUAUUUGGAGGCGAUUGGCAGCGGAUCCAGCAGCACCAAUUUCAGAGCAAAUACUGACACUACUUCGAACAGCACACUGAAGAAGUGAUAUGUCUACGGCAAAGGCAAUGCAGUCCUCAUUUUGGCUUGAGAUGCAGUAAUCAUCGAAGAGAGUUUCCUUGUGAAACUGGGCAACACAUUGAAUCCCUUCGCCACUGAGAAGGUUGUGGAGGAAGUAAGCUUUCUCUCUAGUGAGGCAGAGGUGGCAUACCUUCCCCAUUUUGUCGAGGGCAGGUAGGAAUCUUUUUUCUAAGAGAUUUACUUCAUUCUCUGUGAGAAAUGCUUUGAACUUCAUCCCUCUGUCUCUAUCCUCACUUAUCAGGAAAUAAGUUGAAAGCACUACGAAGAGAGAGAGAGAGAGAGAGAGAGAAUUAAGAUAUAUAGACAAGAAAAAUAUUAGACGUUGAUCUUACAAACUAAUACUUCAAGCAGUAUCCUGGAAAGCUAAAAACUGCAAGAUGGCUUGAAAUUUGAAAAGAGCACGUGCUUUUCCUCCUUAACUUGAGAAAAUGUUUAAUAUAGUGCACCUUAUGGAAGCAUUUAAGCAAUUAGAACUUUGCACAAAAACAUCAAGAAGACUAAACAAGUCAGAUGCAGUGUAUUUGUCCAAGCACAAAUUGCAUUUUGUCCUCAACUUUAAUAUUUAUUGAUGAGAAUCAAUACAGGUCCCUCAUUUGUUAUAGAAAGCUUUCUUUCUUGUAGUCUCACCAGUUAAUUCACAGGUCUAUAAUCAUCUUGCAAAGUUAAGGGCAUUUCUUUUGAUCUAAAGUCUUUGCAUCACCACCUCAUCACACGCCAAGCCAAUAUUCCAUUUACCUCUACAACAAAAAGUUUUAAUUAAACAAUCCUAAUGCACGCAGCCAAAUAAAAUGCAGUAAGAAUAUUCAACUUAAAAAUCUGAAAGCCAACUUGGUGAAUUGCCUCCUUAGGUGAAGUUCCAUGCUUUACUAUAGUUGACAGAACUCAGCAAAAGCUUCCAUACAACAGAUUUUGAAAAUGAUGAUGCCAACAGAUACUCAUUCAAUCCAUUGAAACUCCAAAGGUUCAUUGUUCAUAGAAGUUUACAAAGUUUUGGUCAUCAAAUAGCUCAGACCUAAUCCCAAACAAAAAAAGAGUGAAAAUUAGAUCACGAGCAGCUAAUUGUAAAUUCUAACUUAACUCUUCAUCUCCUUUGUAAACAAGAAACAAAAUGGAGACACGCAAAAUGAAUAUGGAGAAAAUUUGAACUCAAAUGAAAUGAGGGCACGAAAGCAAACAAAUGGCAUGCACAAAAAAACCAAGCCUCAAUCAAAAACUAAUUAACCAUUAAGAAAAAAAUUGGUCAGACAAUGAACUCCAAAUUCAGGAGUCAAGCAAGAAGCUUUCAUUAUUUCAGAAGCUCCUGUACAAAUUAAUAAGUUAUGCUCUUUGGAAGCAAAACCAAAUUCCAAGAGAAACAGAACCCAAAAAAUUUGCAAUUAUUCGCAAAGGAAGUGAAGCACAGGAUUCUAUCACACAUAGGAAUUUUAUAACAAGAGAUCGAUAUAUCGAAUUAGAAAACUCAAUUCGAAUUUGUGUGAAAAAUCAAAAUUAGAAGAUUUCACAUUUCGAGAGGAACAAGCAACAGAUGAGUUUAAUUUCAGCCAUAACAUGCUAAAAAUGCUACACUUAACGGUUCCUUGUCAGCUAUUGAUGCGUUCGCUCANNNNNNNNNNNNNNNNNNNNNNNNNNNNNNNNNNNNNNNNNNNNNNNNNNNNNNNNNNNNNNNNNNNNNNNNNNNNNNNNNNNNNNNNNNNNNNNNNNNNAAGGGUCAUGUUCAAGCAGGAAAACUUCUAGAACAGGUAAGGAUUCCAUCUACAGACAUCCAUUGACAGCAGAUAUAUUUCAUUAAGCAGACACUGUUAGCAUUCAAGAUGCUGGCAGAUUCACUUGAUUCUUAUUAGUUUGUUUAGUGGCAAGGCAUAUAACCUGUAUUUCAAAGCCAAGUUGUGCUAUUGAUUAUGUUAACUUUAUUGUUAACAUUAAGUGAUUUGGAGGACAUAAUCAAUGUAGGAAAAUUAGGUGAAGAGAUGAUGUCAAAUCUUGAACCUCUUACAAAGCUCCAAGUUCUUUACUUGAAGAAGCUGCCAAAUUUGAAGAGCGUCUACUGGAAGGCAUUUCCAUUCCCAGAUGUAUGCAGAAUUUUUGUAUUAAUGCCCAGUUCUUAAGAAGCUGCCACUGGAUUUUCAUGGGGCGGGCCAAGGUAAAAUUCUUAUCAAGGGAAAGGAAGAUUGGUGGAAAGAACUUCAAUGGGAGGAUCAAGCAACUCAGAAUGCAUUGCUUCCAUUUUUCAAAUCAACUGACAAGUGAUUGAAGGGGGCAUCAUCAACAGAGAUGGAGAGAUUCUGGAGCAGAUCAGCAGGGUUUGUAUAUGAUCUUUGGUGGUUGCUUUCUUUUGUGAUUUUUUUUUUCUCAUUUUUUUACCUUCCUGUCAUUUUAUCAUUUCUUUGUCUCUUUUUCUAUUGCUGAUGUUAGUGUAUGCUUACUGUUGCUUGACAAAGUUUGCUUGCUUCUUGUUUAUUAAAUUUUUUAUGGUCACAAAAUAUUACUUGUUCUAUUUGAGAGUGAUGUGAAUCAAUUUUCAAUUAUAUAUUUUUUGGUCAAUGUGAAUUCAAUUUCAUUUGUCUCCUGCAAUUAUUAAAAAAAUGCAGUCUCAUAAUAUGGAAAAGUCGACCGGCAAAAAUUUUGUGAAAGCUUCGGAGUGAAACAGGGAAUUCACUUACUACUAAGGACAAUUGGUGGCGAGCUAUUCCAUUCAUUUUAUGUCCCUACAUCUAUUUAAUUAUUAAAGAUAAGUGGUCCAUUUGUAAAUUUCAGAUUGUGUCUCUCUGAAAAUAACAAUAUUUAAAAUGUCUCUUAAAUUAUUAUAAAUUUUAAUUCACUCUCGAUUUAAAAUGGAACAUGCUGAUGAAAAUUUUUUUCUUCUCAAUAUUCAAUAAAAUUGAAAUAAAUUGUGUUUGCAGUAUUUUGAAAUAUUUUAAAGAUUAUUAUUUUAUAAGAGAGUAAUAUGAAAUGAAAUUUACUCUUCAUGCGUGAAAUGUUGAAAAGGACAAAGGAAAGUGUCACUGCUUUUAUUUUAUUUCAAAGUGGAGUCAUCUCACAUACUUUACCUCUAUCAUUACAAUUUUUCACGUUACAUUUUGAUUUAUUUAUUUCUUUUAACACAUGCAUGUGGGUUACUUUUCCGUAAGCUCCUUAAUAUAUGUUUAACACAAAUCAUGGAAGAGAUGGGAGUAUAUCAAGAUGAUCAAAGCAUGAGACAAAAAUAUUUAAGAAGUAAAACACUGAAAAUAGAGGAGAGAUGCAAGCAAAAGAUAUUCCAAAGAAAAGCAAUCUAUCCCCUUUCGAGGGCAAACUUAAUCAGGUUUAAGAAAAGUACAUGUUUUGGAUUGGUAGUUGCAGCCUUGCAGGAUAAUUGUUUUUGCCAUUAUAUUAGUUGGAGGAGUUGAACCCAGCGAAGAAUGUUAUGGAAGAGCAAAUUAAUGAUAUUUCUGAUAGAGUCUAUUUGAUUAUGUAGCCUGAAUGGAUGUCUUGUUGAAAGAUAUCUCAGUGCAUUAGUUCAUCCUUGUCUGUCAAUGUGUUUUUAAUGGUUUUUCCAAUUGUUUAUUAUUAUAGAUUGAUUGUAAAUUUAUAUGAAAAUUUGAUAUGAAUUUAAUGUUGAAAUGUUUUCUCUUUAGUGGAAUGAAUUUAAAUUGAUUGAUUGUAAAUUGAUAUGAAUUUAAUGUUGCAAUGUUUUCUCUUUAGUGAAAUGAACUUAAAAGUGUAAAAGAUUAUUGCACACAUAGAAAUAAACAUAUAUGCUUUAUAGUAUAACUUUAGCAAUCGAUUCUUUUACGGCUGGAAACAGAGAUGAUGAUUAUCAUAGGGGUGAAGAAAAGGACAAAAAAUAUUAAUAAAUGAUCUUAAUGUUCCACAAAAGCAAAUCGUAAUAUUCCACAAGAAAAAGCAAGAUCUUAAUGUUCCACAAAAGCGUUAUUUAUUUUUUUUGGUGAGCCACGUGGAGCUCAAUUAUCAUUGUCUUUACUUUAAAAACGUUAUUUUAUUUUAUUUUCUUACAAAUUAAUGCUAACAAGAAAAAGCAAGAUAUAAUAUUCCACAAAAGCAAAUCGUAAUAUUCCACAGAGGAAUAAGAUCCACAAAAGCAAACAACUAGCUGGAUUCUUUUAUUAAACUACAAAUUAAAGUGGAAUCGUUUACUAAACAACAAAUUAAAGUUCAAAUAUUUAAAUAGUAGUGCGUUAGACGAUUAGGCUCUUUUAUUAAAGUCAAGUAUAAAGUAGUCCAGAAUCGAACAUCUCUAUUGUCUAGUCUUUUUUUUUUUUAAUUCUUCUUUUAUUAUUUUUCAGAAUAUGUUUUGGUGAUUACUAUUGGGUUAUUAUUCAGAGUUAUUGUUAUCUUCCGGGGCAGUUUCUGUUCAUCGAAAUCGUUAAUUAAAAUUUUAAAACUCUUAUCGGAAGAAUGUUUUUCCGUUAUUUUUUUAUAUUCUAAUUUCAAUUGUAAGAAGUAGUCAUUUUAGAAUUUGGGUCUUGAAUCGAAUUUCAAUGCAUGAAUUAAUAUUUUAAAAAAAUUUACUACAUGCAGUUUAGGUUACAAACUAUUUUUUGCAAAGUUGACUAUGAAAUUGGAGAAAUUAAGUAAUUUAUAAUGUUUGCAAAGAAAGAGACCAACAUACUUCCAAUUACACUAUAUCUCAAUUAUCAUAAUGUUAAGAUUAAACUAACUUAAAAUAAAAUUUAUUUAAAAAGUUUAUCAAACGCAGUCUAAUUUUAUUAACUUGAAGAGAUAAUAGUUAUAGAAAUUAUUAUUCUAACUUAAUUAGUAAAAGUGGUAUAAAGGUUAAGUGUGCACUAAAUCUAUUUAAAUUUUUUUCCAGUAUAACUAACAGAGGUCAUUACUAGAAUUAUAUUACUAGUCUAUUAGAUAGAAAAAAUUAUUUAUAUUGUUUUAUAUUUAUUAAAAAAAUUUAAAGUCAAUCUUUUUAAUUACUAUUUAAAGGAUAUUAUAAUUAAAAAAAUUUUAAUGUCUUCAUUAAAAAUUUAAAAUUUUAUAUGACCGUUAUCUAAAUAUUUAAAGUGUAACUGUCAUUUUCUCAUAUAUAUAUAUAAUUUCAUCAACCCCUUAUACUUUAUGUUAUUUAUAUUUUAUUCAUGAAUAUUAUAAAUUUUUUGAAAUAUAAAAUUUCGUUUAACCCUUUAUACUCAAUUUUAUUUUAUUAAAACCCUAGAGUAUGAAUUCGUCCCUAUAAUAUUAAAUUCUCAAAAUAACUUCCAUUUAAUUAAAAAAUAUAAUUAUUAUUAAAUGAAUUAUAAUUAUUAUUAUUAUGUUAUUAUAAUCAUAAAAAGCGAGAUCAUAUUCCACAAAAGCAUAAGUGACAAAACAACCAACUGGAUUCUUUUAUUAAUCAACAAAUUGUAUAGUCUUUUUCAAAUUGUUAUAAAUUGGUGGCCCCUACAAUCCUCAAUAAUUGUACCGAAAUUCACAAGUUGGUGGGCCCUACAAUUCUGUUCCGAUAAUUUAACUGUGCAAGUGCUCAUUCACAAUCUUCCAGGUCAUGCUCUUAACAAUUGUUUUUUCUUUUCUGCACGCCCUUUCAUGCUCUUAAUAAUUGAAGAGCAUACUUUUCAAAUGUGAAGCCGCAUCUAAUGUCGCUAAUUUAAUUUGGGAUUAAAUUACGGGACUAUUAUAUUGCAGUGUGCACUAAUUUUUAUGUUUAUCUAAACUCUUCAAAUUUAAAACAUAUUAUGGCAUAAAUAAGAAUGUAACAAUAACAAAAGAGUAAGAAAGUGUAGAGAAAAUCUUGCAGAAAUAUAAAUAAUAUUUAUUUUUAAAAUAAUAUUAAUAUUUAAAAUAAUUUUUAAUAUUUUAUGGUCCAUUAGAUAUAUUUUAUUAUAUUAAAAUAAAUUUUAUAAUAAAUAAAAACAUACUAUUAAAAUGAAUAUAUAUAGAAAAUUUAGAGUAUUUUAAGUAUUAUAUAAAAUAAUUUUAAUAAAAUAUGUGAGAUAUUCAUAUUUUAUUAAUUUAAGAUACCAUUUAACCUAAAGAUUUAUUUAUGAUAAAUUAAUAAUUAUAUUUUUGAAAUUACUUCAAAUAUUAAAAAAAUUAAUAUUACUAAUAUAUUAGAUAGAUUAAAUUAUAUAUAUUAUUUUUACUUAUUAAAAAAAUUUUAAAAUUAUUUUUAAUUACUAUUCAAAAAACGUAUUCAAAAAACAUAAUGAUAAAAAAAUCUUAACAUCUUUAUUAAAAAAUUAAAAACUUAUAUGAUAAAUUCUCUAAAUAUUUACGGUAUAUGUGAACCACGGUGGAUAAGCUUUAUUUAAUAUUAUUGAUUUAAAUAAUAUGUCAAUUAAAAAUGUACAGAGAAGAAAUUUCGGUGGGUAUUUUAGUCUUUUAAGCAAUUAUCAUGAUCAGAUCAGCCUUUAGCCUUCAAACGUCGGUCAGAAAAGUUUUAAAAUUAAUGCUAAAUUGUUUUUCACUUUUAACGUUGGUGGCCUUGAAAUUGCUUGUAUUUUAUUAAAAAUUAAUGCUAACAAGAAAAAGCUAGGUCAUAUUCCACAAAAUCAAAAGUGACAAAACAACCAGCUGGUUUCUUUUACUAAACUACAAAUUAAAAUAAAUUUUUUCGAUAAAUUACAAAUUAAAGUGGAUUCUUUUGAAUACAAAUGGGACAGACGAUUAGGCUCUUUUUAUUAGAGGCAAGUAAAAACUAGUCAAGAAUCGAACAGUCUUUUUCCAAUUCUUGUUUUAUUAUUUUUCAAAACUAGUUUUUGGUAAUUACAACCGGGUCAUUAAUCAUUAUUCAGAGUUACUGUUAUCUUCGGGGGCAGUGGGUAAAAGAUAAUUACUAACUGUUUUUCCUUCAAAAGUUAGCGGCUCAUGUUUGCAAGUGUGAAUGUGCGAUGCUCUUUUCUUAAAGGCCAUUACAGUGGGGCCCGAAUCAGACGUGCCUAAAUCUUUUUAAAAUUUUUGCCGUAUAACGAACAGAGGUCAUUACUAAAAUUUCUCUUCCACAGCCUACAGCAGCUUCAGUUUAUCAAACUCCAUCAAUUUUCUUUCUUAACAAAAUUCCAAAGAUGUGUAGCAUUUUUCAGAUCACAUGCGAUGGUGCUCUUUUCAAUCGUUGCUUGGAUUGCUUUCUUGGAAAAGCAGCAUACAUACGUAACCUCCAAGAUAAUCUUGAUGCCUUGGACACUGAACUGGGAAGACUAAUCGCUAAAAAGAACGAUGUGAUGAGGAGGGUUGUCGACGCUGAACGACAACAAAUGAGAAGGCUGGACGGAGUGCAAGUGUGGGUUUCGAGGGUGGAUGCUGUUAAAACUGGAGCCGAUGAACUUAUCACAGACGGCUCUGAAGAAAUUGGCAAAUUAUGUGUUGGAGGCUACUGUUCCAAGAACUGCAGGUCAAGCUACAAGUUCGGAAAACAAGUGGCUAAAAAGCUACAAGAUGUGAAGACUUUAAUCGCCGAGGGAGUUUUUGAGGCGGUGGCUACUGAGGUGGUGCCCGAGAGAGCUCCGGAACCUGUAGCAGAUAAAAGACCCAUUGAGCCAACAAUAGUAGGCUUGCAAUCACAGCUUGAACAAGUUUGGAGAUGUCUUGUAGAAGAAUCAGUGGGAAUCAUUGGCCUAUAUGGUAUGGGCGGUGUUGGUAAAACCACACUAUUGACCCGUAUCAACAAUAAAUUUCUUGAGAGUCAAAACAACUUUGAUUGUGUGAUUUGGGUCGUAGUUUCAAAAGACCUGCGGCUUGAAAAAAUUCAAGACGAUAUUGGGAAGAAGAUAGGUCUGUCUGAUGAUUCAUGGAAGAAUAAAAGUUUUGAAGAGAAAGCUGUGGACAUCCUGCGGAGAUUAGGAGAGAAGAGAUUUGUAUUGUUGUUAGAUGAUUUAUGGGAGCGGGUUGAUUUAACAAAAGUGGGCGUUCCACUUCCCAGCGCACAAAAUACUACCUCAAAAGUCGUAUUCACAACCCGUUCCAUUGGUGUUUGUGGCAGCAUGAGAGCUAGGCCGGUUAAAGUGGCAUGCCUAUCAGAAAAGCAAGCUUGGGAACUGUUCCGCGAAAAUGUUGGGGAAGAAACUCUUGAGAGUGAUCAUGAGAUCGUUGAGCUAGCCCAAACUGUGGCCAAAGAGUGUGGUGGUUUGCCACUCGCACUUAUUACUAUUGGUCGAGCUAUGGCCUUCAAAAAGACAGCCGAGGAGUGGAGUCAUGCAAUUGAUGUGCUAAGAACAUCAGCUUCUGAGUUUGCAGGUUUGGGAGAGAAGGUGUAUCGUCUUUUAAAGUUUAGCUAUGAUAGUUUGCAGAAUGAGACCAUUAGAUCUUGUUUCUUAUAUUGUUGUUUAUAUCCCGAGGAUUAUGGCAUUCUUAAAUGGGACUUGAUUGAUUGUUGGAUUGGUGAGGGAUUCUUGGAGGAAUCUGACAGGUUUAGUGCAGAAAACCAAGGAUACUACAUUGUGGGCACUCUUGUUCAUGCGUGUUUGCUAGAAGAGAUGGAAGAUGAUAAAGUAAAAAUGCAUGACGUUGUUCGUGAUAUGGCUCUAUGGAUAGCUUGUGAAAUUGAGAAGGAGAAGAGAAACUUUUUGGUUUGUGCAGGUGCUGGAUUAAAAGAGGCACCGGAUGUUAAAGGAUGGGAAAAUGUGAGAAGAUUGUCAUUGAUGCAAAACCAAAUUAAAACUCUGUCAGAGGUUCCCACAUGCCCUCAUCUCCAUACUUUAUUUCUUGCCUCUAAUAUGGAGUUGGAGAUGAUCGCGGAUGGCUUCUUCCAAUUUAUGCCUUCUCUCAAAGUUUUGAAGAUGUCACGCUGCUGGAAUUUUCAAUUACCUGUUGGGAUGUCAGAUUUGGGUUCAUCACUAGAACUUCUUGAUAUUUCACAUACCACCAUAAGAGAGUUACCCGAAGAGUUAAAGUUGCUGGUAAAUCUGAAAUGUUUGAAUUUGAGGUGGACAGGUGCGUUAAUUAGAAUUCCACGGGGACUAAUAUCAAAAUUUUCAAGGUUACGUGUGUUGAGAAUGUUGGGUACUGGCGGGUUCAUUUUUUAUGAAGCACCAGAAGACAGCGUUUUAUUUGGUGGGGGUGAAGUUUUGAUACAGGAAUUGCUCGGUUUGAAAUAUUUAGAGGUAUUGGAGUUGACCUUGGGAAGUUAUCAUGCUCUCCAAAUUCUUUUGAGCUCAAAUAAGUUAAAAAGUUGUAUUCGAUCUCUUUACCUCUAUUUGACCGGAGAUAAAAAGUCGAUUAUUGAUGCUACGGCUUUCACAGACCUAAACCACCUCAAUGAAUUAUGGAUUGAUAAUGGAAUUGAGUUGGAAGAAUUGAAGAUUGAUUAUACGGAGAUAGUACGAAAAAGGCGGGAACCUUUUGUUUUCCACAGCCUUCACCUUGUUACGAUAUAUAGUUGCCAUAAAUUGAAAGAUUCGACAUUCCUCGCUUUUGCUCCAAACCUCAAGUCUCUUUCGCUAUUCAAAUGCCGUGCUAUGGAAGAAAUAAUCAGCGUCGGAAAAAUUGCUGAGAAUCCUGAGAUGAUGGGACAUANNNNNNNNNNNNNNNNNNNNNNNNNNNNNNNNNNNNNNNNNNNNNNNNNNNNNNNNNNNNNNNNNNNNNNNNNNNNNNNNNNNNNNNNNNNNNNNNNNNNNNNNNNNNNNNNNNNNNNNNNNNNNNNNNNNNNNNNNNNNNNNNNNNNNNNNNNNNNNNNNNNNNNNNNNNNNNNNNNNNNNNNNNNNNNNNNNNNNNNNNNNNNNNNNNNNNNNNNNNNNNNNNNNNNNNNNNNNNNNNNNNNNNNNNNNNNNNNNNNNNNNNNNNNNNNNNNNNNNNNNNNNNNNNNNNNNNNNNNNNNNNNNNNNNNNNNNNNNNNNNNNNNNNNNNNNNNNNNNNNNNNNNNNNNNNNCACUGUUUUUAUUUCAGUCUCUCUCUCUCUCUUUGUCUCUGCUAAUCACAAUUAAAUGUGAAUUAAUGGAAUUAAUGCUUCAUAAAUUUGCCGGCACUGCCAUUACUUUUUUUUUUUUAAUACAAAUUGAUACUUUAUUUAUAUCUUCUUAGCGAUUUAAUUUCCUGUCAAUUGACGAACGAGAAGAACAUAUGACUUGAACCAAUGCUCGCAUAAACUUGCUGUAAAAAGAUAUAAUCUCACUGAAAUGCACACGCCUAGAAUGAAUAGAAUUAAAACAGGGAAAAUAUUAAGUAUAUUAGCCCUCUUUACCGAAAAUCAAAUGACAAUAAAUUUUUUGAAGUUUUGAUUUUCUAUGGUCAAUUCCACCUUUUGCAAUUUCUUCUGUUCUAACAAAAACCAAUUUCUUUGUUCAAGUAUUUUCGUUUGGGUAUUAAUAAUUCUCCACCGAAAGAGUGAACUCUUGCUCAAGGGAUCUCUAAUCAAUAGCCGGAAGGGCGCCGAGACCUGAUCGGACCUAGGCCCAAGUUUGGUCUUAAAGCCUGGGCUUGAGCCUGGCAAUUAAAUUAAAACAGUAAUUGAUUUCUUGAAUGAAUUGUCGUGUAAUUGAUUUAUGGGGGAUGACACAUCAACAUACUUGAAAAUACACUAAUCUCAGCAUCAUCCGUUAAUAACUUUUAGAUUUAUGGGCAAUCAAUAGUUAAAUUAGUUGUCAUUAAUACUAAAUAAUUUUUACUUUUUUUGUCUCUUCUAGAGGAUCUUCUAGAAAAAUGCAUCCACAAUUAAAUUUAAUACUUUACAUAAUAAAGAAAGCAUAAAUGUUAAAUUUAAGAAACUGCAUUGUAUUUCAGCUGAAGUUGACUUUAAUAUUUAGGGUAGAAAAAAAUUAAAUCCUUAAUGUGUUUAAUUUAUAUCACUUGUGUCAUUAAAAUUUUCUAGUCACCCUAACCAAUUACAUCUCAACCCACUUUUUUUUGGAUGAUUUUAUUUUUAUACUAUUAUUUUCAACAUUUUUUUUUCCUUUUAACACCAACAUUAGUGUAUGUUACGUAACAUAAUCCAUAUUUGGAUAAUUUGAAAUUUGUUUGUGUUUUAUCUCAAAAUAGAGCUUCAAUCAAUUUGUACCUCAUAAAUUCACAAUAUCUGGCAGGGCUAAUAAGACCAAACUCUGGCAUAUUAUCAAAUGUGCUUAUCCUUUUGCUUGACAUGUCAUUUUAAAAUUGUCAUUCAAUGCCAAAAAAAUCACAUCAACUGAUGGCCGACUACUUUAAUUUGAAAGCAUGCAUGCGAUCGCCACCAAUAAUUAUAACUUAAUUGUUAUAUUGAAAUUUUUUUCUUUAUAAUUUUUAAGUUUAAUACUGCUACAUGUGCGGCACAUAAGUUGGAAAAUAUAACAUAAAAUUUGAAAAAUGUGUAGUUUUCGUUCCUUUUUUUUCUUAAAAAUGGGGAAAAAGAAUGUAAUUUUGUUUAAAUUACUGUUGUGAUAACAAUUAUUAUUUUAUUGAUUAAUUGGCAGAGAAUCGUUAUGGUUUCGCAUGGUUGUUAAAACAUUGGAAAAUCCACUACAUCAUCCGAUAAUAACUUUCAGAUUUAUGGUUAAUCAAUAGUUGAGAUUUGUUAUCAUUAAUGUUAAAUAUUUUUUUAAUAUUUUUUCUCUCUCCUAGAGGAUCAUCCACAGUUAAAAUUUAAUAUUAUAAAUAGUAAACAAAGUAUAAACGUUAAAUCGAAGAAACUGCAUUGCAUUUCAGCUGAAGCUAACUUUAAUAUUUAACAGAGAAAAGUAAUUAAGUCCUUAAUGUGCUUUAUUUACCCAUAUAUAUGGCUAAUUUUUUAAGAUAAAGGGGAAGGAUGAUGCUCAAAAAUAUAAAUUAUAGAAUUAAUUGAGCUCUCAAGUAAGUUUAAAGUUCAUUAUUUUUAAUUACAUGUUUAUAAUUUAUUUUUAUUUCGUAUUAAUCUAUAGAUCUAAAUCCACUUUGGAUUCAUAUACAUAUAUAGACAUAAUGUGUAUGUUAAUCUAUAGGUCUAAAUUCACUUUAGGUCUAUAUAGGUAUUUUGACAAAUGUACUCCAAUCAUAUUGGCAAGUUCUAACUACUAUAUUGGUAUGUCAAUAUUAUCUCUAAUUGCCCUAUACAUUCAGAAAUAAUCUAGAUAUACAAAUUAACAUAAAAUAAAAAUAAUUGGUAGAAAAUAUAAAUUAUAAACAUGUAAUUGAAAACGAUAAACUUUAAAUUUACUUAAGAGAGUAAUUAAUUUCAUAGUUAAAAUCUUUAAAUUUUACCCCUCAUCUUAACUUAAGAAAAUUAAUCACUUAUUUUAUUUAACAAAGAAGAGAUUUUUUUCCCCUAUAUUUCCCAAUUAUUUCUCUCCCUCUCGCUCCCGUAAGUUAUACAACUUGAAGUGAAAUAUGAGUGGUCUGAUUCUAGCUUAAAUAAUUUAUUGUGACAUGCUAUCUAAGGACAAUACAUUACCUAGCUCUACAUAUUUUAUUUAACCUCCGGCUCACCCUGUGCAAACUUGCCUUCCCCUACAAGACAAGAUUAAUCAAUCUAUCAAGUCUCAAAUUCAAUUUGGAAUAUGACCAUCGUACGUUCUUGUUCUUCCCUCUUUACGAGUGCAUUCCCCCCAACCUCAAGCUCCCUCUCUCGUCUUCAAUGUCACUGCCUAUAUCCUUGUGUUGUUCUAGUUUGAAAUAGUGGCUUCCACAAUUUCAGGGCCCCCAAAAAUCCAGAAACAUAGUAUUCAUCACGAUGACAAAUUUUUUGGCAGGCAGGUGCUUCCUGACUUUCACACGGUAAUUCUCAAAUUCUGAUUUCACCAUAUUUUAAUUACUGAUUAGCAUAUAUUCAAGUGCUCUCCAUUAUAAUAGAAGCCGCCGCCUCACUCGUGAUUCCAAACUUUAUCUUUUUUCCUUUUUUAAAUUAAUGCAAGUAGCCGCUGUCCUUUUUAUUAAUUAAUUAAUUAAUUCGGCCGCCCACAUUUCUUUUCCUAAUGUCUUCUACUGUCGAUUUUCUUUUAUUUUCUUUUUAUUCUUAAAAUAUGCUUAUAAUAAUAAAAUAUAAAAAUUAAAAUUAACAUAUCAAAAUAUAAUUUAACAGAAAAUUAAGAUAAAAAUAAAAAAAAUAAAUUAUGAGCAUAUCAAUCAAUAAAUGAAAAAUAAUAAUUUUUAUUUUUAUUAAAUAUAUAUUUUUCAGUAUUAAUCAAUUAUUUGAAUAAAUAAAAUCAUUUAAAAAUAAAUAAAUAAAUUAUUCUUAAAAAAAAAGAAACUUUUUAUAACACUCACUAUGCUGGUUGUAGGGUAGACGCUUUGGGAACUGAAGCCGGUAACUUCUACAAGUAGUCUGAAGUUGACUGGCAACAACUAUAUUGACAUUUAGACAUAAUGUACUCCAACCGUAUUGGUAUGUUUAAAUGUUCUUACUAUUGUAUUGGUGUGUCAAUAUUAUCUCUAACUGCCCUAUAGAUAAAAAAAUAAUCUAAAUUUAUAAUUUAACAUAAAAUAAAAUAAUUGGUAGAAAAAUAAUUAUGGUUCAUUUACUUAUCAGUAAUCAGAAUAGACUAAAAUCGAAAUGAGUUGUAUUACCGUUGAUGUGUUUAUGUUGUCCUGGAAUCGGAAUGAAUUAUUUUAAGUUACUAAAAUAUCCUUGGUUUGUUAUUCUAAUUAUUAUUUAAUAUUUAUUAUAAUAUUUGUCAUAUCAUUAAAAAGAAAUAAUAAUGAUGAUAAUAUUAUCAUUAUUGUUUGUUACAUUAUUAUUAUUCAAAAAAAUUAUUGUUAAUAAUAAUAAUUUUUUUAUUUCAAUAAUAAUAAUGAUAAAAUUAAUAAUAAAAAACAUGACAACAACAAUAAUUAUUUAUUAUGCCAAAAAAUAACAAUAAUAAUAAGAAUAAUAAUCAUCAUCAUUUUUUUGCCAAAGAAAUCAUCAAACCAGACAAGAAAUCAUCAAAAAUUGCUAUUUCAAUUUAGGAAGAAGUUCUUUCGGUGUGCUAGCGAUGGGAGAUGUUGUGGCUGCGAUUCGGGGAGCUAAUAGUUUAUUGCACUAAUAACGGCAGGUGCUGCUGCUUGAUGCGAGGUCCAUGGCCAGUUGUCAGCAGUUCGACUUUGGCAUGGGCGCUGCUGGUUCGAUUUUAGGUGUUGUCUAAUUUCAUUUUCAGGAUUUUAAUUUUAUUUUUUUCUUUUAUAUUUUCAUUAAUUAAUCAGGGCAAAGUUUGAUUUUAGAAUUUGGAAUGAAGGUAAUUUUGUUAAUCAUGGAAAUGAGAUUUUGAUUGUCGAGAAUGAACUUACACAAGCAACUGCAAAUUAAGUGAAAACAAAACGCUUUUUCUCUUUGUGUGAUUAAAACAUGAAAUAUACCAUAAAUAAAUAGGUAAAAAUUAAAUCAACACAAUCCAAAACAGUAAACCAAUUAUAAGAGGCACAAAUUUUUAUGUGAAAUACCGAAAACGGAAAAAACCACAACAUGUUAGUAUGAUAUAAUCUUCUACUAUAUUAAUGGGAUUAUAACACAAAUUCUUCCCUAUAUUACACUAGAGAUUAACAACAUCAAGAAUCUCAAUAAUCUUAACUUACAAUACAACCUAAUAUAUGUCUCUCUAAUAAAUAGAUAUCUAAAAUAACAAUCUCUAAUAAGUAAGUAUCUCAAAUAACAGUCUCUAAUAAGUAGGUAUCUCAAAUAAUAGUUAAUAAGAGGAUAAAACAAAAAUUAAGAUUAGUAGGAUGUGUAUAAGGCGAUGCUAUCAACUUAUCUUCUAAAUUUGAGAAAAAUAGUUAAAUUCACUUUUUUGAUUGUCCGACCAAAGAUGGAAACCUUGCCCCAAAACCAAAGGAGUCACCAUUGUGUUUCUCUCUCUCUCUCUCUCUCUCGUUCUUUUCUUCUACUUUUCUUAAUGUUAGCCGCCACUUGCUUUUAUUCUUUAUAGCAUUUAAAAAGUUACUUUUAAUGGUAAAUUUCAUCUAAGUCCAAAACUUAGUGAUAAUUGCACACUAAACAAUCCUUUUUGGACUAUAGACUUUUGGACCUCCAAAUGAGACGAAUACAACAAAUCUCCCCUUUUAGAUCAUGUAGGAGGCACCACAAGCCCACUCUCUGCAUAUAGCUUUUUAACUUCUCCUUGAAUAAUGACUUUGUCAUCAUACAUAACUCAUUCUCCGUUGUGUAAAUCUUCUCAAGCUAUAACCGUUCUUUCUCAAACACGUCUCGUAUCUAAUAAUACUUCACAUCAAUUUGCUUAGAUUUCGAAUGAUAUAUCAAAUUCUUUGAACGACACUCUGAUUUUCGCAGUACAUAAUAUAGUUGUCUCAUUUUAUACCUAGCUCUUGUAGGAAAUUCUUCGUCCACAGUAUUUUUUUGCAACCUUCAAUAAUUGUAAUAUCAUUUGCUUUAGUAGUAGAAAAGACAACUUAUUACUAAAGUUUAGAUUACGAUGAGACUGCUCCUCCUGCAAAAGUGAGCAAACAUUCUAGUAGGAAUUUUUCGGAAUCAACAUCUCCUACCAUAUCUAUACACUUGUAACACAGGUUUGUCACCACCAAAAUAUAAACAUGCUCUGGAAAUGCCUCUAAGAUAUCUGAGAAUUUUUCACUAUUGUCCAGUGCUCUUUACCGGGAUUGAAGAGAAACCACUAACUACACUAGUUGUAUAAGUAAUAUCUGGUCUUGUACAAAUUAUGGCGCACACCAAACUGCCAACUGCUGAAGCAUAAGGAACUCCUCUCAUGGAGAAAUGGGUUUUGCUCUUGAGAUUUUUGGGAACAUGAAGAAUAAAUAUGUAAUUUCUUGGACUGCCAUUGUUUCGAGGUAUAUAAACAGAGGACAAGUCUAUAUAGGUCGACAGUGGUUUGCUCAGAUGCCAGAACGAGAUUAUGUCUUAUGGACUGCCAUGAUUGAUGGGUACCUUCGAGUGAAUAGGUUCAAAGAGGCUUUGACGCUUUUUCAGGAGAUGCAAACUUCAAAUAUAAUGGGAGACGAGUUUACCAUUGUUAGCAUUCUUACAGCUCGUGCGAAUCUGGAAGCACUAGAUCUGGGAGAAUGGAUAAAGACUUAUGUUGAGUGUUAGAAAAUGCAUAUUUAUAAAGGAGAAAACCAUCAUUUUACAUUUCAAGUCUUACUAACAACCCUUACUUUUAUGUAUUUAACCUUCUUGUGAUUUAAUUACAUGUGUUUUAUUUUAAUUAAGUAUUUUAUGUAUUUUAGGGACAUUAUAGUCAUUUCACAAUAAAGGAGAGAUCAGACGGCAAAACAGACAUCACUUUUGAACUCAGGACGGUCAAAAACCUUAGGAGGAGCAUAAAAGGAAAAAUGGCACUAUUCACAUGUACGGUACUAUUCACGUGUACGGUACUGUCCACGUUACUGUUCACGAUACUGUUCACAUAGACAGAUCGAUGACGUGGCAUUGACUGAUGAGGUGUCACGAUCCUGUUGGGCUAAAAUUCUUAUGUACUGUUGAUGGUGACGUGGCAGCAUAUCAAUGGACGAAAAAUCUCGCAUACAGUACAUGCAUCACACAGGAUUAUUGUCAACCAAAUCGCGUUACUGUUCAUCCGGGUCAAACCGUGUUACUGUUCAUCCACGUAGUCAAACCGCGUACUGUUGACUGAUGACGUGGCGCAAUCCUGAGCGUCCAAACUGUUUUUAAUCCGAUGGCCAUGAUUUACUCCAUGUAUCUAUAAAAAGGGGGCCUCCCCCCCUAAUUUGACAACUCUGAAUCUAUUUUGGGAUCCAUUUUCUAUAAUUCCCUCUCCAUCUUGUAUUUUCUACGUAUUUUAAUAAAUUUCCAUUUUACCCUUAGUUCAAUUAUGAGUGGCUAAUUUCCUUUCAAGCUUGGGUUGAAGGUGAAGUCUCAACAUGUGUCAUGGGCUUUAUUUGGUAAAUUUAUUUUCUUUUCCCCUCUAGUUUUUGUGGAUGAUUUGACUUUUCGUCGACAAAUAAUAUUGAUCUUGUCUAGAUACCACCUUGGUUACACCGGCUCUCUAGUACAAGGUUAUUAUUAUUUGGCACGAUAAGCCCUUAGCACCAUAUUGAUUAGAGCGUGGUUCAUGAGGUGUGGAUUCCCCCCUCAUGAUUUAAUUGGCAUUAAUAAGGAUUAUAUAGCCCAUGAUGCAUGUUGAUACGGAUCUGGAUACCCAAGUGCUUCAUUUCAAUAGAUCUAUCUUCAAUUUCUUCUCGCCAUUUUAAUUUAAGUUUUAGAAUAUUCCAAAUCAUUUCCACCACAAAUCCAAUCCCCGAUUCACAAAAUUAAUUCUAUACACAAUUAAAAUCCACAUCCUCGUGGGAUCGACACUCGUCACCAUUAGUCUAUACUACAAUAGAUUCGUGCGCUUGCGAGUACAUUAAAAUUUACACAACAACUUAUAUUGACAAAAACAAAGUCAAGAAUGAUGUAUUUGCGGGGAAUGCUUUGAUAGACAUGUACUGUAAAUGCCGAGAUGUUGAGAAAGCUCAAAAGGUAUUCAGGAAGAUGCUUUGAAAGGACAAAUUCUCAUGGACGACCAUGAUUGUUGGCCUUGCCAUCAGUGGCAAUGGUGAUAAAGCUCUUGAUAUGUUUUCCCAAAUGCUUAGGGCUUCGAUCAAACCGGAUGAGGUAGCUUAUGUUGGUGUUCUGUCUGCCUGUACUAACAAUGGUAACGAAACUUUUGUGAUAAAUAGUUGCAACUUAAGGUGAGAAUUGGAGGAAAGGAAAUAGACUGAAGUUGUUCAAUCAUCGGUCGUCUCUAUUUGGUUUUCUCCGAUAUCUCAUCUUCAGUUUUGACUCAGAUUCUAUCUUACCACUUAGGGGUGGGCAAAAUCGGGUUCGGGUCAACCCGAUCGGGUUUCGGGUUGUUCGGGUUAGACAAGGAACAAUCCGAACAUAACCCGAAUUAAUGACCCGACCCGAACUUAGUUCGGGUCGGGUCAUUAAUUCGGGUUAUGUUCGGGUUGGAUUUAAAAUGGGUAGGAUUGAGUUCGGGUCAAUUUGGGUUAGUUCGGGUCAAUUCGGGUCAGUUCGGGUCAAUUCGGGUCAAUUCGGGUCGGUUGAAAUCGGGUCAGUUCGGGUCAAUUCAGGUCAGUUCGGGUCGGUUGAAAUCAGGUCAAUUCAAGUCAGUACGUUUUUUUUUUUUAAGAACCCGAUCGGGUAUUCGGGUCGGGUCGGGUUUGACCCGAACCGAUCACAACCCGAUCGGGUUUGUAAAUUUCAAACCGAUCGGGUUUCGAUCCCGACCCGAUCCGACCCGAACCCGAAAUUUAUCGGGUCGGGUCGGGUCGGGUAAAAUGCCCACCCCUAUUAAUACCACUAGUAAUUACAUAGACUUGCUGCCAAAGGUAAGAAUGAGAAUAAAUUAAAUAGAUUAUGUCGAAAACGAAAUAAAUUUACCAUUGUUCUGUUCAUUCUAUUUGUUUCCUACAGAAUAUUUCUCCAGCCUAAAAUUUUUUGAAUUAGUAAGUUUUUAUCUUAUGCAAGAAUUGUGCUGAGAGUAAUUCCAUUUCUCAGUCUCUUUAUGUUUCAAUGAAGACGUAAAACUUGUGUUCUAGUGCACCAAUGUUUAUGCUUCUUACAAUUUGACUUUAAUUUAGUUUGUAAAACUUUUGUCAAAAAGUACUAAAAAGUAGUGCACCAAACACAAACUUUAUUACAGAGAGGACUUCAGUUAAAUUUUAAGAAAACACUCAAAAGAACGAGUUAUAAAUUAUUAUCGAAAUAUUUCACAUAAAUAAAAGCCAUCCCAUGCUGCAAAGAUCUUGCUAUAAUCACCAAAAACUAUCGGGAGCUUUUAGGGUUUCCAUAAAAAUGUCAUUUCGUUCCAAAAGUCAAUGGUGGGUAGAAAGUGGUGCAAAUGAGACUCAUUGUUAAUGGUAUAAGUUUUUGCUUAAUUAUGUCUUCCCCAAAAUGAUGAUUUAAUUUCCAUUCUCAAUUAAUUUUCAAGUUUCAACACUUUUCUAUGUAGCAUGACAUUGGAAAGAUCUUGUACAGUUGUACUACUAAAAGCUAGCACCACACGUUAGUUAUUGUUAAGUUCUUUUUCAACGUGAAAUAAAGGAAGUAGUCCUUCGUUAAAACCAUUAUAGCCAAAUUUCACGUAAUUGGACAUUUACAGACUUUUAUUUCAAGUUGGAUUUUGGUCCAACAUUUCAAAGUUGGCCCAAUUAUUUUUGUCUGGUCAAGUCCUUCGCAGCUAAGCCCCUCAAUGAAUGAGGGUGAGAUUGCUAAAAAUUACGACAGGUGAUAUUUUAUUAUUAUUAUUUGUUUGAGGGAAAAAAUAGGAAAAGCAAUAGAGCGCCACGUGUCAACCAAUGGAAUGAUUCCUGCACAAUCUAAGGUACCCCACACAAUCCGAGGUACCCCAUAUAAUAUGAGGUACCCCACACAAAUAGGGGUACCCCGCGUAAUAGGAGGUACCCCAUGUAACUCGAGGUACUCGGCAAAGCGGAUGCAAGAGAAUCCUCCGAAAAUAUCCGCCAUGAGAAACGUCUCCGCCUCCUAAAAGAUAUUAUUCAAUUUUGUCAGAAUUAUGAAUAAAAAACGACGCCCUAAAAGGAGGGACAGUCGCCUGCGACCUCUGCCAAAAGUGAAGGACACUGUCCCAAGGACAGUGGUCCCCAACGCCUACCCGACAGCUACUGCAAAGGUACCCUGGACCACUCUCCAGCGCGCGCCACGUUUCCAAAAGAUGAGAUACGCCGCGAACGUGCAGAUAACUGCCCAAAAAUUAUAAAGAGGUAAAAGGACGUUAGUAAAAAAGGGUAUGCCAUGUGGCAGCUGAGGUACUCCAUAUAUAAAGGCGCCUAGGUUUCAUUCUCCAUCAUGUUCUCACUCACCAUUAACACUCGCACUCCAAAAAAUAGGUUUUCUUCAACCUUAAACCCUAAUUUACAGAGGGUUAGUCAGCUCUCUUUACCAUAAAAGCUUGAGUUUGCUAACUUGAGCGUCGAAGUGUGAACGCCGGGGUACCCCGGCUUCACCUCUAACCUCUAUUUCACUGUUUUGCAGGCGUGAAGCUCAUUUGGAAGGACACAUCUCUUAGUUCUAAACCUUUCACCAUUGUUACCACUCUCUCUCCCUUUCUCACCUCCCCUGGAUUUCAGAUACACCACACCGCACACAAUAAACUAGUGAGGUACCCCGUCUCCCAUAAAAAUACAAAUUCAUUGUUCUAGAUAGAUUUGGCUUUUUUUACCCCAAAAUCUGUUGAAAACACUAUUUUUAAUUUUGGGGGAUAAAUCCUCACCAAAGUGAGGAGAUUUUAUCAAAAUCAAAAUAAAAAUAUAACAAGAACUGAAAGUCGGGCAGCCUAAAAGCUAGAUGAACUAAAAGUCAGGCGCCUAAAAACAACCUUAUGCAAAAGAGAAGCAACAUGAGACCGAUCAAGUAAAAGAAUCCACCGCAACACCUAAAUUGGCCAAAUUAUCUGUUGGUAUUACAAGUUUCUUGUUAUAAAAGUGUAGAAUGAAGUAGGUGACAGUAGUUUUAAGUUACAGCUGCAUGCCUAAUCGCAAUAUCAAAUAAUGAUUAAAUAUCAAAUAAUGCUUAAAGUAGUUGCCUAGGCCCGCCACAAUUUAUAUUAACUCUUAAAUUUAUAAAUAAUUAAAUUUUUAAAAGUUUGGAUUUAUAUUAAAAAAUCUUCAUAUAAAUAAAUAAUAUAUGCACUUUUACAACACAGUCUUUAAAUUUAAAUUUUUCUAGAAAAAUCUUCUGUAUAUCUUUUCUAUUAAAAAAUUUCCAUAUAAAUAAAUAAUAUACCUAAUUUAAUUGGACCCAGCACAUCGCAUAUGCAUAGAACACAUUCCACAAAGCCAUGCUAUUCGGAAAUUGACGAAUGAAAAGUGAGGAGGCAGCAGUCAAUGCUAUUUGGGCUUGGCCCAAAAUUGAUUUAUCAGGUUGACGUUUGCCAGGAAUGAAGAACUGGAAUAUCACCGUCAAGCAAGCAACCUGUGGAGCAAUACCAUAGAAUGCACAAUCCAGCUUUGCAAGGUGACACUGGAGGCUUUUUGAAAAGUGCUUCACGCUCACUUGCACAGAUUGAGCAUCCCCUCUGGAUAUUGCCCUCUCUGAUCGAGUCUGAGCACUCAAAUUUCGGUCCUCAGAUGGAGCUACAGCUUUCUCUCCAAUAACCAACAAUUUUCUAAACUCAGCACCUAGUGUGAUCAGAGUUGUUGAUAUUUGUAAAUGGAGAUCCCUGUAUUUGCAAAUGGAGACAUUUACCAAAUCACCAACAUGCUUCAUCCAGUCUACGAAAUUCUGCAGCUGAUUCAAAUCCGGAACCUGAACCAGAGUCGGAGGUAAAUCUUGAGCCAUGUCUAAAGCAGUCUGAAGUUCAAGUACUUGAGCCCUUGACAAAGGUUUUGAAAUUGGAACAUCUUGGAUUACUGCAGACUUGUACCCCUUGGUUUCAAAGGUAAGGAAAGGCAUUGCUUGAGUACAAUUUGGAGGCAGCUUCUUCACCAAUUUUAUUUGGAGGCAAUUGGCAGCGGAUCCAGCUGCACCAAUUUCAGAGCAAAUACUGACACUACUUCAAACAGCACGCUGAAGAAGAGAUAUGUCUAUGGCAAAGGCAAUGCAGUCCUCAAUUUGACUUGAGAUGCGGUAAUCACCAAAGAGAGUUUCCUUAUGAAACUGGGCAACACAUUGAAUCCCUUCACCACUGAGAAGGUUGGGGAGGAAGUAAGCUUUCUCUCUCGUAAGGAAGAGGUGGCAUACCUUCCCCAUUUUGUCUAGGACAGGUAGGAAUCUUUUUUCUAAGAGAUUUACUCCAUUCUCUGUGAGAAAUGCUUUGAACUUCAUCCCUCUGUCUCUAGCCUCACUUAUCAGUAAAAUAGUUGAAAGCGCUACAAGGAGAGAAAAGAAGAGUAUUAAGAUAUAUAUAGACAAGAAAAACAUUAGAUGUCGAUCUUACAAGCUAAUACUUCAAACAGUAUCCUAGAAAGCUAAAAACUGCAAAAUGGCUUGAAAUUUGAAAAGAACACAUGCUUUUCCUCCUUAACUUGAGAAAAUGUUUAAUAUAGUGCACCUUACAGAAACAUUUAAACAAUUAGAACUUUGCACAAAAACAUUCAAGAAGACUAAACAAAUCAGAUGCAGUGUAUUUCUCCAAGCACAAAUGGCAUUGCAUUUUUUCCUCAACUGUAAUAUUUAUUGAUGAAAAUCAGUACAGGUCCCUCAUUUGUUAUGGAAAGCUUUCUUGUAGUCUGACCGGUUAAUUCACGGGUCUAUAAUCAUCUUGCAAAGUUACAGGCAUUUCUUUCGAUUUAAAGUCUUUGCAUCACCACCUCAUCACACACCAAGCCAAUAUUCCGUCUACCUCUACAACAAAAAGUUUUAAGUAAACGAUCCUAAUGCAUGCAGCCAAAUAAAAUGCAGUAAGAAUAUUCAACUUAAAACUCUGAAAGCCAUCUUGGUGAAUUGCCUCCUUAGGGGAAGUUCCAUGCUUUACUAUACUUGACAGGACUGAGCAAAAGCUUACAUACAACAGAUUUUGAAAAUGAUGAUGCCAAUAGAUACUCAUACAAUCCAUUGAAACUCCUAAGGUCCAUUGUUCACAGAGGUUUACAGAGUUUUGGUCAUCAAAUAGCUCAGACCUUAAUCCCAAACAAAAAACGAGUGAAAAUUAGAUCACCAGCAGCUAAUUGUAAAUUCUAACUUAACUCUUCAUCUCCUUUGUAAACAGGAGACAAAAUGGAGACACGCAAAAUGAAUAAGGAGAACAUUUGAACUCAAAUGAAAUGAGGGCACGAAAGCAAACAAAUGGCAUGCGCAAACAAACCAAGCCUCAAUCAAAAACUAAUUAACCAUUAAAAAAAAAAAAGUGGUCAGAGAAUGAACUCCAAAUUCGGGAGUGAAGCAAGAAGCUUUCAUUAUUUCAGAAGCUCCUGUACAAAUUAAUAAGUUAUGCUCUUUGGAAACAAACCUAAAUUCCAAGAGAAAGAGAACUCAAAAAAUUUGCAAUUAUACGCAAAGGAAGUGAAGCACAGCAUUCUAUCACACGUACAAAUUGUAUAACAAGAGAUCGACACAUCGAAUCAGAAGAACUCAAUUCAAAUUUGUCUCAAAAAUCAAAAUUAGAAGAUUUCACAUUUCGAGAGGAACAAGCGACAGGUCAGAUGCAAAAUUUUCAGCCACAACAUGCCACAAUUAACAGUUUAUUUCCAUGGAUUUAGAGAGCUGACUGACCUUUUGGCUUUUGGAAUUGAGAAGAUCGCGGGCCAAAAUGGAAGAGGGAAAGCGAAAGUGCGGGUUUUAAUAGGGUAUUGGAUUAGCAAAUUUAAUUAGUUUGCGAGGGUAAAAUAGGAAAGAGAUAUCACUAUUAACUUUUUUUUUUAUAAGAAAAAAGAAUAAUAAAGAAUAUUUUAUUGUCAUUUGCAGCCUGCAAAUGACAAUAAAUCAAAUACGUCAUACAGAAGCUUAAAGCUGAAUCUAAAAAAUCUAGAGCUCUCAACUACAAAAAUUACACUUGAUGAUCCUCUACAAGAUGAAGCUUGUUCAAUAUCUUAUCCAAAGUUUAUAAAGUAACCUUGUAACGAUCUUGAGAUUGCCUGCCUUCCUCGACGACCUGCACGAUGCGUUUGUACAAAUCAUCAUACCUGUGCACCGGAUUUUUAAUAUCAACGCCACUGCAGCUGUGAUCAAGAACAUAAGAGCGUUUAACAUCUUUUCUCCAUCGAGAAAGAAUGUAGUGAGAUGGGAUCUCCUGCAUGCCACUCUGGUUUAGAACACAAAGAAUGUGUCUGGAUAAAUAUCCUCUGAAAUUGAACAACCCACAAACACAAAGCACCUCCAAGUCGGAGGCAUUGUACAAAACAUCGAAAGCCCUUGAAUCUUUCUCGUUGCUACCAACCUCAAAUUCUUCCUUCACUAUGUAUGUUAUAGGUCCAUCAGCACUGACAUGUUUUGUGCUAUAGCAAGAGUACAUAGCCUCCACCUCCGUCUGAAACUUCCUUCACAUUUCAUUUGUGUACAGUUUUGAGAGUUGAAAUUCAUAGUCACAUCUUGGUUUCUGGAUACAACUUGAAUUUCUUGAAUCCAUAUCUGCCAAGGCUUCCGGUUGAUAAUUCGCCUGCAGUGCUUGAUCAUACUUGUGUAAGAAUUCUUUCAAAGGAGUACGCUUAUCAAGAUAUCCUUCAAAGUAUGAAGUAGAAACCUCAUUCUGCAGGAAUGAAAACACUCCUGAUAAAAAUGCUUCCUUCAAAUAAACAGGAGCCCACCUUUUACGAUCUUCAUAUAAAGUUUGAAUCCAUCCGUGAUCCUUUAUUCCAUGACGUUGAAUCAUGUCUUCCCAAGCUGCUUCAAAUUCCUCAGGCCUGAGAGAGUGAUAAAUUGCUCUAUGUAAUGCACCUCUAAUAGCUUCAUAUUCAAACAAUCCUUGGAGUUUCUCUGGAAUUUUUUGCAAGAUGCAUGACAAUGAAAAGCAAUGAUAAGCUCUUGGGAAAACAUCGCCAACAGCAAUUUGCAAGAUUCUACAUUGGUCAGUGAUGAUUGUUUGUGGAGAGCGUCCUAACAUACAUGUAAGCCACACCCUAAACAACCAUGUAUAUGAUUCUAUGGUCUCCCUGGCAAGUAAACCACAACCCAACAACACUGAUUGUCCAUGAUGAUUCACCCCAAUGAAUGAAACCAGUGGUACAUCAUAUCUUUCAGUCAAGCACGUAGUAUCAAUUAAGACUACAUCACCAAAGUACCUAUAUGCAACUCUUGACCUGGUAUCAGUCCAGAACAGGUUUCUCAAGCAUCCCUUUUCAUUUAGAUCCACUACAUUAAAAAAGUUUGGAUCUGUCAACUGCAAACGACAAAAGAAACUCUGGACAGCUUGUGCAUCUCCUGGUUUAAGCUUCAAUUGAUUUGAGCUAUUAACAUUAUUUCCAAAUACUCCAUUAACAUCUACAUUACCAUUUCCCUCGGUAUCGAUGAUAAGAGUUCGAAACAGUCUAAUUUUUUGAACGUCUUCAGCACUAUCUAAUUGCAAUGUUCUUUUGGUUCCAAUACCUAUGUGCUUAUGUGACUUGUAAAACUUUCCGCUUCUUGGGCUUAACAAGUGGUUAUGCUCAAGCUCGACUUCAAUGAUUCUCCACCUUUUGGUUUCCAUCAACCUAAACUUUAUCAUUGCUGGACAGCCAGUUCUUGUUUCUGGUCUUGGGCGGUUUGCCUCGCUUUUCUUCUUGAAGCCUGCACUACUACAGCUCAGCUUUCCUCUAUACUUUUCUCUACUCUUUCGGUACCAUGUAUUGCUAACUCUAACACCAAAACCCUGUUCCUUGGCAUAGCAAUUGUAAAAGUAAUAAACAUCAUCAUACGUCUCAAACUCCAUUCCAACAGCAGGAGCCAAUGGAUUUUGGAUUAUCCCAGUUUGUCCAACAUAUUCAGUCAUUGCACAAUCUCCUACGACCUCAAAAUCAUCAGCAUCAUCAUCACCUACUGGUUCAGUAUUCAGAGAAACUUCAUCCAUCUACAAUAGAUGUUUAAUGAAGUGAACUUUAAGGAGAAAAAGCAAAAUCAGUUCAAGGAAUGAUAAUAUAACCAUACAGUUACUUUCACAAAGCUGCGUAUUUCAUCAAUACCUUAACAACAUACAACUGCCUGAGAACGUAUAGACAUGUCAUAGACGCUUGAAUUAAGUAUUGGUACAAAUUCAUGUGGGACACAAUUUCAGUCACUAAACCCAAUGCCUUUUUUUUUCACAUCAUACCAAGGAACGGAUUAAACCCAAUACCUUCUUUUACGCCAUACCAAAGAACAGAUUAAAUCAUCAAUGAAAAAUUAAUCACAUAAUAAUUUAACUAGACAAAUAAAGAGCUCGAAACAGCACAAAACUUGAAUAUGAUUAUGAUAAUUGUUGAGUCAUUGUAUCUACAGCUUUCCUUCAACAAGAAGAUUAUGAACAUAAACUACACACAAAAAAUUUAUUUUAAACUGACAUAAAUUUAUUCAGUUACAUUGAAACCCAAAAAAGGAAGCAGGAGCUGGAGAAAAACAACAGCAGAGAAACUUAUUUCCAGAAGGUUUACGAAAUAAGGAAUUUAUUAAGACACAAAAUUUGAGGUCAACAAUAAGAAUUUGGUUCUCAUUCUCUUUUUCUUCAUUUUUCACUUAUUGAUGGAGUUACCAUACAAUCCUAAAUGAUAAAACCCCAUCUCCAUCUUUUUGAAAUAGAGUUAAAGCAAAGCUUUUUAAGAUGUUUUUCCCUAAAAGACUCAAUAGUACAAUGUUUUUCAAUAUUAAAUACACAACUCAAUCUUCCCCUAAUUUACUCUAAUAAUCUCUUAACUAAGGAAGAUUAAGCUCCACUUGUAAGCUAAAACAAGUUUCUUAAAUCAAGCCCCAAUGCUCUAUGCUAUUCAACAAGGCCUCAUAAAUGAUAAAACUACCUCUACAAAGAUACCCAUUUUAAUUUCGCAAACUAAAAUCGAACUCCUGAAACGUAACGAGCAUUAAAACAAACAAGUCCGAACAAGAACUGAAAAAUGAUACGUAAACCCGUUUCGACAAACAGUUUCCAAUCAAUGAGCAAAAAAGUUAAUGGAAAACAUGAAAUUCAAACGAAACAUACCUUAGGUUGAUAAAUUAGUAGCGCAAAAGAAAUUUUAGCGAGAUAUGGGAUCAGGGAUUUUGCCACGGUGAUGUUAAUUGCGACAUUCGGGUGACUCAGCAGCCUUCGAGGCUGAAACUUUGAUUGACCAAAAGCUUCCCGUUCGUUGAUUCUCUAAUUGCAGAAACGAAACUGGCAGUGUACAGAAGACGUACGCUGAUUUGAUAAUUCUGUGAAAAUCAUUGUUUUUUUUCAGAUUUUUAAUGUGUUCGAUAAAAUAUCAAAAUCUCAAAAACUUUUGUCUUUCAUUUUGGGGGGGAAAAACCCAUUGAGAUCCUUAUGUUUUUUCUUAUAUAAUCUGGCUUAAUAAUUUGCAAAGUCUAUUACUUAGCACCCAUGCAUGCUGCGUUCCAAUUUACAAAAUUGUACGUGAGUGCAUCCAGCUAAAAUUUGUAAAAAGAAAAUAGCAAUAACAUGUUAAAAAUGUGAUUAUUAUGAAGAAAUUUUAAUUUAGUUAAAUAGGUGACGAUGGAUAGGUAUAAAAUCUGAGAUCUUUUAUAAGGUUAAUAAAUAUGUUGAGUUUGGAUUAGUUCAAUUUUGAAAUAAUAAUAUUCAAAAUAUCUCUUAAAUCAUUAUAAACCUCAAAUCUAUUUUAAUUUUAUUUAAAAGAUAAAAGAAAAAUAGGUUAUGUUGGUGAUUUUUUAUUAUCUUUUUAAUAAAAAUGAAAUAAAUUGAUGUUUAUAAUUAUUUAAAGUAUUUUAAAGACUGCCAUUUUAUGAGAGAAAAAUAUUUCACUUUUUUUUAGUGUGAAAGGCCGAAAAAGGACAAAGCAAGUUUCCCUAGUUUUUAUUUAUUUGAAAUUGGUCAUCUCAUAUACUUCACCCUUCAACACUAUAAUUUUUUUGGUUAUAAUUUUAUUAUUUUUUCUCUUUUACACAUGCAUGUGAAUUACUUUUCUUUAAGCUCCUGAAUAUUUAAGAUAAAUCAUGGAAGAGAUGAGAGUAUAACAAGAUGACCAAAAUAUGUAACAAAAAAAUUUUAUAAGUGAAAAAUAUGUUAGAGACUUACAGUGGAAGUAAAACUCUGAGGUGAUGUUUGAUUUGAAGAAAAUGGAGGAAAUGAAAAGACUGGAAUGUAGAGGAAAAGAGAGAAAAGGAGAGGAGAGGAGAGUGAAAUUUUUUUCUAAUGUUUGGUUUGUCACAUAAUUAUACAAAGAAAGGAAAUCUCUAAUUUUUUAUUUAGACAAUUUUAACCUUAAUAAGUAUUAAGUUUUCAAUAUUUAUCAUGUGUAUAAUUAAAAAAAAAAGAAGUAAAUGGUAGAAAGCGGUUUCUGAUUCCGGCCACAUCGCCCGCAAUGGAAGGUACUUAUCAGAACAUCAAGAGCCAGCCAUCAUUCCCUAGCCAUCACUGCUGUCGGAACACUGCCGGAAAGCUGCCGAUUGAACCGCGAAAAGUCGUGGAAAUCGCUGCCUCAAAUCGGUGAGUUUCGCCCUUUUCUGGUCACGCCGUCGCCAUGGCUUUGUCCAUCAAGCCUGCCACUUCCAUUUUCAACCAUCCAUAGCCACUAUUAAUUGCCAAAUCACCGCCGAUCAGCGGGAUCUGUGGAAGUUAAAAAGUUUCUAAAUUUUUUUAACUGGAUUUGAACAACAUACGACCAUUUUUUUAUCUCGAUAACGACGUAGUAAUGUUGAUCGUUGGUCGGCAAGUCGUAUGGUAGUGGCAGUGAGUAACACGCGCCAAUCACAUCGGCGGCGGCGGCGGCACUAUCCGGCGACUGUUAAAAUAAUAUUUUAUAUUUUCAGAUUAAAUAAAUUUAUUUUAUUAAAAUUUUUAAAUCAUUAUUUAAAUUUAAUUAAUUUAAAAUUAUCUAUAAUGUUGAAUUGAUAAAAUAAAUUUAUAAAUAAUAAUUAUGUGAUUACAUUAAAUAAGUUAAAAAGUUGAAGGGUUAGUUUUGGAAGAUUUAGUUUCCAACACAAAGGGAAUUUGAAUUCUUCACUUCUUAGUGUGGAAUUCAAAUUCUAUAUUGUAAUAGAUAUUAAAUUUCAAUAAAAAUUAAAUUCUUAUAAGUUAUGUCAAACCAAACAACGAAAAUAAAAAAGAAAUUUAAAUUAUUUUUCUUUCCUCCACCCUCUCCUUCCAACUAAAUACAUCCUGAAAAUAGAGAUAUUGAUUAAUUUAGAAGAGAUUCAAGCAAAAAAUAUUCCAAAAAAAAAAGCAAUAUGUCCCUUUGGAGGGCAAACUUGUCAGUUUCAAAAAAGUACAUGCUUUGUAUUGAUAGUUGUAGGAUAUUUGUUUUGUCACUAUGUAUUAGUUGGAGAAGUCCAGCCUUGUGGAGAAUGUUAUGAAAGAGCAAAGGAUAUUCCUGAUAGCUGAUAGAGCUCUAUCUGAUUAUGUAUCCAGUGAAUGGAUGUGUUGUUGGAAGAUAUCUGAGUGCAUUAGUUCAUAUGUGUCUGUCAAUGUGCUUUUAAUGAUUUUUCCACCUGUUUGUUGUAAAAGAUUAUUGUAAAUUGAAAUGAACUUGAUGUUUUAAUAUUUUCUUCCGUAAAUUGAAAUGAACUUGAAUUAAAUCUCGUUGAAUUUAAUAUUAUCUCCUUAGUGGAAUUUCACCUAGUAUGUAUUCAGUUGUGUUGUCUAUAAUUUUGCAUUCGAGUAAGUUUCACCUAAAACAUUAGCAUGAGUAGUGGCCCUUGAACCUUUGGUCAAAAUUAUUGUUAUUAUUUCUGACUAGAUGUAAAUUUUGUAUUAAAUCUCGUUAACACAAUUCUUAAUUAAAAGUAUAGGUUAGUGUUGGUGCAAGAUUUGCCACACCAAAUUCUGCCUAGCUGUCAAAAGUGCAAAAUAAAUGAAGAGAAAGCACAAAUACACGACUUGAAUAAGGAUACAACGAAACUUAAAUUCAAGAGAAAAUGAUAGCUAUAUCCCAAGAUUUGAAAAAGUAGUCAUGUAGGUUUUUAAGAUUUCAAUAAGCGACUGAGAUUCAAAUAAUAUCCUUUAAUUCUAUUAAUAAAAAACAAAGACUCAAAUAUUUUAUGAUAAAUAAAAAUAUAAUAUUAAAAUAUAUGUGAUAAUAUACACAUUUUAAAUACUUUCAAUCCAAAAAAAUAGUUAUGUUUUACAAUCUAUUAGACAUAUUUUAUUAAAUUAAUAUAAAUUUUCUAUAAAAUAAGAAUAUAAUAUUAAAACAAAUUCACAGAAAUUUAAAGAAUUUUGAAUGUAAAAUAAUUUUAAUAUAUUAAUACGUGAGUUUUUUUAUUAAUAUAAAAAUUAUUUAACUUUAAGAUUUUUUAAAAUCUUUACAAUAAGUAUAACUAUAUUAUUUACAUUUAAAAAUAUUUAAAUAUUAUUAACCUACAAUUAUAUUUGCAUUUGUUAGAAAUUUUUAAAGUCAAAUAUUUUGCACUUCUAUAUUAUUAGAAUUAUUGCACACAAAGAAAGAAACAUAUACGUUUAGAAAUUGUUUUCUUUUAAAAUAGAGAUGAUGAUUAGUAUAAGGAUCAAAAAAAGGAUAAAGAAUAUUAAUGAUUAACGAAAACUCUAUACAAAUUGAUUUUAGUAGGAAAAGAGUGAGAUGAAUGAUUUCUUUUACAGUUAGAAAAAUAGAUGAUGAUUAUUAUAACGAAGAAGAAAAGAUAAAGAAUAUUAAUUAUUAAUGGAAUCUCUAUGCAAAUUGAUUUCAGUAGGAAAAAAAAUGAGUUAAAUGAUUUAGAGUGCGUUUGGAAUUGAGAUUGGACAGCCAUAGAUUUUAAGUUACAACACUGAAGUGUUUGGUAAAUACUAGCUGCUGCAGAUUGAAAGUUAUGUUGAUAUGAUUUUUCACAUGUAUCAUAGAAAAUAUAUUACAUCUUUAAUAAUUUUUUUAAAAUUUGUAUUUGCUAUAUAUUGUUUUUUUUAUAUAGUUAUAACUUUUUUUUUUUCCACAGCAGCUGUAGCUUAAAAGCUACAGCACCUCAAUCUCAAACAAGUCCUUAGACAUUCAUAGUGUGUUUAUUUUUUGGAUUGGUGAAUCAAAAUUAUUGACAACGCUAACUUCAUCUUCACCGUUCGCAAUCCAACAGCAGCAAUUGUCGCCAAUAAUGAUAUCGCCGAUGAUGAUGACAAUAAUAAUAAUAAUAAUAAUAAUAAUAAUAAUAAUAAUAAUAAUAAUAAUUAUUAUUAUUAUUAUUAAUAAUUAAUAUAUUAAUAUAUUAAUGUUAAUAUUAUUAUUAUUAAGAUUAACAAUAAUUAUUAGUAAUACAAUUUUUUGAAUAAAAAUAAUCACAAUAAUUAAAAUACAAAUUAACAAUUAUGACAAUAGUUAAUUAAUGUCUUUUUAGUAAUUUGUAAUAAUCUAACUCAUUUUAAUUCUGAUUAUUACAGUUUAAGUAAAUAAAUUAUUAUGAUUCCUAUUCUCCUUUUCUAUUUUAACUCACUUCGAUUCCAGUCUAUUCUGAUUUUUGUUUAAUAAACGCACCAUUAGUGCUAAAGUAAUAUUUCAUACAUAGAAAAGUAAAAACUACACCUAAGGUUAAGGGAAAGGACUUCAAAACUCUCUUUUGAUCAUAAUACAUUUUGUACUAAUUAACUUAAAGAUUUUGAAUCUAAUAUUUUAUAAUAAAUAAAAAUAUAUUCCUAAAAUAAAUAUAAUAUCAAUAUUUAAAAUAUGUUUUAAUAUUUUACACAUUUUAUUAUAUUAAAGUAGAUUUUAUAAUAAAUACAAACGUCCUAUUAAAAUGAAUAUAUAAAAAAUUUAGAAAAUUUAGAAUAUUAUAUAAAAUAAUUUUAAUAUAAUGCGUGAGAUAUAUUUUAUUAAUUUAAAAUGUUAUUUUACCUAAAAAAUAUGAUAAAUUAAUAAUUACAUAUUUGAAGUUAUUUCAAAUAUUAAAAAAAUUUAAUAUUAUUAGUCUUUUAGAUAGAUUAAAUUAUUUUUUUUAUAAGAGAUAGAUUAAAUUAUUUUAAAAUGCCUUAAUUAUUUUUACUUUUAACGUUACCGGCCUUUCUUUUAUUUUAUUGCAAAUUAAUGCUAACAAGAAAAAGCUAGAUCAUAUUCCACAAAAGCAAAAGUGACAAACACAACCAGCUGGAAUCUUUUAUAAAACUACAAAUUAAAAUGGAUUUUUUUUUUGAUAAAUUACACAUGAAAGUGGAUUCUUUUGAAUAUAAGUGGAGUAGGCUCUUUUAUUUUAUUUUUGAAUAUUGUAUAACGGGACUGUAGACUCUUUUAUUAAACUACAAAUUGUAUAGUCUUUUUAAAAUUGUUAUAAAUUAAUGGCCCCCACAAUCCUCAACAAUUGUACCGAUAUUCACAAGUUGGUGGCCCCUACAAUUCUGUUCCGAUAAUUUAACUGUGCAAGUGCUCAUUCACAAUCUUCCAGGUCAUGCUCUCAAUAAUUGUUUUUUUUUCCUGCAUUCCCUUUGGGAAAUUUACGAAAAUAAUCAUUAAUAUUUUAUUAUUUUUACAAUUAACCGUCUUAAUUUUUUUCUAUCAACAUUAGCCAAAUACAAGUCUUUCUUCCCAAAUUACCCUUCUUUACAGAACAAAACCAACAUUGUUUCUCCCAUAUCGCCAAACCAAAAGCAGCUUUUUAUUCUUAAAUCAUCAGCCAACGGCGACCGCAAAAGACAACGGUAAAAGUGAUAUCCGAUCAUAAUCUAUCCGGAUCCAACACAAAUCUACAUCACUCAGUGGUAUGAAUUAUUUUUUGAACUUACUGAACUCAGUCGGGUGAAUCUGAGUCUGGCGACAGGCUGCCUGUCGCAGUAAAACUUGGUGCGACAGGCAACCUGUCGUACCAAACCUUGGUGCGACGGGCACCCUUGGAGAUUUAUUAAAAAUGUAUUAUUUUAAUAGGACUCAAAUAAUUUUUUUUUAUAAUUUCAGGCUUAAUGGAUUCAGUUGUACUUGAAUUGUGUUACGAUGGUUGGUGGGAGACAUUAGAGAAUGGCUGUAUGGAGUACGUGAAUGGUAAAAAUCGAGCUUUUUUGGUUGGAAAAAAUUACUUGUUUGAUCAGUUAUUGGCAAGAGUAUACGAGGUAUUAAAAAUAAACCCUAAUGACUAUAGUAUCACAAUGAAGACAACUUUGAGGUCUAGUAACACAUUAUAUCGUAUAUGUGCAAUGCCCAUGGAUAUAUGUGAUGAUGAAAUGGUGAGGGUUGUGUUGCAUAUGGCAUCUGACGUAGCUAAUUUUGGAUGCAUUCCUAUAUUCGUGACCACAUCACCUCGACUUCCGAGCGAAGGUAUUGAGCCACAUGUCGAUAUAGAAACUUCGUUUAGAGCAAAUAUGUCUGGCCCCGAUAAUGAUGAAGAGGUGUUGCCAAGGACAAUAUCGCUGCAGCAAUAUUACUCUCCAAUCCACGACAAUUAUGAUAACAUUGAUGAUAAUAGCGUUACGUUACAGGAUGUUGGAGCAACGGUAUUUCCAAUAACAACGUCGUUGGAGCAACGAUAUUCUCCGUAUCACAACAAUGAUUUUCGGGACAAUGAUGAUUUUCAUAAUGAGACAGAGGAGGAUAAUGUUUGUGCAGAACCUUCUAAUAAUACGAGGCGGGGCACUCGUUUCAAUAAUGAUGGUGAUGAUGGAGGAGUCGGUCAUUCGAAUGUUCCGUCGUUUCAGCAUGAGGAUGAGUGUGAAGACAAUACUCCUGUGAAUAACAGAGGCAAUAGACCUAUUCCUUCUAUGGUUCGAUCGAGAAGGAGAAUUGACCCCCUUACAAGUCUUGCUCCAACUUUACCUUCGAACAUGGUUGCUCCAAGCUUUGUUAGCAGUUGUGACUCAGAUGAUAUCAGCGUGGGUAAGCUAUUUGUUGAGAAGAAUGAGCUUAUAUUACAACUACGCAAGGUGGCCUUUAGAGAUAAGUUUGAUUUCAAGAUUGCACGGUCUACUACGACACGUUUCGAGGCUCACUGUUGUUCAGAAUCAUGUAAAUGGCAUAUUCGAGCAACUAGAAGUUCGAACGAGCAAAAUGUUCCUUGGGUGGUGAAGAGAAUUGAUAAUGUACACACUUGUCAUAAUGAGGUAUUGAUUGAUGGACGUCAUCAAGUAAGGAGCCGGGUUGUCGGUCAUAUUAUCGCAGAAAAAUAUAUUCAAGAUAAGAGGAUUUAUACUCCCAAUGACAUAAGAGCAGAUAUGCAACAGGAAUACGGUGUUCAGUUAACAUACCAGCAGGCAUAUAGGGCGAGAGAAGUUGGUCUUGAAAUAGUUCACGGCAACCCUGCAGAGUCAUACAACUUGCUCCCUAAAUACUCUCACGUACUAACUACAACGAAUGAGGGUACAGUCACUCACCUCGAGCAGGAUGGAGAUGGUAAUUUCUUGUACUAUUUUGUAGCACUCGGAUAUUCCAUCAAGGGGUUUAUGCAGUACAUUCGGCCUGUCAUUGCUGUAGAUGGUACUCAUCUAAAGAGAUUAUAUCGUGGAAGCAUGUUCGUGGCAACAUGUCUUGAUGGUAACAAUCAAUUGUAUCCGUUAGCCAUUGGGAUCAUGGAUUCAGAAAAUAAUGAUGCUUGGGAAUGGUUUAUGAUGAAGUUACACGGAGUGAUUGGUGAUAGACCUGAGUUGGUAAUUAUCUCUGAUCGAUGCACUGCCAUAAGGAGAGCCGUUCUUAAAGUAUUUCACAAUGCAACUCAUGGCGUUUGUUUUUACCACGUCAAAGGUAACAUUAAGUCACAAUUUAGAAUGUCCAAAGCUCUUUGGGAUGAAUUUGAGCAUGCCUUUAUUAAUGCAGCAAAAGCAUAUGGCCACGAGGAAUUUAAGAGACAACUUGAAGGGUUGUGGAUGAUCCACUCGGGUGCGGCUGAUUACUUAGAAAAUAAUGUCGGCACGUGUAAUUGGGCAAGGUCUCAGUUUCAAGGUAGGAGGUACAACAUUCUUACCACCAACAUCGCGGAGAGUGUUAAUGCUUUCAUGAGGGAACCUCGAAAAUUUCCUGUUACUCAUCUUGUUGAUCACUUCAGGAAAACAUUGCAGCAAUUGUUUUAUGAUAGAAAAAUUGUGGCUGAAUCAAUGACUACUCGGCUAACAACAUGGGCGGAUGAAAUAGUCACUGAGAGGAGAACUAUAGCUGAAAGAAUGAUAGUUCGGCCGGUGUCUCCGCAUCGCUUUCAAGUUAUAGGCGGUGGGCUUAAGGAAGGGUUGGUUGACUUGCAAAAGAGAACUUGCUCCUGCAGAGUGUUUCAGCUUGAUCAGCAUGUGUGUGCUCAUGCAAUUGCGGCGUGUCUAACACACCGGGUGGAUUUUAUUAACCUUUGCUCGGACUUUUACACUACAGAAUCGUUGGCGAUGGCUUAUGCACAACCAGUGGAGCCAGUUGGUGAUGUGGCUGAUUGGGAAGUUCCAGAUGAAAUUCAGGAGAUGCAGGUAUACCCACCAGUUGAGGCACCACUACCUGGCCGUCGUAAAGAGCUCAGAAUACCCUCGACUGGCGAGGACGUUGACCGGCGGACUGUAAGAUGCGGCCGGUGUCAUGAACUAGGCCAUAAUCGUAAGCGAUGUAAGAAUCCUAUUGCGUCGACUCGAAGUUAGUUGUAUUUUGUGUGUUAUUCGUUGGUUAAAACUAUUAUUGUUUUUGUGUUACAUUGGUUAAAACUGUUAUUGUUUUUUGUAUUUCGUUGGUUAAAACUGUUAUUGUUUUUUGUGUAUUGUACACUUAUAUUCAUAAAACUUUAUUUUAUUUUAAAGUUCAAAAUGUGAGGCAUUAAAAUUAUAUAAACUUAAGUGCGGAAAUUAAAAAAAAUGCAAAUUUCAACAUUGAAAUUACUACAUAGGUCUACAAUAUAAUAUCGUCAUUAAAUAUAUCAACCGCAAUCUUCUUUCUAAAGUACUCGACAUGACUAGCGUUAAACUCCAAUCUAAGCCCGAACAUUAAAUACAUCGUAACCAUCAAUACAAAAACACUGCAAUCGCUAGUUCCGGGCUCUUGUUGUGGUGCGCUCUUAACUGCGAUAACUUUCCACGGGUCUUCACUCCGCAACUCAGGUCGGAUAUUGUAGAAGCCAACAUAUUCCAACCAUCGAGGGAAUAUAACUUCAAGUGGCUUGAAUUUCAACUUGUACUUUUUGUCGUCGCGAAAUGUGAGUAAUGAGUCAUAAAUCCAGACUUUAUUUUUCCGAAAGUCAACUCGUGCUAGUACCCAAUGCGCGCCGUCCAAGUUAACAGGGAUGAGUAACUGCAUAUAAAAAUUAAAAAAACAUGUUCGUUAUAUAUGAAAUUGAAAUACAACAAAGAAAAAGCAACAACUCGAAUAUUUUCAUUAUAGAGCAUGUGAAAUGUAAUAAAAUACACACCAUAUCGACAUCCGUCAUUAAUUUUGACAUUGUGUGCUGUCGCCCACAAAGAUAACUAUUCAAGCGGUCGUCGAAUACCAUUGAAUCAACUGCACAAUUCCUGUUAUUCCAUAACUGAUUCAAGAACACCUAGUACAUAGAUAACCAAGAAAUGCAUAAAUUAAUAAAACUUAAAGGCAAUAAUUAAACAAAUUAAAUAGUAUUUAUAAGUUUUGUCGGCACGUUACCCAAAAAAAUGUGUCAGUAUGUGUGACACGUUGGAGUAAGGCAUUUGGAUACUGCCGUUGUUUCUCGCUAAUCAAGCGGAGAUACUCGUGAAUAUGCUGUAGAGAAACAAAAAUAUUACGAUUUAAAAAAAAAUUAUACACAAAUCCACAACAGUAUACACCACGAGGAAAAUAUAAAUACCUCAUCGCCUAGCCAUCCCAUCGAAGCUGUCCCCAAAAUUAUUUGAAAGAAUGACCGCAGGUGCUGGACUCUCCGGCGGACUCUGCUAUCACCAGUGAACCAUCGAUCAAACUCAGCAAACAAACUAGAGUCCUCCAAUCCUCUCAGUGGAUUUACAUCCACACUCGUACUCAUGUCAAUCGCAUGCUCCAUCAUUUGGGGUCGAGGUAACCUCCGGACGUUCUGUCCACGCCUGACCGGAGGAAUCAUGUAAGGACUGUUAUAAACAUACGACGGUAUGUACGCGCGGCCGAACUUACUAACGCCCGGAGGCACCUCUGUGAACACCUGCAUGCUCUCCCCACUAACAUCCCCGUAUAAACUAUAAAAUGACGUGGGCGUAGACAAAUUUUCAUUGCCCACGUCAGUAUACACUCCAUAGUCAUCCGGGGCCUGUACAUUCGCCAAAAAGAACAUAUUAAAUAAUUAUCAAAUUAAAAGUUAAACGAACAUAAUUAUUUAAUUUAAAUUAGCUUACCGCAUACGAGCGUGCAGUGGGAGAAUCCUUAUUUGGAUGUUUAGAAAAUGUGUCGAUGAAGCCAACAACGGUUUCUUUAAAAUCUUUUAAUUCUGACUUUAUUUCAUACACAUUACGAUCAAUCUUAUCCAGCCGUCGUCGUACGUAAUCAUUAAACUGCUUUGUCCUCGACUAUUACAAAAGAAAAAAAUAAAACUUUAGAAUAACAAUAAAAAAAUAAUAAUUUAUAAAGGAAAAAUAUCGUAUAUUAUUUAUAACCUCAGAAUCCCGUGCGUCAUCAGAGUUGUCUGUUUGCUGCUGGUGGUCAUCAACAGCCACCUCAUCCUCAAAAGUGUCAAGACGCUGCUCUGGUAUUGGGUUUAGUAUGUCGUCAUGAUCAUCAUGCUCGUCCGAUUGUCUUGUAACCGACGGCAUCGCGUUGAUUGAGGGUUGGUGCUGUAUAAAGUAUCAUUUAAAAUUACUAAAUGAAAAGUCAAAAAUUUCGAUAAAAAAAUUUUUAGUACUUACAGUAUACCGACCUUAUGAAUCCAAUCUGGAAUGCUUGGCAAGUAAUCCUUCACAGAGAGUCAAUAUUUUCUGCUACUCUCUUUUGAAUUUGGCUCAAGAGUUUGUAAAAUGUCCGUCUGCCAUAAAUUCAAUUGAAAAAUUUAAGUAAGUAUACCCAACUUAAAUUUAGUAAAGUUAAAAAAUAAGUAAUACAUAUUACUUACAAGACGAGAUUCGUCGUUGAAGAACGAAUAAACCUCCGCAAAGUUGAUUCUCGAAGACGUCAUGGGCUUCCAUUGCAGAAUGCGGGGAAUCUUACUCUUCGUUUUGACGACCCAUGUUGAUGGCAACCCUCCGAUUGCUUCGUAAAUCCAAGCCUACAACAAACCAAAGUGAAAAAUCAAAUAAAACAACUAUCAAAUAUUUAAUACUAUAAAACUUAUUAAUAAACAAAAAAAAGCACCUGCACCCCAGACGUAAAGCCGUAAAGAUUAUAUUUUUCAAUAUUAUGAUCUGAAUUUUUCAACCGAGUCUUCUUAAAUUUCUCGUCUUUCUCGAACAGUGCAUUGUCAAGACUCUCGUAAAUCAUUUCCCACGACAAUAGACCCCAUGGCGCUUUCGGAAGUACUGUAUAUCAUCAACUUGGUCAAGCCAAUCGAAAUUAAUUUGACAGUGAUUUUUUCUUGCAUUUAGUACUCUGUCCGCAAAAUAAAACAGCGCAAUCUUUAAUGCGUCCAUAUCGUCCAUUUCCUCGAAAUUCAACUCCUUAAAUACUGCAUCAAAUUGCUUCACAUUAAUCUUACGAUGCACACCACCAAAAUACGUAUUCCGUAGCCUCUGCUCCAUUUCAUCAUUUUUUUCAUUGGUAUCAACACCAAAUGAAAGUCCAGUAACCAAGCACCAUUCGAUAAUUGACAAGCGAAUCAAAUGCUUACCAAUUUGAAACCAUAACUGAUCCUCACAGCUAUCUUCUUCAUGGGCCACUUGCCGCAGUAAACGAUUGUGCAAAAUUACCCCACUAAAUGGAAAACUUCGGCACUCCAAGAAAUGCCCAAAUAUAUCCUUUUUGAACAUACUCAACUGCCGCUUUGUUAAUUUUUCCUCGAUGGCUUUUACGACCGAAGAUAACAUACACAUGCUCGAAAUUCGACCAGGAAAGUGAUCAGCAUAACGAAAAUACAUCUUGCCUACUUCAAUAUCCGGUGAUUCUGAUUUCGCCAUGUAUCUGUAAUAUUUAUAAAAUUAUUACAUUACAUUUACAAAAUUAUUACCAAACUCUAAUUUUUUGGUGCGACAGGCGCCUGUCGCUCCAAAAAACUGCCUGUCGCACCACAGCUGGUGCUCCAAAAUCGAAAACAAUACUCCCAAACACUACCAACUACCACAAACAUCAUCACCACCACUAUUAAUCUCAAGCUAUAACUAUUAUUAUUCUAAAAUCUCAUUUUAAAUUAAUGAAAAUAAGAAAAAUGACUAACCUAGGUUUUGUUGAAGGUUGUAGAUCGUAGAUCGGAUGCCGGUGAGAGAUGGAGCCGCCGCCGACGAGGGUUGAUGUCGCCGCCGAUGAUGGGAGUUGGAUCGGUUUGGGAGAGAUGAGUGAAAAAGGGAGUGUUGGGGAAGAGAUGAGGGAUGGGUAUUUUGGUCUCAAAUGUUGUUUUAUGGCUAAUGUUGAUAGAAAUAUUUUUGGGGGGUUAAGAUGAAAAAAAACAAAUUUGUUUUGGUUAUUACUGUAAAUUUCCCAUUCCCUUUCAUGCUCUUAAUAAUUGAAGAGCAUACUUUUCAUUUUCAAAUGUGGAGCCGCAUCUAAUGUCGCUAAUUUAAUUUGGGAUUAAAUUAGGGGACCAUUAUAUUGCAGUGUGUACUAAUUUUUGUGUUUAUCUAAACUCCUUAAGUUUAAGACAUAUUAUGGCAUAAAUAAGAAUAUAACAAUAACAAAAGAGAUGCCGGAGCAGAUCAGCAGGGUUUGAAUAUGACCUUUGGCGGUUGCUUUUUUUUUGUGAUUUUUUUCAUUUUUUCCUUCCUGUCAUUUUAUCAUUUAUUUGGCUCUGUUUCUAUUGCGGGUGUUACUGCAUGCUUACUGUUGCUUGACAAAGUUUGCUAGCUUUUUGUUUGCAGUGCUGCUAUUCACCCCGAGUCAAGCUCCGAAAAUUUAUUAAACAACGCCGUUUCGAUAGUAACAAUUUUUUUCUUUUCCCUUUGUCUGUCUCUUUCAUCUGCUGUUUCUCUAUCACUUUUCAUUUUUUAUUUCCUUACUUCCCAGCUGCCCCUAAAUUGUUAUUCUAGCAAUAUACUUUCUCAUCUUUGAAUUUUCAUCCUUGAGUACUCCCACAGCCGUAAUUUCAUCAUUAUAGACUUCACUUGGAAUGCUGUAUUUUUUCGAUUCUUAAGCUACUUCAAUUACAUCUCCCAGUAUAGGAUCCUCAUCUUCCUUUAUUUCUUCAUCUUAUGAGGUAACAAAUGGAUUUCACAACUCAUCUACUUUUAAGCAAUUACAUAUUAUACCUUGAAUGAUUCAACUGUUCCGACAGUUAAAGAUUUUAUGCUCAACCUGCAGUGCUACGAACAUUGUCCAUGAAAGAUGAGUUUCAGCAUAUAAAAUGAAAUAUAGAUGUUUAAUCUAAAAUAACCCUUCACUGCCAAGAAACCUAGGUCACAAAAUUCACAGAUAAUGAUAAAGAGCUAAAAAAUUUGAAAAACUCUACAGAUCACACAUCAAGCAAGAUAUCAUGUUUUUUUCCCUCAUUCGGUGGUGAUUGAUUCGCUUUUUGAUGAUGGAUAUGGUAUAAAAGUUUUGACCCAAUUUCAAGCAAACACAAAUAGAAACACAAAUAGAAACACAAACACAAUCAGGACUAGAGUUGUGGGCGAUUAUCUUAGGUGUACAAGUGAAACGGUGGUGGCUGUCGAUGGUGGUAGUGGGGUGGUUGGGUAUGCGUGAUGGCUAGAUUUUAGGACAAUAAUGGUUGGAGUUGACCUCGAUCAACGAAGGAAAGUGACAACAAUUUUGACAUCAAACGGUGCAUUUUUUAGCUUAGUAAAAUGGAGCCGUUUCGAAUUUGGGGUUUAAUCCGGGGUUUGACUCGGCGCAAGUAUCAUUUUCCUUUUGUUUAUUAAAUUUUUUAUGGUCACAAAGUAUUACUCGUUCUAUUUGAGAGUGAUGUGAAUCAAUUUUUCAAUUUUAUAUUUUGUGGUCAAUGUGAAUUUAAUUUCAUUUGUCUCCUGCAAUUAUGAAAAAAUUGCAGUCAUAAUAUGGAAAAGUACACCGGCAAAAACUUUGUAAAAGCUUCGGAGUGAUACGGGGAAUUUACUUACUACUGAGGACAAUUGGUGGCAAAGCUAUUCCAUUCAUUUUAUGUCCAUCCAUCUAUUUAGCUAUUGAAGAUUAGUGGUCCAUUUGUAAAUUUCAGAUUGUCUCUCUCUCUCUCUCCCACUUGAAAUAACAAUAUUUAAUAUAUCUCUUAAAUUAUUAUAAAUUUUAAUUUACUCUCGAUUUAAAAUGGAGCAUGUCGAUAAAAAAUUUUUCUUCUUAAUAAAAUUGACGUAAGUUGUGUGUUACAGUAGUUUGAAGUUUGAAAUAUUUUAAAGAUUAUUAUUCUAUAAGGGAGUAAUAUGAAAUGAUAUUUACUUUUCAUGUGUGAAAUGAAAAAGGACGAAGCAAGUGUCCCUGCUUUUAUUUUAUUUCAAGGAGGAGUCAUCUCACAUACUUUAGCUCUUAACAUUACAUUUUUUCUGGUUACAUUUUUUAUUUAUUUAUUUUUUUUUUUUUACACAUGCGUGUGGGUUGCUUUUCUGUAAGCUCCUUAAUAUAUAUUUAAGACAAAUCAUGGAAGAGAUGGGAUUAUAUCAAGAUGAUCAAAGCAUGUAAAAAAAGAAAAAAGAAAAAAAAAAAUUAAGAAGUAAGACACUGAAAAUGGAGAAGAGAUGGAAGCAAAAGAUAUUCCAAAACAAAGCAAUCUAUCCCCUUUCGAGGGCAGACUUAUCAGGUUUAAAAAAGUACAUGCUUUGGAUUGGUAGUUGCAAUCAAGGGAAAAUAAAUAGGAUCCAAUGAAAUUUAAAUCUCGGAGAAAAUAAAUAAUCAUGCAGAUUUUCAAGAUUUUAAUAAGGGAUACUAAUAUCUUAUUUUGAUUAAUAACAUUCUUUUAUUGUGUUAACUCAAAAAAAAUAUUAUAAUGCUUUACAAUAAAUACAAAUGUCCUAUUAAAUGAAUAUAUAAAAAAUUUAGAAAAUUUAGAAUAUUAUAUAAAAUAAUUUUAAUAUAAUGCGUGAGAUAUAUUUUAUUAAUUUAAAAUGUCAUUUUACCUAAAAAAUAUGAUAAAUUAAUAAUUACAUAUUUGAAGUUAUUUCAAAUAUUACUUAAUUGUUUUUACUUUAAACAUUACCGGCCUUUCUUUUAUUUUAUUGCAAAUUAAUGCUAACAAGAAAAAGCUAGAUCAUAUUCCACAAAAGCAAAAGUGACAAACACAACCAGCUGGAAUCUUUUAUAAAACUACAAAUUAAAAUGGAGUUUUUUUAAAAAAAUUGUUAUAAAUUGGUGGCCCCUACAAUCCUCAAUAAUUGCACCGAUAUUCACAAGUUGGUGGCCCCUACAAUUCUGUUCCGAUAAUAAUUGUUUUUAUUUUUCUGCAUUCCCUUUCAUGCUCUUAAUAAUUGAAGAGCAUACUUUUCAAAUGUGGAGCCACAGCUAAUGUCGCUAAUUUAAUUUGGGAUUAAAUUAGGGGACCAUUAUAUUACAGUGUGCACUAAUUUUUGUGUUUAUCUAAACUCCUUAAAUUUAAGAUAUAUUAUGGCAUAAAUAAGAAUAUAACAAUAACAAAAGAGUAAAAAAGUGUAGAGAAGAUCUUGCAGAAAUAUAAAUAAUAUCUAUUUUAAAAUAAUUUUUAAUAUUUUAUGAUCCAUUAGAUAUAUUUAUUAUAUUAAAGUAAAUUUUAUAAUAAAUAAAAACAUACUAUUAAAAUGAAUAUAUAGAAAAUUUAGAGUAUUUUAAAUAUUAUAUAAAAAAUUUUUAAUAAAAUAUGUGAGAUAUUCAUAUUUUAUUAAUUUAAAAUACCAUUUAACCUAAAGAUUUAUUUAUGAUAAAUUAAUAAUUAUAUUUUUGAAAUUACUUCAAAUAUUAAAAAAUUAAUAUUACUAAUCUGUUAGAUAGAUUAAAUUAUAUAUAUUAUUUUCUAUUUAUUAAAAAAUUAAAAUUAUUUUUAAUUACUAUUCAAAAAAUAUAAUGAAAAAACAUAAUGAUAAAAAAAUCUUAACAUCUUUAUUAAAAAAUUAAAAACUUAUAUGAUAAAUUCUCUAAAUAUUUACGGUAUAUGUGAACCACGGUGGAUAAGCUUUAUUUAAUAUUAUUGAUUUAAAUAAUAUGUCAAUUAAAAAUGUACAGAGAAGAAAUUUCGGUGGGUAUUUUAGUCUUUUAAGCAAUUAUCAUGAUCAGAUCAGCCUUUAGCCUUCAAACGUCGGUCAGAAAAGUUUUAAAAUUAAUGCUAAAUUGUUUUUCACUUUUAACGUUGGUGGCCUUGAAAUUGCUUGUAUUUUAUUAAAAAUUAAUGCUAACAAGAAAAAGCUAGGUCAUAUUCCACAAAAUCAAAAGUGACAAAACAACCAGCUGGUUUCUUUUACUAAACUACAAAUUAAAAUAAAUUUUUUCGAUAAAUUACAAAUUAAAGUGGAUUCUUUUGAAUACAAAUGGGACAGACGAUUAGGCUCUUUUUAUUAGAGGCAAGUAAAAACUAGUCAAGAAUCGAACAGUCUUUUUCCAAUUCUUGUUUUAUUAUUUUUCAAAACUAGUUUUUGGUAAUUACAACCGGGUCAUUAAUCAUUAUUCAGAGUUACUGUUAUCUUCGGGGGCAGUGGGUAAAAGAUAAUUACUAACUGUUUUUCCUUCAAAAGUUAGCGGCUCAUGUUUGCAAGUGUGAAUGUGCGAUGCUCUUUUCUUAAAGGCCAUUACAGUGGGGCCCGAAUCAGACGUGCCUAAAUCUUUUUAAAAUUUUUGCCGUAUAACGAACAGAGGUCAUUACUAAAAUUUCUCUUCCACAGCCUACAGCAGCUUCAGUUUAUCAAACUCCAUCAAUUUUCUUUCUUAACAAAAUUCCAAAGAUGUGUAGCAUUUUUCAGAUCACAUGCGAUGGUGCUCUUUUCAAUCGUUGCUUGGAUUGCUUUCUUGGAAAAGCAGCAUACAUACGUAACCUCCAAGAUAAUCUUGUAGCCUUGGAGACUGAACUGGGAAGACUAAUCGCAGCAAAGAACGAUGUGAUGAUGAGGGUUGUCAAUGCUGAACGGCAACAAAUGAGAAGGCUGGACGGAGUGCAAGUGUGGGUUUCGAGGGUGGAUUCUGUUAAAACUGGAGCCGACGAACUUAUCACAGACGGCUCUGAAGAAAUUGGCAAAUUAUGUGUUGGAGGCUACUGUUCCAAGAACUGCAGGUCAAGCUACAAAUCGAAAACAAGUGGCUAGAAAGCUACGACAUGUGAAGACUUUAAUCGCCGAGGGAGUUUUUGAGGCGGUGGCCACUGAGGUGGUGCCCGAGAGAGCUCCGGAACCUGUAGCAGAUAAAAGACCCACUGAGCCAACAAUAGUAGGCUUGCAAUCACAGCUUGAACAAGUUUGGAGAUGUCUUGUAGAAGAAUCAGUGGGAAUCAUUGGCCUAUAUGGUAUGGGCGGUGUUGGUAAAACCACACUAUUGACCCAUAUCAACAAUAAAUUUCUUGAGAGUCCCACAAACUUUGAUUGUGUGAUUUGGGUCGUAGUUUCAAAAGACCUGCGACUUGAAAAAAUUCAAGAAGAUAUUGGGAAGAAGAUAGGUCUGUCUGAUGAUUCAUGGAAGAAUAAAAGUUUUGAAGAGAAAGCUGUGGACAUCCUGCCGAGAUUAGGAGAGAAGAGAUUUGUAUUGUUGUUAGAUGAUUUAUGGGAGCGGGUUGAUUUAACAGAAGUGGGCGUUCCACUUCCCAGCGCACAAAAUACUACCUCAAAAGUCGUAUUCACAACCCGUUCCAUUGGUGUUUGUGGCAGCAUGAGAGCUAGGCCGGUUAAAGUGGCAUGCCUAUCAGAAAAGCAAGCUUGGGAACUGUUCCGCGAAAAUGUUGGGGAAGAAACUCUUGAGAGUGAUCAUGAGAUCGUUGAGCUAGCCCAAACUGUGGCCAAAGAGUGUGAUGGUUUGCCACUCGCACUUAUUACUAUUGGUCGAGCUAUGGCCUACAGAAAGACAGCCGAGGAGUGGAGUCAUGCAAUUGAUGUGCUAAGAACAUCAGCUUCUGAGUUUGCAGGUUUGGGAGAGAAGGUGUAUCGUCUUUUAAAGUUUAGCUAUGAUAGUUUGCAGAAUGAUACGGUUAGAUCUUGUUUCUUGUACUGUUGUUUAUAUCCUGAAGAUUAUGGCAUUCUUAAAUGGGACUUGAUUGAUUGUUGGUUUGGCGAGGGAUUUUUUGGGGAAUCUGACAGGUCUGGUGCAGAAAACCAAGGAUAUGACAUUUUGGACACUCUUGUUCGUGCAUGUUUAUUAGAAGCGGUGGAAGAUGGUGAAGUAAAAAUGCAUGACGUUAUUCGUGAUAUGGCUAUAUGGAUAACUUGUGAAAUUGAGAAGGAGAAGAGAAACUUUUUGGUUCGUGCAGGUGCUGGAUUAAAAGAGGCACCGGAUGUUAAAGGAUGGGAAAAUGUGAGAAGAUUGUCAUUGAUGCAAAACCAAAUUGAAACUGUGUCAGAGGUUCCCACAUGCCCUCAUCUCCUCACUUUAUUUCUUGACUUUAAUCAGGAGUUGGAGAUGAUCGCGGAUGGCUUCUUCCAACUUAUGCCUUCUCUCAAAGUUUUGAAGAUGUCAAACUGUGGACAGAGGAGGUUGAAAUUACCUGUUGGGAUGUCAGUGUUGGGUUCAUCACUAGAACUUCUCGAUAUUUCAUGUACUGGCAUAACAGAGUUACCAGAGGAGUUAAAGAAGUUGGUAAAUCUGAAAUGUUUGAAUUUGAGGUGGACAGGUGCGUUAAUUAGAAUUCCACGGCAACUAAUAUCAAAAUUUUCAAGGUUACGUGUGUUGAGAAUGUUCGCUAUUGGCUAUGAUCGUUUUCAUGAAGCACCAGAAGACAGCGUUUUAUUUGGUGGGGGUGAAGUUUUGAUACAGGAAUUGCUCGGUUUGAAAUAUUUAGAGGUAUUGGAGUUGAGCUUGGGAAGUUAUCAUGCUCUCCAAAUUCUUUUGAGCUCAAAUAAGUUAAAAAGUUGUAUUCGAUCUCUUUGCCUCGAGUUCGCCGGAGAUACAGCGUCAAUUAUUGAUGCUACGGCUUUCGCAGAUCUAAACUACCUCAAUGAAUUAAAUAUUUAUAGUGGUUUUGAGUUGGAAGAGUUGAAGAUUGAUUAUACAGAGAUAGUACGAAAAAGGCGGGAACCUUUUGUUUUCCGCAACCUUCACCGUGUUACUAUACAUAGCUGCCAGAAGUUGAAAGAUUUGACAUUCCUCGUUUUUGCUCCAAACCUCAAGUCUGUUCAGCUACUCGAUUGCUAUGCUAUGGAAGAAAUAAUCAGCGUCGGAAAAUUUGCUGAGACUCCUGAGAUGAUGGGACAUAUAAGCCCUUUUGAAAAUCUCCAAAUGCUUGAUUUAGAAGAUUUGCCACAUUUGAAGAGCAUCUUCUGGAAGCCAUUGCCUUUCACUCAUCUGAAAGAAAUGGCGGUAAGUGGGUGUGAUCAGCUUGAAAAGCUUCCACUCGAUUCCAACAGUGCAAAGGAGCGUAAAUUUGUAAUUCGUGGAGAAGAAGACUGGUGGAACCGACUUCAAUGGGAGGAUGAAGCCACUCAAAUUGCUUUUCGUUCCUGUUUCCAACCUUAUUCCUGAGCGGUGGUCGCAAAUUUUGAUUCUCUGUUUUUAUUUCUGGUUAGUUUCUCUCUCUCUCUUUCUCUCUCGCUCUCUCUCUUUUUGUCUUCUGCAAAUCACAAUUAAAUGUUGAAUUAAUGGAAUUAAUGCUUCAUAAAUUUGCCGGCACAGCCACUACUUUUUUUUGGGGGGGGGGGGGGGGGGGGUCGAAUUGGUGCUCUGGUUUUUGACUUUUUGUUAGCGAUUUAAUUUCCUGUCAAAAGACGAGCGAGAAGAACAUAUAUAUGACGUAAACCAAUUGAUACUUUAUUUAUGUGCAUUGUAUGUAAUAAAUAUUAAGUAUACUUUAUUUUUGCCCUGUUCUCUGUUUUUAUUUCAGUCUCUCUCUCUCUCUCUCUGCUGUCUCCUGUCUCCUGCAAAUCACAAUUAAAUGUUGAAUUAUAUGGAAUUAAUCCUUCAUAAAUCUGCCUGCGCUGGCUUUUUUUUUUUUUUUGUGGGGGUCGAAUUGAUGCUCUGGUUUUCGACUACUUUUUGUUGUCAAAAUUUUCUCUGUUUUUUCAAAUUGAUGCUUUAUUGAUAUCUUCUUCGUGAAAAGUGAUUUAAUUUCCUGCCAAAAGACGAACGAGAAGAACAUUAGAGUCAAACUAAUGCUCACAUAAAUUUCCCGUAAGAAUAUAUAAUUAUUAAGAUAGAUCUGCUCUUUCAUUAAAUAUAUAUUCCUUUUUCACAUAUUAAUUGACCUUUAUUUAAUUUGUUUAAAAAGUUUAAUUAAUUGUUGUUUGCAGAGAAUCAUCUACGCCGCUCGCCGAUAAAAGUUGAGGUGUUCGAGCAGGUGCUUGCCUUUUUUUUUUUCUUUUUCUUUUUUCCCUGUUUUAAUAUUUCUUUAAAUUUUGAAAUUGUUUAAUUAUUCUUCUGGUUUGGAAUGUUGAUAAUAGUGUUGUGAAAUUAAUUUUUACAGGAUAAAAGGUUGUGGGACAUUUAUUAUCCAUGUCCUAUGUAUCUCAAGCUUAAAGGUCUCAGUGGUCCUCUAUUGGAAAAAGCAAGUUUAAUAUAUAUUAAUUGGAUAUCGUCGCCUGUAUAUAUAUGUAUAUACAUACAUACACAGCCACUCAUCGAUUAUAGACUUAAUUAUUUAAUUGAUUAUGUAAUCUCUCGUAGUUUCUUUGUGCAUUUUUAGUUAAUUUAAUGAAUAAACUCAAAUACAUUGUAAAUAAAACCAAAUUAAAUGUUCCCUAAAAUAUACGUAUAUGCCUCUCGAUGGCACACAAGGUUAAAUGUCAGCCCAUCGCGGGUAAUAUUAUUUCUAGCCGCCUUCAUUACGAGUUAAGAGUCAAUUAUUACUAAACUAAACUAGUCAAAACUCGUAAGUGCUAGAAAGUAGAAACGUUUGAUUCUAUAUAAAUGACUUCAAUUCAAUAUGUACCAAAGAGUAUCGAUAAUUGAACCCCAAAAAACUUUAAAAAAGAUUGACAAAAUUAAUUAUAUUAUUGUGUGUUUUUAGAAGAAAAAAUAAAAUAAUUAAUUAAUGUUAUAACACUAUGUUAGGUGAAAAGUCAGCUGUCUGGAAGAGAACAAACUUACUAAGAUAAGAGCCUUCUUCAGUAAUCAACCGAACGAAAAAGUCAUCUCUUUUCUUAUUUAUUUAGUAAAAAUAAGUAAAGGCCGAAAAUUUCCUAAAAUAUCUAAAUCCCUCUCUUUAAAAGAACACCAUAUGCUGCAUAACAUGCAAAUUAAUUUCCCAUAUGUGAUGCAAUUUUCUCCUCAACAUAUGCGCAAUUCUUUCCAUUCCGGCAUUUACACUCAAAUUUUCCUUCCUUUCUCUUUGUGGUUGAAUCUUACACCACAACUCAUGUGAUGCAAUCUCCUCUCGCUGCCUAAAUUGCACUCUCAGCAAAGCAGCAUAUGUAAGCAAGCUUGAAGAUAAUCUUGCUGCUCUGCGGAAGAACGGCAAAAGUUAAUCGAAGCAAGGACUGAUGUAUCAGAAAAAUUUUGGUGGAGAAUUCAGCACAAACAUAUUUCGGAUGAUCAGAAUCAAUAAAACAUGGUGGUUGCGCCAUAUAAACAUCUUCGGAAAGCUGGCCUUGAAGAAAGGCGUUUAUUGAUAUCCAAUUGACGAAGAGGCCAGCCAUGACUAACAUCAAUACUAAGAACAAGCCGUACUGUGGUGGGCUUAACAACUGGACUGAAAGUGUCAUAAUAGUCCACACCAGGCCGUUGAUUGAACCCUUUGGCAAUAAGACGAGCUUUGAACCUGUCAACAGAACCGUUGGAAUGUCUUUUAAUACAAAAAUCCAUUUGCAGCCAACAAUAUUGGAAAGGAUGGGAGGUGGAACAAGCUUCCAUGUCCCGUUAAGAACAAGAGCAUCAUACUCUUCUGACAUAGAUUGACGCCAGUGAGGAUUUUUGAUAGCUUGCGUCACAGUUGUAGGUUCACAAUCAGAAGGAGGGCUAAAAUGAGCACAGAGGUUAAGUUUUUGUAACGGCUUGUGAAUGUUAUUUUUAGCUCCGGUAGUCAUAUCAUGAUGAUUUGUGGGGCAACGAUCUAGUGGAGUUUGGGAAGAUGAUUGAACAGGAAGUGAAGAAGUGCUUUGUGUAGAGGUAGAAAUAGGUUGGGAGGAUUGCUGCGGAGAUGUUACCGGUAGAGAAGAAGGAGCAGUACACGGUGGCAACUCCAAAGGGCCCACAAUAGAUGGAGUAGGUGCCGACGAUGGAGUACUAGGAAAUGAAACAGUAAGAAUUGGUGGAACACUUGCGUAAUUAGGAGUUGUAGAUGAGCUUGUAAUGAUUUGUAUGGAAAAACAAACUCUACAAAUUUAACGUGACGUGAAAUAAAAAUUUGAAAGGUGGAUGGGUCAAAACAUAAAUAAGCACUUUGAGAUAAAGGAAUAUCCUAGAAAAACACAAGGCUUAGAGGGUGGUUCGAGUUUAUGUGAUGAAACACAAACAUUCAAAAUUUUUUAAGUUUAUAUUAAUUAGGAGUGGUACCAAAAAUUAAUUGGCUAUCGGGUUGUUGGAUGUGUUUUGGAUAUUUACAGCUAAGUUUGAGUAUCUCAACUUAAAAUUUGUAGCUUUCACUUGAAAAAAUUCAGUUAAAAUUUGCAAUGCAGACUGAUUGAUUUAUCAGUUUAACGUGUGCCAGGAAUGAAGAACUGGAAUAUCACCGUCAAGCAAGCACCCUGUGGAGCAAUACCAAACAAUGUACAAUCCGGCUUUGCUAGGUGACACUGGAGGCUUUUUGAAAAGUGCUUCACGCUCACUUGCACAGAUUGAGCAUCCCCUCUGGAUAUUGCCCUCUCUGAUCGAGUCUGAGCACUCAAAUUUUGGUCCUCAGAGGGAGCUACAGUUUUCUCUCCACUAACCAACAAUUUUCUAAACUCAGCACCUAGUGUGAUCUUGAGCCAUAUCUAAAGCAGUUUGAAGUUCAAGUACUUGAGCCCUUGACAAUGGUUUUAAAAUUGGAACAUCUUGGAUUACUGCAGACUUGUACCCCUUGGUUUCAAAGUAAGGAAAGGUAUUGCUUGAGUACAAUUUGGAGGCAGCUUCUUCACCAAUUUUAUUUGGAGGCGAUUGGCAGCGGAUCCAGCUGCACGAAGACUAAACAAGUCAGAUGCAGUUUAUUUGUCCAAGCACAAAUUGCAUUUUGUCCUCAACUUUAAUAUUUAUUGAUGAGAAUCAAUACAGGUCCCUCAUUUGUUAUAGAAAGCUUUAUUGUAGUCUCACCAGUUAAUUCACAGGUCUAUAAUCAUCUUGCAAAGUUAAGGGCAUUUCUUUCGAUCUAAAGUCUUUGCAUCACCACCUCAUCACACGCCAAGCCAAUAUUCCAUUUACCUCUGCAACAAAAAGUUUUAAGUAAACAAUCCUAAUGCACGCAGCCAAAUAAAAUGCAGUAAGAAUAUUCAACUUAAAAAUCUGAAAGCCAACUUGGUGAAUUGCCUCCUUAGGUGAAGUUCCAUGCUUUACUAUAGUUGACAGAACUCAGCAAAAGCUUCCAUACAACAGAUUUUGAAAAUGAUGAUGCCAAUAGAUACUCAUUCAAUCCAUUGAAAAUCCAAAGGUUCAUUGUUAAUAGAAGUUUACAGAGUUUUGGUCAUCAAAUAGCUCAGACCUAAUCCCAAACAAAAAACGAGUGAAAAUUAGAUCACGAGCAGCUAAUUGUAAAUUCUAACUUAACUCUUCAUCUCCUUUGUAAACAAGAAACAAAAUGGAGACACGCAAAAUGAAUAUGGAGAAAAUUUGAACUCAAAUGAAAUGAGGGCACGAAAGCAAACAAAUGGCAUGCACAAAAAAACCAAGCCUCAAUCAAAAACUAAUUAACCAUUAAGAAAAAAAUUGGUCAGAGAAUGAACUCCAAAUUCAGGAGUCAAGCAAGAAGCUUUCAUCAUUUCAGAAGCUCCUGUACAAAAAAACCAAGCCUCAAUCAAAAGCUUUCAUUAAUAAGUUAUGCUCUUUGGAAGCAAACCUAAAUUCCAAGAGAAACAGAAGCCAAAAAAUUUGCAAUUAUACGCAAAGGAAGUGAAGCACAGGAUUCUAUCACACAUAGGAAUUGUAUAACAAGAGAUCGAUAUAUCGAAUUAGAAAACUCAAUUCGAAUUUGUGUGAAAAAUCAAAAUUAGAAGAUUUCACAUUUCGAGAGGAACAAGCAACAGAUGACGUUCAAAAUUUCAGCCAUAACAUGCUAAAAAUGCUACACUUAACGGUUCAUUUUCAUGGAUUUUCUCGGGAAACAAACAGAAAAUUACGGUUCAGAGAGUUGACUGACCUUUUGGCUUUUGAAAUUGAGAAGAUCGCGCGCCAAAUUGGAAGAGGGAAAGUGAAAGUGCGAGUUUUAAUAUGGGUAGAUAAGGAAAUUUUAUUAGGUUGCGAGGGUAAAAAAGGAAAGAGAUAUCAUUAUUUUAUCAUCGAUAAUUAUUAAAUUUUUUUCCAAAAAAAAGAACAAGCAAGGAUAUUUUAUUGUCAUUACUAAGUUAAAAAAAAUUGUUUCAAAAUUACUUGAGUCAUAUCCAAUGGACCAACAAAGUAAUCGUUUUUAUUUUUAUUGAUUUUUGCAGGAAAUUAAUAACUUAAAAAUACUGAAAGCUAUUGUAAAAAUUUUUAUUAUCAACCUCAUAGUUUUUUUUUUUUGGGGGAAGAGAAUUCAAACAUUUUUUUUUUAAAUUUCCAAGAAUUCUUGACACCCGUCUUAAUUAAAAGCUAUAUUUUUAUUCAAGAGUCAUGCUAUUCAUUCACUCACAGACCAAAGGCUUUCCGCAGCAAUAUUAUUAUUUAAAUUACAACAAAGGGGAAAUCAAAUACGUCAUACAGAAGCUUAAAGCUGAAUCAACAAAAUCUAGAGCUCUCAACUACAAAAAUUACACUUGAUGAUCCUCUACAAGAUGAAGCUUGUUCAAUAUCUUAUCCAAAGCUUGUAAAGUAACCUUGUAACGAUCUUGAGAUUGCCUGCCUUCCUCGACGACCUGCACGAUGCGUUUGUACAAAUCAUCAUACCUGUGCACCGGAUUUUUAAUAUCAACGCCACUGCAGCUGUGAUUAAGAAAAUAAGAGCGUUUAACAUCUUUUCUCCAUCGAGAAAGAAUGUACUGAGAUGGGAUCUCCUGCACGCCACUCUGGUUUAGAACACAAAGAAUGUGUCUGCAUAAAUAUCCUCUGAAAUUGAACAACCCACAAACGCAAAGCACCUCCAAGUUGGAGGCAUUGUACAAAACAUCGAAAGCCCUUGAGUCUUUCUCAUUGCUACCAACCUCGAAUUCUUCCUUCACUAUGUAUGUUAUAGGUCCAUCAGCACUAACAUGUUUUGUGCUAUAGCAAGAGUACAUAGCCUCCACCUCCGUCUGAAACUUCCUUAACAUUUCAUUUGUGUACAGUUUUGAGAGUUGAAAUUCAUAGUAACAUCUUGGUUUCUGGAUACAACUUGAAUUUCUUGAAUCCAUAUCUGCCAAGGCUUCCAGUUGAUAAUUCGCCCGCAGUGCUUGAUCAUACUUGUCUAAGAAUUCUUUCAAAGGAGUAUUCUUAUCAAGAUAUCCUUCAAAGUAUGAAGUAGAAACCUCAUUCUGCGGGAACGAAAACACUCCUGAUAAAAAAGCUUCCUUCAAAUAAAUAGGAGCCCACCUUUUACGAUCUUCAUAUAAAGUUUGAAUCCAUCCGUGAUCCUUUAUUCCAUGACGUUGAAUCAUGUCUUUCCAAGCUGCUUCAAAUUUCUCAGGCCUGAGAGAGUGAUAAAUUGCUCUAUGUAAUGCAGCUUUAAUAGCUUCAUAUUCAAACAAUCCUUGGAGUUUCACUGGAAUUUUUUGCAUGAUGCAUGACAAUGAAAAGCAACGAUAAGCUCUUGGGAAAACAUCGCCAACAGCAAUUUGCAAGAUUCUACAUUGGUCAGUGAUGAUUGUUUGUGGAGAGCGCCCUAACAUACAUGUAAGCCACGCCCUAAACAACCAUGUAUAUGAUUCUAUGGUCUCACUGGCAAGUAAACCACAACCCAACAACACUGAUUGUCCAUAAUGAUUCACCCCAAUGAAUGAAACCAGUGGUACAUCAUAUCUUUCAAUCAAGCACGUAGUAUCAAUUAAGACUACAUCACCAAAGUACCUAUAUGCAACUCUUGACCUGGUAUCAGUCCAGAACAGGUUUCUCAAGCAUCCCUUUUCAUUUAGAUCCACUACAUUAAAAAAGUUUGGAUCUGUCAACUGCAAACGACAAAAGAAACUCUGGACAGCUUGUGCAUCACCUGGUUUAAGCUUCAAUUGAUUUGAGCUAUUAACAUUAUUUCCAAAUACUCCAUUAACAUCUACAUUACCAUUUCCCUAGGCAUCAAUGAUAAGAGUUCGAAACAGUUUAAUUUUUUGAACUUCUUCAGCACUAUCUAAAUGCAAUGUUCUUUUGGUUCCAAUACCUAUGUGCUUAUGUGACUUGCAAAACUUUCCACUUCUUGGGCUUAACAAGUGGUUAUGCUCAAGCUCGACUUCAAUGAUUCUCCACCUUUUGGUUUCCAUCAACCUAAACUUUAUCAUUGCUGGACAGCCAGCUCUUGUUUCUGGUCUUGGACGGUUUGCCUCACUUUUCUUCUUGAAGCUUGCACUACUACAGCUCAGCUUUCCUCUAUACUUUUCUCUACUCUUUCAGUACCAGGUAUUGCUAACUCUAACACCAAAACCCUGUUCCUUGGCAUAGCAAUUGUAAAAGUAAUAUACAUCAUCGUACAUCUCAAACUCCAUUCCAACAGCAGGAGGCAAGGGAUUUUGGAUUAUCCCAGUUUGUCCAACAUAUUCAGUCAUCGCACAAUCUCCUACGACCUCAAAAUCAUCAGUGUCAUCAUCACCUAUUGGUUCGGUGUUGAGAGAAACUUCAUCCAUCUACAAUGGAUGUUCAAUGAAGUGAGCUUUAAGGAGAAAAAGCAAAAUCAGUUCAAGGAAUCAUAGUAUAAUCAUACAGUUACUUUCACAAAGCUUCAUAUUUCAUCACUGCUUUACCAACAUGCAACUGCCAGAGAACAAACAGACAUGUCAUAGACGCUUGAAUUAAGUAUUGGUACAAAUGAGCACACAUCAUGUGGGACAAAAUUUCAGUCACUAAACCCAAUACCACUUUUUACAUCAUACCAAGGAACAGAUUAAACCCGACACCUUCUUUUAAACCAUACCAAGGAACAGAUUAAAUCAUCAAUGAAAAAUUAAUCACAUAAUAACUUAACCAGACAAAUGAAGAGCCUGAAACAGCACAAAACUUGAAUCUGAUUAUGAUAAUUGUUGAGUCCUUGUAUCUACAGCUUUCCUUCAAUGAUAAGACAAUGAACAUAAACGAGACACAAAAAAUUUAUUUUAAACUGACAGCCCAUGAUAUAAAUCAAACAAAAUCAACUCCUUUUUUUACACAUCACAUCUCAUAUUCAUUUACAUUGAAACACAAAAAGGAAGCGGGAGUGGGAAAAAAACAACAGCAGAGGAACUUAUUUCCAUAAGGUUUACGAAAUAAGGAAUCUAUUAAAACCCAAAACUUGAGGUCACCACAAAGAAUUUGGUUCUCAUUAUUUUUUUCUUCAUUUUUCACCAAUUGAUGAACUUAAAAUACAAUCAUAAAUGAUAAAACCCCAUCUCAAUCUUUUUGAACUAGAGCUAAAGCAAAGCAUUUUAAGAUGUUUCAUCAUUUUUUUUUUAAAAAAAACCUCAAUAGUACAAUGUUUUUACUCUAAUAAUCUCUUAAUUAAGGAAGAUUAAGCUUCAGUUGUAAGCUAAAACAAAUUUCUUAAAUCAAGCCCCAAUGCUUUAUGCUAUUCAACAAGGGCUCAUAAAUGAUAAAACUACUUCUACAAAGAUACCCAUUUUCUAAAUUAAUUUCAAAAACUGAAAUCAAACUCCUGAAACGUAACGAGCAUUAAUAUAAUCAAACCCGAACAAGAAUUGAAAAAUGACACAUAAACUCGUUUACACAUUUCGACAGACACUUUGCAAUCAAUGAGCAAAAAAUUAAUGGAGAAGAUAAAAUUCAAACGAAACAUGCCUUACAUUGAUCAAUUAGAAGGGCAAAAGAAAUUUUAGUACGAUAUGGGAUCAGGGUCUUGCCACGGUGAUGUUAUUUGUGAUGUUCGAGCGACUCAGCGGCCUUCGAGGUUGAAAAUUUGAUUGACCAAAAGCUUCCCGUUUGUUGAUUCUCUAAUAGCAGAAACGAGACUGGCAGUAAACACAACAACUUCGCUGAUUUUAAAUUCCGUUGUUUGAGAUGGAAAACUUUUUGAAAAAAUUAAUGUGUUCGAUGAAUAUCAAAAUCUAAAAAACUUUUUGUUUUUCAUUUUUUUGGAAAAAACCAUUGAGAUCCUUACUAUUUUUUCUUAUAUCAUCUUGCUUAAUAAUUUGCAAAGUCUAUCGCAUAGCACCCAUGCAUGAUGUAUGCUGCGUAACUGCGUUGUAAUUUACAAAAUUGUAAAUUUGUUAAAAGAAAAUAAUAAUAACAAGUUAAAACUUUAAAAUUUUUAUCAUUCGAAGAAAUUUUAAUUUAGUUAAGUAGGUGACAUGAUAAUAAAUAGAUACGUAUAAUGUCCGAGAUUUUUUAUAAGAUUAAUAAAUAUGAUAAAUUUGGAUUAGUUCAAUUUUGACGUAAUUCAGAAUAAACACAUCUUCCUAAUCUAAAAAUAAUUACAAACAAUUUAAUUUGUGUUGUUUCUCUAAAAGUUUGAGACACAAAUGUUAUUGCAAAUUGAAACGCCAUGCACUAGUAGAAGGUAAGAGAAACCAAGGUUGAAGUUACUGUUCAUUUAUUUUUAUUUAUGAUUUUUUGUAAAAUGUAAGAAAUAUGUAGAAAUGUUGCCAGCAAUGAUUUUGGAACUUUGCAUAAAAUUUUUAUCAUUAUUGUUUUUGGUAUUAAGAAAUCCGAGGCGGUGAUUAGUCGUAUGUUGCAACAAUUAAGAAAUUUCUUAUUGGAGAUAAUUUGGUAGGUUGCAACAAUUAGAGAAUAAUUUUCCUGUCAGUUAAUCAAUCAAUAAUAAAUUUCAAAUUGCAGAAAAUAAAAUAAUACUGUCGCACUUAGAAUCAUCUUUUCUAUUUCUUUCAAUUGUGACAAUCAUUUGUAACAAAUAAAUCAAUUUGAUGCACAUCAUUUCCCCAAUUCAAAGUUCAAGUCACUGCUCAAUUGCAGGGUAGUUAGUAGACAUGCAUGCAUGUUUAAUUAAGUACUGCAUUGUAAUAUAGAAAAUCAUAACAUCUCACCAAGCCCGGAAGCAUAGCUCUUUAUCUUGUAAAUGUUGAAAUCUUAUGCAAACUAUGGGAAACAUGAUCUCACUCUCAGUGCCACUUGAUUCCAUUUUCUUUGUUGGGAAUGCUACGAAGUCUAAGCUUGAAGAUAAUCUCGAUGCCUUGCGGACUGCAAUGGAAAAAUAAGCGGAAACGAGAAAUGAUGUGAUAAAUUGUGAGCCAACAAUAGUGGGCAUGGUGUCGACUUUUGAGAAAGCCUGGAGAUGCCUUGAAGAAGAAUCAGUUGGAAUUAUUGGCCUGUAUGUUAAUGGGGGAGUUGGAAAAUAUUUACUCAAAUCAACAACAAGUUCCUUGAUGGUCCAAAUAAUUUUGAUGUUGCGAUCUGGGUAGUGGUCUGCCAAGAUUUACAACCCCAGAAGUUUCGGGAAAAGAUUGGGAAAAAGAAAGGCUUGUUCGAUGAGUCAUGGAAGAACUGAAGUUUUGAAGAGAAAGCACUCGACAUAUUCAAGAAUUUAAGCAAGACGAAGUUUGUAUUACUGCUGGAUGAUAUAUGGGAGCAGGUUGAUUUAAUUAAAAUUGGUGUCCCUCUUCCAAGCACAAAAAUUACAUUCAAGAUAGUCUUCACAACUCGUUUUAUUGACAUUUGUGGCCUCAUGGAAGCUCACAACAAGAUUAAAGUGGAGUGUUUAAAUGACGAAGAAGCAUGGGAAUUAUUCUGCAAGAAGGUUGGAGAAGAUGUGGCGACUCUGUCCAAGUGCUAAGGAGAUCAGCCUCAGAAUUUCUAGGUAUGUAAAAAUGAGUAUAUAUAUCCACUUUUGAAAUUCAGUUAUGAUAAUUUACCUAGCGAUAAAAUUAGAUCGAGUCUGUUAUACUGUAGUUUGUUUCUGGAAGACUUUCCAAUUAGCAAAACGGAAUUGAUACAUUGUUGGAUAAGCGAGGGCCUUUUGGAUGAAACUAAUAGUUCUGAGAUAUGAAAUCAAGGAUACUACAUUAUUGGUGUUCUUGUUCCUUUAUGUUUAUUGGAAGAAGAGGCUCCACUAUAUGUAAAAGUGCAUGAUGUGAUACGCGAUAUGCUUCUGUGGAUCGCAUGUGAAGUUUUUUUUUUCUUUUUGAUAGGGAUAGCAUGUGAAGUUGAGAAGGAGAAAGAGAAUUUUUUGGUUCGUGCAGGUGCAAGGAUUAACUGAAGUGCCAGACAUUUGGAAAUGGGAAGGGUUGAGAAGGGUGUCUUUCAUGAGCAACAAAACUGAGAAGUUAUCAGAAAUUCCUUCAGAUCCCCAUCUACCGACUUUGUUGCUUCAACGUAAUUAUUUAGAGAUGAUCAAUAAUGACUUCUUCCAAUCUAUGAAUUCCCUUAGAGUUUUGAACUUAUCAUGUAAUCAUUCUCUAAUUGAUAAUUUCAAAGUUAGUUUCCCUACAACAUCUUAAUUUAUCAAUGACUAACAUACGAGAGUUGCCGAAUGAGUUAAAGUUUGUAGUGAAUCUAAAGUUUUUGAAUGUGGAGUAUGCACGGUUUCUUCAUUCAAUUCCAGGGCAAGUGAUAUCCAGUUUUACGAUGUUACACGGUUUGAAGAUGUUUGGUUGUGGGAGGUCAUCUUCUGAUCAUGAGCCACACUAGAAGAUAGAGUUUUAUUUGAAGGCUGUAAACUUUUGAUUGUGGAGUUGUUUGGUUUGAGAGACAUCUAGAUGUGUUGACCAUCAUCCUAACAAGUUCCCUUGCUCUGAAAAGAUUUUUGAGCUACAACAAACUUCAAAGUCGUACUCAAUCUCUCUAUCUUAAAUGCUUUGAUUCAAAUCUUCUUGUUUUUUCCAUAAAACAUUGCCAUGAUAUGGAGGAAAUACUCAGUGUCGGAAAAUUAGGUGAAGAGAUGAUGUCAAAUCUGGAACCUCUUACAAAACUCCAAGUUCGUUGCUUGAAGAAGCUACCAAAUUUGAAGAGCGUCUACUGGAAGGCCUUGCCCUUGCCCAAUGUAUGCAUAAUUUUUGUAUCUAAAUGCCCAGAACUUAAGAAGCUGCCGCUGGAUUUUGAAAGGGCGGGCGAAGGUAAAAUUCUUAUCAAGUGAAAGGAAAAUCGAUGGAAACGACUUCAAUGGGAGGAUCAAGCAACUCAGAAUGCAUUGCUUCUGUUUUUCAAAUCUAGUGAUUGAAGGGGGCAACAUCAACAUCAUCAGCCUGGAUGGGGAGAUUCUGGAGCAGAUCAGUAGGGUUUGAAUCUACAUCAUUAACAUCAUCAGGGUCUGUAUUUCUAUUGCUGGUCUUAAUGCUUGCUUACUGUUGCUUGACAAAGUGAGCCAGUUUUUUGUUUAUUAAAUUUUGUCUUGUAGAGACAGUCACAAAGUAUGGGUUGUUCUAUGUGAGAGUGAUGUGAAUCAAUUUUUCAAUUAUAUAUUCUGUGGUCAUUGUGAAUUUUGUUUAGAGAUGCAAACUUAGAAUAUGGAAAAGUUCAUCGGCAAACAUUUUGUAAAAGCUUCCAACUGAAGUUUUCAUAAUUAAAUAAUAAAAAAAUAGGAAGUGACGAAAAAAUUAUCCUAGGUGUUACGAAAAAACAUGAGCUCCGAAAAUAUUGGAAGUGACGAAAACUUAGGGCUAGGGUUUGAGAACUCUAACCCGCCACCACUGCAAGAGGACAGGACGACUAAGAAGGCCCGGUUUCGGGCUGAGGGAAUUGAUGCUGAUAAUCCUCAUAAACCCUCUUGGAGAGAUAAGGCUAUGGAGGCAGUCACGGUGAUGGCAGGUCAGACAGGAAGGAUUGGAGAGUUGGGUUACGGCAGUGUAUGCUAGCCCUAUUCCAACAGUCCUGCGUGAAUUAUGGUAUCACCUUGCAAGUAUUGCUUCUCAAAUGUUGGAUCCGUGGUUGGUGGGCGGAGAUUUCAAUGCUAUCUUAUACGCACAUGAGAAGAAAGGGGGCUCGAACCGAAUAAGUGGCACUUGCAAUUUAUUUAAUCAUUGGUUUCAUUCUUGCAGGAUGCUUGAUCUAAAGUUCUCCGGCCCUCGCUUCACUUGGUCUAGGGGAAACCUUUCUAAACGAUUGGAUAGAGCGGUUUGCAAUAAUGGAUGGCUAAUAAAACAUGCAAAUAGUAGUGUCAUGCAUCUUCCAAAAAUUGAUUCCGAUCAUCGGCCUAUUCUAGUCAAGUUCCAGAACAUGGAUUCCAAGCAUGGGGGCCCGAGGCCAUUUCGAUUUUUGGCUGCAUGGCUCACAGAUGAGAGAUUUGGGAGUUUUAUGAAUGAUAGCUGGAAUAAGGGAGAGAAUUUUCUUGAGGCAGUGGCUGAUUUUACUCAACAAACUAGGUGGUGGAAUAAGGAAAUUUUUGAAAAUAUUAUUUAUCGGAAGCGGAAAUUGUUGGCUAGAAUAGGUGGGAUCCAAUGAAUUUUGGAAGCCAAGCCUAACCAUAGCCUUACUAGACUUGAAGUUAAGCUUCAGAAGGAGCUCGAAGAGGUUCUCACUCAGGAAGAAUUAUUGUGGCUUCAGAAAUCCAGGAGAGAUUGGACUUUGUAUGGUGACCGCAACACUGCUUAUUUCCAUAAAAAAAUGCUAACCAGGCAUCGCCAGAAUCGGAUUACUGCAAUUCAAAAUGAUACUGGGCAGUGGAUACACGACGUCGAGAUCAUUAAGCAACGUGCAGUCAAUUUCUUUUUGGAAUUAUACACGCCUGAACAAGGGGUGCAUAGAACAUAUAAUGUCAGGGGGUGUUUCCCUGAGACGUCAGAUGAUAUUUGUUUAAGUUUGAUGUCUGCGGUAACAGAUGAGGAAAUCAGACAUACUAUUUUCAGUAUGAGUCCUUUUAAAGCUCCUGGAGUUGAUGGCUUUCAUGCUAGUUUUUACCAAGCGCAAUGGAAUACAGUUGGUAUGUCUUUGAGCUCUUUAAUCAAAAAUAUUUUUAAUUCUAAUCAUAUCCCUGCAGAGAUCAACAGAACCUUGCUGGUGCUCAUUCCUAAAGUGUAUCAUCCAACAAGCCUCAAGAUGUUUCGGCCGAUCAGCCUUUGCACAAUUCCGUAUAAAACGGUGACGAAAAUUAUUGCAAAUAGGUUACAGGUUUUUCUUCCAGAUCUCAUUGGACCCCAACAAACCAGUUUUGUACCGGGUCGGCAUAUUACAGAGAAUAUUGUUAUUGCUCAAGAGGUAAUCCAUACAAUGAAGAAAAAUGUGGGGGGUAAAAGAAUGAUGGCGGUUAAAGUGGACUUGGAAAAGGCUUAUAACCGGUUGAGUUGGCGAUUUGUUCAGGAAACUUUACAGGAAGUUGGGCUACCGGAGCGAUUUAUUCACCUCAUAAUGGAGUGUUUGUCCACAGCCCAAAUGAAUGUUUUGUGGAAUGGAGAAAUGACUGAAGAUUUUCGGCCAGGGAGAGAAAUUCGACAAGGAGACCCUCUUUCGCCUUAUAUUUUUGUGCUUUGUAUUGAAAGAUUAAGUCAUGGGAUUAUCCAGGCGGUUAAUCAAGGUAGAUGGAAACACAUUUGACUGACUCGAACUGGCACUCCUCUAAGUCAUUUAUUUUUUGCGGAUGAUCUGCUUCUCUUUUUGGAAGCAAGUUACGGCCAAGUUGAUGUAUUGAAUGAUGUGGUGGAGAAUUUCUGUAGGAGCUCGGGCGCUAGAGUUAGUAAUCAAAAGACCCAAGUCUUCUUCUCCAAAAAUGUCCCGGUCACUUUAGCCAAUGGAAUUGGCAAGGCUUUAGGCUUCUCGGUUACAAAUAAUUUGGGAAGAUAUCUUGGCAUGCCUCUUCUUCACGAUCGGGUUUCUAAGAAAACGUAUCAGAGUAUCAUUGACAAAAUUGAUCAGCGGCUAUCAGGAUGGGCAGCAAAGCAAUUGUCUCUGGCAGGGAGAGUUACUCUCACUCAAUCGGUGCUUCAGGCAAUCCCGAUUUACGCUAUGCAAACCACGUACCUCCCAUCUAGUGUCAGAGUUAAAAUUGAUCAAUUAUGUAGAAGAUUCAUUUGGAGUGGGGCUGGUUCUCAACGCAAGUUAAGUUUGGUUAGCUGGGACAACAUUUGUAGGCCUAAGAGCAAUGGAGGGCUCGGUUUCAAGGACAUGGAACUUAUGAACAAAGCCUUACUAAUGAAAGUGGCUUGGGAUUUAUUCAUAAAUCCUAGCAAGCUGUGCUCCCAGGUUUUAAUUUCUAAUUAUGUUGCGCCUUGUGAUAUGAUUACUACUGAUGCUUCAUUUAAAAAUGGUUCCUAUUUAUGGCGCUCUAUGGGUAAGAUUUGGAAAGACUUCCAGAAGGGUUUGCGUUGGAGUAUUGGAAAUGGCCAACGGGUGAAGUUUUGGGAUGAUAUUUGGGCUACAAAUGGUGAUCCCUUAAUCAACUAUACGGUGGCUUCAAUUCCGGAUAGCAUGCGAAAUAUGUUGGUGGCGGAUUGUGUGGAUCAAAAUGGGAAUUGGUUGUGGAACAUAUUCAACUCUUUUUUGAAUAACCAUGCUGUUUUAAGGAUUGCUUCCAUGGCUCCUCCGUCGUCAAUGAGAGGCGAGGAUAGGAUGUAUUGAGGUGCAUCAAAUACUGGCAAUUUUACAGUCCAAUCAGCUUACCAAGUGCUUACGAAUUUUUGCCCCGCUGAAGACUGUCAAGACUGGCAACAUUUGUGGAAAUGGAAGAGGCCUCAAAGCGUAAGAAUUUUUCUAUGGUUAUUAUGCCAUGAUCAAUUGAAGACGGGAUGUGAGCUUGCUAGAAGGCAUCUGGACGUCGAGGCUUUAUGUGGGAGGUGCCAUGCAGACGUUUAGAAUUCUUUGCAUGCAAUUCGAGAUUGUGAUUAUUCGAGAGGUGUUUGGCGGAAGCUUGUUCCCGCGCUUAGACAACAUGACUUUUUUAGUUAUCCUCUUUGGCAAUGGAUCAUGACAAAUCUUAGGAGAAGAGUCUGUGAUAUGGGGAGCUUAUUUUGGCCGAUUAUGUUUGGUAUUGCGGCUUGGAGAAUUUGGUAUUGGAGGAACCAGGUGAUGUUCAACAACAAGAGCUGGAAUGGUGAUUUGAUCGUUCGAGAUAUUAAGGCAAGGACUGAGAGUAUUUGUUCUACUCUUUCAAGCAUAGGCUAUCGAAGAAAUGAAAGGAUUCAGAAAUGGAUUCGUUGGGCUCCUCCACCAUGGCCUUUCUUGUGCUUAAAUACGGAUGGUGCAAGGAAAGGAAAUGGAGAGGCGAGUGCAGGUGGGCUGCUGCGGGACUGUCAUGGUAAUUUUAUUCAUGGUUUCAGCGCACAUCUCGGAGUUUGUUCAGUUCUAAAGGCUGAACUUUGGGGUGUCUUGCAUGGGUUAAGAAUGGCAUGGGAUCUUGGCUAUAGACGUAUCCAAGUUGGAGUAGACAACUGUAGUGUGGUGCAAAUUAUAAGGGAAAAUAAUGCUCAUGUCAACGAAAUUUCGAAUAUAAUCGAGAUGAUUAGAGAACUCAUGAGGAGGGAUUGGAGGAUUCAAAUUGAUCACAUCUACCGCGAAGCAAACUCGGCAGCUGAUUUCCUUUCUACGCAUGCUUUGAGUUUACUUGUUGGAGUACAUUUUCUUCAUUCUGCACCUUUAGGUUUGAGAUCUAUUUUAUAUUUGGAUAUGUAUGGGGUGGCACACUCCCGGUUUGUGCCCCUUUAGCUCUUCUCUUUUAGAGCCUUUUGUUUAUCAAAAAAAAAAAAAAAGCUUCCAACUGAAAUAGGGAAUGCACUUACUACUAAGGACAGUUGGUGGCCACCUAAUGCAUUCAUUUUAUAUCAAUUCAUCAUUUUAAUUAUUGAAAACAAGUGGCUCAUCGCUUUUACUUUAGGUAAAAUUCGGAUAAUCUCUAUUAUGAAAUGAUAAUAUUCUCUUAAAUUAUUAUAAACCUCAGCCAAUCUUAAUUUUAUUUAAAAGAUAAAAGAAAAAUAGGUUAUGUUGGUGACUUUUUUCUUAUCUUUUUAAUAAAAAUAAAAUAAAUUGAUGUUUAUAAUUGUUUAAAAUACUUUAAAGAUUGUUAUUUUAUGAGAGAGUAAUAUUUUACUUUUUUAUUGUGAAAUGCUAAAAAGGACAAAGCAAGUGUCCCUGGUUUUUAUUUUAUUUGAAAUUGGUCAUCUCAUAUACUUUACGUUUCAACACUACAAUUUUUUUGGUUAUAUUUUUAUUAUUUUUUUCUUUCUUACACAUGCACGUAAAUUUUCUUUCUUUAAGCUCCUGAAUAUUUAAGACAAAUCAUGGAAGAGAUGAAAGUAUAACAAGAUGAUCAAAAUACGUAACAAAAAAUUUACAAGUGAAACAUACGUUAGAGUCGAAGUAAAACUCUGAAAAUAGAGAUAUUGAUUAAUUUAGAAGAGAUGCAAGCAAAAGAUUUUCUUAAAAAAAAGAAAAGCAAUUUGUCCCUUUCCAGGGCAAACUUGUUAGUCUCAAAAAGGUACAUUCUUUGAAUUGAUAGUUGCAGGAUUUUUGUCUUGUUUUUGUUGUUGUGCAUUAGUUGGAGAAGUCAAGCCUAGUGAAAAAUGUUAUGAAAGAGCAAAGGAUAUUUCUGACAGCUUUAUUUAAUUAUGUAUUCAUUUAAUGGAUGUAUUGUUAGAAGAUAUUUAAGUGCAUUAGUUCAUCCGUGUCUGUUGAUGUGCUUUUAGUGAUUUUUCCAGCUGUUUGUUGUAAAAGAUGAUUGUAAAUUGAAAUGAACUUGAUGUUGUAAUAUUUUCUCUUUUGUGGAAUCUCAGUUGUGUUGUCUAUAAUUUUAGUCAAAAUUAUUGUUAUUAUUUCUUACUAGAGGUAAAUUUUUUAUUAAACCUCAUUAACACAAUUCUUAAUUAAAAGUAUAGGUUAGUGUCGGUGCAGGAUUUGCAGCACCAGAUCCUGCCUAGCUACGUGUCAAAAAUACAAAAUAAAUGAAGAGAAAGCACAAAUACAUGACUUGGAUUAGGAUAGAAGGAAACUUAAAUCUUAAAGAAAAUGAUAGCUAUAUCCCACUAUUUGAAAAAAUGGUCAUGUAGAUUUUUAAGAUUUAAAUAAGGGACGGAGAUCUUCUUUUGACAAAUAAUAUCUUUUAGCUCUCUCAAGUAAAAAAAAAAUUAAAUAUUUUAUAAUAAAUAAAAAUAUAAUAUUAAAAUAUACGUGAUAAUAUAUACAUUUUAAAUAAUUUCAAUCCAAAAAAAUAGUUAUGUUUUAUCGAAUCUACCUAUGUUACAAUAGUAGUAUGGUACCACAAUAUUUGUUCUUAUCCAAUGUAAUCAUUGGAUGAUUUAGAGCUUAAUCUAACGGCUUAAAUUAUUUUUCUGAAUAUUUGAAGCAACAACUUGCAACCGUUGGAGCCGGUUGCAUAUUAAUUUAAUAUCAUUUGGGGAAGCGUACGGUCAGGAAGUUUCUUAGUAUGCCACCAAUGGAAUUUGAUUUCAUCUCAAAUCGAUCUGCAGGCAGCAAUUGGGAAAUUACACUCACGGUCUUCCUCUUCUUCACUUCCUCUCUACUCUUCACUUUUCUCACUCUCGCGAUGUUUACAGCAUGAUAAGUACAAUUACAAACCAGGAAAUGCCAUUAACAAUUUUCAUUUGUCUUAGUCGUUUUUUUUUUUUUUAGUAGAAAGCCAAAAAAGAAAACGGGUGGGAGGUUGGGGCGUCGUGAUGAAAUGGUUUUGAGUUUUUGACGGAAUGUUUGUUUUUGUGAUUCAUUUAGGGUUUGAAUUCAGGCUUGUACGAACUCGGAUCUAUUCGAGAUCCGUAUUGGCGCUGAAAUCAGAUCCUUUGAAGCCUUGGUUUGAAUUCAACCUUGAGAACUCCAAGCUUGUUAGAAUCUUCAUUGAUCUCUCCAGAAAUUACACGGAUCUUAUUACUAAACCCUACAUAUAGGGCUGCAAUGGAGUCCGAUUCUCUCACAAUUGAUGAAUCAAUAUUGAGACAGUUCGAAAAGGAAGUAAAAAAGAGAAUCAACUUGACUGGCUAAAUAAUUGCGGAGGCCAAAGAGUCUUUUGAUAAUCAAUUGAAGAUUUAGAAGUUAAAAGACACUAUUUUUACUAUGAACGAACAAUUGACUAAGGCGAAAAAGCAAGGAGCUUUUUUGAGUUUGAUUGCUGCGAAAUCGAUGCCUUAGAGUUUGCAUUGUUUGGCCAUGAGGUUGAUGAAAGAGCGAGUUGUUCAUCCGGAGAACUAUAAUGAAGAAGGGAAGCCCACACAUGCAGAAUUCGAGGAUCCCAAACUUUAUCAUAAUGCUAUUUUUUCUGGGUAAUAUGCUUGCAGCUUCGGUGGUGGUGAUUGGUGAAUUUAGCUGUUAAGAACUCGAAGGAGCCUUGGAAACAUGUGUUUCAUGUUGUGAUGGAUCAAAUGUUUAAAUUGAAGGAUUAUAAUGGAGCACAUUUAGGCACGAAGGCUGUUGAGGAUUAUAAGUUUUUGAAUUCUCACAUGUCCCUGUGUUAAGGCAGCCGGGGUUUGCUAAUUUGCAAAGGUUUUACUUCGGGAAGUAGCUUGAGAAUGCUACGAAAGAUGCUACUAACAUGAAGUUUAGGAAUCCCAAUUACUUGUUGAUACUGUAUCAUUUGAGGUUCUGGAUAAGAUUUCAAUGAUGGCCGCUUAAAACAAAUAAUAAAAAAAAAGAACUUGUACUGUAUUUGGAUCUUUACUUAUUUGAUAUAGUUUUCUGCAAUCUCUCCAUGCAACCGGUUACUUUAAUUAUCCACUAACUCAUCUCAACCGUUUGAUGGACUCACUUUAUAUCCAACGGCAGUUUUAAAUGAAGACAAAAAGUGUGGUAUGUUGCAAUUGUUGCAACAUAUGUGAGUCUUGUUUUACAAUCUAUUUAACAUAUUUUAUUAAAUUAAUAUAUUUCUAUGAUAUAGGAACAUAAUAUUAAAAUAAAUUUACAAAAAUUUAAAGAAUUUUGAAUGUAAAACAAUUUCAAUAUAUUAAUAAUGAGAUUUUUUUAUUAUUAUAAAAAUUAUUUAACCCAUAGAUUUUUUUAAAUCUUUACAAUAAGUAUAAAUAUAUUAUCUUCACUUAAAAAUAUUUAAAUAUUAUUAACCUAUAAUUAGGUUUGCAUUUAUUAGAAAAUUUUAAAGUCAAAUAUAUUGCACUUUUGCAUUAUUAGAAUCAUCACAGAGAAAGGAGCAUAUAUACUUUAUAACUUUAAAAAUUGGUUUCUUCUGGAAACAGAGAUGAUGAUUAUUAUAAGGAUGAAAAAAAAAAGAUAAAGAAUAUUAAUGAUUAACGAAAUCUCUAUGCAAAUUGAUUUUAGUAGGGAAAGAGUGAGAUGAAUAACUUCUUUUACAGCUAAAAACAGAGAUGAUGAUUAUUAUAAGGUUGAAAAAAAAAGAUAAAGAAUAUUAAUUAUUAAUGGAAUCUCUAUGCAAAUUGAUUUUAUAGGAAAAAAGCGAGCUAAAUGAUUUAGACAUUCAUAGUGUAUUUAUUUUUGAAUUGGUGAAUAAGAAUUAUUGACAACGCUAACUUCAUCUUCACCGUUGGCUAUCCAAUAGCGGCAAUUGUCGCCGAUUAUGAUAUCUCCAAUGAUGAUGACGGUUUUUUUAUUAUUAUUAUUGGUGACCCCUUGGAAAGUUAACUGCAACUGCCAAUCAGAGAAAAGUCGUCAUGCACAAUCCUCAAUCGAACCAAUCAUCUACGUUACAGAAUCUGAAACGUACACACUGUUAACAUAUAUGUUUCCAUAAUGUUGAUUUUGAUGAUAACAAACAAGAUUAAGAAUGAUUAAUCUUUUAAGCUCAAAUUAUUUUUAUGCAUUUUAAAUAAAUCAUUAUUUUUACAUUAUAAAGGUUCUAUAUUUAAUGGAAAAAUGAUUUUAUGAAAUUGAUUGUUUUUUAUUCUUUUUAAAUAAAUCAUUAUUUUCACAUUAUAAAUGUUUCAUAUUCAAUGGAAAAAUGAUUUUAUGAAAUUGGUUGUUUUUCAAAGUUUAUGGUUUAAUUGAAAGAAUUUUGAAAACUUUGAAAUAAACAAGUAUUGCUUGAAAUUUCAGAUUUGGACUUAUUUGAAACUAUUUAAAUGUUUUUAGGCUAUUCUAUAAUUUCACAAAGUUUGGGCGAAAUUAUAAUUUCAGAACGUUGUGGGAUUGACAAAGUAUUAUUCUAAAAUUCUGAAAUUGGACUUAUUUGUAAAUUUUCAUAACGUUUUGGGUUAUAGUAUAGUUUUAUAAAGUUUUGGGGUCAAAUUAUAAUUUCAGAAAAUAGUGCACUGUGCAGGUUACUGUGGCAUCCGGCUUACCGGAUAUAAAAAUCGGAAAACCGGAUACGGGGCAGAAUGUAUCCAGAAUGUAAACGGCUUACCGGAUUUCGUAACCAGCAAGCCGGAUAGGCAAAAUUCAAAUUUUUGCCUUAACGGUAACAUAAAUCCAGCUUAUCGGAUUCCAUAAAUGGCAAACCGGAUACGCCCAGAAUGUGAGUAACGGCUAGUUUUUGAGUUCAAACUAUAUAAACUCAAAACCAAUUCAUUUUUGGUAAUCCAAGCAAGAAAGAACAAGUGCACAUAACAUAUAUUGAGCUUCAAUUUCGUAACUCAUCAUUUAUUAAAUCAUCUUUGUUUUUCAAUUUGUAUAUCCACUCUUAAAGAGAGAUUCAUUGUUGUAUUUUUCAUUUCUCAUCAAAUUGUGAGUGUACAAGUGUGAGAAACACUUGGGGUGAAGAGAUUGGAGAGAUAAUCUCUUGUUGUAAAGGUUCAUUAACACAUUGAAGUCAAUUGUAAACGUUUGAAGCCUUGGAAAUGCUUGGAUAGUGAAAUCCUCAAGCCCGGUGUGCUUGGAAGCGUGGACGUAGGCGGAGAUUACCGAACCACGUAAAAAUCCUUGAGUUUGCUUUCUCUUCCCUUACUCUUUAAUUAUUGUGCUUUGAUUGAACUUAUUGCUUUCAAUUUUUAUUAAGACAUUAGAUUAAAUUGUUGUGUGGUUUGCCUAGGAUAAUUUUUAAAAUCUCAAUUCACCCCCCUCUUGAGUUGCCUAGUUAGUAUUUCACACACCCAAUGGGAAGCAGCACACGUGUUCUGAGGAGAGAGAGAAAAAACCGUGCAAAUGCAAGCAAUAGGUAUUGGCUACAGUUGGAUCUGUAAGUUACAGAAUCUGUAACUUAGCCAACUCCCUCAAUGAUCAAUAUUGUUUCCGAUAUUUAUAAAUUGGUGGCCCCUUGGAAAUUUAACUGGAAGUUUGCAAGUGUCAAUCAGAAAAAAAUCGUCAUCCAUUGUUUUUUUUUUUCUGCAUUCCCUUUCAUGUUCUUAAUAAUUGAGGACAGGUUGUUCAUAACAUUUAUACUUUUCAAAUGUGGAGCUGCAUUUAAUGUCGCUAUUUUAAUUUGGGAUUAAAUUAGGGGAACACUAACUUUUAUAUUUAUCUAAACUCCUUAAAUUUAAGACAGAUUAUGGCGUAAAUAAGAAUAUAAUAAUAACAAAGGAAUUAAAAAGUAUAAUGACGAUCUUGCAGAAAUAUAAAUAUUAGCGUUGAAUUAAAUAACAUAGAACACAUGAAUUGAAUAGUGAUUAUCAAGACGGUGUUACUUGCACUCCUAUUUAUAAAAAAUCUUGGUUCUGUUCCAUUAGAUUUUUUAUCUUCAAAAUCUUGCAAAGUUUUGACAACCCAAAGGCUCAGUUUGGUUGUUCUAUAUUUGUAUGAUAUGAAUUCAAAUUUUUGUGUUCUGUUUUUCUUAAUUCUGAACACGGAUUCUUCUCUUCUCGUGCAAACCAGAAAGAAAUGUUGUCUUACAAAAAAAAAAGGGGAAUAACUUCAUGAGAACAAAAAUUCAGAAAAAUAAUAUAAAGUUUAUAUUUAGACUUUUGUGGUAUAUUUUAAUUUUCAACAAUGAGUUAAAGAAAAUAAUAAAUAAAGUAAAUAAAAGUUUAGAGAUUCAAAUUUUUAGUAUUGGAUUCUUUAAUUCAAAUACCUCUCAUUAAUUAACACUUAAAAGAGAGUUCACUAUUAUAAUUUUAAGUUUUUUGAUUUAUUAUUGAUAUAUAAAUUAGGAGUUUAAGCUUACUUUUUUAUUUUUCCAUUUUUUUUCAAAUUUGAAAUUAUUAUUUAAAUUUAUAAUUUUUUUUAAAAAAAUAGAGGGCUUGAGCCUGGCUUGGGUAUUGUUUCCUAAACCCUUAUCCGGCCCUGGCUUUUUUGCCAGCCCCAAUGAUGAUGAUGAUGAUUAUUUUAUUAUUAUUAUUAAUGAUGAAAAGUAUUAUAAUUAAUUAAUAUAUUAUUGUAUUGUUAUUAAGAUUAACAAUAAUUAUUAAUGAUAACAAUUUUUUGAAUAAAAAUAAUCACAAUAAUUAAAAUAUAAAUUAAUAAUUAUAACAAUAGUUAAUUAAUGUAUUUUUAACAAUUUGUAAUAAUUUAACUCAUUCUAAUUUCGAUUAUUAUAGUUAAGUAAACAACUUAUUAUAAUUUUCAUUCUCCAUUUUAAUUUCAGCUCAUUUCGAUUUCAGUCUAUUCCAAUUUUCAUUUAAUAAACGUUCCAUUAAUGCUAUAGUAAUAUUUCAUAUAGAAAAAAAUAAAAGCUACAACUAAGGUUAAGGGAAAGGACUUCAAAACUCUCUUUUUGUCAUAAUACAUUUUUUCCUAAUUAACUUAAAGAGUUUGAAUCUAAUAUUUUAUAAUAAAUAAAAAUAUAUUCCAAAAGUAAAUAUAAUAUAUCUAUUUUAAACUAAUCUCAAUAUUUAAAAUAUAUUUAAUAUUUUACAAUCUAUUAGACAUAUUUUAUUAUAUUAAAAUAAAUUUUAUAAUAAAUAUGAACAUACUGUUAAAAUGAAUAUAUAAAAAACUUAGAGUAUUUUGAAUAUUAUAUAAAAUAAUUUUAGUAGAAUACGUGAGAUAUAUUUUAUUAAUGUAAAAUGCUAUUUAAUCUAAAGAUUCAUUUAUGAUAAAUUAAUAAUUAUAUUUUUAAAAUUAUUUUAAAAAUUAAAUUUUUUUAAUAUUAUUAAUCUAUUAGACAGAUAAAAUUAUUUAUAUUAUUUUGUAUUUAUUAAAAAAAUUUAAAGUCAAUUUUUUUAAUUACUAUUCAAAGGAUAUAAUAAUUAAAAAAAUCUUAGCGUUUUCAUUAAAAAUUUAAAAAUUUACAUGACUAUUUCUGUAAAUAUUUAAGGUAUAUAUGAACUACGGUAGAGAAGCUUCAUUUAAUAUUAUUGAUUUAAAUAAUAUCUCAAUUAAAAAUGUACAGAGAAUAUAUUUCGGUGGGUAUUUUAAUCUUUUUAGCAAUUAUCAUGGUUAGCCCUUGGCCUUGAAACGUCUGUCAGAAAGGUUUUCAAAUGCUUUAAUUGUUCUUAUUAAAAAAAAAAUCUUUAAUUGUUUUUUCACUUUUAACGUCAGCGGCCUUGAAAGUGCUUUUACUUUAUAACAAAUUAAUUAAUGCUGACGAGAAAAUAUCUCUUCCACAGCCCACAGCAGCUUCUGUUAAUCAAACUCAACCAAUUUUCUCUCUUAACAAAAUUCCAAAGAUGGGUAGCAUUUUUCAGAUCACAUGCGACGGCGCUUUUUUCAAUCGUUGCUUUGGAUUGCUUUCUUGGAAAAGCAGCAUACAUAAGCAACAUCCAAGAUAAUCUUGUAGCCUUGGAGACUGAACUGGGAAGACUAAUCGCAGCAAAGAACGAUGUGAUGAUGAGGGUUGUCAAUGCUGAACGACAACAAAUGAAAAGGCUGGGCCAAGUGGAAUGGUGCGUUUCGAGGGUGGAUGCUGUUAAAAUUGAAGCUGAUGAACUUAUCAGAGACGGCUCUCAAGAAAUUGACAAAUUAUGUGUUGGAGGCUACUGUUCUAAGAACUGCACGUCAAGCUACAAGUUCGGGAAACAAGUGGCUAAAAAGCUACGAGAUGUGGAGACUUUAAUCGCCGAAGGAGUUUUUGAGGCGGUGGCUACCGAGGUGGUGCCUGAGAGAGCUCCAGAGCCUGUAGCAGAUGAAAGACCUACCGAGCGAACAGUAGUAGGCUUGCAAUCACAACUUGAACAAGUCUGGAGAUGUCUUGCAGAAGAAUCAGUGGGAAUCAUUGGCCUAUAUGGUAUGGGCGGUGUUGGUAAAACUACAUUACUGACCCAUAUCAACAAUAAAUUUCUCGAGAGUCCAACCAACUUUGAUUGUGUGAUUUGGGUAGUAGUUUCAAAAGACCUGCGACUUGAAAAAAUUCAAGAAGAUAUUGGAAAAAAGAUAGGUUUGGUUGGUGAUUCGUGGAAGAGUAAAAGUGUAGAGGAGAAAGCUGUCGACAUCUUCCGGAGUUUAAGAGAGAAGAGAUUUGUAUUGUUGUUAGAUGAUAUAUGGGAGCGGGUUGAUUUAACAAAGGUGGGCGUUCCACUUCCCGGACCAAAAAAUACUACCUCAAAAGUUGUAUUCACAACCCGUUUCAUCGAUGUUUGUGGUAGCAUGGAAGCUGACAGGAAGUUCCAAGUGGCGUGCUUAUCAGAAAAGGAUGCUUGGGAACUGUUUCGAGAAAAAGUUGGGGAAGAAACUCUUCAGAGUCAUCAUGAUAUCGUUGAGCUAGCCCAAAUUGUGGCCAAAGAGUGUGGUGGUUUGCCACUCGCACUUAUUACUAUUGGUCGAGCUAUGGCCUGCAAAAGGACAGCCGAGGAGUGGAGACAAGCAGUUGAAGUGCUAAGAAGAUCAGCUUCUGAGUUUGCAGGUUUGGGAAAAGAGGUGUAUCCUCUUUUAAAGUUUAGCUAUGAUAGUUUGCAGAAUGAGACGAUUAGAUCUUGUUUCUUAUAUUGUUGUUUAUAUCCCGAAGAUUAUGGAAUUCUUAAAUGGGACUUGAUUGAUUGUUGGAUUGGUGAGGGAUUCUUAGAGGAAUCUGACAGGUUUAGUGCAGAAAACCAAGGAUACUACAUUGUGGGCACUCUUGUUCAAGCAUGUUUAUUAGAAGAGUUAGAAGAUGAUAAAGUAAAAAUGCAUGACGUUAUUCGUGAUAUGGCUCUAUGGAUAACCAUUGAAAUUGAGAAGCAGAAGAGAAACUUUUUGGUUCGUGCAGGUGCUGGAUUAAAAGAGGCACCGGCUGUUAAAGAAUGGGAAAAUGUGAGAAGAUUGUCAUUGAUGCAAAACCAAAUUAAAACUCUGUCAGAGGUUCCUUCAUGCCCUCAUCUCCAUACUCUAUUUCUUGCCUCUAAUGAUAAUUUGAGGAUGAUCACGGAUGGCUUCUUUCAAUUUAUGCCUUCUCUCAAAGUUUUGAAGAUGUCAAACUGUGUGGAUUGGCCAGUUUCGAAAUUACCUUUGGCGAUGUCAAAGUUGGGUUCACUACAACUUCUUGAUAUUUCACAUACCGGCAUAGAANNNNNNNNNNNNNNNNNNNNNNNNNNNNNNNNNNNNNNNNNNNNNNNNNNNNNNNNNNNNNNNNNNNNNNNNNNNNNNNNNNNNNNNNNNNNNNNNNNNNGAAGAGUUGAAGUUGUUGGUAAAUCUGAAAUGUUUGAAUUUGAGGUGGACAUUUGAGUUAAAUAAAAUUCCAUGGCAACUAAUAUCAAAAUUUUCAAGGUUACGUGUGUUGAGAAUGUUCGCUACUGGCUUUGCACGUUUUGAUGAAGCAUCAGAAGACAGCGUUUUAUUUGGUGGGGGUGAAGUUUUAGUACAGGAAUUGGUCGGUCUGAAAUAUUUAGAGGUAUUGGAGUUGACCUUGGGAUGUCAUCAUGCUCUCCAAAUUUUUUUGAGCUCAAAUAAGUUAAAAAGUUGUAUUCGAUCUCUUCUCCUCCAGUUGGCCGGAGAUACAACGUCGAUUAUUGAUGCUACGGCUUUCGCAGAUCUAAACCACCUCAAUGAAUUAUGCAUUGAUAGGGCUAAGGAGUUGGAAGAAUUGAAGAUUGAUUGUAAAGAAAUAGUACAAAAAAGGCGGGAACCUUUUGUUUUCCGCAGCCCUCACCGUGUUACUAUACAUAGCUGCCAGAAGUUGAAAGAUUUGACAUUCCUCGUUUUUGCUCCAAACCUCAAGUCUCUCGAUCUAGACCGUUGCGAUGCUAUGGAAGAAAUAAUCAGCGUCGGAAAAUUUGCUGAGACUCCUGAGAUGAUGGGACAUAUAAGCCCUUUUGAAAAUCUCCAAAUGCUUGAUUUAGAAGAUUUGCCUCAUUUGAAGAGCAUCUUCUGGAAGCCAUUGCCUUUCACUCAUCUGAAAGAAAUAUCUGUGGGUUAUUGCCGUAAUCUUAAAAUGCUUCCACUCGAUUCCAACAGUGCAAAGGAGCGUAAAUUUAUUAUUCGUGGAGAAGAAGACUGGUGGAACCGACUUCAAUGGGAGGAUGAAGCCACUCAAAUUGCUUUUCGUUCCUGUUUCCAAUCUCUUUUUGAUUAACUCUUAUACAUUUUCUCGUCGUUUGCUUCAUGCAAAAGACUACGUCUUUUGUUCUCUGUUUUUAUUUCAGUUUCGUUUUGUCUCCUGCAAAUCACAAUUAAAUGUUGAAUUAUAUGGAAGUAAUGCUUUAUAAAUUUGCCGGCACUGCCAUUUAUUUUUCCUCUUUUUUUUUUUGGGUCGAAUUGAUGCUCUGGCUUUUUUAUUUUUUGUCAUCGAAUUUUGCUCUGUUUUUCAAAUUGAUGCUUGAAUAUGUGAAUUCAAUUAAUGCUCACAUAAUUUUGUUUAGUUGCCGUAAAAGAAUAUAAUUAGACUGAAAUUCGCACUCCCAGAAUGAAUAGAAUCACAACAGAGAAAAUAUUAAGUAUGCUAGCCCUCUUUACAGAAAAUCAAAUGAAAAUAAAAUUUUUUGGAUAUUUGAUUUUCUAUGGUCUACUAUAUACACUUUAUAAAUUCUUCUGUUCUAAGGAUAACCAAGUAGGGGAUUGAUGAAGGCUCCUUUUUGGGAUUCUUCUUUUUCUAGGCUGCAAUUAGGAUAUGUACAUGAUAGACAAUCUUUUGUUGGUUUAGCAUAUCUUCGCUGAUUUUGUCUUUUAUUCCCCAAUUUUAUAAUUACACACCAUGAAUGUUGGGUGAUUGUAUAGAAAAUUUGUGUUAUAACAAAAACAUUGUGAAGGAGUUUCCGUGCUAAUAGUUAGUGGCUUCUGUUUUAUUGGUAUUGAUUGGGUAGAUUUCGUGUUACAGUGAUUCAAUUUGUGUUCCAAACUUUGCUUUAAUUUUCUGUUUUCCCCAACUAUUUAUGUCAAAUUUAAAUCCAGAAGCAUGUACUGAUUUUUUCUUUUUGUAUUAAUCUGUGAAGUUUACUUGGAAUGGAAGUAACUGGGUCGGGUCUAAUGGAUUAAAUUAUGACAUUGAGGGGAAGGCACUAAAAGGGUUUGCUUGACACAUUUGGUUCUGUAUUUACUCUGCAAGAAAUAGCUUUUGCUUAUUGCAAUGCAGGGGGAAAUCCCGAUUUGGCUGGUGAAUUUCUCUGCAACAAACAGGCAAACGCCUCAACCUCUUCUGUCCAUACUUCUGCUGGGGAGGCAAGGGGUAAAGAGUCUUCAAAAUCAUCAAAUAGUAACAUCUCUGAGAAUUCAUUUUAUGGAAAUGGAAAAUCUAGAGCUUCUAAUACAAAAUGGCAUCUGGUAUCAGGACGUACCGUUUCAAGUUUUCUUGGUAAAGAUUAUGUUAAACCUGCACAGCCAGCUAAUGGCACUGUUCUGGCAUCAAAGCCAUUGAAGUUGGAUCCAAGGGAGUUUCGCAUUUCUGCACUUUCAGAGUAGAAACUAAACCAAAACAAUCAAAGGAUGACCAUUUGCAGAAGGAUAUGGAAGAUUUUCUGUUUAAAUUGCUAGGAGAAGGGUUCCAGCUGUACAGGGAUGUGAUUCAGGAGGUUCAUGGAAACGUCUUAAAUAUAUUGAUGCCAAUUUAAUACAUAUUGUCCUUUUCAAUGUUCUUUCUUUCUUUCUCCUCUUUUUAUUCUUCUUCUUCUUCUUUUUUCUUUUCGUGUGCAUGUGAUCACUAAUUUGGUAUUAUUCUUAACUUGCAGAUAGUUGUGGAUAUGAUAUGCAAAAUAUCUUCUUGAUGCUGGCAGAUUCACUUGAUUCUUAUUAGUUUGUUUAGUGGCAAGGCAUAUAACCUGUAUUUCAAAGCCAAGUUGUGCUAUUGAUUAUGUUAACUUUAUUGUUAACAUAAAGUGAUAUGGAGGACAUAAUCAAUGUAGGAAAAUUAGGUGAAGAGAUGAUGUCAAAUCUUGAACCUCUUACAAAGCUCCAAGUUCUUUACUUGAAGAAGCUGCCAAAUUUGAAGAGCGUCUACUGGAAGGCAUUUCCAUUCCCAGAUGUAUGCAGAAUUUUUGUAUUAAUGCCCAGUUCUUAAGAAGCUGCCACUGGAUUUUCAAAGGGCGGGCCAAGGUGAAAUUCUUAUCAAGGGAAAGGAAGAUUGGUGGAAAGAACUUCAAUGGGAGGAUCAAGCAACUCAGAAUGCAUUGCUUCCAUUUUUCAAAUCAACUGACAAGUGAUUGAAGGGGGCAUCAUCAACAGAGAUGGAGAGAUUCUGGAGCAGAUCAACAGGGUUUGUAUAUGAUCUUUGGUGGUUGCUUUCUUUUGUGAUUUUUUUUUCUCAUUUUUUUUCCUUCCUGUCAUUUUAUCAUUUCUUUGUCUCUUUUUCUAUUGCUGAUGUUAGUGUAUGCUUACUGUUGCUUGACAAAGUUUGCUUGCUUCUUGUUUAUUAAAUUUUUUAUGGUCACAAAAUAUUACUUGUUCUAUUUGAGAGUGAUGUGAAUCAAUUUUCAAUUAUAUAUUUUGUGGUCAAUGUGAAUUCAAUUUCAUUUGUCUCCUGCAAUUAUGAAAAAAAUGCAGAGUCAUAAUAUGGAAAAGUCGACCGGCAAAAACUUUGUGAAAGCUUCGGAGUGAAACAGGGAAUUCACUUACUACUAAGGACAAUUGGUGGCGAGCUAUUCCAUUCAUUUUAUGUCCAUACAUCUAUUUAAUUAUUGAAGAUAAGUGGUCCAUUUGUAAAUUUCAGAUUGUCCCUCUCUCUUGAAAUAACGAUAUUUAAAAUAUUUCUUAAAUUAUUAUAAAUUUUAAUUUACUCUGGAUUUAAAAUGGAACAUGAUGAAAAUUUUUUUUUCUUCUUAAUAAAAUUGAAAUAAAUUGUGUUUGCAGUAGUUUGAAAUAUUUUAAAGAUUAUUAUUUUAUAAGGGAGUAAUAUGAAAUGAAAUUUACUUUUCAUGCGUGAAAUGUUGAAAAAGGACAAAGCAAGUGUCCCUGUUUUUAUUUUAUUUCAAAGUGGAGUCAUCUCACGUACUUUAGCUCUUAACAUUAUAAUUUUUCUGGUUACAUUUUUAUUAUUAUUUUUUUUUUUUACACAUGCAUGUGGGUUACUUUUCCGUAAGCUCCUUAAUAUAUAUUUAACACAAAUCAUGGAAGAGAUGGGAGUAUAUCAAGAUGAUCAAAGCAUGAAACAAAAAUAUUUAAGAAGUAAAACACUGAAAAUGGAGAAGAGAUGCAAGCAAAAGAUAUUCCAAAGAAAAGCAAUCUAUCCCCCUUUCGAGGGCAAACUUAUCAGGUUUAAGAAAAGUACAUGCUUUGGAUUGGUAGUUGCAGCCUUGCAGGAUAAUUGUUUUUGCCACUAUAUUAGUUGGAGGAGUUGAACCCAGCGAAGAAUGUUAUGGAAGAGCAAAGGAUUAUGUAGCCUGAAUGGAUGUCUUGUUGAAAGAUAUCUCAGUGCAUUAGUUCAUCCUUGUCUGUCAAUGUGUUUUUAAUGGUUUUUCCAAUUGUUUAUUAUUAUAGAUUGAUUGUAAAUUGAUAUGAAUUUAAUGUUGAAAUAUUUUCUCUUUAGUGGAAUGAAUUUAAAAGUGCAAAAGCUUAUUGCACACAGAGAAAUAAACAUAUAUGCUUUAUAGUAUAACUUUAGCAAUCGAUUCUUUUACAGCUGGAAACAGAGAUGGUGAUUAUCAUAGGGGUGAAGAAAAGGACAAAAAAUGUUAAUGAUUAACGAAAUUUCUAUGCAAAUUGAUUUUAGCAGGAAAAAAAGUGAGCUAAAUGAUCUUAAUGUUCCACAAAAGCAAAUCGUAAUAUUCCACAAGAAAAAGCAAGAUCUUAAUGUUCCACAAAAGCGUUAUUUUUUUUUUGGUGAGCCACGUGGAGCUCAAUUAUCAUUGUCUUUACUUUAAAAACGUUAUUUUAUUUUAUUUUAUUACAAAUUAAUGCUAAACAAGAAAAAGCAAGAUAUAAUAUUCCACAAAAGCAAAUCGUAAUAUUCCACAGAGGAAUAAGAUCCACAAAAGCAAACAACUAGCUGGAUUCUUUUACUGAAUUACAAAUUAAAGUGGAAUCUUUUAUUAAACAAUAAAUUAAAGUUCGAAUAUUUAAGUAGUAGUGCGUUAGAUGAUUAGGCUCUCUUAUUAAAGGCAAGUAUAAGGUAGUCCAGAAUCGAACAUCUCUAUUGUCUAGUCAUUUUUUUCAAUUCUUCUUUUAUUAUUUUUCAGAAUAGGUUUUGGUGAUUACUAUUGGGUUAUUAGUCAGAGUUAUUCUUAUCUUCCGGGGCAGUUUCUGUUCAUCGGAAUUGUUAAUUAAAAGAGUAAUGAUAUAGUCACAAACUCUUGUAUAAACUUAUUUUGUACAAACUGAUGUGGCAUGAUAAGAUUAGUUGAAUUAAAUAUCACUUAGGCCACAUGAUUUAUUUUUAUUAUUUUAUAUUUUCAUUCAACCAAUGAAUUAAUGCCACGUCAGUUUGUACAAGAGUUUGUGGCUGUAUCAUUACUCUAAUUAAAAUUUUAGAACUCUUGUGGGAAGAAUGUUUUUCUGUUAUCUUUUUUACAUUCUAAUUUCAACAAUAAGAAGGAGUCAUUUUAGAAUUCGGGUCUUGAAUCGAAUUUCAAUGCAUGAAUUAAUAUUUUAAAAAAAAAUUACUACACGCAGUUUAGGUUACAAACUAUUUUUUGCAAAGUUGACUAUGAAAUUGGAGAAAUUAAGUAAUUUAUAAUGUUUGCAAAGGAAGAGACUAACAUACUUCCAAUUACACUAUAUCUCUAUUAUCAUAAUGUUAAGACUAAACUAACUUAAAAUAAAUUUUAUUUGAAAAGUUAUAUCAAACACAGUCUAAUUUUAUUAACUUGAAGAGAUAAUAGUUAUAGAAAUGAUUGUUCUAACUUAAUUAGUACAAGUGGUAUAAAGGUUAAGUGUGCACUAAAUUUGUUUAAAUUUUUUCCAGAAUAACUAACAGAGGUCAUUAUUAGAAUUAUAAUUACUAGUCUAUUAGAUAGAAAAAAUUAUAUAUAUUGUUUUAUAUUUAUUAAAAAAAUUUAAAGUCAAUCUUUUUAAUUAUUAUUUAAAGGAUAUUAUAAUUUAAAAAAAUUUAAUGUCUUUAUUAAAAAUUUAAAAAUUUACAUGACCGUUCUAUAAAUAUUUAAAGUGUAACUGUCAUUUUCUCAUGUAUAUAUAUAUAAACCACGGUGGUGAAGCUUUAUUUAAUAUUAUUGAUUUAAAUAACAAUAUCGCAAUUAAAAAUGUAGAGAGAAGAAAUUUUGGUGGGUAUAUUAGUCUUUUACAAUUAUCAUGAUUAGCCCUUCCUCUUGUAACGUUGGUCAGAAAAGUUUUAAAAUGCCUUGAUUUCUUUUACUUUUAACGUUAGCGGCCUUCCUUAUAUUUUAUUACAAAUUAGUCCUAACAAGAAAAAGCGAGAUCAUAUUCCAAAAAAGCAAAAGUGACAAAAAAACCAGCUGUAUUCUUUUAUUAAACUACAAUUUAAAAUGAUUUUAAAGUGGAUUCUUUUGAAUACAGGUGGGGUAGUCGAAUAGUCUUUUUCAAAUUCUUGUUUUAUUAUUUUUCAAAACUAGUUUUUGGUAAUUACAAUCGGGUCAUUCAUUAGUCAUUAUUCAGAGUUAUUGUUAUCUUCGGGGGCAGUGGGUAAAAGGCUAAAUGAUAAUUACUAAGUGUUUUUCCUUCAAAAGUUAGUGGCUCGUGUUUUGCAAGUGUGUACGUGCGAUGCUCUUUGUCUAAAGGCAAUUACAGUGGGUCCCGAAUCGGACGUGCCUAAUAAAUCUUUUAAAAUUUUUUCUAAUAAAUAUUCCUAAAAUUUCUCUUCCACAGGCAAUUACAGCAGCUUCAGUUAAUCAAACUCAAUCAAUUUUCUUUCUUAACAAAAUUCCAAAGAUGUUUGGCUGUUUUCAGAUCACAUGCGAUGGUGCUCUUUUCAAUCGUUGCUUGGAUUGCUUUCUGGGAAAAACAGUAUACAUACGUAACCUCCCAGAUAAUCUUGUUGCCUUGGAGACUGAAUUGGGAAAUCUAAUCGCAGCAAAGAACGAUGUGACGAGGAGGGUUGACAAUGCUGAACGGCAACAAAUGAGAAGGCUGGACCGAGUGCAACGAUGGAUUUCGAGAGUGGAAGUUGUUGAAACUGAAGCCGAUGAAUUGAUAAGACAUGGCUCUCGAGAAAUUGAAAAAUUAUGUGUUGGAGGCUACUGUUCCAAGAACUGCAUGUCAAGCUACAAGUUCGGAAAACAAGUGGCUAAAAAGCUACGGGAUGUGCGGACUUUAAUCAGUGAAGGAGUUUUUGAGGUGGUGGCUGACAGAGCUCCAGAGCCUGUAGCAGAUGAAAGACCUACUGAGCCAACAAUAGUAGGCUUGCAAUCACAACUUGAACAAGUUUGGAGAUGUCUUGUAGUAGAAGAAUCAGUGGGAAUCAUUGGCCUAUAUGGUAUGGGCGGUGUUGGUAAAACCACACUAUUGACCCAUAUCAACAAUAAAUUUCUUGAGAAUCCAAUCAACUUUGAUUGUGUGAUUUGGGUUGUAGUUUCAAAAGACCUGCGACUUGAAAAAAUUCAAGAAGAUAUUGGGAAAAAGAUAGGUCUGUUUGAUGAUUCAUGGAAGAGUAAAAGUGUAGAGGAGAAAGCUGUCGACAUCUUCCGGAGUUUAAGAGAGAAGAGAUUUGUAUUGUUGUUAGAUGAUAUAUGGGAGCGGGUUGAUUUAACAAAGGUGGGCGUUCCACUUCCCGGACCACAAAAUACUACCUCAAAAGUCGUAUUCACAACCCGUUCCAUCGAUGUUUGUGGCAGCAUGGAAAGUCACAGGAAGUUCCCAGUAGCAUGCUUAUCAGAAGAGGAUGCUUGGGAGCUGUUUCGAGAAAAAGUAGGGCAAGAAACUCUUGAGAGUCAUCAUGAUAUCGUUGAGCUAGCCCAAACUGUGGCCAGAGAGUGUGAUGGUUUGCCACUCGCACUUCUUACUAUUGGUCGAGCUAUGGCCUGCAAAAGGACAGCAGAGGAGUGGAGACACGCAGUUGAAGUGCUAAGAAGAUCAGCUUCUGAGUUUGCAGGUUUGGGAGAAAAGGUGUACUCUCUUUUAAAAUUCAGCUAUGAUAGUUUGCAGAAUGAGACGAUUAAAUCUUGUUUCUUAUAUUGUUGUUUAUAUCCCGAAGAUUAUGGAAUUCUUAAAUGGGACUUGAUUGAUUGUUGGAUUGGUGAGGGAUUCUUAGAGCAAUCUGACAGGCUUAGUGCAGAAUACCAAGGAUACUACAUUGUGGGCACUCUUGUUCAAGCAUGUUUAUUAGAAGAGUUAGAAGAUGAUAAAGUAAAAAUGCAUGACGUUAUUCGUGAUAUGGCUCUAUGGAUAACCAGUGAAAUUGAGAAGGAGAAGAGAAACUUUUUGGUUCGUGCAGGUGCUGGAUUAAAAGAGGCACCGGCUGUUAAAGGAUGGGAAAAUGUGAGAAGAUUGUCACUGAUGCAAAACCAAAUUGAAACUCUGUCAGAGGUUCCUACAUGCCCUCAUCUCCUCACUUUAUUUCUUGACUUUAAUCAGGAGUUGGAGAUGAUCGCGGAUGGUUUCUUCCAAUUUAUGCCUUCUCUCAAAGUUUUGAAGAUAUCAAACUGUGGAAACAUUUUUCAAUUACCUGUUGGGAUGUCAAAGUUGGGUUCACUAGAACUUCUUGAUAUUUCACAUACCUUCAUAAAAGAGUUACCAGAAGAGUUAAAGAAGUUGGUAAAUCUGAAAUGUUUGAAUUUGAGGUGGACAAGGGAGUUAAAUAAAAUUCCACGGCAACUAAUAUCAAAUUCUUCAAGGUUACGUGUGUUGAGAAUGUUCGCUACUGGCUACAUACGAUUCGAUGAUGCACCAGAAGACGGCGUUUUAUUUGGUGGGGGUGAAGUUUUGAUACAGGAAUUGCUCGGUUUGAAAUAUUUAGAGGUAUUGGAGUUGACCUUGGGAAGUUAUCAUGCUCUCCAAAUUCUUUUGAGCUCAAAUAAGUUAAAAAGUUGUAUUCGAUCUCUUUACCUCGAGUUGACCGGAGAUACAACGUCAAUUAUUGAUGCUACGGCUUUCGCAGAUCUAAACCACCUCAAUGAAUUAUAUAUUAAUAAUGGUAUUGAGUUGGAAGAAUUGAAGAUUGAUUAUACGCAGAUAGUACGAAAAAGGCGGGAACCUUUUGUUUUCCGCAGCCUUCACCGUGUUACUGUUAUGGAUUGCCAUAAAUUGAAAGAUGUGACAUUCCUCGUUUUUGCUCCAAACCUCAAGUCUCUUACGCUAUUCGAUUGCGGUGCUAUGGAAGAAAUAAUCAGCGUCGGAAAAUUUGCUGAGACUCCUGAGAUGAUGGGACAUAUAAGCCCUUUUGAAAAUCUCCAAUUGCUUGAUUUAGAUAAUUUGCCACAUUUGAAGAGCAUCUUCUGGAAGCCAUUGCCUUUCACUC
This 234179-nucleotide long non-coding RNA is filed under the name Citrus x clementina. Its description in RNAcentral is "Citrus clementina (C. clementina) long non-coding RNA (CCLE_LNC001433)". The record is from RNAcentral. Lineage: Eukaryota; Viridiplantae; Streptophyta; Magnoliopsida; Sapindales; Rutaceae.